ACAAAUUACCCAAUUCUUCGUGGCCAGAGAUGCAUAGAUUUUGCAAAGAAGGUAAUUGGGCAGCAAAAUUCUUCGAACCAAAAAAGCUGUAAUUUGAUCUGGAAAAAAGAUACAAUUUUCUUAGUCGAGGGAACUUGAUGAUGCCAUCUCUGGUGAGUGCAUCUCCUUCUCCAAUGUAAAAUAUUUGCUUUAAAUUGUCAGCAAAAUCAAUCUCCAUCUCUUCCAGGUUCAGAAGGCUUGGAGAAACAGAGACAGGGAAGACAUAUUCCAGUUUACCACACCGUUCUAUGAAGAUAAAUUUUAAUUCUGGGAAGCCCGGAGACUCUGGAAUUAUCUCCCUAUGUAGACACAAUUUUAUACACCUGAAAUUAAACAACUACAAGUGUAUAAAUAUAUAAUUUUAUUAAAUAUAUGAUCAGAUAUAAUUUUUAUCUAAUAUAUUUUUUCAAAAGAAUAUGAAAAUUCUUUGAUUCUUCUUUUGGAUUUGAUAUAUGAUGACUUGAUUUAUUUGAGAAAUCAAACCAAGAUUUGUGCUUUGCAAGAACACGAAUUUAGGCGUAUAUUGCAAAGCGAGAUAUGAUAAUUUGAUGCUUUGAAGAGUACCUUUAAAUCGUCUUCAAAGUAUUGUUGAAGAACUCAAAUAGGCAUUUAGACUUGAUUCAAUAUAGCUUUGUUCUUUGUAAACUUCAAGCGUAGAUGAAGGAGGCUUGAGAACUUUUGAGAAGGCUUCCUUACUUGAAGAGAGAGAGAGAGAGAGAGAGAGAGAGAGAUUCUUUGCUUGAACAGUUUGUCUUGAAAGAAAUUUGUAUUUCCCAGAAUCCUCCCCUUCUCUAGGUUGAGACCCUCUAUUUAUAGAGAUCUGUAAAGGUUCUCAGGUCCUUUUCCAAUGCCUUAUGAUAUAAUUUUAUUAGUUGAUAUUUAUUGGUGUGAUCUUGCAUUUAUGACAAGAUAUCUUGAAUAUCUUAUCUCAAGUGUCAACCUUUUAUUGGCCAAGAAAUAUAUGAAGACUCAUUUAUUUUUCAUGUUAUAUAUUUCAAUUUUAUUUAUUCUUUCUUUUAAAAUAAAAUAACACGUGGUGAAAUUUGAUUGGUAAAAAAUUUGUGUUUCUACAUAUGUCCUCUCGAGAAAAGUUCACUUACUUUCGAAAUAAGUGGGCAUGUCUCGAAAAAUAUGGUCGAGAGGGUUUUAUAUUUUUGACUAAAAUUUGAUUUGAUCAUAUUAGAUUUUCAUAAUAAAUAGAUAAAUUUGAUUGUGAAAUAAAAUAUGAUAGUCAAAAUUAAAAAUUUAUGGACCAAUCUUGAUUGAAAUUUAUCAAAUCAAAUGAUAGAAUAUCUAAAUUCAAUAUCUCAUUUGAAACAGUUGCAUAUUUAAGGAUCAAACAAAAUUUAUCUUUAUACCUGAAUAGCAACCAACACUUUGACCGGCUUGCAGGAUUUUUUUUUCAUCGGAAGUGGUCACUGUAACAUCUUGUUUUGAAGAUCUCAUUGUUCUGAAUCCAACGACGAAAUUCGUUCGUGAUUCCAGCUAGUGGUUAAUGAGCUAUAAAAUAUUAAAGAUUUUGAUUAAUUUUCUCUUCCUUCUCUUGAUAUGCGUGCGCACUCAUAUUGGUUGAUGAAUUAUUUUCUUCCUUCCCGUUCAAAUGUUCUUUCCUUUAACAGUACAGGAAAUUUGUGUUUCCUUUUCUUUUGGCUUUACCAUGUGCAUCCUUUGUUUCCUGAAUGAAUUGUCCAACGUGAAUGAAUUAUUAAAAGAGCAAAAGAAUUCCAGUACUGGUAGCCGACUUCGCUUAAUUGAACUAGGAAAACUUUCUUCAACUAGGAAAAGUUCGCUGGCUUUUGAUUAUGUUAAUUAAGCAAGAGUCCUCUCAUCAGAGUAAGCGGCUAUAAAAACCAUACUUGUCCCUUCUAUUUUUUUUACAGACAGUUCGGCUUCCAAUAAAGCCAGGCAAUCAAUCUUAGGAGGCGUUCGUCAUUCUCUUCUUCUUUAGCACCAGCAGGUUGCUACUUCUCAAAGGAAUCAGCUAUUUUAUUUCUAUCAAUAAGUUGCGGUCGUUCUGUGUUGUUUUAAUAAUCCUGGUUCCUUCAACACAGCCUCCACCAGCAGUCCAGGUAUGCAUGUCUCCAUUUAUUUUUUUGUUUUAUUACAACUGCAAUUUUUUAAAACGAGAAGGAAGGUGCCCACCCUAUUCUUGCUGCUAUCUCUAUAUAUCUCUGAUUAUGCGUGUGGCUGUUCACUGCUAGGUGGUAUCGAACCUCCCAAAGCUCAUUGAAGGUCUGAAGUGAUUGGCCAAGUCUACUCCCAUGGUGGACUGUUCCAUCAAGGGAUCUUCUUUAUUGGAAACCAAACCAUCACUGCAGCUAUUUCAAUGUCCUUUUCAUCACCAACCAAGUCUUUAUCAAUGUCAAUAGCAUCUGAAUUAUGACCAUCAAUGUCGACUGGAGCAAAGCUGUGACCCUUAAUUCCAAUUGCAUCAGAUCCAUUGCCAUCAAACUUCUCCUUGGUCCCAUCCGACACAAACCUCCAAGGAUCAAACGAUGCUAAUAAUCUUUUUUUUUAUUUGUGUCUUUGCAGAUUUUGCUUCAGCAAGACCUGCUCCCUGAUGAUCAUCGUAAUAUUUUGUAUGGGCUCACUUUCAUCUUCUCAUUGAAUUACCACGGAGUUGUUGUAACAGUAGCAGCAGAGUCAACAAAUCCUUCAGCUUUACAUCUUUCACAGUCUUAGGGGUAGGUAAUUUUUGAAUGACUUCAACCUUUGACUUAUCUACCUCUAUCCCUUUUGAAGAGACAAUGUGACCUAAGACAAUGCCAUGUGUCACCAUAAAAUGACACUUCUCCCAAUUGAGUACAAGAUUGUUCUCUUCACACCUUUCAAGAACUUUUUCUAAAUGCAUUAGACACAACUCAUAAGAAUCCCCAUAAACUGAAAAAUCAUCCAUGAAAACUUCCAAAAAAUUUUCCACCAUGUCACUAAAGAUACUCAUCAUACACCUUUGAAAAGUGGUUGGUGCAUUACACAAGCCAAAAGGCAUUCUUCUAUAAGCAUAGGUACCAAAAGGACAAGUGAAAGUGGUUUUUUCUUGGUCUUCUAAAGAAACCUCAAUUUGGUUGUAACCUGAGUAUCCAUCAAGAAAACAAUAGAAAGCUCUUCCGGCUACUCUUUCAAGCACUUGGUCUAAAAAUGGAAGCGGAAAAUGGUCCUUCCUAGUUACCAUGUUCAACUUACGAUAAUCAAUGCACAUACGCCAUCCAGUUUGGAUUCUAGUUGGUACUAGCUCAUUAUUUACAUUUUUCACUACCGUGACUCCAGAUUUUUUUGGGACAACUUGGGUUGGACUAACCCAUUUUGAGUUUGCAAUGGGGUAAAUGAUACCCGCAUCAAGUAGCUUAAGCACUUCACAUCUUACUACUUCCUUCAUGUUUGGGUUCAAUCGUCUUUGCAUUUGCCUCACAGUUUUAGCCUCUUCUUCAAGAUAGAUUCUAUGUGUACAUGAAAGAGGGCUAAUUCCUUUCAAGUCAGUAAUAGUCCACCCAAUUGCUUUUUUGUGUUUUCUCACCACUCUCAAAAGUUCUUGUUCCUGCUCUAUGCUAAGUUUUGAUGAAAUCACAAUAGGAUAUGAUUCAUCUUCCCCUAGAAAUGCAUACUUAAGAUCACUCGGUAAAGGCUUCCUUUCUGGUUUAUAAGGUUGGACAAGAGAUGCCUCAGCUUUUACUUGGGGUGAAAUCAAAGGCUCAAACGAUGGGGUCCAUUGACUUAUUGACAUAAUAGGCAUUGGAUCUAAAUAAGUCUCGAGUUCUCUUACUUCCUCAUCAACACAUUCCAAAGAACAAAAUCUUUCAUCAUGAAUUAAAGUUCUCUCCAAUGGAUCCUUGAUCCACUCUCUCUCAAAGUGUUCUUGACAAACUGUUUGGAUCAAAUCUACCUCUCUAAUGUCCUCAUGUUCACCAAUUUGUUUAGAGACAUUGAAUAUGUUAAUCUCCACAGUCAUGUUCCCAAAAGACAAUUUCAUCACGCCAUUCCUACAGUUGAUUAAAGCAUUGGAUGUAGCUAGGAAAGGUCUACCUAAGAUGACUGGGAUGGGAGCAUUAGAACCUUGAAUAGGUGCGGUGUCUAGCACUACAAAAUCAACAGGAAAGUAGAAUUUAUCUACUUGGACCAACACAUCCUCAACAAUACCCCUGAGAAUCUUGAUUGACCUAUCAGCUAAUUGAAGGGUGAUUCGAGUAGGCUUGAUUUCUCCUAAACCUAACUGUUCGUAAACAGUGUAGGGUAUCAAAUUCACACUUUCUCCUAAAUCCAACAAAGCUUGGUCUAUCCUAUGACUUCCAAUAAUGCAUGAAACGGUAGGACAACCAGGAUCUUUGUAUUUGGGAGGGGUCUUAAACUGGAUGAUGGCACUAGCAUGUUCAGUUAGAAAGGCUCUUUCUUUCACAUUCAAUCUCCUUUUGACUGUGCAUAAGUCCUUGAGGAACUUUGCAUAAGAUGGGACUUGUUUAAUUGCAUCAAGGAGUGGAAUGUUGACUUUCACUUGUUUGAACAAUUCAUAGAUUUCCGAGUUCAUAAGAUCAUGUUUAGGUUUCCCUAACCUUUGUGGAAAUGGUGCUCUAGGAACAAAUUCUAAAUCACUCACUUUGACUCCAAUUUUUCUUGAAUCAUCUCCUUUCUCACUCAUCUCUUUCUCAUUUAUCUCACCUUCUUUGUCACUCAAGCUCUCAUUUGUCACUUGUGUUUUGAUUUCCUCUUCACUUUCCUUAGAUUUCUCCUCCACAAUACCUCUAGGAAUCUCAAAACCUAUAGCUUUGGCAACAAUCUUUCCACUUGUUCAUGGUUUGAAGGUUCACUAGAUGAGGAUUCACUCAUGUGUACCUGACCUCUAGGAUUUGGCAUUGGUUGAGCUGGAAUCUUUCCCUUCUCUUGAAUGCUUAGUGAUUGAGUCAACUUGGUUAGUUGACUUCGAAUGUCAUCUAAGGUCCUAUUGGUCUGGUCUUGAAAUUUGUAAGCUUGGUUGUUGAUUCCUCCUUGUGUUUGCAUGAAUUGUUGAAGAGUAUCCUUUAGGGAUCUCUUAUGAGGUGGUUGGUAUGUAUUAUGUGUGGGAGCAUGAAAUGGUUGGGGUGGAGGUUGAAAUGUUUGAGGUACUGAAGGCCCCUCAUUUCUCCAUCCAAAAUUUGGGUGGUUCCUCCAUCCAGGAUUGUAGGUCUCAGAGUAGGGAUUGCCUACUUGGUUUGAAAAUGGCUUUCUAACAUUACUUGAAUUAGAAGUUUGGCCAUAUAGCACUUCCUUGAAGGCUGGAAUGGUAGGACACUCAGUUGUCCUAUGCCCUUUGCUCUCACAAACAACACAACUUUCCUCUUGUUGUUCACUCAUGACAUGCACUUUUUUAAUCUCAAGAGACUCUACUUUCCUAGCCAAUGAGGCUAAUCUAGCAUUGAGGUCAUCAGUCUCUUUCAAUUGGAACUUCCCACUUGAAUGAGAAAUGGUGUUUCUAGACUCAACAUGAAGUGGGAGAGAAGUCUCUCAUUGCUUUGUGUUUUCAGCCAAUUGAUCAAAGAAAUCAAAGGCUUCACUUGGUUCUUUGUCAUAAAACUCACCAUUACACAUGGUUGACACUAGCUUUUUAAAAUCUGCGGUAAGAGAGUCAUAGAAGAAACUCACUAACCUCCACAUCUCAAAACCAUGGUGGGGGCAUGCAUUUAACAAGUCUUUGAACCUUUCCCAAGCUUGGUGAAAUGACUCAUUUGGACUACAAGAAAAAUUCAUCAUUUGACGUUGUAAGGCUGCCGUCCUAUGAGUGGGGAAGUAUGUUUUCAAAAAUUCAGCUUGCAUUUCUCUCCAUGUACCUAUAGACCUAGGACACAAGGAGUUUAGCCAAAGCUUGGCUUUAUCCUUUAGAGAGAAUGGGAACAAUUUAAGACGAAUAGUUUCCUCGGUGCAUGUUCUAUCAAUAAAAGUAUUACAUACCUCUUCAAAGUCCUUAAUGUGUAUGUAUGGAUUUUCAGAAUCCAUACCGUGAAAUGUGGGAAGAAGUUGAAUCAUGCCCGGUUUCAAAUUGAAAGCUUGUUGGUUAAGAGGUAAGAUAAUACACGAAGGUGUACUUUGUCUAGCCGGGUGAAGAUACUCUCUAAGAGUUCGAAAAUUAGGUUGAUCAUUGAAUUGUGGAGGUCCAUUACCUUGAACACUCCCUUCACCCUCUACAUCUUCAACAUUAGCCAUGAUAAAAUAAUAAUAAUAUAACAAUUAUAUGAAUACGAAAGGAAAGGAAAAACAAAGAAAAAGAAAAAGAAGAUUGCAAAUAAAAGUAAAUGAAAUGUAAAAGAUAAAGUAAUAGCUCAAAAAUAAAAAUACAACAAAUUAAGAAAUUCUCCAACUAAUAAGCAAUAUUAACAACAAUAAACAUUAAAAGAUAAUUAUAACAAGCAUGAAUAAAAAGGCGGUAAUACCGGCCAAGCACUUCAGACAAUAAAUAUAAGAAAAAUAACAACAAUAAACAUUAAAAGAUAAUUAUAACAAGCAUGAAUAAAAAGGCGGUAAUACCGGCCAAACACUUCAAACAAUAAAUAUAAGAAAAAUAAUCACAACAAAACAACAAAAUAAAAUAAAAUGAACAAGAGGCGGUAAUACCGGCCAAGCACUUCAGACAAUAAAUAUAAGAAAAAUAAUAACAGCAAAAUAAAAUAAAAUAAACAAGAGGCGGUAAAACCAGCCUUAUAAUAUAAACAAUAAAUAUUAGAAACUAAUUAAAAUAGACAAUACAAGAAAAAUGGUUGAACCAACCAAAAUCCAACAAUUAAUAGUCUAGUCCACAGUCCAAUAUCCAAAAAGUUGAGGUCAAUAUUUUUUUUUUAGGCGGUAAAACCAGCCAUUUGAUUUUUUAUUUUUAUGUAUUUUUUUUUGUUUUCCAAUAAUCAAAUAGAAAUUUGUUACCUUUGCUUGCUAGCUCCCCGGCAAUGGCGCCAAAAUUACUUGACCGCUUUUUAUGUUCGGCUUGUUUUAACUCGCAAGUGCACGAGUGUGCGAUGUAGCAAUUAACUCGGUAAGAUCGAGGUCAUAUCCACAGAGAGCUAGAUCUGGAAAUUAAGCUAGGUAACAAAAAAACUCAAGAGAAAUUAAAUUAACAAUAACUUGGUUGAAAAUGAUUGAUGGAUUUGUUUUCAAAGAUGAAAAGGUGUAAAUAGAUUUUAAAUGACAAGAAAAAGUAAGUCUUGGUCCAAAUCAAUUUUAAUGGUGAUGUAUUGGUGAUUCCUUCAACAUAUAUAAGAUAACUCAACCUAAUAUCAACAAUGGUGAUAUUAGAUCGGAAGAUAUUACAAUGAAGAUUAAAAAGAUGAAGAUUGAUUAUUGCUUAAGAAUGAACAAGUACUUUCAUAUUAAGUAAGACAUUGAAUCAAGCAAUCUCUAUACCAAAACUAAGGUUUGUCCAUAAAAAUUCAAGAUUAUAACAUUACCUAAAUGAUUUCUAAAAUUUCUUUGCAAUAAUAAACAUUCAUGAAGAAAAUGAAAAGAUAGACAUUAAGAUUCAUUCAUAUCUUAAAGAACUCACCUCAACCACCAUCAUCCUUGAUUUGGAUCCAAGAAGGAGAUUAGCCAACCAUGAUUAUAUGUAAUAACAUUUUAAUAAAUAUGAAAUAACUUAAAUCAAACUGAAAUAAUAAGUUUUACAAUCUAAAGAACCGAAAUCUAUAAAGAAGAACACAACACAAUUGCAGUAAAAAUUCGGACACAAAUCUGACUCUAACUUUGGACAGCAAUUCGACCCUCUUAGAAGCCUCCUUUGGAGAUGGCUAUUAGCAAUAUAUUUAUAGGCCAUUCGGUUAGCUUUCCAGAUCAUUAAAUAACAGCUCAUUUGGACAUCGGAGUCAAAAGUUAUGGGUAAAACACCGAAAGGUAUUCUGGAAAAUCAAAUCAGGCCAGCUUGGAGAACACUUUGGUGCACGUUUUUCUUCCUCCUUUGUGAGCUGUCUCUUUCUUCUUUUUUACCCAAAAUAAUGUGACAAUGUCCCCUCCAGCUUUCCAUCCAUGUGCUUGCCCUCUUGGAUCAAUGAAUUACCCAAAAUAAAUCAAAUGUUAUUUGUUGUGUGAACAUGUAAGAUCAUUGAUUGUGCUUGGGCUGAUUUGGGGCUGAUUUUGGGGCUGAAUUUAAGCAUCAAAUAAGGGUACAAAUGUACCUAUUAUUUGGGCUAAGAUUGACAUUGAAACCUUGAGUGUUUGAUGGUUGAAGUUUGCACACAACAUAAGGCAAGUUUGGGCUUGAAAUAGAUCAUAUGAUAUUCUUUUCUAGAAUUGGAAUAGAAUUGAUUUUUGGGGCAAAUUUGGAGCACUUAUUUGAACCAAGAUUUGCUUCAAUCUUCAACUAAAUUUCUCUUCAAUUCUUUGUUCCGAAUUCCGACGUUGAAUUUUCUGAAAUAAUUCAUUUAAGCUCCAAAAACCUAUCGAAACAUUAAAAGAAACUUCAUUACUAAAAAGCACAUCAAUUACUAUAAAAAACCCAAAUAAAAACAAUAAAUACAUAUGUAAAAUAAGAGACUUAAUGAUACUUUUGAUGCACAACCAGUGGACUUACUUAAAGGACAAAAUGUCAAACUGGAUCAAACCAUAGCCAACCAAGGUGCUCAGAUUAGAGACAUGCAGGGUAUUAUGGGCACCAUGGCACAACAACUAGAAUUGGCUUUGCAUAAGCUUUCUCCCCACACUGGCAGCCCAAGUCAAGGCAGAGACAAGCAAGUAUCAGGCAUGGAAGGUUAUGAGUCAAGGCAUAGGAGCUCGCAGGAGGAGAGAAUUCCUGCAUACAAAAUACAUAAACCAAAACAUUUCUUCCCAAUUUUCAAUGGUGAAGAUGUUCAUCGCUGGCUUUACAAAUGUGCUCAGUAUUUUGAGAUUGAAGAAAUUGCCAACACUGACAAGUUGAGAAUAGCAUCUUAUUAUCUUGAAGGUGUUGCAUUGUAUUGGCACCAGAACUUUUUAAGGAGUAUAGCCAACCAAGGAGUCACCUGGGAAGAGUAUGUGGAGGCUAUUGGCUGCAGAUUUGGAUGGCAACAAGAUCCCUUGGAGACACUAAUGGAGCUAAAACAACUAGGAAAUCUGGAAGAAUACAUCUAGGAUUUCGAUAUUUUGUGGAACAAGGCAGGAAUCAAUGAGAAGCAAGCACUGGUCAUUUUUCUUGGAGGUCUGGAGUUGGAGAUCAAAAACACGGUAAAAACGUUUGAACCCAAGACUCUUAAGCAUGCGUAUAAUUUAUCCAGGCUACAAGCUAACACAUUAUCCUACAAGAAACUGUCUCCUCUUCCUAAACAUUACACCCCACCUUUCAAUACCACACAGCCACAGAUCCAUCUUCCUACAAACACACAGAACCCCACGACCAUGCAAAAUACCAUAAAACCAAGUCCAGCUCCCUGGCACAAUAAUCCUUCAAAUACCAUUCACAGGAACAAUGUUAAACCAACCAAAUCUAUAAAGAACCAAGACUUUGAAGAGAGGAGGUUAAAGGGGUUAUGCUUCUGGUGUGAUGAUAAGUUCGUUCCUGGCCAUAGAUGCAGAAAUAAAAGGUUGUAUCCAUUAAGUGUUAUGGAGGAAGAAGAUGAAGUCAUUACAGAAGAAAAGCUGACAGACAAUGACGCCCUAACAUGGGAGCUUUCACCCCACAUAUCCUUGGAUGCAUUAGAAGGUACGGUGGGGCUCAACACGAUGAAGGUCUCUGGUAGAUUGGAUAGAACUACGGUUAGUAUUCUAAUUGACUUAGGAAGUACUCACAACUUCCUCAAUGCUGAAAUGGCUCUGAAACUCCAGCUCAAAUUAAUUGCCAUUAAACCAAUGAUGGUGCAAGCAGCUAAUGGUGACAAGAUGAUUUGUAAAUCCUUGUGCAAAAACUUGAAUUGGAAGAUGCAGGGAAUAAGCUUUGUGGCUGAUGUGUUCAUCAUAGACCUAAGUAAUUGUGAGAUGGUGUUAGGUAUCCAAUGGCUAUCCUUAUUGGGUGAUAUACUAUGCAACUACAAGCAUUUAUGGAUGUCCUUCGAUUGGCAAGGCAAAAGGGUGUUACUUAAAGGGGAAAACCCACCAAAGCUGCAAUAUAUAGAACUGGAGCAUCUAAAUUCAUUAGCAGGCAACCAUGACCAGCUAGAGGGGUAUCAUUUAUGUAACUUGCAAAUGGUAGAUGAGGUAGAGGCAGGAACUACUCCAGAGUCCACUACUAUCACUAUUCCUUCAACAGAUAAUCAAGACAUCCACCUGCAAAACCUGUUAGCAGCAUAUAUUGACUUGUUUCAGGAACCCACAGGCCUGCCUCCUCUUAGAUCCCACGAUCACAGGAUUCCUCUAAAGGAAGGAGGAGACUCAGUUAAUCUAAGACCUUACAGGUACUCUGGCCUUCAAAAAGAUACAUUGGAGGACAUGAUAAAAGAAAUGCCGAGGAUAAAAAUCAUAAGGACCAGCAACAGCCCGUUUGCCUCGCCAGUAAUCCUUGUUAAGAAAAAAGACUCCACAUGGCGUCUCUGUGUUGAUUACAGAGCCUUGAAUAAACUCACCAUCAAGGAUAAGUAUCUUAUUCCCAUGAUUGACGAACUUUUGAAAGAAUUAGUGGGAGCUUCUGUGUUUUCCAAUAUAGACUUGAGUUCAGGCUACCAUCAGAUCCGCAUGGCGAGAGGAGAAGAGUUCAAAACAGCUUUCAGAACUCACAGCGGCCACUACGAAUUCUUGGUAAUGCCAUUCGGCUUAACCAAUGCUCUGGCCACCUUCCAGAGUUUAAUGAAUGAGAUUUUCAGGGAGCAUCUGAGGAAAUUCAUUCUAGUAUUCUUUGACGACAUUCUCGUCUACAACCAUACACUCACAGAACAUUAUGAGCAUCUAGCUACGGUUCUCAACUUAUUAAGAGAACAUCAUCUGGUGGCUAAAGCCAGCAACUGCUUCUUCGGCAGGGACCAGGUGGAGUAUUUAGGACACAUCAUUUCUAAGCAAGGUGUGGCGACAGAUCCCUACAAAAUACAAGCCAUUCGGGAAUGGCCACUGCCUAUAGGAUUAAAACAACUAUGAGGGUUUUUGGGAUUGACUGGUUACUAUAGAAGAUUUGUAAGGGGUUAUGGCAGCAUUUGUAAACCACUCACUCAAUUACUCAAAAAAGAGGCCAAGGGAUGGAAUGAUGCGGCCACCACAACUUUCAAUCAGUUGAAAAUGAUUAUGACUAGUGCUCCAGUAUUAGCUCUGCCAGAUUUCAACAAAACAUUUAUCGUUGAGACAGAUGCAUCCAUGAUUGGUAUGGGAGCAGUCCUCAUGCAAGAGGGACACCCCAUUGCGUUCAUUAGCAAAUCAUUGGGUCCUAAACAACAGGUAAUGUCAGUAUACGAGAGGGAAAUGCUGGCUAUUCUCCAUGCAGUCACCAAAUGGAAGCAUUAUCUCUGGGGGCGCCAUUUUAUCAUCCGAACAGACCACAUAAGUCUGAAAUAUCUUCUACAGCAGAAGUUGACUACCCCUGCACAACAUUUCUGGUUGGUGAAAUUGCUGGGGUAUGACUACGAUAUAGAGUACAAACAAGGUCGCGAAAAUGUUCCCGCAGAUGCCCUUUCCAGAAUUCCAAACAAAGAGGUUUAUGCUCUAACCACUUCUACCAUCUCUACUGACCUCCUGGCAGAAAUCAAGAAUUCUUAUGAAGGUGAUGUUACAGUUCAAGGAAUUAUUAAACGGUUACAAGAGUCUACAAACACCCACCCACACUACACUUGGGUGAAUGAUCACCUUAACAGAAAAGGAAAGGUGGUGGUAGGGAAGAAUCUUGUACUACGGGACAAGCUCAUCUCCAUGUUUCAUAAUUCAGCUGUUGGAGGACACUCAGACAUGACAGUAACAACAAAAACCAUUGGGGGUUUAUUUUAUUGGAAGGGUCAGCAGAAACACAUCAGGCAAUUCGUUAGGGAAUGCAAUGUGUGCCAGAGGAAUAAACAUGAAAACACAGCCAGUCCUAGACUCCUUCAACCAUUACCCAUUCCUUCUGCUCCCUUCAUCGACAUCAACAUGGAUUUCAUGGAAGGACCGCCCAAAUAUGAAGGGAAGGAGGUGAUAUUGUUGGUGGUGGAUCGUUUCAGCAAAUACGCACAUUGCAUGGCCCUCAGUCAUCCUUACUCUGCCUCAGGGGUGGCCAAGACCUUUAUGCACAAUGUCUAUAAACUACAUGGGUUACCAGCCUCGAUAACAAGUGACAGAGAUCUGGUCUUUUUUAGCAGGUUUUGGAAAGAAUUAUUCACCAGUCAAGGGGUCAACCUCAACUAUUCCUCAGCUUACCACCCGCAAACAGACGACCAAACCGAAAUUGUUAACAAAUGCAUCGAACAGUACUUACGCUGCAUGAUUGGUGAUUGCCCGAACCAGUGGGUCAAAUGGCUACCUUUAGCUGAAUGGUGGUACAAUACUAACUACCACUCAGCCACCAAGAUGACACCUUACCAAGUUUUAUAUGGAGUUGCCCCACCCCUACACAUUCCCUAUUUUCCUAAAAAUUCAGCUGUGGAAUCAGUCGACGAGUACUUAUCAGCUAAAGAAGAAGUCAUCAAGAGGGUCAGGGAACAUCUCCAAGCAGCACAGAACAGGAUGACUAUAGUGGCUAACAGAAAAAGGAGUGAUCAUAGUUUUGAGAUCAAUGACUAUGUCUUCCUCAAACUCCAACCAUACAGGCAACAUUCAUUGGCACGCAGGUCCUCACAGAAGUUAGCUGCAAAAUAUUAUGGGCCUUAUCAGGUCUUGGCCAAGAUAGGGAAGGUGGCUUACAAGCUGGAAUUGCCAGCUUCAACACUUAUUCAUCCAGUGUUCCACGUUUCUCAGCUUAAAAAACAUAUUGGAAAUCACACCGCACAAGGCACUCCUCCGAUGAGACCAAAAACAACUACACUACAGCCUCGAACAGUGUUAGACCGACGAAUGGUUAAACGUCACCACCAAGCACACACUCAAGUAUUGAUACUCUGGGAAGGACUAGCUCCUACUGAGGCUACUUGGGAAGACAUGGAGGAAUUUAAGUUGCACUUUCCAUUAUUCAACCUUGAGGACAAGAUUGGUUUCAAGGGAAGGCAAUUGUUACCUGCAGAAGAAGAAAUGGAAUAAUAGGAACUAAUGCAGGCCACGCAUUCAAAAGUUAGUUAUAGAAUCCAUACGCACCGUUUCAUUUAAGUAACCAUACGCACCGUUUCAAUUCCAUAAAAUGUUGCAUGACAGUUAACACACAGCCUCCGUGCUGAAGGUUUUCGUAACCAAUUAGAAUUGCAAUAUUCUAUAUAAAGGCAUAUGCAUGAUAACAGAAGGGAACAAGAAUUAUAAUGAAAGAAUGAAUUCCUUAUUAUCAGGAAACGACUAUCAGGGUGUUGUUGGUGUGGUAUCAACGGCCUCUCAUAAAUCCUCCCCACUAAAGCCCCUACUACAGCAUUAACCAUCACUGGAGACCAUCCAAUUCGGGUCCAUCAUUUCUUCACUUGUAACAACUGGUAUCAGAGCUUGCAAUCCACGGACUACCACCAUGCCACCAAGCCCCACAGCAGCAAGCGAUCUCCUUCACUGCCAACCAGCCAGCUCGUCGAGACCCGACACUCUCUUUCAACCAGCCUCUAGCGGCAAAAAUAACACAGUAGCGCCGCACCCACAGACCAGCUGCCUCUUGGCCUUUCCACCAGCCACCUGAAACAGGUCCAACAGCGACGCCCCCUUCUCGGUUGUUCCUCCUCACCACCAGCCACCUAAAGUGGAGGAGAAGAAGAAGCCCUCCCAUCGGCAGAAGGAAAACCAACAGAGAGGGAGAAGGCGGAGGAACUGGAUAGAUCUAAAAAAAAAAAGGACUGCUUGUGCGUUUUCUUUUGUUGCAGGUCAUGGUGAAAGCCACCACGGGCAGGGAAGAGAAGAGAAGAGAGGAGGAAACCAUUUAAGAGCCCCCUGUUUGUUGGACUUUUGUGCGGUGGCGAGUGAACCCACGCGCCGCCAGUGGCGGGGCGCGUGGAGGAGACGCGCCGCCACUGUUCCACAAUCAUAGAAGAUGGCCAGAAUUCUCCAGCACUGUUCCCGAAGUUUUUUUUUUUUUGUAAUUUUCAAAUGUUGCUGUUAUAUUUAGAUUAAUGGUAUUUGAUUUAUUUUGAACUUUUGAUAUUUUGUAAUAUGUAAAAGUGAUGUGUGAGUUAAGCAUAGUAAAAAAGUGAUAUUAGUGUGUCUGUUUGUUUUUUUAUUUAUGUUAUUGAAUUAUAAAAUAAAAAAAAUUAAGUGUUUAAUUUGAAUAUGGUUAAAUAUCUUAAGGAUUAAUAAAAUCAUGAUAUAUUCUCCAUGAAAAUGUAAGAACAUGUUUCUAUAUAUAUUCUGGGAUUUAAUAACUAAUUUAUUAAAACUUUAGAAUUUGAUUAAUAUUUCAAAUUUUCAAAUCACAUUAAAUCAUGAAGCAGCUUACCUCAGGUAGGGUGCGCUAGGGAUGCUAAUACCUUCCCUAACCACAACCAGUCCCUUACUCUCGAAUCUCUGACAACGACCAGUAAAUCCGGGUUUUCUAGUAACCCAAUUAAAUACUAGGUGAUAACUCCCAAAGAACCAAUCAAGCAAGAAAAAUAAAAAAUCGCCGAAUCGCCACGCGGGGGACGUGCGACAAGAAUCUUGCUGCCCCAUUACCAUUUUUGCAAAAUCUUGUUCAUCUGAAGUUGUUUCUUGUCGCAAAACUGUCAUUUAUCUUCACACCGUCCCUCGCUCAAAGUCUACCACAACUAGAAACACUAGAGGUAAGUUGUUGCGAUGAAUUGAAGUAUAUUGUCAGAAAACAAGAUGAUGAAAGGGCAAUAAUUCCAGAGUUUCUAAGCUUCCAAAAAUUAAGAACUCUAUUUAUAUAUGACUCUGAUAAACUGGAAUAUGUCUUCCCUGGCUCUCUGUCUCCAAGUCUUGUGAACCUGAAACAGAUGACAAUUAGAUACUGUGGUAAAUUUGAAUAUGUCUUCCCUGUCUCUGUGGCUCCAAGUCUUCUGAACCUGGAAUAAAUGACUAUAUUUGCUGACAAUUUAAAGCAAAUAUUUUAUAGCGGGGAAGAAGAUGCACCACCCAGAGAUGACAUCGUCAAGUUGCCUCGACUAAGAGAAAUGGAUCUUUCAUCUAAAUCAAAUUACAGCUUUUUUGGUCCAAAGAAUCUUGCUGCCUAAUUACCUUUUCUGCAAAAUCUAAGCAUCCAUGGCCACGAAGAAUUGGGUAAUUUGUUUGCACGGCUUCAAGUACGUCCUUUAUAUUUCUCCGCUAAUUAUUUUCCUUUUUAAGUUAAAUUCUAAACUUCAUUUAAUAUAAAUAAAGUGUUGAUUUAGUCUUGUAGUCAUUAUCUCAAAGCUUUUCUUAGUUUAUUAUAAAUUAUCACAUGGAUAAAUUACAAUUAAUGUAUGCGAGACAAUAACAAAUAACACAAGAAUUAGUAGAAACACACUCACCUUAUAGUAGAGACAAGAGAAUGAUUAUGAAUGGAAGGUUCAUGCACGAUCACUUGGUCGACACACACACACUUGAUAACACCUUUGAUCUAUCGAUCGAUUCCGACCACAAAUAUAAUUUAUCUAAGGAGUUAUGUAUGUGAUGUUACUUUAGUUAUGGUCUCUCAAGGGGAAAUUAACGAAAAGAAUUGAAAAGGAGAAAAUAAUUAGUUGAAUGAAGGAAGCUCUCUGCCACUUCCCUAUAUCACACUUGUAAACCCAGGAAAAAAUAAAUAAAUAACAAAAAUUCAAAAAAUUUUGAAUAUAAAUUUUCGGGUGAAAUAGUUUGAAACAUUAUAAUAAACUCAGUACUGUUGAGGGUUGGAUUUAAUUGAAGAAAAUAAUACACUUAAAGGAAAAGGGGGGCCUAAAUGCAAAUAAGAGAAAAUAUAGAGUAUAAAUACUCUCUCCUCACCAAAAAUAUGUAGGAACCCUAAGGAGAGAAGAUAGGGAGUUUUAUACCCAUUCUUGAGAAAUCAAGAGAGAAACAUUAAAAUUUCAAGAACCCAUCCAAGAUUAAGAGCUUAUAGAUGGGAUAAAAACUUGAGAGCAAAGGAUUACCAAGAAAUUGAACAAGAAGAAAAGAAAGGAGGGAGUUGAAAAUCUUCAACUAGUUGAAGAUCAAAAUCUUAAUUUGUACCGGGUAAGGUAUUCUAAACAUGAUCUUAAAAAAAUUCAUUUUUAAAUUCGAUAAAGAAUUGAUGCCUUGAUAUUGAAUCAUAGGUUAGGGUUCUUAGACAUAAAUUGGGGAAAAGUACUUAUUGUUGAGAUUAAGUUAAUUCAUGUGUGUGGUAUGUAGUUUAUGAAAGUAUUGAGUGAAGGGGAGGGGAGACAAAUCUGGACAGACUUGUCUCCUGACUUUCUGUGAGAUUUCAGGUAGGAGGAUGAGGGAAUUAGGAUCGGGUUCCUCAUAGGAAUUGUAGAUUUGAAUGUUAGCUAACCAAGGAAACUGGUCUUGCUCAAUUUGGAGAUGUAGAACUCCAAUUAUGGGUUACCAGCUGAGACUGAGUCGUGACUGAUUAUGUAGGGCAGUAGGACUAAUUAGUUAAUGAGCAAUUUUGACUAUUUUGGAGGCAAAACUGGGUUCUUCUCCCUCAGAGAACUUGUAGCCUUGUGUCUUAGCUUUCUAACGAGAUCAAUCUCACUUAAAAUGGAGUUUUAGAACUUUAGAUAUAGUUAAAAAUCUGAUGAGUGUUCAGACAAUAACAGUUGAAAAUUGGACAAUAACAGUUCAAAGUUGGACAGUAACAGUUGAAAAUUGGACAGUAACAGUUGAAAAUUGCACAGUAACGGUUCAAAGUUGGACAGUAACAGUUGAAAUUUGGACAGUAACAAUUGAAAAUUAGACAGUAACAGUUCAAUGUCUAGACAGUAACGGUAGGCUUUCACGUGAAUACUAUAUAUACAAGAAUAUAAAAGAAUUGAGUCAUACGAACACUUGCACAUUGAGAUACUAACUCUGAAAAUAUACAUGAUAUAUGUAUGUAUGUUAUUAUGAGAAAAUGAACAUGUAUAUAAAGUAACAUAUGAGUAAUGGAUGAAUAUGGAUUCUCUAUAAUGUCGGCUUGAAGGAAUCAUAACCAAAAACUUCCUUAUGAUUCAGGAGGAGCAACCAAGAUUGGAUCUUCUGUUAGGGGAGGUCGCGAGACAGGCGAAGUAGGUGCGUGAUUCUCCUCCUAUUUGCACUUAUACAAUUUAGAAUUCUUAUGGUGAAUGCAAUUACAAUAAAUGUCGUGUUCAAUGUAAAUAAAAAUCUAGCGUAAAUACAAGAUUAGCUUCGGCAAAUGGCAUCCGUGAUAGGAUUGCUGGGAUAUGAAUUACAAGAUUAGCUGCGGCUAAUGGCAUCCAUGAUAGGAUUGCCGGGAGAUGAAUUACAAGAUUAGCUUCGGCUAAUGGCAUCCGUGAUAGGAUUUCCAGGAUAUGAAUUACAAGAUUAGCUUCGGCUAAUGACAUCCGUGAUAGGAUUGCCGGGAGAUGAUUUACAAGAUUAGCUUCGGCUAAUGACAUCCGUGAUAGGAUUGUUGGGAUAUGAAUUACAAGAUUAGAUUUGGCAAGGUCACCCAGUUCAUGCAAGUAAAUAAGAAUAUUCAAAUCAUGGAUAUACAAAUGAGUGUGAAUUAGGUUUAAAAGACUUACAAGCAAAUUAUAAGUUCUUUGUUAGAAUUCUUAUGGGUCCGAUAGAAAGUUAAUACUUCAUUCGUAUUCAUUACAUGAGCAUAUAUAUUCUUUAUCAACAUAAUGAUAUGUUUAAUUAUGUAACAGGUCCAUCAAAUAUCCAGGAAGAUCAUUAGUUUAGGACUCUACUUUGCGAAGCUUAUGUAAAUAUUUAACUUAAACAAAAGGGAAUUAACGUGUUUAUGUAGUAUAUUUUUGUGUAAACCUUGAUGUAUUUAUAAAAGUUCAAUUUUGCAUGUGGUAUUUUAGUUAUCUUGUAAUUAACCCUUUUAAAAUAUUUAAGAACACUUAUUAUGUUGUAAAUACUUUCUUUGCAUGUUAGUAUUCUUUUCCUUUCAAAUUUUACGAUAUGAUGUUUGGACUAUGUUCAUAUUGAACUUACUCAUAGGAUAUAUAUAUAUAUAUAUAUAUUGUGUGGAUUGUAUGAGGUUUGAUAUAAGGUCCGGAAUUAUGGGACCUUAUGAUGAUGGGUUGAUUGAGUAAAUUGAUAGUAGUCGAUAACUUGGGAUAUCCUAAAUACAAACAAAACUCUGCUGAAUUUUUGGAAAAAAAAAUUUACCCUCAGAUAAAGAGGAUAUGUUAGGAUCUUUUAACAUUGAUCGAGUCUUACAGUUCAGACCGUUACAGUUGGUAUCAGAGCCCUGGUAUAGGUUAUGGGAAGAAAUCAAAAGAGGUUGUUGAUGUUCAUUAAUUUAUUGCAGGAUGGUACAUACCUGUCAAGAGAUUAGAACAGAUCUAUCCUCUGCAGGGAGGGGGAAUAGAGAUAUAGACUCUUCCAAAGGGCAAGAAGAGAGCCCUUUGGAAGAUACUGCUUCACAUGCACUGGUAGUAUCGACUCAAGUAGGGCAUGAAGAAUCGACGGGGCCUUAAAUUAGACAGGCACCAAGGCAAACUGGGGAUGUUCAGUUGACCAUGUUAGCUCCACGGGGACGAGUAGAGGAGCCCCCUCAGACUACACCUGCAGGGCCAUCUGUUUCUUAUGUUGAUCCGAUGCUCCUGGCCCAGCUAGUCAAAGCAGUAAUGGAAGGUAUGGCUAAUGCUGCCACUCCUAUGCCAGCACCCCCAUUUGCACCCAUCAUACCAACCGUUUCAGAAGCAACUACAACUACUAAUGACGUGGUACAACUAGUUCGUUUAGUGAAAAGUAUGAGAGAAAUGGGUUGUGAACCCUACUCUAGUGAACAGAAUGCUGAAGUGGUGGGAAGGUGGAUUAGAAAGGUGGAGAAAACCAUGAUUCAAAUUAAGAUACCAUAUGAUCUGCGGGUAGACUAUGCUACUUAAUUACUAUCAGACGGUGCUAUGACUUGGUGGGAGACAGUUCAGUUGAGGAGGGCUACAGAAACCCUAUCCUAGGAUGAUUUCAAGAUAGAGUUUGAGAAUCAAUAUUACUCCAAAUAUCAUCGGAGGAUGAAGGAACAGGAAUUCCUAGCCUUGAGACAGGAGGGAAUGUCAGCACUUGAGUAUGAGAGACAAUUUCAUGACCUCUCACUAUUCGCACUACAUUAUAUCCCGUCAGAACAACACAUGAUAGAAAAGUUAAGGGAUGGCUUCAGACAAGAAUUGAAGCAGGGGUUGAUUGCUUUGCGAUUCAGGACAGUAAGGGAACUGAUUGAAGCAGCACAGGCCUUGGAGGCGUGUAUGGUGACACGAUCAAAGAGUUGAUGUCUUAUCCCAAGUGCAGGAGUAUCAAAGUAAUAAAUAACCCGGCAAGACCGGAGUCGAACCACAGGGAGGUCAACUAUAUAAAUUACAAAUAAAGAGAAAGAUUUGAAGAGAAUAAUAACAGAAAAGAAGUUGAAGAGAGUUUUGGGAUAUGAUAUUGAUAUAAGGAUUAAACAAUAAUAAAACAGUUGUCAAGGUUAGAGGAUCCACUAAUGGUAUUUCAAAUAAAUAUAAUAUAAACUCUUUUUAUUACUCAAUUGGAAACCACACACAAAGGAGGUUCCAAUCGGAUGAUUUAUCGUUAUUAACUCAUUAUAAAUUAUUAACAUGAUCAUAUUAAUCAUCUUAUCUAAGUAACACCAUACUUAUAAAUAUCAUCAGGCAUUUAUGUUGCUAGCUUAUGUUAACAACAAAUCAAGUUCCUAUCAUAACAACGAUGUCAGCCGAAAACUAUGAAGGAUCAAACAUUUGAUGUACCAAGUGUUAUACAACAGAAAUCUAGAUUAACCAUUUAAAAAGCAAGGUAUUAAGAAUUAGUAAGAUAAAAAGAUAAAACAUGUUAAUAACAAUCUUUCUUGAAUAUAAACAUUAAAGUCCAUGUUGAGUUUAUAUUAUACCUAUUCUAACACCACUAGUGAAACAUUUUUACCUUGACAUAAUUAACUUAGCUAAACAUAAUGAAGAAGAAAAACAUAAAUAAACAAUAUAAGAACAUAAAUAUGAUAUAAGUUAACUAAGUAUAGGAAAGGAAAUGAAAAAGCAUAAACAAGAGAUUAAUAUAGCAUGAAAGAAAACUUGAACAUUACAAAAAGAGAAAGCAAGAAGAUGAUUUUGAUCUGAAAAAUAAUAUGACUAAAUACAUGGCAAAUGCCUCCUUUUAUAAGCUAAGAUUCAGAACUAUUGAUUGGUUGACUAAGAAAAUAGUUGGUGGCCAACCAUUGAUUUGGUGGCUGGUUUUUGACAUUGUUGGCUGAUUUUUGAUAUUGUUGGCUGGCCAAAACGUCAUUUCUAACAUCAUAAUUUGAGCCCUUUGUUUCAUGAAAGCUGUGGGCAAUUAUCUUAGCUUUCCAACAAAAAAAACCAGAGCUCAUUUGGACUUCUAGAACUCAAGAUAUGAGCUGAAAACCGAACAGUGUCUGAGCUGCAGGACAGGUUCCGACUUCUCCGUUGUUGCUAAACUUUGAACUUGAAAACGGCAGAAUUGAGUCUUGGACUCUGCAUGAAAGUUUUAGGUCUAUGUCUUAGAUUUCCAUCCAUAUAAAGUAGACCUAAAUCCGAGUUCUACAACUCCAGUUAUGAUCCAAUAACCGAAUGGUGUUUCAGUUUGGAAUUGAACUAUCAUCUCUUCUCUUAGCCUAGUCCUCUUUUUGUCUCUUCACUUUCAAUAGUUAAUCACAUCAAUCAAUCCUUUGAAUUGUGAGAUAUACCUGCAUUCAAAAUAAGCAUUUAUCAUAAAUUAAAGAUAUACUAUAUUAUCAGACUUGUUAUUAUAAAACAUGCUUUAGUUAAGGAAUUUAAUGAUACUUUAGUGCAAUAUGAUGAUAUAAAGCAUUAAUAAAAAUGCACUUUGAAUUACUAAUCAUAUGGAAGAAUGCCAACAGAGUCAUGGGGGUGCAGGAAAACGAAAGGAUAUGGAAUUUUUAGGCAGGCCACCGCUUCCAAAGAAAGGUAGAGGCGAACAGUUCCUUCAAUUCAAAAAGAAAAGAGGGACGUCAACUAGCUUCCGACAGGAUAUCGGUGGGAAGUCGGGAAGUGGUCAGACCCGCUCCAGGGCUAUAGCUGCAAGGGGGCAUAACAAUCAGAAGGAAAUUGUCUACCCUCGAUGUGCUUAGUGUGAACAAAGACACCCCGGGAGUUGUAUGGUUUCUCCUGGACAAUGCUAUAUAUGUCGAGGAGAAGGUCAUAAGUGGAAACCCUGUUAAUACUUGGGAAGAGGAUGUCAUCAUUGUGGUGAGAAAGGUUACUUUAAAAGGGAAUGCCCCAAGUUAAACACUAAACAGCCUUAGAGACAUGGGGAGCAAAGUCAGAGUCAUCAGCAAUCCAUCAUAGUAAACAGACCGGGAAGGUCGACUCAGUCAGGAGCUAACUCAAAUAGGGGACGACCCAGAGUACAAAAUGAAAAGGGAUCAAGGAAGGGUUUUCCAUAUGACCCAGGAGGAUGUCAGAGCAGCAUCAGAUAUGGUGGCAGGUAUGCUGCAAAUGAAUGACUAUCAAAUACAUGUUUUGUUUGAUUCUGGUGCCACUCACUCUUUCAUAGCAAAUAAAAAUGUAACCAAAUUGAGUAAGGAAACGAAAAGGGUAGAGAAAGGAUUUAUUAUUGGGACACCUUUGGGUGAAAUUGUGAAAACAAAUAUUGUAUUUGAAGGGGUGGGAAUUAACAUUAAUGGGUGUGAACUAAAAGCAGAUUUAAUACCCCUAGAAUUAAGUGAUUUUGAUAUAAUUCUAGGUAUGAAUUGGUUGGGCAAAAAUAAGGCUCGUCUAGAUUGCUUUACAAAAACAGUAACCUUUCAAGGGGCUAAGGGUGAAACAAUAGUCUUUAAGGGGGAGAGAAUUUACAACUUUACAAAUAUGAUCUCGGGUAUGGUUGCGAGAAAACUACUAAAGAAAGGUUGUACAACAUACCUUGCCUAUGUGAUAAAUUCGGAAAAGGGUAAAAUAAGAUUGUCUGACAUUCCAAUUGUGAGGGAAUUUCCGGACGUAUUUCCGGAAGAAUUGCUAGGACUACCCCCAGAAAGAGAAGUUGAAGUCACCAUAGAUAUAUUUCCUGGAGUGUCUCCUAUAGCCCAACCACCGUAUAGAAUGGCCCCAAAAGAAUUGGAUGAGUUGAAAAUUCAAUUGCAGGAGCUUUUAGACAAAGGGUUCAUACAACCAAGCAACUCGCCUUGGGGGCACCUGUAUUAUUUGUGAAGAAGAAAGAAGGAACGUUGCGGCUUUGCAUAGAUUACCGUCAGCUGAAUAAAGUGACGGUAAAGAAUAGAUAUCCACUUCCACGGAUAGAUGAUUUGUUCGAUAAGUUAAAGGGUGCCAAAGUAUUCUCAAAUAUUGAUUUAAGAUCAGGAUACUACCAAAUGUGAAUCAAAGGGCAAGAUGUGCCGAAAACUGCCUUCAGAACUCGCUACGAACACUUUGAGUUCUUGGUGCUACCCUUUGGAUUAACUAAUGCUCCAACACUUUUUAUGUAUUUAAUGAACCAAGUAUUCCAACCAUACCUUGAUAAGUUUGUUGUCGUAUUCAUCGAUGACAUCUUGGUUUACUCCAAAUCCUAUGAGGAGCAUGAACAGCACCUGAGACAGAUACUAUAGACUCUGAGGAGCCAUCAGUUGUAUGCCAAGUUGGAUAAAUGUGACUUCUGGUUAAAAGAAGUUACCUUUUUGGGGCAUGUAGUGUCUUCAAAAGGCAUUUUUGUGGACCCUCAGAAGGUGGAAGCAUUUUUGAGAUAGGAAAGGCCUACUACGGUAACUGAAAUUUGUAGUUUUCUCAGAUUGGCAGGGUAUUAUAGAAGAUGUAUCGAAAGGUUUUCAACGAUAGCAACUCCAUUGACACGACUCACCAGGAAGAAAAUAAGAUGGGAAUGGUCAAAGGAGUGCGAUGAGAGCUUUCAAGAAUUGAAGAGAAGGCUUACUACUGCCCCCGUACUAAUCCUUCCAUCCGGAACAGAAGGCUUUGUAGUCUACAGUGAUUCCUUAAGAAAAGGACUGGGUUGUGUUCUAAUGCAUCAUGGAAAAGUAGUUGCCUAUGCAUCGAGACAACUGAAGACUCAUGAAGUCAACUACCCAGUUCAUGACUUAGAAUUGGCAGCAGUAGUUUUUGCUUUACGAGUAUGGAGGCACUACUUAUACAGAUCCCGGGUCCAAAUUUUCACCGAUCAUAAGAGCCUUAAAUAUCUGAUGUCAUAGAAGGACUUGAAUAUGCGACAACGGAGAUGGGUAGAAUUAAUUAAAGACUACGAUUGUGUUAUAGAUUAUCAUCUAGGAAAAGCGAAUGUAGUCGCGGAUGCUCUCAACCAUAAAGACAAGGUGAUUAGGGGUAGACCAGCGACUUGGAAUGAGGAAACCAUGAUUGACCUAAAGAGAUUGGGGGCAGUACUAGGUGUGAGCCCAGAAGGAUCCUUAAUGGCUCAACUAAGGGUGAAGUCAGGAUAUCGAGAGCAAAUAUUAGAGGCUCAACAACAUGAUGAUGAGGUGUCAAAAGUGAGAAUCAAACUGGAAUCGGCGGGUGAAACUCUUUUUUGAAUGGGUGAUGAUGGAAUAGUGAUGUUGGGGUGACGUAUGUAUGUACCUGACAGCAAAGCCCUUAAACAAAAGUUACUACGAGAAGCUCACGAGUCUAAGUUCACUGUACAUCCAGGUAGUACUAAGAUGUACCAGGAUAUGAAGCAGUACUACUGGUGGCCAAAUAUGAGAAAAGAAGUGGUUGGUUACAUGGCAAAGUGUAGUAUUUGCCAACAAGUAAAAAUAGAACACCGAAAACCGGCAGGGCUGUUACAACCAUUACCAAUCCCUGAGUGGAAGUGGGAGAUGAUCACAAUGGACUUUGUGUCGAGACUACCCAGAGGAAAGAGGGGAAAUGAUGCAAUCUGGGUCAUUGUGGAUCGACUAACAAAGUCUGCUCUUUUCCUACUAGUAAAGAUGACAGAUCCAGUUGACAAGUUGGCUAAGAUUUAUGUGAACGAAGUUGUAAGGCUUCAUGGAGUCCCAAUAUCAAUUGUUUCAGACCAAGACCUAAGAUUUACUUCAUGUCUCUGGCCGAGCAUACAACGUGUCUUGGGAACAAAUUUGAGUAUCAGUACUGCCUUUCAUCCGCAAACUGAUGGCCAAUCUGAGAGAAUUAUUCAGAUCUUAGAGGAUUUACUAAGGGCAUGUGCUUUGGAAUUUGGUGGAAACUGGGAGGAGCACCUAUCACCAAUAGAAUUCACGUAUAACAACAGUUAUCAGGCAACAAUUGGAAUGGCCCCAUUUGAAGCUCUUUAUGGUAGAAAGUGUAGGACACCCUUGUGUUGGGAAGAAGUUGGGGACAGAAAGCUGUAUGGGGCAGAAUUAGUACAAAUCACUACUGAAAAAGUGAGAAUUAUUAAGGAUUGAAUGAAGGUGGUUCAGGAUAGACAGAAGAAGUAUGCAGAUAUUCGAAGAAGACCACUUGAAUUUUUUCCUAGAGAUAAAGUAUUUCUGAAGGUAGCUCUAUGGAAGCACAUGCUGAGAUUCGGCAUGAAGGGGAAGUUAGCUCCGAGGUUCAUUGGACCAUUUGAAAUCUGAAAACAUAUCAAACCUGUAGCAUAUGAAAUAAACUUGCCCUCAUAGUUGGCCAAGGUUCACAAUGUAUUCCAUGUUUCUUUGCUGCAAAAAGCCGAUAUAGACCCUUUGAGAGUGUUACCCCAAGUGCCAGUGGAGAUAAAAGAAGACUUAACACUUGAGGUAAGACCGAUAAAGAUACUUGAAUGGGGCGAGAAAGAACUUCGUAAUAAGAAAGUUCCCAUCCUCAGAGUCUUAUGGCGAAGCUCACAAAACGAGGAAGAAACAUGGGAGAAAGAAUCAGAAGUGAGACGAAAAUUCCGCGACUUGUUAAUAAACUCAGGUACCUCACUCAAAUUUCAAGGAUGAAAUUUCUAUUAUGGGAGGAGAAUGUAAACCCCGGAAAAAAAUAAAUAAAUAAAUAACAGAAAUUCAAAAAAUUUUGAAUAUAAAUUUCCGGGUGAAAUAGUUGGAAACAUUAUAAUAAACCCGGUACUGUUGAGGGUUAGAUUUAAUUGAAGAGAAUAAUACACUUAAAGGAAAAGGGGGGCCUAAAUGCAAAUAAGGAAAAAUAUAGAGUAUAAAUACUCUCUCCUCACCAAAAAUCCGUAGGAACCCUAAGGAGAGAAGAUAGGGAGUUUUAUACCCAUUCUUGAGAAAUCAAGAGAGAAACACUAAAAUUUCAAGAACCCAUCCAAGAUUAAGAGCUUAUAGAUGGGAUAAAUACUUGAGAGCAAAGGAUUACCAAGAAAUUGAACAAGAAGAAAAGAAAGGAGGGAGUUGAAAAUCUUCAACUGGUUGAAAAUCAAUAUCUUAAUUUGUACCGGGUACGGUAUUCUAAACAUGAUCUUAAAGAAAUUCAUUUUUAAAUUCGAUAAAUAAUUGAUGCCUUGAUAUUGAAUCAUAGGUUAGGGUUCUUAGACAUAAAUUGGGGAAAUGUACUUAUUGUUGAGAUUAAGUUAAUUCGUGUGUGUGGUAUGUAGUUUAUGAAAGUAUUGUGUGAAGGGGAGGGGAGACAAAUCUGGACAGACUUGUCUCCUGACUUUCUGUGAGAUUUCAGGUAGGAGGAUGAGGGAAUUAGGAUCGGGUUCCUCAUAGGAAUUGUAGAUUUGAAUGUUAGCUAACCAAGGAAACUGGUCUUGCUCAAUUUGGAGAUGUAGAACUCCAAUUAUGGGUUACCAGCUGAGACUGAGUCGUGACUGAUUAUGUAGGGCAGUAGGACUAAUUAGUUAAUGAGCAAUUUUGACUAUUUUGGAGGCAAAACUGGGUUCUCCUCCCUCAGAGAACUUGUAGCCUUGUGUCUUAGCUUUCUAACGAGAUCAAUCUCACUUAAAAUGGAGUUUUAGAACUUUAGAUAUAGUUAAAAAUAUGAUGAGUGUUCAGACAAUAACAGUUCAAAGUUGGACAAUAACAGUUCAAAAUUGGACAGUAACAGUUGAAAAUUGCACAGUAACAAUUCAAAGUUGGAUAGUAACAGUUGAAAAUUAGAUUGUAACGGUUGGACAGUAAAAGUUCAAAGUUGGACAGUAACAGUUCAAAGUUGGACAGUAACUAUGAAACCCUAGAAAAUUUAUAAUUUAAAUAUGCGGAUGUAUAACCUCCCACGUAAACGUAAGACUGAAAGUGAUAUAUAAUGGAGGGGAUGACCUCCAUAAAAUGAAUUUUAUUUUAGAAUUCAUAAAAUAGAGAAACUGGUAACAUGUUUGAAUGGAUAAAAUAAUGAGAGAAAUAACAAAAUGUUUCUAAGAAAUAAGUGAGUAAUAAAGAAUACAUUAUAAUAAAGGAUAAUUCAAUGAAAAUGGCAGGACUGAAGGUGCAAGCAUCAAUUAAAAAUCAGUGACGUUACUUUGGAACGAUAAUAAUACCUGAUAAAUAAAUAAAGGUAGAAAUUUUAAAAUGAAUAUAUUCCAAAAUAAUAAAAUGACCUUAAAGGUUUAGAAGGAUGAUUGAUAUUAUUUUAUGUGAAGAUUGAACAAGAAAAUUUGGAUCAUUGACGAAAAGUUAUGAACUGACCAAUUUUACAUUAAAAAGCAGAGCUCUCAAUCCAAUCGUCGGAUCGGGAUGAAAUUUUGCAUGAAGUCUAUUAAUAUGUUUUCCUACCUUUGUGAAAGAUCUCAUCCCAAUGGAAGUUUGGUAAAGACUAGCGAUUUAAGCAGAAACAAACCGGAUGGGGUGAGAGACAAUAGAGAAUUCGGUUACAGAGAGGUGCAAGAUUUGGAGGAACCAAUAAUGCUUCGAUGGCCAUAUCUCUAGAAGCCACCGUUGGAUCAUGUUGAUUUUUGGAUAUAUUGUUCUUCUCACAAUCCUACACUAACUGACCGGAAGUUUCCUGGAAAACAUCAGGGAUUUGGAGGCACAUAAUCCGUUGAACAGAAAUCAUCAUCGAAAGUUUCCUGGAAAACAAAAGGAAAUAUACCUGCAGGGAAGUUUUGGUCACCGGCUGAUUUCUCUCUUUUCCACCGUUGGAUCAUGCCUAUUUUUGGAUAUGUGGUGCACCUCUAUGUUGCCUUCAUUCUGGACGGGGGAGAUCGCAAACUUACUCUCCGGCAGGUUUAGUUCAUGUUGAACAGUAGCUCGUCCAUUUUCAGGUUAGUUUGGUUUUAUUCAGAUCUAUGGAGAUCCAACCGUUGGAUCAUUCUAAUUUUGAGAUAUAAUGUACACAACACGAUGAUAUAUAUUAUGACCGUUGGGUUCAAGGAAAUAAUUAGAGGUGGAUGAGUUGUUGCUAUUUGAAUCUAUUGCUAGUCUUAGUAAAACAUUUAGGAAGCUUGAUUUAAUUACAUGUUUUGAUGAAAUUAGAAUUGUGUGGGUGUAGGGUUUAUGUAAGAUGUAAUGGUAAAAUAUGUUCUUGUUAUUAGUGUUGUUAUAGAUAAAUUGUGUUGUAAAAUGUGUUAGGGAAGUUUUGAAAUUUGGAUGAAGGGACAUUGAGUUUGUUGAUUUAAUGGAUAUAUGUUUUUAGGCAUUAAAAAAGGAUUGGGUCUAGUGGUAAUUGAAAGAAAACUUGAAGAAAAAUUUAUCCUCCAUUUAAUGCAAAGAUUCGGCCUAGACAUAUAAAUGAGAGGAUGUGCUUAAUUGUUUUAAUUGCUAUGGAAUUUGAGUUGAAUGAGGUUAGACUAGAUAUGAAAUAAAUGGGUAAAGGUUUAUCCGGAAUAAUUAAAAAGGGCCUCACCAUGAAGGAAGGCAUUCGGCCAAAUGAAGAAGAAAUAAAGGAGAUAAGACUUUGUUUCAUUUUCUAUGUAAAUUAGGUAUGGAUGCAUAUAUCUGGUAAAGAAGAUUAGUUAGGAAGUCAGAAGAAAGAAUAUUAAAAAGAACCAAAUUCUCAUCAUAAUAUGGAAUUCCGCCAAAAAUAGAAAUAUUGAUCUGAGCAAUUGACCAAUGACANNNNNNNNNNNNNNNNNNNNNNNNNNNNNNNNNNNNNNNNNNNNNNNNNNNNNNNNNNNNNNNNNNNNNNNNNNNNNNNNNNNNNNNNNNNNNNNNNNNNNNNNNNNNNNNNNNNNNNNNNNNNNNNNNNNNNNNNNNNNNNNNNNNNNNNNNNNNNNNNNNNNNNNNNNNNNNNNNNNNNNNNNNNNNNNNNNNNNNNNNNNNNNNNNNNNNNNNNNNNNNNNNNNNNNNNNNNNNNNNNNNNNNNNNNNNNNNNNNNNNNNNNNNNNNNNNNNNNNNNNNNNNNNNNNNNNNNNNNNNNNNNNNNNNNNNNNNNNNNNNNNNNNNNNNNNNNNNNNNNNNNNNNNNNNNNNNNNNNNNNNNNNNNNNNNNNNNNNNNNNNNNNNNNNNNNNNNNNNNNNNNNNNNNNNNNNNNNNNNNNNNNNNNNNNNNNNNNNNNNNNNNNNNNNNNNNNNNNNNNNNNNNNNNNNNNNNNNNNNNNNNNNNNNNNNNNNNNNNNNNNNNNNNNNNNNNNNNNNNNNNNNNNNNNNNNNNNNNNNNNNNNNNNNNNNNNNNNNNNNNNNNNNNNNNNNNNNNNNNNNNNNNNNNNNNNNNNNNNNNNNNNNNNNNNNNNNNNNNNNNNNNNNNNNNNNNNNNNNNNNNNNNNNNNNNNNNNNNNNNNNNNNNNNNNNNNNNNNNNNNNNNNNNNNNNNNNNNNNNNNNNNNNNNNNNNNNNNNNNNNNNNNNNNNNNNNNNNNNNNNNNNNNNNNNNNNNNNNNNNNNNNNNNNNNNNNNNNNNNNNNNNNNNNNNNNNNNNNNNNNNNNNNNNNNNNNNNNNNNNNNNNNNNNNNNNNNNNNNNNNNNNNNNNNNNNNNNNNNNNNNNNNNNNNNNNNNNNNNNNNNNNNNNNNNNNNNNNNNNNNNNNNNNNNNNNNNNNNNNNNNNNNNNNNNNNNNNNNNNNNNNNNNNNNNNNNNNNNNNNNNNNNNNNNNNNNNNNNNNNNNNNNNNNNNNNNNNNNNNNNNNNNNNNNNNNNNNNNNNNNNNNNNNNNNNNNNNNNNNNNNNNNNNNNNNNNNNNNNNNNNNNNNNNNNNNNNNNNNNNNNNNNNNNNNNNNNNNNNNNNNNNNNNNNNNNNNNNNNNNNNNNNNNNNNNNNNNNNNNNNNNNNNNNNNNNNNNNNNNNNNNNNNNNNNNNNNNNNNNNNNNNNNNNNNNNNNNNNNNNNNNNNNNNNNNNNNNNNUGGUACGUCAAACAAGUAUAGUAUAAACUCUUAUUAUUCAAUUGCCAAACCACACACAAAGAAGGUUCCAAUCAGAUUAUAAAUUGUUCACAUGAUUACAUUAGUUAUCUUAUUCGAAUAAUGCUAAUACUUGUAAAUGUUGUCAAGCAUUCAUGAUUAUAACUUAUGUUAACAACAAAUCAAGUUCCUUUCAUAGCUCAGGUGUCGGUUAUACCAUACAGUAUGGGCUAUGAAAGUCCCAAGUAUUUGUUGUACCAAGUGUUAUACAACAUAAAUCUAGAUUAGUCAUUCAACAAGCAAAGUAUUAAAAAUGAACAAGAUAACAAAUAUAAAACAUGUUAGUAUUCAACAUUAAAGUCCAUGUUAAGUUUAUAUUAUACUUAUCCUUACACCAUUAGUGUUACCCUUUCACCUUGACAUAAUAAACUUAGCUAAACAUAAUGAAAGAGAGAAACAUAAAUAAACAAGGAAAGGAAAUGAAAAGCAUAAGCAAGAGAUUAAUAUAAGCAAAACUUAAGCAUUACAAAGAGAGAAAGCAAGAUCAUGAUCUUGAUCUGAACACCAAGAUGCCUCAAUACAUGGUAAAUGCCUCCUUUUAUAGGCCAAAAUUUGGAACUAUUGAUUUGUUGACUAAUUGAUGAGUGGGUUGCCACAUCUUGACUUGAUGACAAUUCUUAUCUUUUUGUCUGCCAAAAACAUCAUUGAUAACGUCAUAAUUUGAACAGACUUAAAUCAUUAAAGUUCUAGUAAAUUGUCUCAGCUUUCCAGGAAAACAAAGAUGAGGUCAUUUGGACUUCUAGAACUCGAGAUAUGGGCUAAACACUGAGCAGUGUCUGGGCUGCAGAACAGAUUCAGACUUCUCCGUUGUUGCUACAAUUUGGACUUGAAAACAGCCUUUUUAAAUCUUGGACUCCCAUGAAAGUUUUAGGCCUAUAUCUUAGCUUUCCAUCCAUAUAGAGCAGACCUAAAUCCAAGAUCUACAGCUCCAGAUAUGCCCCAAUGACCGAACAGUGUUCCAGUUUGGAUUGAACCAGCAUCUCUCUUCUAAGUUUGACCCUUUCUUUGUUCUUUCAAUUUCAGUACUUAAACUCAUCAAUUAAUCCUUUUAUUUAUGUGAUAGGCCUGCAUUUUAGAUGAACGUUUACCAUAAAUUAAAGGUAUCUUAUAGUAUCAGACUUGUUAUUAUAAAACAUCUUAUAGUUAAGGAGUUAUUGAUACUUCAAGUGCAAAAUGAUGAUAUAUAACCUUGAUAAAAAUGCAUUUUUAAGUACUAAUCACACCCCCCAACCAGCUUAUUACUAGUCCCUAGUAAUCAAAGCGUUAAAAUAGAAAAACAAUUUGUAAAUUCCACAAAGCAAGGCAUUCAUCAUUCAACUUCCCUUAAUCUAUCGAGAUAAACAAACUCUCAUUAAGUUUAUAUAUCUGCUCAAUACCUCUUAAACAAGAUAUUAAUAAACCUUCCUUUUUAUGUGCUCAUUGUACGAAAACAUAGAUGAUGGGGCUUUUGUUGGAGGAAAACAAUAUUAUGUUCUAAUGUUUAAGGUUAACUUCCUUGGGUUGGGAUUAUUAUUAUUAUUAUUAUUUUUCUCUCUUUUUUUUAAUAUAUAUACAUAUAACUUAAAACACAAUGUAUCUUUAACCCAUGUAACGAGCUUUCGGCUAAUGGCUCCCAGACCAGUUGGUCUUAGGGCAUUAGGUGUUGAGACACCCCUACGAGCUUAGUAACUCGGGUUUCAGAUACUGAUACGUAGAUAGUGCAAUGUUUGAUUCCCUUAAGCUUUUCUCCUUAACCCAUGUAACAAGCUUUGGGCCAAUAGCUCCCAAGUCAGUUGACUUUAGGGUAUUAGGUGUUAAGACACCCCUUUGGGCUUAAUUGCUUAGGUUAGGGAGGCUAAGAAACCAAACUUAUCUACGUUUUUAUUAUCAUCAUUUUUUUUUGUUUUUUUUUAAAAUUAUAUACCAUCCCUUUCCCUUAGUUGUUACCUUUAACAAAAGAACAUAAAUAAUGUAAUAAUCCAAUGUGCAACCCACAAUCAUAUGUUAAAGUGUGUGUGUGUGAAAAUGAAGGUUUAAGAAUACUUGUUAAAUGAGUAUAUGAGCAGAAUUAAGUGAUAACAAUGCGAGAGUUUGUAAACCUGAAUAUUUCAAGAAGUUUUUUGAUAGACCUUGGUAAUGAUACUUACUAAGAUGCGUCUCUAGAGUCAAUAAAAUUUCCUCCUUACUCUGCCAUCCUAAUAAGAAUACUUUACUAAGAUGCGUCUCAAGAGUUAAUAAGACUGACUCCUUACUCAGCCAUCCUAAUAACAAUUGUGUCAAAUGGUUUUAAUAAUAGCAAAAACAGUUAGUAAGUUAGUUUUUUUUUAAGGAUUGUAGUUGGUCAAUCAAUUGUUCAGCAGUAGCAGCAGAGAUUAUGAUUUGUCAUGCUGAAGAUGUUAGAAAAUUCUGUUCCACAACAUGAUCAAGAAAAGACAACAAAUUAUCAUAAAAACCAUUGACAUUUAGCAAAUCUAUAGGUUUAUGGUGAAUGUGCAGUUGGGCCCAAGAGGAAAUAUGAAAGAUCUCUUCCAAUGUGCCUCGACCACCUGAUAAUCGAACCUUCGCUUCAAUCAGCCAGCGAAUAUCUUCAGGAAUUCCAUGAUUCAUUAACAAUCUCAAUCUUGCACACCUUGCACGGUAAAUUUUUGUAAUCACAUUCCGAGGCAGAGUGGGAAAAUACUUUUUCAAUUUUUCAAGAGUGGUGUCCAUUUUCAAAUGAGAAUUGGAGAAGAGAUUCAAAGAACUGAGAAAGAGCAAAGAAUUGCACAAAUAUGUACACCGAUAUCAGUUAUUAUGGGAAACUGAAAGAACCGACUUAAGUCACGGAGUAACGUUAUCCGCCAUUUGACCGGGGUGAGAGAAACUAGCAAAACAAAACACAAAACAAUGUGAGAAAAAAACAAAAUAAUCAACCUUUAUCUACAGGAUCACUCAAACCAAUGGAUUCAUUUUCACUAGGAAAAUUAUCAAAGUAAGCUUUCAAAUGAUGUUCAUUUACCUUAAAAACAUUGUUAUUCUUUGGAUUCUCGAUAUCACAGGCCCCAUAUGGAUACACAUGUUUCACAAUAAGAGGACCACUCCAUCUUGAUCUUAGUUUUUCAGGAGAUAAAUUGAGUCGAGAAUUAUAAAGCAAAACUUUUUGACCAAUAUCAACUUUUUGACAACUUUCACAAGUUUUGCAGAAUGCAUAUGUGUCCUUGAACAUGGUGGGCCAAUAAAAUCCAUUUUGAAAGAUUUUCGCAAUGAUCUUUUUUGAUGAGAAAUGACUCCCACAUGCUUCAGAAUGACAAAAUUUAAUGACACUACUUACCUCAUUGUCCACAAUGCAUCUUUGAAAUAUUUGAUCAGGACAAUAUUUGAAUAAGUUAGGGUCAUCCCAAUAAAAGUUUCUCACUUCGUUCAAAAACUUUCCUUUAUCUUCGGUACUCCAAUGAGUUGGCAAAUCUCCUGAGGCAAGGAAAUUGAUAUUUUUAGCAAACCAAGGCAUUGAACCAAGAGAAAGUAAGGAUUUGUCAGGAAAGUAAUCAUCGAUUGGUGUGAUGUCAGAUGUCGAAUCUGUUGUCACUCUUGACAAAAGAUCCGCAUCAACAUUUUUUAUGCCUUUUUCAUCCGUGAUUUCUUCCUGAGAAUAAGUCAUUUGCAAAUCUUCAAAUUCAUCAAACUCAGUAUUACUCAAAGUAGAUUCAAAUUGAUCAUAAACCAAUUCUUCAAUAAAAUCUACUUCUUAUAAAUCAUUAUCAUCUCCAGGUUGCUUGCAAAUGUUGAAAAUAUUCAUCUCCAAUGUCAUGUUUCCAAAAGAUAGCUUCAUCAGUCAAUUCCUACAAUUAAUCAAUGCAUUAGAAGUUGCAAGAAAUGGACGCCCUAAAAUAACAGGAAAUGAAUUACAUGUUUCAACAGGUUGUGUGUCCAAGACAAUAAAAUCCACAAGAUAAAUGAAUUUAUCAACUUGUACUAACACAUCUUCAACUAUUCCUCUAGGCACUUUUACAAAUCUAUCGGCAAGUAAAAGAGUUACAGAAGUUGGUUUUAACUCACCUAGAUUGAGACUUUGAAAAACUGAAUAUGGAAGUAAAUUCACACUAGCUCCAAGAUCAAGUAAGGCUUUUUCAAUUUUAUGUUCUCUAAUAAAGCAAGAAAUUGUAGGGCAACCAGGGUCUUUAUAUUUCAAAGCAUUAUUAUUCUGAAGAAUGUCACUUGUUCGGCCAAAAAGGCUUUCUUUUUCACAUUCAGUUUUCUCUUCACAGUGCACAGAUCUUUCAAAAAUUUUGCAUAAGAAGGAACUUGUUUAAUAGCAUCCAGCAAAGGUAUAUUGAUCCUUACCUGUUUGAAAGUUUCAAAGAUUUUAGAGUUGUGAUUGACUUUCCUUUGUUUGGCCAUGGCAUGAGGAAAUGGAAGUGCUGGCGGGGAAUCAGUCUUUUCUUUGUAAUGAUCAGAUUCAACCCCUUCCUUACCCUUAGAGAUUGACUCAUCAUCAUUCUCAUAAGGUUCAAGAAUGGGUUUUUCAAUAACCUUACCACUACGAAGAGUGAUGACUGAUUUGACUUGAUUCAUGUGUUGACUUCCAGAACUACUUGCAUUUGCAUGAUACUGCCCCUUGGGAUUUUGUUGUGGUUGACAUGGAAACUUACCUUUCUCUUGGAAACUAAGAGCAGAUGUGAAUUUUGCAAGAGUAUCUUUAAAAUCUAUCAUGCUUUGAGCAAGUUGAUUGUUAAUUGCCUCUUGCUUUUCCAUAAAUGCAUGCAAUGUUUCCUCAAGAUUUCUUCUAGGAGGGGGAGCAUAAGGAGGUGCAUAUCCAUGAGAAUUUUGGAAAUUAUGGUGUGCUUGAAACGGUGGUUGUGAAGUUUGUGCAUUAUUGUUCUCACUCUUCCAACUGAAAUUUGGGUGAUUUCUCCAACCAGGGUUAUAUGUUUGCGAAUAUGGGUUAUGAUUGGGCAUUUGAAAACUAUUUAAAGCAUGGGCUUGUUCAUGGAGACAUUCCUUAAUAGAAGGCAAAGUUGGACAGUCAUUGGUUGGGUGUUCAUUGGUUUCACAGAUUUGACACGCAAUGUCUUGAACAAAUUUUAAUUGACCACUCUUUUUCAAUUGUAGUGCUUCGACUUUUUUAGCUAAAGAUGCAAACUUGGCUUGGAGGUCAUGAUCUUCCCUAAGGUUGUACAUACCCCCACUAGAUGUAUGAGGUUGGGUUUUACUUGGUGCCUCAUAAGUACCUGUGGUGUCCCAAUUUUGUGCAUUUUCAGCUAGCAAGUCUAAGUACUCCAUUGCUUCAUUAGGGUCUUUAUCUUCAAAAGUUCCAUUACACAUCAAUUCAACCAUUUGCCUAUCUCUAGGUGUUAAUCCUUCAUAAAAAUGUGAAACUAAUCUCCAUGUUUCAAAACCAUGAUGGGGGCAAGUAUUAAGCAAGUCUCGAUACCUAUCCCAACAUUGGUAAAAUGUUUCUCCUGGUUUUUGAGAGAAAGUAAUGAUUUGUCUUUUGAAAGAGUUUGUUCUGUGAGAUGGAAAAAACUUCUUUAAAAAUUGUUGUUGCAUUUCAUCCCAAGCACGAAUGGAUCUAGGUCUCAAAUUUUGUAGCCAUGUUUUAGCUUUAUCUUUUAAUGAAAAAGGAAAAAGCUUUAAUCUAAUGGUGUUCAUGCUACAAUUUGAGUCAUUAUACGUAUUGCAGACCUCCUCAAAUUCCCUUAAAUGCAAGUAUGGAUUUUCUAAAUCUAAGCCAUGAAAAGAUGGUAAAAGUUGAAUAAUGCUUGUCUUAAAAUUAAAAUGAGAUGCAUCAAGAGGAAAAACUAUGCAUGAGGGUGCACUUGUUCUUAUGGGAUUCAUGUGGUCUCUAAGUGUUCUAACACGGUUAUUCUCAUUAUUUUCAUUAUGAAGCGAUUUGUUAUCUUCUUCGGCCAUAUUUUCUGAAAAUGAUGAGGAUACCCUACAAAGUCUACCACUUAAUGUACGUGACCACACUCACAUGCACGUGCAGGAAGAGAAUAAAAGAAAGAAAAGAAAAACAAUAGAAAAAGAAACAAAACAAAAGAAAUGAAGUUAGAUAUAAGAAAAGUGAAAAGAGAAAACAAAAUAAAUAACUCGACCAAAAACUUGACACGACCAAAAGAUUGAUGUCUUCUCCCAAGUGCAGGAGUGUCGAAGUAAUAAAUAACUCGGCAAGACAGGGAGGUUAAUUGUAUAAAUUAUAGAUAACAAUAAUACAACAAUAACAAUAACAACAACAAUAACAACAACAAUAAUAAUAGAGAUAAUAAUAAUAGUGAAGAAGAAGAGGAAGAAGUUGAUGAAAACUUUGAGAUGGAAGAUUAACGUAAAGAUUAAACAAUGAUAACAACAAAUGUCAAGGUUAGAGGAUCCACUAAUGGUACGUCAAACAAGUAUAGUAUAAACUCUUAUUAUUCAAUUGGAAACCACACACAAAGAAGGUUCCAAUCAGAUUAUAAAUUGUUAACAUGAUUACAUUAGUUAUCUUAUUCGAAUAAUGCUAAUACUUGUAAAUGUUGUCAAGCAUUCAUGAUUAUAACUUAUGUUAACAACAAAUCAAGUUCCUUUCAUAGCUCAGGUGUCGGUUAUACCAUACAGUAUGGGCUAUGAAAGUCCCAAGUAUUUGUUGUACCAAGUGUUAUACAACAUAAAUCUAGAUUAGCCAUUCAACAAGCAAAGUAUUAAAAAUGAACAAGAUAACAAAUAUAAAACAUGUUAGUAUUCAACAUUAAAGUCCAUGUUGAGUUUAUAUUAUACUUAUCCUUACACCAUUAGUGUUACCUUUUCACCUUGACAUAAUAAACUUAGCUAAACAUAAUGAAAGAGAGAAACAUAAAUAAACAAGGAAAGGAAAUGAAAAGCAUAAGCAAGAGAUUAAUAUAAGCAAAACUUAAGCAUUACAAAGAGAGAAAGCAAGAUCAUGAUCUUGAUCUGAACACCAAGAUGCCUCAAUACAUGGUAAAUGCCUCCUUUUAUAGGCCAAAAUUUGGAACUAUUGAUUUGUUGACUAAUUGAUGAGUGGGUUGCCACAUCUUGACUUGAUGACAAUUCUUAUCUUCUUGUCUGCCAAAAACAUCAUUGAUAACGUCAUAAUUUGAACCGACUUAAAUCAUUAAAGUUCUAGUAAAUUGUCUCAGCUUUCCAGGAAAACAAAGAUGAGGUCAUUUGGACUUCUAGAACUCGAGAUAUGGGCUAAACACUGAGCAGUGUCUGGGCUGCAGAACAGAUUCAGACUUCUCCGUUGUUGCUACAAUUUGGACUUGAAAACAGCCUUUUUAAAUCUUGGACUCCCAUGAAAGUUUUAGGCCUAUAUCUUAGCUUUCCAUCCAUAUAGAGCAGACCUAAAUCCAAGAUCUACAGCUCCUGAUAUGCCCCAAUGACCGAACAGUGUUCCAGUUUGGAUUGAACCAGCAUCUCUCUUCUAAGUUUGACCCUUUCUUUGUUCUUUCAAUUUCAGUACUUAAACUCAUCAAUUAAUCCUUUUAUUUAUGUGAUAGGCCUGCAUUUCAGAUGAACGUUUACCAUAAAUUAAAGGUAUCUUAUAGUAUCAGACUUGUUAUUAUUAAACAUGUUUUAGUUAAGGAGUUAUUGAUACUUCAAGUGCAAAAUGAUGAUAUAUAACCUUGAUAAAAAAUGCACUUUUAAGUACUAAUCAUGAAGUUACUAAGUUUGUACAUGAUGGGUUGAGUAGACAAAAAUAAAAUAAAAUAAGAUUGUUAGGUCAUGUUUAAAGAUAUUUAGUCUGGAAAGACAAGUCAUGAAAGGAAAGGAAAUAAAUAAAUAAAUAUGUGAAUGCAUGUGUCAUGCGAUUUUAAAUUUAAAUGAAUUUUAGAAUGGAAUUUUCAAUUAUGGUGGAGCCACAUUUGAUAUGUAUCUUUAAUGAUACUGGAGAGAUUGCAGAAUCUGUUCAGUAGCAUGGGACUUUUACGCGAGUUCAAGCAUUAGGUAGGUGUCUUAUACCUCAAACUUUUGUUUUUACAAUACUUGUUAGAGUUAAAUAAAUGGUAUUUUCUAUAAAUAUACUUGUGCUUGUGUAAUUGUGAAUGUUUAUGUCGAGGAAAAUAUAGUGGACUAGCUAGUUUGAAUAGAGUUAGUGGUGCUACUGUACUGACUGUUGAGUUAGAUGUAUAAUAACAAAAAUGAAAUGUACCGACUUUAGGGUGAUAAAUUAAUGGUACAUUAUGAUUAAAUUAUUGAUGCUCGAUUUAUAUAUGUAUACUGAUGAUGUGUAUGUGUUUAAAUAAUUUAUAUGAAGGAAGCAGGUGUAUCCCACCUUGUCUCUUUUAAGUUGUGUAAACUUAUUGGUAAAUUUCAGAAUUUAUUGUUUUAUUGCUUCGAUGAUAUUGACAUGAGUAAGAGUACCUUAUGUGCAACGGUAUACCUCUAUUAGUUAGGAUAAUGUUUGAACGAAUAGGAGUGACUUGCGUGUGUUGUUAUGUAUUGAAUUAAUUAUGUUAUUAUGGUCGUAGUGUCGAUAACUAAGUUUGUGUGGGAAUGAUGCUUAGCAACAGUUGUUAUAAUGCAUAUGAUGUAAGAAAAAAAAAGAAGAAGAAGAAGAAAAGAAAGAAAGGGGAUCGAUACGAAUGGAAAUUUCAAGUGACAUUGAUUAGCUAUCCGGGUUUGGAUAGCUAAUGGUAUCAAUGAGGUUUCAUUGGUAUCGGCAUUUAGGGUGACAUUGAUUAGUUAUCCGGGUUUGGAUUGCUAAUGGUAUCAAUGAGGUUUCAUUGGUGCCGGCAUUUCUUAAAUUGAUUAGUUAUCCCGAGCAAUUGGGUGACUAAUGAUGUUAGUAAUGAUUACUAAAAUCGGCAUGGUUACUCUUGGUUCAGUGAAAAAGAUAAGUUUAUUAACUAUUUUGGGUCGAGAAUAGUUAAUGAUAUCAAUUGGUCAUAUUGGUAUCGGCAACCAUUUCUGGUGUGAUUAGCUACUCCAGGUAAGGAGGCUGAUAAUGUAAAGGGUUCUUGACAUCGGCAACUUUGAUGAUAAAUCAUAUAUGAAUAGGAUUUGAUACUCCAGAUAAGAAUAGUUAAUGAUACUAAUCGGUUGUGUUAAUAUCGGUACGUGAAUGUAAGUUAUUAGUCUAUCCCAAUAUUAAAAGACUAAUGAUACUAAUGAGAUUUAUUAGUGUCGGCGAUUACUUUCUAGAAAAUAAAAGGGAAAAUAUUGAUUAGUUAUUCCAAAGGAAUGAGAUAAGCUAAUGAUACCAAGAGAGAAAUGUCUUGGUAUAAAGAGAGAAUUGAUUUAUAAGGAGAUGGUGUUCGAAAAUCAUUGAGUUGUGUUGAGAUUUCCAAGAUGAAAUUAUUCUCAACAAAUGGGAAAGGAUAUUAGAUGGAUAUUGGUAAUAGAUUGAAAAUGCAUGUUGUAAAAGAGGUUUAUACCUAAUUUUAUGUCUCAAAAGAAAUUCUAUGAAGAUUAUUACCUAUCAUUGUUAUUGUUUGUUACUACCUUUUUAUAUUUAUGUGUACACGUUAAUUUCUAUUUUCAGGUCCAUCAGGGUCGCGUCCGGAAUGAUAUUGGUUUAGUUACCUUUUGCUUUUGACCAUGUAAUUAUUUGUAAAUUAAGAGUCUUAUAUCCUAAAACUUGAAAUAUAAUAUUAAUCCGUAAAUUUGAAUGUAUGACUUUAAUCUAAUGUUUGUAACUUUAAGUACCUAUUUAACCAUGCAUGUUUAGAGUUGAAAACAAAUCUUUCACUUGAAUUACAUUAUAUGACGUUAUUGAAUAACAUGUGUUAUGUUGAUGAUGAUGAGUUGGGUUGAGAUCUAGGAUGAUUGGAUUAGGAUGUGAACUAAAAUUGGAAGUAUAAUAUGAUUUUGUCGAUAACUUGGGACCUCCUAGUAUAGGGGAGACUCUGCCAAAAUUUUGGUAGACAUUUGGUGGAACCGGUAUAUUAAAAAAAAAAUUACUUGAAAAUUUCCAAUGUAUCGUGAAAAAAGGAUGUUGGAAAUCAAGGUUGUUAUAGUAACAGUUGAAAAUUGGACAGUAACAGUUCAAUGUCUAGACAGUAACGGUAGGCUUUCACGUGAAUACUAUAUAUGCAAGAAUAUAAAAGAAUUGAGUCAUACGAACACUUGCACAUUGAGAUACUAACUCUGAAAAUAUACAUGAUAUAUGUAUGUAUGUUAUUAUGAGGAAAUGAACAUAUAUAGAAAGUAACAUAUGAGUAAUGGAUGAAUAUGGAUUCUCUAUAAUGUCGACUUGAAGGAAUCAUAACCAAAAACUUCCUUAUGAUUCAGGAGGAGCAACCAGGAUUGGAUUUUCUAAUAGGGGAGGUCGCGAGACAAGUGAAGCAGGUGCAUGAUUCUCCUCCUAUUUGGACUUAUACAAUUUAGAAUUCUUAUGGUGAAUGCAAUUACAAUAAAUGUCGUGUUUAAUGUAAAUAAAAAUCUAGCGUAAAUAUAAGAUUAGGAGAUGAUUUACAAGAUUAGCUUUGGCUAAUGGCAUCCGUGAUAGGAUUGCCGGGAGAUGAAUUACAAGAUUAGCUUCGGCUAAUGGCAUCCGUGAUAGGAUUGCAGGGAUAUGAAUUACAAGAUUAGACUUGGCAAGGUCACCCAGUUCAUGCAAGUAAAUAAGAGUAUUCAAAUCAUGGAUAUACAAAUGAGUGUUAAUUAGGUUUAAAAGACUUACAAGCAAAAUAUAAGUUCUUUGUUAGAAUUCUUAUGGGUCCGAUAGAAAGUUAAUACUUCAUUCGUAUUCAUUACAUGAGCAUCUAUAUUCUUUAUCAACAUAAUGAUAUGUUUAAUUAUGUAACAGGUCCAUCAAAUAUCCAGGAAGAUCAUUAGUUUAGGACUCUACUUUGCGAAGCUUAUGUAAAUAUUUAACUUAAACAAAAGGGAAUUAACGUGUUUAUGUAGUAUAUUUUUGUGUAAACCUUGAUGUAUUUAUAAAAGUUCAAUUUUGCAUGUGUUAUUUUAGUUAUCUUGUAAUUAACCCUUUUGAAAUAUUUAAGAACACUUAUUAUGUUGUAAAUACUUUCUUUGCAUGUUAGUAUUCCUUUCCUUUUAAAUUUUACGAUAUGAUGUUUGGACUAUGUUCAUAUUGAACUUACUCAUAGGAUAUAUAUAUAUAUAUAUAUAUAUAUAUAUAUAUAUAUAUAUAUAUAUAUAUAUAUGGUGUGGAAUUAUGAGGUAUGAUAUAAGAUCCGAAAUUAUGGGACCUAAUGAUGAUGGGUUGAUUGAGUAAAUUGAUAGUAGUUGAUAACUUGGGAUGUCACUCUGCCGAAUUUUUGGAAAAAAAAAAAUUUACCCUCAGAUAAAGAGGAUAUGUUAGGAUCUUUUAACAUUGAUCAAGUCGUACAGUUCGGACCGUUACAACACUCAAUGAACAUGAUUUACCCAUAAAGGAAAAAGAGACAUUCCUUACUUCAAGUUUGCUUUACUUAUGAUGUAGGCUAAGGACAACAACAACUGCAAGUUAAAGAGGGAUAAUCAUUAGAUUGUGUGUUGGGACAAAAUAAAUAAUUUUUUUAAUAUCCGUGAUCAGUACCGGUGAAUAUGAUAGAAUGGAAGACUCCCCUUCAUUAUCUAAAAAUAAAUAAAUAAAAUCUAGAUUAUCCUUCUAUUGUGUAUCAAAUUUAUGCUUUUUAUUGGUCAGUGAUUUUAAAUCCGGUUUGGUGGUCGACCCGACCCAAGGGGUUCUAGUCACGAGUUUUGAUCGGGUCACCUGAGUCAACUCCAAUUUUUUUAUAAAUCAAAACGAUAUCGUUUUUUAUUAAAAAAAAUCAACAGGUUGCAACCGGGUUUUUUAAUCCAUUUCAAGGGCAAUAGCAUUUAGAUCCAUUUCAAUAGCAUUGAUUCCAUCAGGGGCUCCGGUGUAUAGUGAGGACCUUGCUGUUAGAAACUAUGGAGCCCACUAUUUAUUAAUCCAUUUCUAUUUACUACUUAUUACUAUUUAUUUUUAUUUACUAUAUUUUUGUUUGUGAUACCCGGUACCAAUACAAUUUGAGAUUCCUUCAAUUUUUAAGGUGCAUGCAAGUCUAAUGGCUUCAUGUACAAAAUCAAUUCAAGGGUGUGUAUCCUUAACUAUCAGGCUAACCUUUACAAGCUUGGCAAUCGAUAAUUAAUUUUUAAUGAAUUCAAUUUUUUUUUAAAUAAGGAAAAGGACAUUGGUGAAUAAAUUGUUUCCUUCCUAUUAUAAUUGUUAGACCUUACCAAAGGGCUAAUUUAGAAAAAGAUUGUAACUUAUAGGUCACUAGGGCCGAGGUCAACUUGUGACUAAGUAGAUCAAUUUAAAUUAAUUAUUUUUAUUAAAAUAAUAAUGUUUUGUUUUUUUUCUUGAUAUUAAUUUGGCUAAUUUUUAUCAAAUCAAAUCACUAAGAACUUAACCAAAUCAAAUUUCAUCAAAUCAAUAAUAUUUUAUGUAGUUGAAUUAAAAAUUCAAUUCAAUUCUAGCUCUGAACCCUGAUUUUUUUUUUGUUCAAUCUAGCAUACAGGUUUAUCAAAUAUGCUUCGCGCUUGCAGCUGUGGUUUGCUGCGGGCAUUUGAUAAUUGGAUUACUGUAAAGAUUAUUGUUGUCAUUUCCAACUUCAUGCAUGUUGCUAGCACUAGAAGUUGACCCAACCACCCUUUCUACCAUGCUCUCAUUAGGACCAAAUAGUUCUCCGUGUGCAUACCAACACAGGUAAUCUUCCAUGAACCAUUUGGUUAGAAGAUGCAUCGUUACAACAUUUUGAUGCAGAAACGUUUUAUUUUUACACUUCCUGCAUGGACACCUAAUACCGCCAUCAGUAAAAUUCGUCGGAAUAGAUGUUGCGAAAUUAAUAAAACCCAGAACCCCGUUAUAAUAAUCCAUCCUCCGCAAUCCUUGGGGUGAGUCCCGAUACAUCCAUGAACGAUCAUCCAUGACUUCUAUCGAACCUCUAUAAAAUUAUGACGACAACAUGUAUUAAUUAACUAUGUUACGUAAAUAAAUUUGCAAAAAUAUUGGUUUGCCCCAACAUUAUCCAACAAACUAAAAAAACACUUAUGUUAAAUAUUCAUUAUCAAUUAUCAAUUAUCAAGGUCCAUACAAAUUUAUAUAUAUAUAAAUUUAUGAAAUCACAACUUCGCAAUAGAAUUGAUAAAAAUUAAAACAGACCCGUUAAACAAGCUAUUAUUUAUUUCAUCACAACAUAUCUAAUUCGGUGUAAUUCAAACAAAGUUUCAAUAAUUUACAAAUAAAUACAAUUUGACAAAAUCUAAAACAAACUAUAACAACUAUAAAAUUCUACAUUCAUACUACAAGUUUCUUUGACAAAUAACAAUCAAACAAGUACAUACGUUAACAAAAAUAUACAUAUACUAAAAAAAAAUGACAUUUAAAUGUUAAAACUAAAAGGAUAAAUUUACUUACAAAAAAUGAUAAAAUCCACAAUAAACUGCUCGGAGAACGGAUGUUGUGACCACGUACAAAAGUAUAAGAAACUUGAGUGCUUGUGUUGAGAAGAUGGGGGAGUUGGGAUGGGUGGUUGGCUGCAGUUUGGGAGGGCAGAGUUGGGAUGGGGAAAAAGAAGGGGAAGAAGAAGGAGAAAUAGGGCAGAGAGUGUCGGCAGAGUGGAUAAUAUAUUGGCUUUUACCGAUGGAAUCACCGACUGAACGUUUCCGUUGGUGAGUCGGCCAGUGAAUGUGCCACAUCACUGUAUGGCGAUCCCGGUUUGAAUCCCUCGGUAAUUCCAUCGGUAAAAUCAUCUGAAAAAAAUCCACGUCAUCACACCGUUGCAACUUUUCAAAAAACUAUAUAAUCCGUCAGUGAUACCGUCGGUAUAUAGCGACGGUAUCGCCAACGGAAAUUGUCUGUCGGUAUAUACCGACAGAAGUAGAGACGGAAUUAUUUUCGUCGGUAAUUUUUACCAAUGAAAAAAGUCUGUCGGUAAUUCCGUUGGUUUUCGCCGAUUUUUUGGUAGUGAAAUCUUAUUUAAAUUAAAAAGCCAAAAAUGAACUCAUCUACUCUUUGCAAGAAUGGACUAAAAUCCGCAUAAUUAAAUAGUACUGUUACUGUAAACUACUAGGAAAUUCAUGGGUAGAGCCAAAAUGUUAACAAUAGCAUUGAUUCGACCAAGUAAGGGGCUCACUAUUUAUUAAUCCAUUUCUAUUAAGGAAAUAACCAUAGAAAUUAUGGAGCCCACUAUUUAUUAAUCCAUUUCUAUUUACUACUUAUUACUAUUUAUUUUUAUUUAUUAUAUUUGUGUUUGUGAUACCCAGUACCAAUAAAAUUUGAGAUUCCUUCAAUUUUUUAGGUGCAUGGUCUAGUCUAAUGGCUUCAUGUACAAAAUCAAUUCAAGGGUGUGUAUCCUUGACUAUCAGGCUAACCUUUACAGGCUUAGCUAGCAAUCGAUAAUUAUUUUUUAAUGAAUUCAUUUUUUUAUUUAAAAUAAGGAAAAGGACAUUGUUACACCUUAACUAUUAUAAUUGUUACACCUUACCAAAGGGUUAAUUUAGAAAAAGAUUAUAACUUAUAGGUCACCAGGGCCGAGGUCAACUUGUGACUAAGUAGAUCAAUUUAAAUUAAUUAUUUUUAUUAAAAUGAUAAUGUUUUGUUUUUUUUCUUGAUAUUAAUUUGGCUAAUUUUUAUUAAAUCAAAUCACUAAAAACUUAACCAAAUCAAAUUUCAUAUUUCAUCAAAUCAAUAAUAUUUUAUGUAGUUGAAUUAAAAAUUCAAUUCAAUUCUAGCUCUAAACCCUGAGUUUUUUUUUUUUUUUGUUCAAUUUAGCAUACAGGCUUAACAAAUAUGCUUCGCACUUGCAGCUGUGGUUUGCUGCGGGCAUUUGAUAAUUGGGAGAGGCUUUAGUUUCGUACCUGUUGUUCUGCUUCAUGUACACUCGGACCUCUUAUUUUAUUUUAUAUUGGUUGGAUCCAAACUUAAUCCAACACAAAAUUAACAUAUUUAUUAUUUAUUUAAGAUAAAUGAUAUAGGUUUAACAUAUUAGCGAACACUUAAUAUGAUUAAAUUUAAUUUUAAUUAAUUAACAUCUCACCGUAAUAAAUUUUACCAUUUGCAACCAAAAAACAGUUGACACCUUAUUAAUAUAAUCAAUAUAGUAGAAAAAUUAUAGUGAUUUAAAACAAUUCAUUAAAAUGUUCGUAAAUGUUUUUAUUUUGUGACAAGGAUUUUCAUGUUAUCUGUUAUGUAUUGUUACUGUUAUAAUCCAUUUCUAGAUUAUUUCUCAAAUUCCAUAAUUAGAUUUUUAAUAGGUCAAUUUGAUUUAAUCAUUGGCCAAAUUAAAUUUUAAUUAUGUUUAAAAUUUUAUUUGGGUCCUAUUGAAGGAUUUAAUUAGAUGCAAUGACUUAACUUUACUUUAAAUGGGUCAAAUUAAAUUUAUAAGGGUAAAAUUGCAAGAAAAUCAAAGUUUUUGGGGUCAAUUAAGGGCUAAAUUAAAAAAAUUCACAGCCAAGAACUAUUUUGCAAAAGACGCUAAACUAUAGAAACUCAAUUGAUUGAAAUUAGAGAUGGAAAUGAAAGAAUUGAAAGUUUAAGAAUCAAUUGAGGGUUAAAUUGCAUAAAUCCAAGACCAAGGAUCAAAAUGAAAUAGGUGUUGAAAUUUGAGGCUGACAUUCAAGUUCGGCAGAGGCAAAAUUGCUUAAAAUUGAAAGUUUAAGGUCAAUUAGGGAUGCAAUUGAAAGAAAUUAAAAGUCGGAGGACCAAACUGAACUUUGGCCAAAUCCCUAAAAUAAAACCUUAAGAGCCAAAACAACGUUGUUUCAUUUAAAUGCAUUUAAAUGAAACAACGUAAAUGAAACAACGUUGUUUUGACAAAACAGUACCAAAAAAAAAAGGCAAACCAGACAACGCAUCAUCUAGACUGUUCAUCUUCUUCAUCAUUAGCCUCCUAGAAAGCUUCUCAAAUGGCCACUUUCUCAAGGCAUUUAAUGUCUUUUCUCUCCAUCAAAUUUGAUAAAAUUUGCACGCAAACGGUGGCCUAACAUCUGGUGUUGUCCUUUAUGGCUGAUUGACGCCACAGCGGUUAUGGCACCGCCUUAAAGUGGCCAACCCGACUAGCCCUUCUGUAGUAACUUGUCAAACCAUGAUUGCAACUUUAAGUCAAUGGUUGAGAUCUUUCAGAGUUGAAUUAGGGGCUAAGAUUUAGCAACUUUAAAUCAAUUAUUGCAAAGUCAAUGCUUUUAUUUUGUGACGACGAUUUUUGUGUUAUCUAUUAUGUGUUGUCAUUGUCAUAAUCUGUUUCUAGAUUAUGUUUCAAAUCUAUCUUCUUUCUUUUCAAAAUAAAAAAGAUCAAAAAAUAAUAAUAGCCAGAAAACUAGCAUUUUGGCAAAAGCAAGUUGGGAAAAUUUCAAAUGUAGAAUUGCAAUUUUGGAUGGAAUUGGGAGCCUAAUUAUAUCUUAUUUAUCCAAAACUAGAGAAACAAUACAAAUUCAAUGUCAAGUUAAAUGAUUAUUGAAUGAAUCUUUAUAAAAAUUAAGUCUAAGGACAUAAUUAGAUUUUAAAUAGGCUAAUUUGAUUUAAUCAUGGGCCAAAUUAAAUUUUAUUUAUGUUUAAGAAUUUAUUUAGGUCCAAUUGAAGGAUUUAAUUAGAUGCAAGGACUUAAUUUUACUUUAAAUUGAUCAAAUUAAUUUUAUUAGGUGACUUAAUUAGUGAAAAAUUAAGUUUGGGAGCCCAAUUUGAGCUUAAUUGAGAAGAUUGAUAUUUUAGGAUGUCGUACAUGGACGUGCAACAUCGGGGGGUCAUUUGGAGUCGUCACCUAGUUAUUUAGUUCAAGGUCGCUAAAAAACCUAGGUAUAUUGGUCUUGUUAGAGAUUCGAGAGUAAAUGACUAGUUGUGGCUAAAAAAGGUAUUAACACCCCUAACGCAACCUACCCAGGUAAGUUACUUUGUGAUUAGAUGUGGUUUAGAGAUUUUAAUGGUUUUUUAAUAUAUCUAUAGUUUAGGAUUGCGUUUUGCAUGUAUGAAUAAAUUUGAUGUUUAAUAAUUUAUUAUGGACUCUUGUACCCAGAUCAAUUCUUAGAAAAAAAAGUUCUUCGUAAUUUAUGUAUUGUGGUAAAAAUUACUCUCAAUAAAAAUUAAUGAUUAUUUAGAAUAACUUUGAGGAUUUUCUGGUCAACUCCAAUAUUUCAAAUAUCAGCCUCACUUAUAGGUAUAGCGUUUUAUAUCAAGAUUUUUAACCAUUAAUUCUCAUGAAUUAAAAAAUAGUGGUCUAUUAAAAUAUUGAUCAAAUUCACAUGAAUUUAAUAAACUAGUUAUUAAAUUCUAAAAUGCAUAUUCAUAUAUAAUAUUUUAAUUUGUUUUUAAAUAAAAAAUAUUUUUAAAAAGUAUGUGCCACAAUACCAAAUUAUAGUAUAAAUUAAAAGAGAAAGUAGUUUUCUCUUCAUCACUAUUCACUUAUAUUCAUUUCACUAUGGAUAUUAAUAGUGAAUUUUUUGAAAAUUUCCAAUGUGGUAUUCAAUUAUUUUCUUCACAAUUGAGCUCUUUUAAAUUCAAAUUAGAGUCUAAUUGCAUAUUUUUUCAAGGAUGAGGAUUGAAUUGAAAGACAUAGGACUAAAGUGAAAAACUCGACUAAAAUAAGUGGUGGCUUUGCAAUUUGUUUGCAAAGUUCAUUUUAGUCCCUAUAUUUUUUCAUCAUUUUAUUUUGAUACCAAACUUUAUUUUCCUCUGUUUUUAGUUUUUUUUUGUGUAGGAGAGAGAGAGAGAGGAUCACUGAAUUUCAUUUUAGAGAGAGAAAGUUGUUGUUGGGGAUUUUGGCCACCAAAACGGUUGAUUUUUGUGUCAAAUUAUUAUGUCUUAAUUUAACAAGAUUCCUUGGAUAUUUUCUAGGUGUUUUGGAUCAAAAUGAGUUGAAAACAAGUUUUUUGAUAAAAAAAAAAUCAAGCCUCCUUUUUCUAGCCAUACUAGUAAUCGAAAUCCGGGGACGCAUUGACGACACAUCGUUUGUUGAGGAAAACGCCGUGUCAUUUUUUUUCAAAGCAUUGGGGUGACGACGUGUCAUCCGCCCUAUUAACUUAAAAAAAGUUAAAGGCUUGUGCGUGUGUGCCGACUUUGCAAGUCAGUGCGCGAGCCUUUGAUGGGUGGGCCAAACACUCUAAGCUUGACUCUCCAAGCUCAGCAAUGUCUGACUUCAUUCAUUUCCUUUUAUUAUUAUUAUUAUUAUUAUUAUUAUUACCUAUAUAUAUAUAUAUAUAAGAAAAUAAUUAAGAAAAUAAUUUUAAAAUGAUGUUUUCAUUAAUACUCGUUCUCUAUGUUAAUAUGAUUUAUUUGUAAUGUUUUAUAUAUAUUUCAGAUAUAUUAAGUAUUAUUUUUUUAUGUGUGUGUCGAUUUCUCUUAUAUAUUGAUUUUAGUAAACAAAUUCAUUAAAUAUAACCAGAGAAAUGACUCAUGUUGCAAUAUUAAAUAUCUUGAUCUAUAUUUGUCCCUCAAUUUUUCCACUUGCUUUUUUAAUUAUCGAUAAUGACUUUGUUUUUUUUAUUUAUUCACACAAUAAAAAAACACUUUGAGAAAUUAUUAGGCUUUUCUAUUAUUUAUUUGAAGGGAAUAACUUUUUUAUACUUAUACAAUAUUGUAAGGUUUUAUAGUUUUAAUAUAUAAAUGGUUGUAAUAGCUUUUUGGCAUGUGAGACUUGGAUAAAUGAAAAUCAAAUAUUUUGGGUGUCUAUCUUAUAGUUAUGAUAUUUUUAGUAUUUGAGGGUUUUGACUUGGAAUAAAUCUUGUUAUUAUUCGUUUUCGUUUAUAUCAAUUUGGUUAGUGUCUUAGGACCAAAAGAAAAGAAUCAAAAUGAAAAAAACACAUUUGAUUUAAAAUAACUUAGAUAGAGAUAUAAAAUAAAUAUAUUUCUAAGAUAUUUUUUGAAUGAGUUUCUAUCAUUACAAAACAAAAUGUGCAUGAAAAUAUGUUUCAUCUAUCUCCACCAUCUCUAUUUUUAAAAAAAGAUAUACUCUAACCAUCUAGGUGGUGGCCUAGUGGUAAGAGCUUGGGACCAAGAGGUUUGCUCCCUCUGUGAUCUCAGGUUCGAGCCCUGUGGUUGCUCAUAUGAUGGCCACUGGAGGCUUAUAUGGUCGUUAACUUCAGGGCCCGUGGGAUUAGUCAAGGUGCGCGCAAGCUGGCCCGGACACCCACGUUAAACUAAAAAAAAAAAGAUAUACUCUCUUCCCAUUUUCUCUCCCUGCUGAAUUUUGGAAACCACCCACACAACAAUAGCCCUCACAACCACCAACAUGAUUUUUUUUAAUCUUAUUUAGCCUUUCUUCAAUUAUUUGUAAUUAUGUUGGGUGUGUUUAGUUUUUUAAAAAAUUAGUAUAAUUCAUCUGUAAUUUUUUAUAUAUAUUUCACAUAAAUUAAGUAUUUAUUUUUUUAUAAUAUUUUGAAUAUGUUUAUCCUUGAAUUUUUUUUCUUUUUAUGUUAUUCAAUAAAUUUGAUGUGUGUGUUGAUUUCUAUUAUAUAAUGAUUUUAGUAAACAAAGUCACUAAAUAUAGCAAGGUAAAUGACCUAUGUUACAAUAUUAAAUAUCUUGAUCUAUAUUUAUCUCUUAAUUUUCCACUUGCCUUUUUAAUUAUGGGUAAUGACUUUGUCUUUAUUUAUUUAUUUACACAAUGGUUCGUGCUUUGUUUAAUUCGAUACGUGCCUAAUUUUUUCGAUUUACAUUUAUGAUUUUUUUAAUGUAAAAAGAACGCGUUAAGAAAUUCUUAUUCUUAUGAUUUUAAUUUAAUCCUUAUUCUUAUGAUUUCUUUCUUUUUUCCUUAACCCUUUUAUAACAAAAAUAUUGUUUGUAAUUUCACCCUUCAAUUCAAUGUGAUGGUGUAUUGUUUUUGUUUUUUUAUUUUAUUUUGAUCCUCAUUGAUCGCUUCUUUAUAUAUAUAUUCUUGUUUGUUAUUAUUGCCUUAUAUAUAUAUGAUUCAAAUAAAAUCAACUUAUUUAAGUCGGUCCGGACUAUAAAGUUAUUUAAUGUUUUUUUUUUUAAAGAAACACGCUUGUAAUAUAGUGCGGAAACCAGCAGGUGAGACUUGAGUAAAUGAAAAUGAAAUAUUUUGAAUGUCUUUCUCAUAGUUAUAUUAUUUUUAAUAUUUGAGGGUUUUAAUUUGGAAUAAAUCUUGUUAUCAUUCGCUUUUGUCUUGUCAAUUUGGUUAGUGUCUUAGAAAAACAUAGGAUUCAAAAAGAGAAAAACAUAUUUGAUUUAAUAUAACAUAGAUAGAGAUAUAAAAUAAAUAUAUUUCUAAAAUAUUUAUGGAAUGAUUUUCUAUCAUAUCAAAAUAAAAUGGGCAUGAAGAUUUCUUCUAUCUCCACUAUCUCUAUUUUUAAAAAAAGAUAUGCUCUAUUUUCCCAUUUCCCAUGAAAAUGGGCUGAAUUUUGGCGACCACCCACACAACGAUAGCCUACACAAUCACCAGCCAUGCCACUUUUCAAGACCCCAUCUCUCAAUCUCAAAACCAGAAACAACCCCCUUCUCCAUUAAACCGAAUCUCAUAACUCCAGGAAAGUGAAGGACCAAACCAUACUGUUAAAAAUCUUAAAGGGUUUUAAAUUAUCUCUUUUACUUUCCCUCAAUUUUCUAGACAAGAAAAAGGAGCUAAACUUAUUCCCCACCAAAAUGUCAAGAAUUUCAGUAGAACGAAAGAAGAGAUUAUUACUUGACCAAAAAACAACUAGUCAGCACCCAAAGAAACCGAGUGAAUGAGAGAAAAAGACUAAUAGCUAGGAAACAAUCAACAAAUCCAAGAACUUUCUAUACGGUUUCCAAGAAAAUGAAAAGAAACGAGCAAGACAACCCUCUUUCUCCUCUUUCAGUGUUCAAAAAAACAAAGAAACGUAAAAGAGGACUUUUCAAAGUCAGCUAAGUAUAUGGCUUAUUAUAUUCAUAGAGAGAGGCGGAAUUAAUUUUAUAAGCCAUGUAAAAUAUAUCUUUUUUCUUGGCAACCAAACACAACCAGAAGCCCAAAUGAAAACAAUUUUGACGAAUUCCCACCAAACAAUUGAACUGCUGUUGUAACUAAGAUUUUCAGUUAUACGUAAUUUUUGUGGUCCAAAGGACAAAUAAUUUUCUUUUCUUUUAUUUUAUCAGCUUAAUUUCACUUGUGGACUUGAUGGGCAACCAGACUUGCAAAUUGAGGUUCAAUCUCGUAUGCACAAUUAAAUCUCGUAUGCGUAAAUUGCAAGCAACAAAUUUUAAAGUGAAUUUGGUUACUGAAACUGGUUUGACAACGACUCAAAACAAUCUGAAAGUGCAAAAGAAAGGAAACAAAUUCAAGAAAAAACAAAAUGCUAAUAAGAAGCAUAGAGUUUGUUUCCAUUGUGGAAAUAAAGAACAUUAGAUAAAAUAGUGCGGAUUCAAGAAUUUCAACAAGAAAGGUGGUUCUUUCAAAGUAAAUAUGGUUGAACAAGAUGAAGGCAGGGAGUUAGUUGUCAUGGUUUCAAACAUUCAAAUUUGAAUGAUUACCGAAUUAAAUAUGGCAACUAAGUUAUAAAGACUUCAGAUUGGUGGCUGGAUUCUGGUGCAACAGUUCUUGUUUGCAACAACAAAGCAUGGUUCAAGACUUAUGAAGAAUUGAAAAAACCUGAAGAGGUCUUGAUGGGCAACCAUAAUUCUGCCAAAGUUUUGGGAAAAGGAACUAUUGAGUUGUACUUUACUUCUGGACAAAAAUUAUCUUUACUCAAUGUGUUUCAUGUUCCUGAAAUUACAAAAAAACCUUGUAUGCAGUUUUGGGAAAAGGAACUAUUGAGUUGUACUUUACUUCUGGACAAAAAAUGUCUUUACUCAAUGUGUUUCAUGUUCCUGAAAUUACAAAAAACCUUGUAUCUGCUAGUCUCUUGAGCAAGAAAGGGUUCAAGAUUGUUUUGGAGUUUGAUAAGGUUAUUGUAACUAAGAGUGGGAUGUUUGUGGGAAAGAGUUAUUCUUGUGAUGGCAUGUUUAAGUUCAGUAUUAAUGAAAUCAAUGUUAUUUCUGCUUAUAUGGUUGAAUCUACUUCUCUUCUUUGGCAUGCUAGAUUAGAACAUCUAAAUUAUAGAUAUUUUAAAUAUAUGUGUAAGCAUGGUUAUAUUUCAUAUCAAUAUAAUAAUAAAAACAAAUAUGAAGUAUGUAUUCAAGAAAAGAUGAAAAAGAAGUCUUUUUCUAAAGUAGAAAGGAAUUCUCAAUUACUUGAGUUGGUCCAUUCUGAUAUAUGUGAAAUAAAUGGUAUGUUAACAAGGGGUGAGAAAAGAUAUUUCAUAACUUUCAUUGAUGGUUAUUCUCGUUUUACCUAUGUUUACUUUUAAGAACUAAAGAUGAAGCCUUUGGAAAAUUCAAGAAAAUGGUAGAAAAUCAAAAGGAAAGGAAAAUUAAAGUUCUUAAAAGUGAUAGAGGUGGAGAAUACUUUUCUAAGGAUUUUUCUACAUUUUGUGAGGAAAACGGAAUAAUCCAUCAAAUGAUAGCACCCUAUACACCACAACAUAAUAUGGACUUGCUGAAAGGAAAAAUAGGAUCUUAGUGGAUAUGGUCAAUGCCAUGCUUUUGAAUGCUACAUUACCAAAUAAUUUAUGGGGUGAAGCCUUACUUACUACAUGUCACAUUCAUAAUAGAGUACUAUCUAAAAGAUUAAAUGUUUCUUCCUAUGAAGCAUGGAACAGUAGAAAACCAAAUCUGAAUUAUUUUAAAGUAAGGGGGUGUGUAGCUUUUUAUAAAAGUUCUAAUCCUUAAAGAACAAAAUUAGGACCCAGAAGUCUUAGGAGUGUUUUUGUUGGUUAUGCACAAAAUUUAAAGGCUUAUAGACUUUUGGAUUUAGAAACUAAUGUGAUUGUUGAAUCUAUACAUGUUGAAUUUAUCGAAUAUAAAUUCAUAAGUGAUUCAAAUGUGCAAGAACCAAAUCUAAAAGUAAUAACUCCUAGCUCAACGUUAAGUGAAAAAUGUAAAAACCUAGAAGUAAUAGGUUCAAGUGAACCUAAAAGAAGUCAAAUAGUUAGAAAGGAAAAACACAUAGAUACAAAUUUUAUUUCUACUGAUUCAAUUGUAUUUUUAGUGGAAGGUGAUAGAAAUACAAUAUUAAAAAAAAAACACCUAUGAUCCUAACUAUAGAAGAUGAUCCAAAGACAUUCGGUCAAGCUAUGACUUUUAAGGAUGUUGCUUUUUGAAAAGAAGCGGUAAAUGAUGAAAUGGAUUCAAUAUUGUCUAACAAUACUUGGGUCCUAAUAGAUUUACCUCCAGGUUAUAAGCUAAUAGGAUGUAAGUAGGUGUUUAGAAGAAAAUACAAUACUGAUGAUUCUAUACAAACCUUCAAGGCAAGAUUGGUUGCCAAAGGUUUUACUCAAAAUGAGGGUGUUGAUUAUUUUGGCACUUAUUCUCCAGUGGCAAGAAUUACAUCAAUUAGAGUUUUAUUUGCAUUAGCAUCAAUUUAUAAAUUGUAUGUUCAUCAAAUGGAUGUAAAGACAACUUUCCUAAAUGGAGAUUUAAAGGAAGAAGUGUAUAUGGAGCAACCUGAGGGUUUUAUACUUCCUGGAAAUGAAGAAAAAGUCUGUAAAUUGGUAAAGUCUUUAUAUGGUUUAAAACAAGCUCCGAAAUAAUGACAUGAAAAGUUUGACAAAACAAUUUUGUUGAAUGGUUUUCAUCACAAUGGUGCUGAUAAGUGUAUGUAUUCCAAAUUUACAAAAGAUUUUGGUGUGAUUAUUUGUCUCUAUGUAGAUGACAUGUUAAUAUUUAGCACCAAUAUGAUUGGAAUAGUUGAAACCAAAAGGUAUCUCACUUCUAUCUUUAAAAUGAAAGAUCUUGGUGAAGUAGAUACAAUUUUAGGUAUCAAAGUUAAGAAACAUAGUAGUGGCUAUGCACUUAAUCAAUCACAUUAUAUUGAGAAAAUGCUCGAUAAGUUUAAGCAUCUCAAUAUAAAGGAGGCUAAUACCUCAUUUGACUCUAGCAUGAAGUUAAAUGAUUAUUGUGAUAAAGCGAUAGCGCAACUAGAAUAUGCUAGUGUCAUUGGAAGUCUUAUGUAUGCUAUACAUUGUACAAGACCAGAUAUAGCUUUUGCUAUAUGCAAGUUAUCAAGAUAUUCAAGCAAGCUGAAUACAGAUCAUUUGAAGGUUAUUGCAAGAGUCUUUGGUUACCUAAAAAUAACGAUCGAUUUAGGCUUGUUUUAUUCUGAUUUUCCAAUUGUGAUGGAAGGAUAUAGUGAUGCAAGUUGGAUGACUAGUUCAAGUGAUAAUAAGUCCACAUCAGGAUGGAUUUUCUCACUUGGAGGAGGUGCAAUAUUUUGGGCAUCUAAGAAACAAACAUGCAUCUCUCAUUCUACCAUGGAAUCAGAAUUUAUUGCUAUAGCUGCUGCAGGUAAAGAAGCAGAAUGGCUAAGAAAUAUGUUGUUUGAUAUUAAGUUGUGGCCACAACCUAUGUCAGCUAUUUCUUUAUGCUGCGAUAGUGAAACAACUAUGUCUCGAGCUUAUAGUAACAUUUACAAUGGUAAGUCAAGACAUACAAGCAUUCAACAUGGAUAUAUUCGAGAGUUGAUUACAAAUGGUGUAAUCACCAUUGUCUAUGUGAAAUCUGUGAAUAAUUUAGUGGAUCCGCUCAUAAAAGGACUAUCUAGAGACAUGGUACGAAAAACAACUAAUGGAAUGGGGUUGAAACCCGUUAUUCAAGAUACCAAUAAUAGGAACCAAACUUCGGAUUAGCAAGAAGCUUAUCUCUUAGUUUAAUGGGUAAUAACAAGUUACUGUUUUGUAUAUGUUGGACACUGAUAAUUAAUUUGAGUCCCUAUUCUAAUAGUAUUCAGUGUGUUCUAUUACGAAAAGUAGGAUGAGCAUGGGCUCUUAAUAAAAUUUAAAGUUCGUGUCUAAUGUAAUAGAGACAUGUAUAAUUCCACCUAUAUGAAUAUAAAAGUGGUGCCGCUUUUGACAAGACUUAGGGUUUUCUCUUAUAGAUAUUUAUGAAAAAAAAAAAUUAUGAUUUUAGCACAUGGCCAUAAUAGUGCUAAACAGUUGUAAACCUCUUUAAGAGUUUGGAUAGUAUUAUGUGUGUAGUAUCUUUUAUUCUACAACAAAAGUUUUGGUUUAAUCUACAAACACCAAUAACUUUAGUAGGAUUUAAGUUCUAACACUAAUUGAAGGUUUAAAUUGCAAAAUACCUUCUUGUAAGUAUAAUUCUAUCGAGUGAAAAGACCUUCAUUACAAACUAGUGGGGGAUUGUUGGUGUAGUUUAUAAAUGAAUAAAGAAAAGAUGUUUAUCACACAUUGGAAAGAAACACUCCCUCCUAAUGUUUCUAAGUGUGGGUUACUAUUGUGUAGUAAAUUAAGCCAUGGUGGACAAACUCUUCUAUUUGGCUUCCUAAUGUUAUUAUAUGGAUAUUUAUAAUAUCAAAAGAUAGCAUUUGGAACUUGGAAUUAAUAUGAACAAUUAUACUGUUUCAUGAAUAGUCAUAUUGUUUGAUGAUCAACCAUUGUGUUUCAUCAAUAGUCAUAUUGUUUUAUUCAUCAACAAUCAUAUUAUUUGAUGAACAAUCAUAUUGUUUCAUCGUUAUAUUUGAAGUCUAUAAAAGCAUAUUACUAUACAGAAAAGAAAUACAAUAAAAAAAACAUACAUUCUUUAAUUGGUCUUGAUCAACACCUCUUCUAAUUUCUUCAAUCUUCCAAUCACAUUCUCAGGAAUCCUACUUAGCCUUUCACAACCUGUCACAUCCAACAACCUUAACUCCUUGAGCUCUCCUAUUUCAUCAGGUAAUUCUUCAUUGGAGAGGCACCGCUUAAGACUAAGAAUCUUAAGUCUCUGCAGCUUUCUCAACCAAAUGAGGUCCUUGCAUUCACACAUGAUCAACACCAACGAUUGAAGUUUCGUUGAGAGUUCAAGUGAUUGCAAUGACAAACAACCUCCCUUCAGAGACAAAACUUCAAUUUCUUUCAUCCCUUCAAAGAACCUCUCUGGAACAUUCAUACCAUAAUCCACUUCUAACAAUAGAACUUUGAGCUGUGGACAUUCCAAUCCUUCAGGAAGUUCGGUUAAUUUAUUGCCCAUUAACGAAAUUGUUGUACAAGCUUCAAAGCUUUUGAUACUCAUUGGCCAUUCCUUCAACCCAAUGCCAGCCUUUAUUAUGAAUCCAUAUUCUUGUGAUGACGCUAUCCGAAUAGCAACAUCACGAACCAAGUCAUGCAUUUUCACAUGUUCAUCUGUUUCAGUGUCCAACAGCAUGCAACAAUCUUUGAGUUUUUUUAUUUCCACAUAAACUCGUUUCCUUGCAUCUCCAAUGGACUCCACAUCUUGAUGUAACUCAUACCCAACUGCGUAUCUCGUCAAGUCCUCAAUUGGAAUGUGGUAAUCUUCUGGAAAUAAACAACAUAGCAAGAAACAUAACUUGGUUUCCUUGCUUUUCAAAUAAUCAUAGCUCAACUUAAGACAUGCAUAUGCAGUUCUUUGUUCAUCAAUGUGUUCCAUGUCCGGAAAAUGAGAGUUUUUUAGCUGUCCAAUUGCUACUUCCCACUCAACUGCAGAUUUAUCUCUUAGAGCCAUUCCCACUGUCACAAGUGCUAUAGGCAAGCCUUGGCAUUCUCUCGCAACCUCCCUUGCCACUGUGUUCAAGGUAGAUUCCCCAACACGUAAACCUGCAUUGAUUCUGAAUAAAUCCCAUGCUUCUUUUUCAGGUAAGGGACUUAACAGCACUUUUUUCCGGCAUUCCGUAUAAGAACAUAUGCCUUGAAGACGUGUUGUUAGAAGAAUUUUACAACCCCUGUGAUCAUCACCAAAUGGGAUCCCUAUCUCUUGGAAGUCAAUAACUUUCCAAACAUCAUCCAGGAUAAUAAGCAUCCUCUCCACUUUCUUCAGUCUCUGCCAUAAUCGAUCUGCUCUCCCAUCUUUACUACUUCCUCUAAUAUCCAGACCUAACUUAUCUGCCAUUUGGUUCUGGAGGUCUGUGACAUUUGGAUUCUGCGACACCGUAGCCAUCAAAACUUCAUCAAAAAGCUGCGACUCUCUGGCUAUCGUGCCUACUUUUCGCACAAGGGUGGUUUUACCCACCCCUCCCAUGCCGCACAGUCCGAUCAUAUUGACUUUGUCAUCUUUGAGAGCUUCCAUAAUAUGUUCGAAAGCUUCUUCUGACGAUUUUGAGGGGGUGAAUUUCUUUGAUUGAAGAAAUUCUAUGGGCUGAGGAUGAGUUCUGUGGGACACUUUUGUAGACUUUUUUUCUAAAAGUUCUCUGAAAGUCUCCGACUUCUUGGCCAGUGCCUUGCUAAACUUGAAUUGUCGCAUGCAGUUUGGACACCAAGUGAAGCAUUUGCCAUUUUUUCCUAUUUCAUUUUCCAAGGGCUUCGCACCUUCAAUUUCGUUUUCUGCAUCUCCCAGCCACUUUUUGACAUCUUCGUAAAUUUCUUCAGCAUUCCUUUCAGCAUCUUUGACAUCGUCUUGCAGACGUUCUUUUUCCGAAACCAGCUUCUCCUUUUGUUGUUUGAAUUCUUUAACAAAAUCGUUGAAACAGAACAUGUAACGGAACUGCCUUCCUACUGGUUCCACCAUGAGUUCUGCUAUCUUAGAUAUAAUGGAUCCACCCACACUUUCGAUAGCCAUUUUCCACCAGUCUGGAAUCAGAGAAAUAAGGAUACCAAACGUGAGAGUGAGUCGUAGUAGAGGCAUAGAGAGAAUGAGAAAAGGAAUUUUAUUAACUUAAUUUGGGAAAAUAUGUGCGAAAAGCUCUGGCAAUCAAUGAAAUAGCGGGAGGAAGAAAAGGAGAAGGCCUCUAGCUCUGUACGGAAUCCAGCUUCAAAAGCAACAAGGCAAGGUUCAAACUGACACUUGUGAGUUGAAGUAGUAAUUCCCAUUAAAAAUGCAUCUUGAUGACAUAAUUAAGAUAAUAUAGAGACAGUGACAGAGAAAUAAAGAAACGAAUGAAAGUUUCAGGAUAAUCACUUAGACGCCUCUCUGGAUGAUACCAGCUCGCUUCCAACAACAAAUAUUAUUAACCUAAGCUAUGAUCGGUCAGUUUUUUUUAGUUUUCUUUUCUUUUCUUUUCUUUUAAAAACAGAUCAACAAGGGAAAAGACUUGCAAAGAAGUAGAAUUACUGGAACGAACUCAACAAAGGAUCAAACUCAAAAAAAUAAAAGUAAUUGUGUAUGAGAAGCAUUUCUGUGUCACACACUCAAGUAAUAUGAUUGACCUAUUACAUUAUACAAAUUAAUAAUAAUAAUAAUAAUAAAAGAACUAGGUUUUUGAUGGCAUCCAGAGUGCUGUUGCUUUGAAAUAAAGAGGCUUGUGCAUGUGGUGUUAUGCUGUUCAUGUAGGCUAAGUUCUCUCUUCUUGUCUUGCUAUUCUGAUUUUAUCUUUUUCUUUGCAUGAUAUAAGAGCAGGUUCUUACCUCUUGAAGUCUGCUGAAUAAACCUAUCAGCAGAAGAUCCUGAACCGAUCCCAAAUCACAGCUUCAAUCCCCACCACAGCCAAUCUCCUCUUUCCCGUAGUCUUGCGUCCUCAAUUGGGAAAUGAUCCAAAAUCAACAACCGGUCCGGAGAUAGUUUGUGUGAAAAGAAACGGCUGAAAGAUGAAAUGUGAAGGUUAUGGUGAGAAAUUAGAUGAGAAAUUGGAUUGCAAACGGGAUGGUGCAAACUGGUGGAGCAUUAGACUUUUUAAAAGACAACAAAAAGAAGCAAUGUCUCAUCUUUUGAUCAGUUUGUUGAUGAAGAUAUCGAAAGAUUGGAGUCUCCGUUUUAGCUUAGGUUGGAAGCAAGUCUGAAAAUUAAGAUUAUUUUAAAAGAAUUUUUAUUGAUGGUUUGUGAGAUUAGUAAUGAAGUAAUUUAUGACAAUUUAAUCUUUAAAAAAUUAUUUAAAAUUAAAAAAGAUUAGAUUUUUAGGUAAUAAUUCUAGUCGGUUAGGCAAUAUAAACAGUUUUUGCAAAGAUUCUACUACUGAUGUGUCCAUAUUACAUAGGAACAGAAUGCUAGAGAAUAACUUUCUUUUUAAAAAAAAAAAGGUCGAGAAUUUUCCUUAAAGCAGACACCCAUGAAGAAGAUCUAGUUACCUUAGCCAAGCUGCUCACUUUACAAAAUUGUAUCGUAAUAGUUUGCGUCCACUAGGAAGUCGAGAAUAGGAAAAGAAAAGGGACGCUUAGCGGACCCACAAAAUCUUGAAUUAUCCCUUACUUUUUCAAUGGUAAGGAUAUCCUCGUGUCACCUUCUACAUUAAGUUUUAUAAAAUCUUGAUUUUUUUUAAAUUAAUUUUUUAAGUUUUAAUUAUGAAUUGUUUAUGCAAAGAAACACAAGAAAAGGAAAAAUUUCUCAGUGUGUUUUCUGUUACUUGUUUAGCAAUAGCUAGCAAGGUUCUGCUUAAAAAUACCAUUGAACAAGGGAUGAACCAUUCAGCAAGGGAUUCUGCGAGGAAAACAUGAAAUUGUUAAGCAUAAUAAUAUGUUAAGCAUGACAAAUUUCAUUUAAAUUAAAAAGCCAAAAAUGAACGCAUCUCCUCUUGCAAGAAUGGACUCAAAAGUUCAGCUAAUCCGCAUAAUUAAAUAGUACUGUUACUGUAAACUACUAGGAAAUUCAAGGAAAGUUAACAAUAGCAUUGAUUCGAUCAAGUAAUAAUCAUAGAAACUAAGUACCAAUAAAAUUUGAGAUUCCUGCAAGUUUUUAGGUGCAUGGUCUAGUCUAAUGGCUUCAUGUACAAAAUCAAUUCAAGGGUGUGUAUCCUUGACUAUCAGGCUAACCUUUACAGGCUGAGCUAGCAAUCGAUAAUUAAUUUUUAAUGAAUUCAAUUUUUAUUUAAAAUAAGGAAAAGGACAUUGGUGAAUAAAUUGUUUCCUUCCUAUUAUAAUUGUUAGACCUUACCAAAGGGCUAAUUUAGAAAAAAGAUUUUAACUUAUAGGUCACCAGGGCCGAGGUCAACUUGUAAUUAAGUAGAUCAAUUUAAAUUAAUUAUUUUUAUUAAAAUGAUAAUGUUUUGUGUUUUUUCUUGAUAUUAAUUUGGCUAAUUUUUAUCAAAUCAAAUCACUAAAAACUUAACCAAAACAAAUUUCGUCAAAUCAAUAAUAUUUUAUGUAGUUGAAUUAAAAAUUCAAUUCAAUUCUAGCUCUGAACCCUGAUUAAGCAUACAGGUUUAGAAAAUAUGCAUCUCACUUGCAGCUGUGGUUUGCUGCGGGCAUUUGGUAAUUGGGAGAGGCUUUAGUUUCGUACUUGUUGAUCUGCUUCAUGUACACUUGGACCUCUUAUUUUAUUUUAUAUUGGUUGGAUCCAAACUUAAUCCAAUACAAAAUUAACAUAUUUAUUAUUUAUUUUAUUAUUUAUUUAAGAUAAAUGAUAUCGCUUUAACAUAUUAGCGUACACUUAAUAUGAUUUAAUUUAAUUUAAUUAAUUAACAUCUCACCGCAAUAAAUUUGACCAUUUGCAACCAUAAACAGUUGACACCUUACUAAUAUAAUCAAUAUAGCUGAAAAAUUAUAGUGAUUUAAAACAAUUCAUUAAAAUGUUUGUAAAUGUUUUUAUUUUGUGACGAUGAUUCUCGUGUUAUCUUUUAUGUAUUGUCGCUAUCGUACGUGAACGCCCGACAUGAGGGUCAUUUGAAGUCGUCAUCUAGUUGUUUAGUUCAAGGUCACUAAAAAACCUAGAAAUACUAGUCCUGUUAGAGAUUUGAGAGUAAAGAACUAGUUGUAGUUAAAGAUUGUAUUAACACUCCUAGCGCACCCUACCCAAGUAAAUUACUUUUGUGUUUAAACGUGGUUUAGAGAUUUUGAUGGUUUUCUAAUAUAUCUAUAGUUUAGGAUUGAGACUUGCUUGUAUGAAUAAAUUUGGUGUUUAAUAAUUUAUCAUGGAUUCUUGUACCCAGAUAAAUUCUUAGAAAAAAAAGUUCUUCAUAAUUUGUGUAUUACGGUAAAAAUUACUCUCAAUAAAAAUUCAUGAAUAUUUAGAAUAACUUUGAGGAUUUUUUGGUCAACUCCAAUAUUUCAAAUAUCAGCCUCACUUAUAGGUAUAGUGUUUUAUAUCAAGAUUUUUAACCAUUAAUUAAAAAAUAGUGGUCUAUUAAAAUAUUGACCAAAUUCACAUGAAUUUAAUUAACUAGUUAUUAAAUUCUAAAAUACAUAUUCAUAUAUAAUAUUUUAAUUUGUUUUUAAAUAAAGAAUAUUUUUAAAAAGUAUGUGUCACGAUACCAAAUUAUAGUAUAAAUUAAAAGAAAAAGGAGUUUUUUCUUUAUCACUAUUCACUUAUAUUCAUUUUACUAUGGAUAUUAAUAGUGAAUUUUUUGAAAAUUUCCAAUUUGGUACUCAAUUAUUUUUUUUCACAAUUGAGCUCUUUUAAAUCCAAAUUAGAGCCCAAUUUUAAACAAAUCAAGAAGAGAAAAGACUUGUAAAAAAAGUAGAAUUACUGAAAGAAACUCAACAAAGAAUCAAACUCAUACAAUUAAAAAUAAUUGUCUAUGAUGACCAUCUCUGUAUCACACAUUCAGGUAAUAUGAUUGACCUAUAACAUAAAUAAAGCCCUGCAAACAAUUAAAUCAUGCUUCAAAAGCAACAAGACAAGGUAUAAAGUACACCAACAAAAAUAGUUUACUAACUGACACUUGUGAGUUAAAGCAGUAAUUCCCAUUCAAAAUAUUGCAUUUUGAUGACAUAAUUAAGAUCAUUUAGAGACAGUGACAAUCAAAUAAAAAAAAAAAAAUGUGUAAAAGUACUCACGCAAAGAAAGAAACGAAUGAAAGGUUCAGGGUAAUCACUUAAGACUCCUCCAUGGAUGAUAGCAGCUCGCUUCCAACAACAAAUAUAAUUAACCUAAGCUGUGAUGGGUCAAAGUUCUUUUUAGUUUUCUUAUUAAAAAAAAAAAAAAAAACAGAUCAACAAGAGAAAAGACUUGUAAAAAAAUAGAAUUACUGAAAGAAACUCAACAAAGAAUCAAACUCAAGCAAUUAAAAAUAAUAGUCUAUGAUGACCAUCUCCUAUCACACAUUCAGGUAAUAUGAUUGACCUACAACAAUAUUAAAAAAACAAAAAAAAAGCUAAUAGAUGGUCGCCAAGUGUUCAACUUUAUCUAGCCUUAGGAAAGGAUAUAAAGUGGGAGAGAUAGACGUCAAAAGGCUUAAAAAAAAGAAAAAAGGAAAGGCAGAAACGGAAGAAGACAUUGAAAGAAAUAAAAAAACGAUAGUGGCAUUAAAAAACGAUAAGUUAUUUAACGUCUUUUUAGGGGGGGAAGAGACAUCUGUUUAUUUAAAGAAAGAAAAUAUAUAUAUAUAUAUAAAUACUCUCUCUUCCAAUUUCCUCUCCCAGCUGAAUUUUGGCGACCGCCCACACAACGAUAGCCUACACAACCACCUUUCAAGACCCCAUCUCUCAAUCUCAAAACCAAAAACAACCCUUUCUCCAUUUAUCCGAACCUCAUAACUCCAGGAAAGUGAAGGACUAAACCAUAGUGGCAAAAAUCUUAAAGGGUUCUAAAUUAUCUCUGUUACUUUCCCUUAAUUUUCUAGACAAGUAAAAGGAGCUAAACUUAUUCCCGACCAAAACGUCAAGAAUUUCAGUAGAACAAAAGAAGAGAUCAUUACUUGACCAAAAACAACUAGUCAGCACCCAAAGAAACCGAGUGAAUGAGAGAAAAUUAAAGACUAAUAGCUAGAAAACAAUCAACAGAUCCAAGAAUUUUCUGUAUGGUUUCCAAGAAAAUGAAACGAAAUGAGCAGCACAACCCUCUUUAUCCUCCAAGAAAAGAAAGAAAAAGAAAGGAAAGAAACAAAGAAAGUCAAACUUGGCUCCUCUUUUAGUGUUAAAAAAAAAAAAACAAAGAAGUUCGAGGAAGUGGGCUGCCUUUUUUCUGCUGUUCAUGUGGUGUUCAGCUGUUCACGCAGACUAAGAACUCCUACCAUCGUAAAAUCAUAUAAUUAAAACACAACAAUAAAAAAGUAAUAAGCAGCUAAUUAUGUGCCAAAAUCAGAGAAAUAAGGAUACAAACGUGAGAGUAAGUCAUUGCAAGUAAAAGAGGCGCAGAGAGGAUGGGAAUAGGAAUUUCAUUACCUCAACUUGAGAAAAUAUGUGCGACAAGCACGGGUACUGAUUCCUCAAUGAAAUCGAGAAGGCCUUUAGCUCUGUAUGGAAUCCAGCUUCAAAAGCAACAAGGCAAGGUAUAAGCAUUUUGAUGACAUAAUUAAGAUACUAUGCGUCGUAAUAUAGAGACGGUGACAAAGAAUUAAAGAAAAAUAAUGUGUACAAGUACUCACCAAGCAAAGAAAGAAACGAAUGAAAGGUUCGGGAUAAUCACUUAGACGCCUCCAUGGAUGAUACCAGCUCGCUUCCAACAACAAAUAUAAUUAACCUAAGCUAUGAUCGGUCAAAGUGUUUUUUAGUUUUCUUCUUUAAAAAAAAAAAAAAAAAACAGAUCAUCAAGGGAAAAGACUUGCAAAGAAGUAGAAUUAAUGGAACGAACACAACAAAGGAUCAAACUCAGGCAAUUAAAAGUAAUUCUCUAUGAGUACCAUCUGUGUCACACACUGACUCAAGUGAGGAGAGAAAAGAAAGAGAAAGAAAGGAAAGGGACAAGGAAGGCAGAAAGUAAGGUCACGUAGGGCCAGUCUUGUAUAAAGUUUGAAAAGUAGCAUGAAAGAAGAGGAUAAUAGAGUAGUUGUCAGAAUCAAAACACGUAUAAACAGAGGACAAAAACAGGGAGGGAGGCUGUUUGUUUUUUUAAUUGUGUCUGAGUGCUUUUUAUAAUUAUAUUUAAUUUAAAAAAUAUUAAAUUAAUGUGGUUAAAAAUAUUUAAUUAUAACUCAAUUGCAUUUUUUUUUUAAGGAAAUAGGUUGAAUUGAGAAACAGAGAAACUCGGCAAAAAUAUGUGGUUAAAAUCAAUCCAUUUUUUUUAAAAAAAAAACUCCUUAGUUGUUAAGGAAAGAUUGGUAGUGGGAACAAAUCACCAAAGUCAGCAGCAAGGAAGUUCCAGGAAGUGGGCAGCCUUUCUUCUGCUGUUCAUGUGGUGUUCUGCUGUUCAUGCAGACUAAGAACUCCUACCAUUUUUAAAAUAAUAUAUUUAAAAUACAAUAAUAAAAAUGUAAUACGCAGCUAAUUAAUGUAUUAAGCAGCUAAUUAAUGCUGUUGUUCUUUCUUCUUGUUAUUCUAUUUUGAUUUUACUGUAUUUUAAAAAAAUUUAUGAUUGUGAAAACUAGCCAAACCAUUAGAUCCAAGCAAUCUGAGAGGGUAUUCAAGAGUGUAGUUGUCGUUGUUUUUCAAAGUAUUUUUCACUUGGAAAUGCAUCAAAAUAAUAUUUUUUUUAUUUUUAAAAUUUUUUUUUUGACAUCCUUGUAUCAAAAUAAUAUAAAAAAACCAAAAAAAUAUUAAUUUGAAGUAAACACAAAAAUAAAAAAAAUUAGAAACUAGUGUAGCUGCGCCCAAUGUUGUCCCGAGAUACUUUUUAUAAUCUAACUUUUUUAAUAUAUUUUUUAUUUAAUUAUGCAAUAUAUUCAUAGAAAACACUAAAAUUAAAAUUAUAGACAAAAAAAUAUAUAUUUCAUCAAAAUUUUCUAGUCUGAUUAAUGUAUUUUUCUUAAAAAAAAAAGUUUUGACAAUAUAAAAAGUAAUAACUAGGAAAAAGUAUCCUAAGAAACUGUAAUGAUUAGAACUAAAAAAAUAUUUUUUUUUUGUUGGAAACACAAUUUUUUAAUUCAUGCAUUUUUUUUAUUUUUUAAAAAUUUACUUUUUAUGAGUAACAUUAUUUUACUAAAAUGUCCCUAAUACAUAAUUAUUCAUAAAUUAAUGAAAAUAUCAUAAUAAAAAUGCCUAAUCUUCUUGAAAACAAUUAAAUAAUUGAACAAUCAUUUAAAUAUUAUUUUAAUAAAUUGAUUGAAAGAUUUAUUUUAUUAAAAAUAAAGAAUAAAAAUGAAUUGAUAUCUAAGAUAAAGGUCAUACAAGCCUUCAAAGAUAAUAUAUGUACGUGUAUAAUACAAAUUAAUAAAUUCUAAGUAGUAAUAUUUAAUGCAAGUUUAAGAAUAAGAGUUUGCUUUGUGUUUUGUUGUGAGAUUAACCAUAUCAAAUUAUAUAUUUAAUAAUAAAUAAUUGUGCUGUGUUAUGAGUAAAAUCAAUAAAUUAUUUGGUAUUCUGCUGUCUUGUUGUUUGAAUUAAAAGUAUUAAUAAGAAUAUAAAUUAAAUUAAAUAUCGAAAAAACUAAAUGAAUUCCUUAAUAAAUAAAUAAAUUCUUUCUUUAGAAAGCAUGGAAAUACCAUGACAUUGGCUUUUUGGAGAAUACUACGAUUUUUACAGCCAAAAAAGUUAUCGAUAGCUGUGUAAAUCAUUGAAAUUGCCACAAAAGCAACCCAAAUUAGUUAUGAAUUGGAUUCGAUGGAAGGAAGAGGGGAAGAGGGGAAAUGGGUAACGGCUAAUUAUAAGUUCAUUAAAAAAAAUCUGGAACGCAACAGAUGGAAAAAACUCGAAACAACUCGUCUAGAAUUUAGGCAAGAAGAAUGAGCCAAGAUUUUAAGUGCAAUGAAAUUUGUCUCACUUUGUUCUUUUUUUUUUUAAUGAUACAAGAUAUACUGACUGUUUUAAGUGAAACAGAAUGGAAUCGACAACUUUAAAGGGAGCAGAGACCACAUAUGUAUAGCUCGAAUUCGAUAGCCUUUCUCCUGUACUGACAUGUGAUUUACAUGCACCAACAUUUCUUUCUUCUUUAUUUUGUAAUAUUCUACAUUGGCGAGUAAGGAUUUGGUAGCUGACCUUAUUAAAAGUGUUGGUUGAUGACUUGUCAGACACGUUUUGAGACCAUGCGUGAUAACAAAAAACAAAACCAUGAGGGUGGUAAGGCCCAAAACGAACAAUAUCUGACAGAUUGGACCGGACUGUGACAUUUGGUAUUAGAGCUGACCUCACUAGCUAUUCAGUUGUGCUGACAGGGUCAUUGAGCUCCUUAACAGGGGUGAAUUGUAAUAUCUCACAUUGGUGGGUGAGGAUUUGGUAACUAGCCUUACUAGUAAUGCUGGUUGCUGACUUGUUAGAUGCGUUUUGGGGUUAUGCGUUGUCGAUACACGACGUCGGGCGACGGCUCCCGCUUUUUUUGUUUAUUUAACAAAAAGGGUUUUUUUUUCUCGAUUGGGGGAAACAAAGAUUUUAUUGGAGUCGCCAUCUAGUAAUUUGAGGGAACUAGAAAUCCCAAAUUAGACACUGGUCCCAGAGAUUCGGGUACGGGGUUAGUUAUGAUUAAGGGAAGGUAGACACCACCCUUAAAACAUCCUUUCAAAAGAAAGGUUACCCUUACUUGUGUGUUUUUAUUUGAUUCAAAUGCGAUUAUAUUUUGGGCUUAUUUGUAAAUUUUUGUAAAUGAUUAACGUCGGUCCCUAAAAAUAGGAGACACGUUAAAAAUGACAUCAGUCCCUAAAAAUUGGAGACUCGUCUGAGUUACCAAAAGAAAUAAUGGAUAUAAUCCAUUAUAUUUUGGGUUUAUUGGUAAUUUGUUUUUUUAAAUGGUUAACGUCGGUCCCUAAAAAUAGGAGACACGUUAAAAUGACAUCAGUCCCUAAAAAUUAGGAGACUUGUCUAAAAUAUGACGUUUCAACCCUAAAAAGGAGAAUUACGUCUGGGUUACCAAAAACAAUAAUGGACAUAAGCCAUAUUUGGUAUUUACAUUUUUUUGACAUCGGUCCUUUUAAAAAAAAGAGACGUGUCGGCUUUGGUUUUUGUAUUGUUUACAACAUGCAAGAAAAUUUACAAGCAUUUAUAUAUAAAAAAUAUCAAAAAUACCAGUAGAAACUCCGAAAAAUUACCUGAGUGCCACUGUAUAGGUAAAAGACUGAAAUACCCUCAGGUUUCUCCAAAAUUUACAAAAAUGCCACUGGCGGCGCGUGUAGCACACGCGCGGCUACUGUUGGCGGCGGGGAGAUUUUCCGGCGCGAUUUCUGGCCAACCGAUGGUCGAUCCUGGUAGAUCUGAUGUCGAGGAUUCUUAUGGUGGUGGUCUUGACGGCCGUUGAUGGCUGAUGAGCGAGAAUCGACGACUUGAAGCUUCGGUGGCAGCCGACGAUCGCGGCCCGUUUCCGGCCAAAUAGAGCGGCGAAAACGCUGAAAUCGGCCGGGGUUUUGCUUUAUAUGAGGAAGGCGACCUUUCUGUGGUGGUUUUCAAGCUUGCAGUGGCCGGAUAUGGGAGAUCGGAGGAGAGAGAGGGAGUCGCCGGCGAGAGGAGAGAGGUGCUCUGGGUUAUGCUAUGGUGAGAACGCAAACACGGUACACCAGUGCUGUUGAUGCUUGUGAUCCGUAGGAUCUCUGAUGGAAAUAUCGUGCGGCUGUGAUUGGCCCGAUCUGCAGGUUGAUCGGACGGUCCGGAUGAGCGGAGCUUUGAUCUGGUGUGGCGCGGUGCACCAAAUCUCGGUACACCGGAUGACGUGGCGCAACGGGAUCAAAUCUUGGAAUAUUUCAAAGGCUGAGAUGUGUUUGGGUUUUAAUCUAGUGUGGUAAGCCCUAUUGUAUCCUAUUAAAUCAACGGUUCAGAUCUAAACACUAUUAGAUCUAACGGUUAGGAUAUAUUUGGUAUUUUUCAUAUUGUUUUUAAUAAAAAUCAAUAUCCUACCCUCGUGAAGAAAUAGUAAAAAAAACCUGAAUAGUAAACUCUUCUUUUUUUUCUUCUCCUUUUUUUUCUCUUUUUUUUUCCUCUGGCGCACUGUUGGCUAUUUAUAGCAGGGGACAGCAAGCAUCGGCUUUAAAUUAAAAAAUGUAUCCAUCCAACUGCUCGUCUACAAUGUAACUGCCCCGCCUAAUAUGACAAUUCUGUAUUAUUAAUUUUGUUUUAUUAUAUAUAAUAAUAUAUAUUUAUAUAGGUAAAAUUAAAACUUAAAUCAGUAUUAGAAAAAGCCUGAUUCAACUGCUAAAAAUCAAUUUUAAUUACCGAAAAUUAUGUUGAAACAUAAAAAAAAACUUUCAACGGAUAUAAACCCGGUGGACCGGGUUUUGACCAAAAAAUAACAGGUUUGACCCAAAACGGCAUGAAACUCAUUUUUUAUCCUGGUCGACAUGGUUUGACCCGUAUUGACCCGGUGAACUCGGUUUUGGUCAAAAAUGACGGUUUUGACCCGAAACGGCCCGAAACUCAUUUUUUACCCUGGUCGACAUGGUUUGACCCGUAUUGACCUGGUGAACUCGGUUUUGGUCAAAAAUAACGGUUUUGACCCGAAACGGCCCGAAACUCAUUUUUUACCCUGGUCGACAUGGUUUGACCCGUAUUGACUUGGUGGACUCGGUUUUGACGGAAAGAUGCGGUUGACUCGAGAAAAAUAUUUUUUUGAAUUUUCCUUUUUCUUAAUUUUUUUGGAUUUUUAUAAAUAAUAAUAGAAAUAAAAUAACAUUUGAGAAAAUCUUGGUGGAUCCAAAAUUGGGUUACAACAGUUGCCCCCUCUUUACAAUGCUUACGGUGCAAAGGCAUUGGAAAAUUCAUUUUCUUUUGACUUUGCAUAGUAAGUUUUGUAAAGAAAAACGAUGAAAGUGUUGAAAAAUGCACAGAUUUUUUCAGUUGGUCUAAUUCUUAUGGGCGACCUGCCCAAAUGAAAAACAUGAAAGUGUUUUCAAUAUUGAUCUGGUGAAAUACAUGAAAGUGAUUUCAGAUUAAUGUUGUGAAAUACAUGAAAGUGAUUUCAACAUUGUUUUUUUUUUUUUUUGUGAAAUACAUGAAAGUGAUUUCAACAUUUGCAUUGUGAAAUACAUGAAAGUGAUUUCAACAAUGGUUUUGUGAAAUACAUGAAAGUGAUUUCAACAUUUGUUUUCUGAAACACAUGAAAGUGAUUUCAGAUUAGCAUUGUGAAAUACAUGAAAGUGAUUUCAACAAUGGUUUUGUGAAAUACAUGAAAGUGAUUUCAACAUUUGUUUUCUGAAACACAUGAAAGUGAUUUCAGAUUAGCAUUGUGAAAUACAUGAAAGUGAUUUCAACAAUGUUUUUGUGAAAUACAUGAAAGUGAUUUCAACAAUGUUUUUGUGAAAUACAUGAAAGUGAUUUCAACAAUGAGCUUCAGGGUUGAUGAAACAUUCUAAAGGAAGUCAUACCUGUAUGGUUGAGAUCUGAUUUGUAAAUCGAUCUCAGAGAUGAUGAAAUCUUCUCAAGAAAGUCUUGUAUGUACGGUUGGGAUUUGAUUUGUAAUUGGAUCCCAAAGAUGAGGAAAGCUUUUCAAGAAAGUCUUGUAUGUACGGUUGGGAUUCGAUUUGUGGAUCCCAAAAAAUGAGGAAAGCUUCUCAAGGAAGUCUUGUAUGUACGGUUGGGAUUUGAUUUGUGGAUCCCAAAAAAAUGAGGAAAACUUCUCAAGGAAGUCUUGUAUGUACGGUUGGGAUUUGAUUUGUGGAUCCCAAAAAAAUGAGGAAAACUUCUCAAGGAAGUCUUGUAUGUACGGCUGAGAUUUCUGCCGUUCAAAGUGAUGGUAGAAGUAAAUUUCUUAUAAAUCACGCAGUAUUUGGCAAAAGACAUCAUCAACUUCUUGCAUUUUCAAUACUCUCAAAGUUCUCAACUUUUGAAGCUUUAACCAUGUCUUCCUCUUCUUCCAAUGCUAACCCAAACCCUGUUCCUGCAGUAGAGCCUGCAGUUUGGCGUACUACCUUUGAAGUGAAUGGUCGUCCAGUUACAAUAGAGGAUACUGUAAUGGACAAUGAAGAUAUUGCUGUAGCUGUGGCUAGAGACAUGAUCCUUCCUCGUGAUGAAAUAAUGUUGGCAGCCAGGACCGAUAUUGAAGCAGUGAAUCAGUCACUUGCUCUCAGUAUCAGAGCUACCUCGUCUUUGGUGAACGUUGCAGAGCGUCUUCAUGCCAGAAGACUUGAGUUGAAUACUCAGGUUCUUGAUCUCCAUCAUCAGAUUGAGAAUUUAAGGAAUAGACUUCGUGAUGAGAGACGUCACAGAAACAACUUGGAGAGGAGAAACCAAGAGUUAAAUACACGUGUUGACUUUUGGAGGGACUAUGUUAACACACGACACCUCGAGUUCGAGGAAGAGAUGGAGCGCAUGCAUAAGCAAUUCGAGGAAUUCUGAGGCAUGAUUAACCAUCAAGAUGAAAAUAUCCCUGAUCGUCCUCGCACUGUUUAACAUUUGUACUUGUAAACCCCUUUUCUAUGAAUAAAAAUCCAUCUUUCUUGUCUUCAUUUAUGAAUUUUGCUUUUGUGGAAUUGCCAUAUUUGAUGUGAUUUACAAGAACUUCAAGUCAUGUGAGUCUCGUUGGAUCCCAGUGGGAACUUUGUUUCGUGAAAUAUCUGCAAAACAAAUAUGCAAUGAAAUAUAGGUUCCCCCCUCUUUGAUGCUUCAUCGUCAUGGGGUGGCUUUGUUUGCAUUCCAAAGCCUUCUUUGUUCUUUCGAUGCAUUGUUUGCAUUCCAAAGCCUUCUUUGUUCUUUCGAUGCAUUGGCUCAUUCAUGUGCUAGCCAUCCACUCAGCUGUAAAUGCAGUGCCCAUCUUGGGCUGUCCGUGAUGAUUACUACUCUCGCUGUUUAUCAAGCUUGACAAUGCCCCCAAGUGUAGUGUUGCUUGAUUUAUCAUGAAGAAGCUUAACAAAUCGUUCAUCUCCUGGAUUCUUUCAAGAAUUGUUCUCUGAUUGAUUGUGCGCAUCGUGCCAACACCCAUCAAGAUUGUCAAUCAGUUAUGAACUCGACUUCAGUUGAAACAUGCCCUUCAAGUAUAUGCGGUCAUCCACUUUCAUGGAACUAUCAUGUCAUUCAGACAUGCAUUUCAUACUUUGCAGUAAAAAACUCAUCUUUGUAUGCUCAGCUUCUUUCUCAAUAAGUUCUUCUCAGCUCAUCUAACCAGAUUGUGAAAAGAAAUGCCUCAACCUCAUCAAUGAUGUCGCUUUUAUCACCCAUACUCAUGUGGUGCAGUGCACAUUGACUUCAAAUCAGAUGGUCUCACGGUCAGUCUAGGUGGGUGCGGUGCAUUCUUCCAACAUUCAUGCAAAAGCGAUCAUGUGAUAACAUCUUUCAAUAGUCAUAGCCAUAUUGGAGAUGAUAAACCAAGAUGAAGAUAUGAAGAUGUCCUUCAGGUACAUCUUUGCUCUCAAUUGUUGUCGGGGUUUACUGGAUCAUAAACUGUUCUUGAACAUCAUUGCCCUUAAUUGAUCUGAAUGUGCUCAUUCACUGAUUAUCUUUCUUUGAACCAUAUUGUCCUCGGUUUAUUGAUUCAUCAUUUGAUCGUCUCUAUCCCCCAGCUGAUUUAAACACUGUUUGUUUUCCUUCUCGGAGGUCCAUUGUAUUGCCCCCAGGAGUGUCGAGGAGAAUUGAUGUCAUUUCUGUCAGGAAUUUGCAAACUUGGUUGAUGUUUUUCUUUUGAAAAUCUUUCUUAUUUUGGAAUCAAAUCUCACAUUUCAAAGGUCAUGUCUAUUCAAGUCUAAUUGUUGAAAUGAAAUCAGAGAGAUGUCAAUUUUUGAAAGUAUUUUUGGAAAUCAAGCUUUAUUGGUCAAAGAUCCAACACACGCUAUUCAAUGUAGUCCUUUGAUUGUCUUGUAUUUUGAGAGAAAAGAAAUUGACUCAUUGUAAGAUUAAAAUGGCUUUUCCAUGGUUCUUUGUAUCCAUUUUAAACUCUAAUUUUGGGUAUAUCUUUUGAUUGUCUGUAAUGAGGUGACCUGUCUGAAUUUCAAGAAAAACAAGGUACCCGAGUCAAAACUUGAGGCUUUAUCAGGAAAGAUUGUUUCUUUUUCUUAGCAACAAUUUUAUCAGCAUGCAUAAUAAUCAGUAGCUUGAUUCAUGAAGUCACGACCUGUAUGAACAACUCUUCAAGUUUUGAGAUCGUCAUUUAUCGGUUCAGAUUGCUUACUUGAUUAAAAAGGACUUUCUAAAGCACGUAAUGUAGGCUAUGGUUCAUGGCUAUGAAAGAAAGGAAUUUCACAAGCUCAAAAGGUGUUUGAGGGUUUCAAGAACCUAGGAUCACCAUCAAUUACUCAUCAAUCUCUUUUCCUCACGUUGUCUUUGUAGAGACAGUGACAUAUAACCUUGUUAAUCUCAAAAAUCAAAAUUUGUUUAACAUAGGUCAUAACGCAAAUCCAACUUUUCUUUGAUGAAUAGCCAAUCUAAUCUUUUGAAGAUCGUAAAGGCUUUAUCAUAGACACACCAAAAGACAUCACACUUGAUUUUUUUUCGGGUUAACUUUUGGCAUUUGUUGUGUCUUUAUCAAUCUUUGGCUUUCUUCUUCUAGCCAUUUCUCAAUCAUUGAACUUUUGUUCUAAGCCUUCCCUUUAUCCAUCGACUCUAACAUUGUCUUCGUCUUUUCUAGGAAAAGAUUCUCAUUGCCCCCAGUGUGGGUGUGAUCCUAGUCAGGGUUUUUUAUGAAAGAAAUAUUCUAUCAGCUCAAAAUGGGACUGCAAGGGAUAUAUAUUUCAAGAAUUGUGAAAGGAUGAAACAAAAAUGGCCUUUUCUCAUUUCAAGCAAGGUCGGUUAGAACCAAUAAAUUUUAACCUCAUCCAAUGUAAUGAUUUAGACUUGUACGAAUCAUAAUUCAUGAGUCCAUAACUACUGAAUCCACUACGUAUCAUUAUGCAUACUGCUAAAACUUAGCUACAUGGUGUAUGGUUCAAUUUCAUGUAUGAGCUCAAAAGUUUCUUGGUCACCUCAUGUCAUUUCAGUAAGCAUUGAGUCAUUGAAGCAACAUAAUUUGAAUCUUCAGGAUUGACUAAUCUUAAACGCAUGUUGGAGCUUGAUCAAAAUAUUUUGUAAAUAACCUUUGAAAGAAACAUCUCAUGCGUUCAGAACAACAAAGGGACAAAGAAAAGACAUGUUUUGUUAAAAGAUGAGAUGUGAUCCCAAAAUAAAAUGCAGAAUGACAAAACUCAUAACAAAAAGGAUCGACAGUUUAACACUCUUCUUGGAUCAGCUUUUCUGGCGAUAUCUGUGUUUUGCCAAGCAUUUCGAUCACUUGUCAAUUUGAGGAUGUUGAGGUGACAAUAUGGCCGAUGACGUCAUUUUGCACAAACUCAACUUGAUUCUUGAAAUUCUUGCAACUGUUCAACUGAAUGGCACAAAAUCCCCCAAUGAUAUUCAUGUAUCUUUUACUAAGGGAUGAGGGCUCAAAGGCGCACUCAAAGGGAGUUGAGGGCUCAAAGGCGAACUCAAAAUGGAGGUGAGGGCUCAAAGGCGCACUCAAAAGGAGAUGAGGGCUCAAAGGCGUACUCAAAAGGAGUUGAGGGCUCAAAGGCGCACUCAAAAUGGAGGUAGGGUUAGAAAACGCACUACCUAAGGGAUGAGGGCUCAAAGGCGUACUCAAAAGGAGUUGAGGGCUCAAAGGCGCACUCAAAAGGAGGUAGGGUUAGAAAACACACUACCAAAAGGAUGAGGGCUCAAAGGCACACUCAAAAUGGAGGUGAGGGCUUAAAGGCGCACUCAAAAGGAGUUGAGGGCUCAAAGGCGCACUCAAAAGGAGUUGAAUUGGCAGAGUCAGGGCAAUAAGUCCGGAGUCUAAUAGAUGAUGGUGGACAAACUCGAGUGGUCGAGGUAUGUCAAUCUUAGCAAAGACAUUUGAGCAAUUGAUGUUACAGUGAGACCUGGUUGGACCACAUAAUUAAGGCUUCCCAUCGUUAGAGGCAUCCUUUGAUUCAUCUCUCAUUAUUGUUCUAGAAUUCUUGGUAGAAUCUUCAAUCAUUCCCCUCUUCAUAGCUUGUUCAAAUCUUUCAACAAUCCUCACAACAUCAUAUCAAUCUUUCCAAUGUUGUUGUGGUUGUUUGUGGAUUGGUAGAAACUUUCCAACAGCCAGGCAAUCUUGGUAGCGCAUAGAAACAUGCAGCACCACCACUGCCGACGUGUGGAAUCAUGCGUUGUCUCAACUGGAAGAGAAACUGAUGAAUCUGAAAACCCUUUUGUCUCCUCUUUGAUUCCUCACUGGCAGUGCAACAAACAAACACCUAUAGUGGGAAUUCUGCUCUGUUAAAGUUUCAAUGUCUGCUCUUGUUUUUCUCAGAGCAGCAUCCGAUACUGCUGGAUCGGAAUGGUGUUCACAAGAGAUGUCUGGAAAGAAAGCCAAUGCACCAGGAACAGAAAGCUAGCAACUGUUAUGUGCCCUUGGAAUAUGUGAAGGCUUUGAAUGACUAUCAGUGCAGUUGAACGAGAACAAGGGUUGUCGUCAUUAAUUGUGACUGAAGGCAUUACUGUCAUUGUUCAUUGUUCAUGAUGAAAAAGGAGAGGUGCAACUUCAAUGGAACUUAUUCAAACAGAUUUAUGAGUCUGUACAGACGUUCCCUUUCCACUCUUGAAGCUCAACACUUAUUCAAACAGAUUUAUGAGUCGAGUAGACCUCAGCAGGUGGGGGAACUUAUGUUUCAACCGUGUGCAUGCUUGAUAAAUGAAUGAAAUGCACAAAUGGAUGCAAAAUGCCAUAUGUUUUAUGCAUGCUUGUUAUUUGUUUCAAGGUUUCCUUAUGACGAGGAAUAGACCAGAUCAGAUUCUCUUAAGAAAGUUCUCACUGAGGACUCCAAACCUACAGGAACUUGAACCGAUUUAGGGGAGAAAUUUGAUGCCAUAAAUCAGAAUAAACAUUUCUCAUAACAAAAAGAUGAUGAAAUUGUCUUUUAUUAAUUCAUAAUAUUAAAAGUGCAACAAGUCAAUCUUUCCAAAGCCUUGGACCGUCGUAUGCUGAGAUCUCAUUAAUUCCAUCUCUGAUCAACCCAAAAAACUGAUGGAAUUCAUUUCUGGUCAUUGGCUCACCAUCUGCUAUUUGUUGGGCUAGGCCUCGUAAUCCUAAAGCAUAAUUCUUGGCAUCAUCUGCUUGUACAUGAUAGCGCAUAGCUUCAGAAGCCCAACAUUCUGCUUCUUUUUCUGCCUUUUCUUUUUCUGAUGAUAAAGUUUGCUCAAUAAAAAGCAAAUGGUCUAAAUGCUCAUCUAAAUUGGCAAUUAUUACAUCUUGCUUUUGAUGUUGCUCCUGAAGUGAUUUAUUUGUCUCUUCCAACUUUAAUACCAUUUCCUCAGCUUUCGAUGCUCUUCUAACCCAUCUCUUCAUGUUGACAUCUUGCUUCGUCUUAUCUUCUGACAAAAGUACAUAUUUUUCUUGUAAUUGCUGGAAAUCAAGUUGUUGAUGUUGUAGCUGAGCUGACAAGUCAUCAUUUUCCUGUUUUAUGAUAACCAAAGCUUUUUCUCGAGUGGCUAGAUUAGAUUCUAACUUUCUUUUUUUAGCCCCUAACUCUUCCACUUCAGCAUUCAAACUUAGGUUAUAAGAUUCUUGUUGGGCGCGAACUUCUUCGUGUAUGUCUUCAGCAGACUGAAUCAAAGACCUGGGUGGUCCUUCAAAAGGAGGAACUUUGUACCCUUUCCCUCUCUUCUUUUGCCAUAUUGGAUAUCCUUCAGUUGUUUUUCCUUCUACUCUCUUAGCAGAAGUAACCCUACCAGGAUGUUUCCAUGCCUUCUUCACUGACUCCAAGAAUUUCUUUGAGGUCUUGAAAUCUUCAUAAAAUGUUGCCAGUUUAGUAGUCCUUGGAAUAAACUGCUCAAAUCCAAACUGUCGUAAAACCAGGUUAGGACAGUAACUAAUACAGCAGCGGGCUCCAAUCAACGGGACCCAUGGGUACUCACCACAAUACGCCAGAUAAGAUUUGAAAUAAGCAUAUCGACUUCUCCAAUGAAAUUGAGAUUUACUUAGACUUAGGAACAUUGAUUCCCAUGUGGUUUUUCCUACUUCAUGCAAGUGUUUUUCAGCAAAAUUCUCCAGCUGAGAAUAAAGAUGCCACGGGGUACCAACCAAACCUGAAAUCUUCCCCUCAAUCAUAUGACUCACAGUCCAGACAAACAAUAACUGCAAGCAACAUCUUAAACGACCCCUUCCAGCUUUUCUGCAAUAAUUCAAGGAUGAGAAAGUUUCUGCCAAUAUUGCUGUAGCAGGGUUAAUUUUAAGGGUCACCACAUUUGUGAAUACAUUAACAGCUUCAAAAUCAAUCAUUCCUUCGGCAGAUGGGAAAAGAACCAAACCAUAUAUGCCUAAGGCCAAAAUUCUCAAUCGAAUUUCAUUGCUUUCAUCAUGUAAUCUCUUCUUGAAUAUGGCUUCUAGCUCAUUCCAAAACCAACCCUGGCUAUUUCCUCGUUUAGUUGCAUGUGAUUUUGCUAGUUGACAGUCUGUCUGGGUAAUCCAAGCAAAGUUAGAAAGUGCAUGCUCUAUAGGUGUGUAAAAGUACACCUUUUCUGACUUGGGACAAUUUAGCAGGGAUUCAUACUCCUCGAUAGUAGGAGUCAUAUCCACAGUAUCAAAUGUGAAGCACCGAUAUUCUGGAUCCCAAAACCCUAUCAUGGCCUGAAAACAAGCAUGUUGGACCCUAAUUUUCAGUAAAUGUGAUAGAUCCCCAUAUUGUUUCUGAAAAGUGAUUUGAUCAUGAGAGGAUAACUUUUCCCAGCAGUCUAGCAGUUGUCCUGUACCAAGUGGUCUGUCAUCUAAUUUAACAUGCUCUGGCAACUGAGACUUAAAUUCUGAUGGCAAACAAUCCCCUUCAUCAUGCUGGCUCAAUUCUGAUCUGGUCAAAAAUUCCUCAAUGGUAAUGGAUUUUUCCAUCUCACACUUCCUGUAAGGAUCGGUGGAGACUUAAUGAGCAUAUGAAAUGUAUAUGAACAUGUAUGUUCAUGCAUUGACAUUUGUUCGUGUCCUAAUGGGUAUAUCCUACUUGAUAGGAUCUAGCUCAUAAGGUUUGGCUCAGUUUAGUCUAUCCUUAAAGAUAUUCUCCGGUUCUUAGAUUGCCCGAAUUACUCGUGAAGUAAUCGGCCUCUUAACCUUAUACAACAUGAGUAGGGGAGAAAGACUCCACAGUACUAGUUGCAUAGGGUGAGUUACAAUCCAAGCAAAAGUCCAAAUGAGCAUCAGUGGACAUAAGUCACACUUGCCACUUGAAUCUCUCUUUUCUAAUCUUAAAAAGGACGAGCUCGGGUCCAGAGCUUUUAUGGGUUCACAGUGAAGUGUGUGAAUACACAAAUAAUAAUAUAUAUGUAUGUGAUGAAAUGAAAAAUUGAAAAGAAUCAUAGUAGAUAUUGCAUAAAAUAAAUAAUGCAAAUAAAAUAAGUGCCCAAAAAUAAAUAGCGAUAAGAAAGAGCAAAUGAAAAGCAAACACAAGCAGUUGGCUCAACCCUAAGUCCCCAGUGGAGUCGCCAUUCUGUCGAUACACGACGUCGGGCGACGGCUCCCGCUUUUUUGUUUAUUUAACAAAAAGGGUUUUUUCUCGAUUGGGGGAAACAAAGAUUUUAUUGGAGUCGCCAUCUAGUAAUUUGGGGGAAACAAAGAUUUUAUUGGAGUCGCCAUCUAGUAAUUUGAGGGAACUAGAAAUCCCAAAUUAGACACUGGUCCCAGAGAUUCGGGUACGGGGUUAGUUAUGAUUAAGGGAAGGUAGACACCACCCUUAAAACAUCCUUUCAAAAGAAAGGUUACCCUUACUUGUGUGUUUUUAUUUGAUUCAAAUGCGAUUAUAUUUUGGGCUUAUUUGUAAAUUUUUGUAAAUGAUUAACGUCGGUCCCUAAAAAUAGGAGACACGUUAAAAAUGACAUCAGUCCCUAAAAAUUGGAGACUCGUCUGAGUUACCAAAAGAAAUAAUGGAUAUAAUCCAUUAUAUUUUGGGUUUAUUGGUAAUUUGUUUUUUUAAAUGGUUAACGUCGGUCCCUAAAAAUAGGAGACACGUUAAAAUGACAUCAGUCCCUAAAAAUUAGGAGACUUGUCUAAAAUAUGACGUUUCAACCCUAAAAAGGAGAAUUACGUCUGGGUUACCAAAAACAAUAAUGGACAUAAGCCAUAUUUGGUAUUUACAUUUUUUUGACAUCGGUCCUUUUAAAAAAAAGAGACGUGUCGGCUUUGGUUUUUGUAUUGUUUACAAUAUGCAAGAAAAUUUACAAGCAUUUAUAUAUAAAAAAUAUCAAAAAUACCAGUAGAAACUCCGAAAAAUUACCUGAGUGCCACUGUAUAGGUAAAAGACUGAAAUACCCUCAGGUUUCUCCAAAAUUUACAAAAAUGCCACUGGCGGCGCGUGUAGCACACGCGCGGCUACUGUUGGCGGCGGGGAGAUUUUCCGGCGCGAUUUCUGGCCAACCGAUGGUCGAUCCUGGUAGAUCUGAUGUCGAGGAUUCUUAUGGUGGUGGUCUUGACGGCCGUUGAUGGCUGAUGAGCGAGAAUCGACGACUUGAAGCUUCGGUGGCAGCCGACGAUCGCGGCCCGUUUCCGGCCAAAUAGAGCGGCGAAAACGCUGAAAUCGGCCGGGGUUUUGCUUUAUAUGAGGAAGGCGACCUUUCUGUGGUGGUUUUCAAGCUUGCAGUGGCCGGAUAUGGGAGAUCGGAGGAGAGAGAGGGAGUCGCCGGCGAGAGGAGAGAGGUGCUCUGGGUUAUGCUAUGGUGAGAACGCAAACACGGUACACCAGUGCUGUUGAUGCUUGUGAUCCGUAGGAUCUCUGAUGGAAAUAUCGUGCGGCUGUGAUUGGCCCGAUCUGCAGGUUGAUCGGACGGUCCGGAUGAGCGGAGCUUUGAUCUGGUGUGGCGCGGUGCACCAAAUCUCGGUACACCGGAUGACGUGGCGCAACGGGAUCAAAUCUUGGAAUAUUUCAAAGGCUGAGAUGUGUUUGGGUUUUAAUCUAGUGUGGUAAGCCCUAUUGUAUCCUAUUAAAUCAACGGUUCAGAUCUAAACACUAUUAGAUCUAACGGUUAGGAUAUAUUUGGUAUUUUUCAUAUUGUUUUUAAUAAAAAUCAAUAUCCUACCCUCGUGAAGAAAUAGUAAAAAAAACCUGAAUAGUAAACUCUUCUUUUUUUUCUUCUCCUUUUUUUUCUCUUUUUUUUUCCUCUGGCGCACUGUUGGCUAUUUAUAGCAGGGGACAGCAAGCAUCGGCUUUAAAUUAAAAAAUGUAUCCAUCCAACUGCUCGCCUACAAUGUAACUGCCCCGCCUAAUAUGACAAUUCUGUAUUAUUAAUUUUGUUUUAUUAUAUAUAAUAAUAUAUAUUUAUAUAGGUAAAAUUAAAACUUAAAUCAGUAUUAGAAAAAGCCUGAUUCAACUGCUAAAAAUCAAUUUUAAUUACCGAAAAUUAUGUUGAAACAUAAAAAAAAAACUUUCAAUGGAUAUAAACCCGGUGGACCGGGUUUUGACCAAAAAAUAACAGGUUUGACCCAAAACGGCAUGAAACUCAUUUUUUAUCCUGGUCGACAUGGUUUGACCCGUAUUGACCCGGUGAACUCGGUUUUGGUCAAAAAUGACGGUUUUGACCCGAAACGGCCCGAAACUCAUUUUUUACCCUGGUCGACAUGGUUUGACCCGUAUUGACCUGGUGAACUCGGUUUUGGUCAAAAAUAACGGUUUUGACCCGAAACGGCCCGAAACUCAUUUUUUACCCUGGUCGACAUGGUUUGACCCGUAUUGACCUGGUGGACUCGGUUUUGACGGAAAGAUGCGGUUGACUCAAGAAAAAUAUUUUUUUGAAUUUUCCUUUUUCUUAAUUUUUUUGGAUUUUUAUAAAUAAUAAUAGAAAUAAAAUAACAUUUGAGAAAAUCUUGGUGGAUCCAAAAUUGGGUUACAACAUGCGUGGUCACCAAGAAUAAAUCUAUGAGGGCGAUAAGGCUCAAAACAGACAAUAUGUUGCAGGUUGGGUCAAGUUAUGACAUAUUCAAUAAUUACUCUUCAAUUAAAUCCUAAAUCUCAUUUCAUCUUUUCAAUUUAAUCCCUAAUUUGACACCAACUCUUCAAUUAGACCCCAAACCUCAUCCCACCUGAGGAAAGCCCUCUUCAUUCAAUUUAGCCCCUUAUUAUCUUCAAUUUAAUAUUGAAUUUUAUUCGAUCCAAGCCCAAAAAAGGCUAAGCGAAGAUAGAAUAAAGGAAGGGAAAGAAAAUGAAUAAUUGCCCAAUCGAGCUAACGUGUUCUGGUCUUUUUUCCAUGAUUCGGGGUGAACAUUUGACAUUUAUCCUUUUUUUCUAUAGUCUUUUCUCCAUGUUUGUUGUGACGCCGCACACGUGCGACAACCAGUAAAUCUAUAGUUAAUUUCAUUUUUUGAUAAAAGAUAAUACCAUCGGUAUAGAAUGGUUACCAACUGUUACUUUAAUAUGCCUUGUAGCCAAUCAGUUAGUUACACGAGGCAUUAUUAUAUUCAUGUAAAUACAUAUUUAUUAUUAAUAAAGGCUUAAUUUAACUUUAAUAUUCAUAUAAUAUUAUAUUAAUGAAUCUAGAGUAUAGAUAAAGUUUAUUAGAUAAAAAUGCUUUGCAAAUAAAAUUAUAAAGUUGUUAUAAUUAUGAGAUUUUUAAUGCAUCAAAGUAUUGCUCAUAAAAUGUUUUUGGUCGAUGUUGUCUUAAAUACUAGAUAUUUAUUAGAGCCAUAAAGACUAAUACAUAUUAUGUUUUUUCCUUUAUGAAAUGAAGCAGUUGUUCUCAUAAGUUGAGUUAUAAGGGAUACCUAAAACUAAUAUGUAUGUGCUUGCCAUAAAACAUAUACACUAAAUUGACCCGCAUGAAAAUUCCAUAUGGAGAGAUCAUAUAUGUCUAUAGAAAGACUCGCAUGACAGUUGUAUAUGUAAUCCUUAGACUUGAGAUCACUAAGUUAUCUUAUAUAGAGAUUGUUAUGCUUUCAUCUUGUUACAUGUUAUCUUAAUUGAGAUAACAAAAUGAUAAGCAUUGAGUAUAUCAUGAACUAUAUGAAGGUUUUCUUGAGUGAUUAAGAGAGGAUUUCAUCACCCUAUGUGAAUUAGAAAAAAUGUUCCAUCUGUUCUCAAAUAGUAUUGACUGAGAAAUCCUUAGCCAAGGUGGAAUGAGAUUUAAAAGGGGUUUCAAAUCUUAUUCAAAUGAUCAAUUACUAUUAUGUAGAGAAUGAACAUGAUUUAACAUGACAAACAUGCUUCAUACUUUAAUGUUAAAUGUUGCUACCCAAUUUUUGACCCAUGUUUUGAUAAAUUUUCAGAAAAAUUCAAAAAUAGCAAAAAACAUUGAAAAUCCAAAAAAAUACAUUUUUAAUACAUUUGCAUCGUUUUUAGCAUUUUUAGCAUCGUCUCAAAAGAAUUUAAAUUUUCAAAGAUGUUUGGAACGUGUUCAACUUUUAACGCAUUAUUUUUAAAAGCAUUGAUUUUCCUCAUUGAGUCGAUGUUGAUAUUGCUCGUUUUCAAAAAAUACAAAAAAAAUAAGAAAAAUCAAAAUUUACAAGAAAAAGAAGUUGAGGGACCAAAUUUUGAGGCCCAAGCUACAUUUUACCUAUAAAUAGUAGCCUUCAACACACACAAAAAAGGGGGGCAAUUUUGAAAAAAAAAAAGAGGAGAAAACCUAACCCUAAACCUAUCUACCCAAAGAGCCGCCCCCCACCCGGCUGGAUUUUUUUUGCUCUCCGAAACCAGCCGUUCAAGUCCUUUCCCUCCUCCACAUCGUCUCCAACUCCUUCUCCCUCAGCCACACACACGACAGAAACCAGAGCUCCCCUUCUCCUCUCCCAGCCGCCACUUGUACUUUCCCCUCUCUCAGCCGAUCCCUCAUCUCCUUUUCCCUACAAACCAGAACGCCGACCCCCCCCAGCCGUUCUCUCACCCUAGACAACCCCCAACAACAGCCGCCACCCUCACAGACCCGGCGACUCCUAGCUUCUCUUCAAUCGGCCACAAACCCAUGAUCGCCCUAUCAGCCACCGUGAACAGCCGCCUCCAGCAUUUCCUUUCCUCAGCACCAGCACCAGCACCGAUCUGUCCAUUCCUCCGCCUCAACACCGCCAGCAAGCUUAUCUCCACCGCGACUUCAGCGACCACGGACGACAGCCACCAGAUCAGAGGAAGGAGAAGACCGAGAACCAGCUGACUACCGCUGCCACCAACAUGAGUGAAGACCGUCAACGCAGCGACCACCACCGAAAGCUCCCCCCACAACCGCCGGCCAUCUAAAACAGAAGAAGAGGAAACAAAAACAACAUGCAGAGAGGAGCAGAUCUGAAAAUGAGAAGGGAGAGAAGCAGAUCUAGACUAAAAUGGAUUGAAAUCGACUGUUUGUUGGGUUUUUUGUUCUUUUGCAGGUGACGGUGGGUGUCACCACCGGCAGAGAAGGGAAAAGGAAAGGAAGCUGAGCCAGACCCCCCCUGUUUUCUGGCCUUUCUCGCGGCGGCGCGUGAACCCACGCUCCGCCAGUGGCGGUGGCGCCUGGGAAGACGCGUCGCCACUGUUCAUGCUGUUCCAGAAGGGCUUCCCAGCACUGUUAUGGAGUUUUGAGGGGUUAUUUUGUAAUUUUCAAAUUUUUAAUGUAAUUUUUUUGUUUAGUUUUGAAUUUUUAUUAUUUGUAGUGUUGAUGUAAAAAAAAAAAAACAAAGAAAAGAAAAGAAAAAAAAUAUAGUGAAAGUGUAUGUGUGUGUUUGUAUUUGCUUUAUGAGUGUUUUAUUUUAUUUUAUUAUGUAUGAUAAAAUUGCAAAGAUUAAAGAAGAAUUUAAUAUUUUGAUUUGCUCACGGUCCAGAAUUAUUAACUUAUACGUAAGUUGUAUUUCUAAUAUCCGAUGAAAAGACAAAAUUUUUAAAACUUCUUUAACACAUCAAAGUCACGAAGCAGCUUACCUCAGGUAGGGUGCGUUAGGGGUGCUAAUACCUUCCCUAACCACAACCAGUCCCUUACCCGCGAAUCUCUGACAAGACCAGUACAUCCGGUUUCCUAGUAGCCUUCAAUAAAUUACUAGGUGGCGACUCCAACGAACCAAUUCAAGCAAACGACAACGAAAAGAUCGCCAGCCGAUGCCGCACGGAUUUUCUGAUGUGCGACAUUAAAUAAGAACAUUAGUGAUAGAAUGAUAUUAAUUACAAUGAGAAACCAGUAAUAGAAGCCAGUAAUUGAAACCACUAAUGACUUUUCUAAUAUUUAGGGGAUCAUGACACGUUACUAAACAAUGCACAUGAUCUUCAAAUUUUCAAUUUUAAUUUAUUUAAUUAUAAUUAUAAUUAUAAUUUAUAUUUGGGUCAAUAUAUUAGGAACCUAAUAGGUCAUACACAUUAAGAAUUUAAACUGUGAUGAUUUAAUUAAGUAUAACUUGAUUAAAAUAUAUUUUAGAAAUUAAGGACUAUAAUAUAAUUAAUACAAGGAUUAUGUUUCCAGAUCUAGAAAAAUCAGGUAAGGACUUGAUUGAGUUAAUUUAUAAAAUUAUCUUAAAUUAAUAUAUGAAUAUUAUUCAAGGGGGAAAAUUAAUAUUUUGUCAAUUUAUAGGGUUUUUCAUAUUUUCUUAUAAAUAGUAAGUUAUGCCUCUUAUUUUUUAGGAGUUAUCUGUUAGAAAGAAAAACUACGUAUGUUACAGAAUAAAGAGAUAACACUUUAUACAUAACAAUCCCUCUCUUCUAAAUAGAGACUUGAGAGAUUUUUUACUAGUAGUUCAUGUGGAUUACUGUUAAAGAACGAACAAUUGAACGACUUCUAAUUUGCAAUAACUCAGUCUUUAAAAAAUUAUUCAAAACCGAAGAUAAUCAAAUCUUCAGGUGAUAAAUCCCUAAAUAACUCUAAAUUAUUUUAUUGUUUCAGCUGCGUAUAUGCUAUUCGGCAAACCCAACACCAACUUCACCACGGGUUUAACAUUUCUUUUACAUGUUGGGAAUUUGGUACUAAUGGGUGUAUUUUCUUAAGUUGAAAUAAUGUCACACAAUGCAGGUUCAAGUGGGUUCAUGAAUCAAAUAGUGGUUGUUAUUUGACACCGCAAUUGGAUGGCUUGGAGUUCGCCGGAACUUGGGCAUACCAUUUUUGAAUAAAUAACAAGGUAAAAACAUCUUUUAAUGAUAUGAAAUCAUUUAUUCAUUUAAAGGUAUCAACAUUGUCAUUUAUAGUGAAACAUUUAAUUUUACUACAUUGAGAAUACGUUGACCAAUAGAAUCCCCGCCUUCAGCCAACCCCAAAUUUGUCUAUCAUCGUGUAAUAUUGAUCAUUACAUUAUGCGCUUUCCAGCUAAUGAUAGGAUUUUAAGGACAACAUUAUUAAAUUGACAUCCAACCGACCAUUAUGGCUGUCAUAGAAUAGCAAUGGCCAUCCUUUGGCCAUCAUGCCAUAAAAGCCUCAUUUGGAGCCAAUUCCUCUCUCUCUCUUGCCACUAUUAGCUUCCAACCAUUCUUCGCGUUUCACUUUUCUUCAAAUGUUUUCACCAAAAUUGUUGCUCAUAAAGUCGAGAUCCAAGGGAUUAUUUAAGAUUUUAUGGAAAGUACGUAUUUCAAAUAUUUUAUGUUUAUUUUUCUGAAAUAUUGUUUGAAGAAAAAAAAAAUUUAAUUUUUUCAAAAUCAUUUUUAAAACACAAAAAUAAAUAGAGUUUGUUUUUUAUUUUUUAAAGUAUUGUUUUUUAAAAAUAAUUUUUGUAUUCUAAAUUAAUUUUUUUAUUUUUAUAUUAAUAUUAAAAAUAAUUUUUAAAAAAUAAAAAAAUAUUAUUUUAAUAUAUUUUUAAAUAAAAAAAUAUUUUAAAAAACAUCUACUUAAAAAAUAUUAUUUUUCAAAAAUAAUACUUUUCUCUAUAUUUUGAGUUUUAGUUUUUAAUAGCUAUGGCUUGUUUGAUUUUUUAUUUUUAUUUUUUUCAUGCUCUUGCAAAUAAGGCACGAAAAAAGUACUCGAAAUCACGGUGUAAAUAAGAAGAGAAAUAACAUGUUUGUUUUUUAUUUUUUAAAUUAAAUUUUUGUAUUUUUAUAUUAAUAUUAUAAAUAAUUUUUUAAAAAUAAAAAAAUUAUUUUAUAAUAACAUGGAGAUAAAGAUAAUCUCAAAAGCUAAUAGAUGGUCACCACGUGUUCAACUAGGAAAGGAUAGAAAGAGGGAGAGAGAAAGGUCAAAAAGGCUUUAAAAAAAAAAGAAAAGGAAAGACACGGUUGAGAUAAGAGGGACGUGGAUAUAGAAGCAGAAACGGAAGGAGACAUAAGCCCUGUUUGUUUGCUGGAAAGUAGUUUUUUUUUGGAAAGUGAAUUCCGGGAAAGUAUUUUCCGAUGUUUGGUAGUGUAAUGGAAAAUAAGUUGGAAAACACUUUCCAGUGUUUGGUUAUGUCAUGGAAAAUGAGCUGGAAAAUAACUUAUUAAUGUUUUAUUUUUCUCAAGUUUAUUAAAAUAAUGAGGAACAAAUCUUACAAAUUAAAAAGUUGAAUGAGAAUGAAAUUGAAAAAAAAUAUAAUUUCAUAAAUUAUCUCAAAUAAAAUAAAUAAUAAUCAAAAUAAUAGAGAUCAAAUCUAAAAAAUUAAAAAAAAAAUUAAAGGUGAAGAAAUUAAAAUAAUAAUAAUUAACAUUUCAUAAAUUAUUUCAAAUAAAAUAAGUAACAAUCAAAAGAAUGAGGACCAAAUUUGAUAGAUAAAAAAUUUCAAUAAAAAAUGAUAAGGAAAAAGCAAAUAACAAUUAUAAAAAUAAGGACCAAAAUUAAUAUAAAAAUUAAAUUUUAAGAGAUGGAAUUGAAAAAUAAAUAUUCAAAACAAAUUAUAUAUAGCAAUCAAAAGUUUGAGGAUCAAAUUUGAUAUAAUCAGCAAAUAAUGACAUUUCUAAAUUUUUCACAACUUCUGGAAAGUGUUUUCCGCCCAAAUUUUCCAGGAAAACACUUUCCUGAAAACCAAGCCAAAUUUUCCUUUGACUGGAAAGUGUUUUCCGUUGACCAACUUUUCUAAUGGCAAACAAACACAGGAAAGUUUGGAAAGUGGUUUCCCGGAAAUCACUUUCCGGGAAACAAACACAGCCAAAAGGGAAAACACUUUCCUGAAAACCAAACCAAAUUCGAAAAGUGUUUCCAUUGACUAGAAAGUGUUUUUCGUUGACCGAAAAGUGUUUCCGUUGACUGGAAAGUGGUUUCCGUUUACCAACUUUCCUAAUGGCAAACAAACACAGGAAAGUUUGGAAAGUAGUUUCCCGGAAAGUGAAUUCCGGAAAACAAACAUGGCCAUAGAAAGAUCAGAGGAGAGUAAGAAAAAAAAAUGAAUAUGUGAUGUCCUAUUUCUGAUAAAAAAUACUUUGUUUUGUUUUUUUUCUCUUUUAUUUGGAAUUUCUUUAGACACUUUAAUAAUAUAAUAACAAAAUUUUUUUUUUCUUUAUUUAUAUUUUGAGUUUUAGUUUUUAAUAGCCAUGCUCCUUUGAUUUUUUAAAAUCAUUUUUUUCAUACUCUUGCAAACACGGCAGAAGAGGAGGACCUGAAAUCACGACAGUGAAUAAGGAGAGAAAUAAGCAUGUUGGUUUUUUUAUUUUUUAAAGUACUUAAAAAAUAUUUUUUUUAUUUUUAUAUUGAUAUUAAAAAUAAUUUUAAAAAAAUAAAAAAAUAUUAUUUUAAUAUAUUUUUAAAUAAAAAAUAUAAAAAAAAACUACUUUAAAAACCUUAAAACCACGGCAUGAUAAAAGGAGAAAGAAAGGAAUAGGACAAAGGAAGAAAGUGAAUUGGACACAGGAAGAAAGUAAGGUCACGUAGGGGGGCCAGUAUCGUAGAUAAUAGGAGAUGAAAAUUAGUAUGAAAAAGAGGAUGAUAGAGUGGUUGUCCGAAUCAUUGUGGUUUUUAUAAUUAUAUUUAAUUUAUAGAAAUAUUAAAUUAAUAUAUUCUUAGUAUUUUAUAUGAUUUAAAAAAUAUGUGUAUAAAAAAAUAUUUUAAUAUAUUUUUAAAUAAAAAAUAUUUUUAAAAGUAUAUGUCACAGUACCAAAUUAUAUUAUAAAUUAAAAAAAUGGGGUUUUAUGUUCAUUAGUACUUACUUAGAGUCAUUUAAUUGUGGACAAAAUGGUGUAUUCUUUUGAAAAUUUUCAAUUUUAUACUUGAAUUUGUUUUCCACAAUUGAUCCUUUUUAAUUAAAAUUAGAGUUCAAUUGCAUAUUUUUUUAAAGAUAAAAGUUGAAUUAAAAAUAGAUAAAAGUUGAAUUAAAAGAAAGGGGACUAGUUAAGUGAAAAACUCAGCCAAAAUAGGUAGCGGCUCUAUAAUUUGUUGGCAAAGUUUAUUUUAGUUUUUCAUCUUUUUAAGUUAUUAAAUAAAAAGUCCCUAUAAUUUUCCAACAUUGCAUUUUGAAUUUUUUUAUUGAUACUUUUUUAUAUAUAUUUUUAAAAAUAAUUUUAAAAAUGAUGUUUUCAUUAAUACCCAUUUUCUAUGAUUUUUUUUGGCUUUAUGUAGUCUUUCUUCAAUUAUUUUUAAUUUUGCUAGAUGUGUUUAAUUUUUUAAGAGGUUAGUAUAAUUUAUCUGUAAAUAUUUUUUGUACAUUUCAAAUAGAUUAAGUAUUUAAUUUUUAUAAUAUUUUGAAUAUGUGUAGCCUUAUAUAGUUUUUUUUUAUGAUAUUAAAAAAAUAUGUGUAUUGAUUUCUAUUAUAAAUUAAUUUUAAUAAAUAAAUUUAUUAAAUAUAACCAGAUAAAUCAUUCAUGUAAUAUUAAAUACUUAAUCUAUAUUUAUCCCUCAAUUUUCUAGGCAAGCAAAAGGAGCUAAACUUAUUCCCGACUAAAACGUCAAGAAUUUCAGGAGAACAAAAGAAGAGAUUAUUACUUGACCAAAAACAAUUAGUCCGCGUCCAAAGAAACCGAGUGAAUGAGAGAAAAAAGACUAUAUAUUAGCUAGAAAACAAUCAACAGAACCAAGAACUUUCGGUAUGGUUUCCAAGAAAAAUGAAAUGAAACGAGCAGCACAACCCUCUUUCCCCUCUAAGAAAAAGAAAAAGAAGGGAAAGAAACAAAGAAGUUCGAGGAAGUGGGCAGCCUUUGUUCUGCUGUUCACACAGACUAAGAACUCCUCAAAUUGUAAAAUCAUAUAAUUAAAACACAACAAUAAAAAUGUAAUAAGCAGCUGAUUAAUGCUAUUGUUCUUUCUUCUUGUUUUGCUAUUUUGAUUUUAUCAUAUUUUCUUAAGAAAUUAUGAUUGUGAAAGCUAGCCAAACUAUUAGAUCCAAGCAAUCUAAGAUAAAAACUAGCGUACUUGCGUCCUGUUGUCGCAAGUACUUUUUAUAAUUAACUUUUUGUAAUAUUUUUUUAUUUAAUUAUACAAUAAAUUCAUAGAAAAAACUACAAGAGGAAAAUAUAUAUUUCAUCAAAAUUGUGUAAUCUGAUUCAUGUAUUUUUCUUAACAAAAAAAAAAGAUUUUGAUGAUAUAAAAAGUAAAAAAAAUAAAUAGAAAAUGAAGACAUGGAGAGUGGCGGGCGGGCAUUAUUGUGUUAUUUUUGAAUCCGACUCCCAUAUAUAAUGAAAGUAAGAACGUUCAUUCCUUUAUAAACAUUGACUUUGAUUUUUCCUUUAUAAAACCAUAAACCUGCAAGUCCUACAAAUCAACAUGAAGACUUAUCAGAUCCUAAUGAAAAGCUGUCAAAAUCCUAUCAGAAAUUAAGGAAGAUGACGUUAACUUCAAAUCUGAGGAUUAAUUGUAGCAGAUCUUAUAGCGUUCAGCUGAUUGCUUUACUUGUUUAAAUAAUUCUCUUGUAAGCCUAAUGGUUCACGUCUUCCAUCAUUGCAACCUUUUUUUCUGUGAUUGAAAAAUCUAUAAUAGGAACCUGCACUGCAUCCCUUCUAUGCUGUUGUUCUUUCUUCUUGUUUUGCUAUUUUGAUUUUAUCAUAUUUUCUAUGAUGAAAGUUGAAGAAAUUCUACUUCGAAACUAAAGACAAAGUCUCUCGGACUGCAUAUUAGUGGGUUGCUCAUUGGGAUUUCUAUAAACAACUGAUUCUAUUGCAAAGCAACACCACGAAAAACUGAAUAUUUCACACAUAGUCUAAUAAAAGUAGAUUCCAUUGUCAAUUCCUUAACAUUUUCCAAACAAAUCCAUGCUCCUCAUUUUAUACUUUCUUGAGGGUUUCUAUUCUCUUAUUACCAAUUUCAGUGAGUUUCAUAAUAAGCUGCUUAGAAAGAAGCUAUCUAACAGGAGGGUGGGGCUACUCUUAGCCAAUGAAAACAGCUUCACAUGCUAUACAGCAACGUGAAAAAAAGAUUCUCAGCCUGUUCUCUCUUUAAUGAACACCCUCUUGGAUUCUCUAGCAUUAGCCAACAAGGUAUCUGCUUGGAAUUACUAAUUCCACCGACCUGAAAAAGAACGUCCAACCUAUUUAAUAUACUUAAUAAAGUUCUAUUUUAUAAUCCUAUAUAUUUUUUAACUGAACUACUUAUUUUUCUCAAAAACCCAAAAAGUAAACGAUUUUCCAGAAAUCUAAUUCAUAAUAAAACAAAUAAUGAGACUUGAUAUUAAUGCAUUAAAUAACCAUCAAUUAUUCAUCAAACCAAUCUGAAAAAUCUAAUAUUAAAGCUAGGGACCAAUCUAGACUUUUAUUAUAUUUUUAGGGGUCAAAUUAUAAUUUUAUCAAAUUGGAGGACCAAACUAAAAAUAUCAUAAAUUCAUGACUAUACUGGAAUUCUGCCCAUAAUUCAUCCUAAAUUUUGCCCAGAAUCUCAAAUUAUGCUCCAAGGACCACUACAUAAUUUUAUCAAAUAUCUAGGGUCAAAUUGUAAUUUUAUCAAAUUGGAGGACCAAAGUGAAAAUAUCAUAAAUUCAUAACUAUACUGGAAUUCUGUCCAUAAUUUAACUUUAAUUCUAUCCAGAAUCUCGAAUUAUGCUCCAGGGACCAAUCUCUAAUUUUUCUAAAGUUCAGAAAUUAAACUGUAAUUUUCAUAAAUUGAGGGACCAAGCUGAAAUUUUAUAAUCUUCAACCUCAAACCCAGAAUUCACACAGAUAACCUAUUAAUAUAUCAAGAUUUCUAACUUAAAUUCACCAUUUAAAUAAACCAUAACUUAAAAUCAUUAUUUUUACCUAAAAUGUUUCAAAAUCAAUUAAAUAACUCAUUACCCAUAACAAUCGAUCCAUAAUUUUUCUGUAAUGUAAUUGUAAUUCCUAGCAUAAUGCAUAUUCGAGGGCAAGCACAACAAUUCAAGAGCAAAGAAACUCGAUGAAAUAGCAAAAUAAAAAGACAUGAAGGACUGAAAUAAAAUAAAACCAAAAAAGAGGGAUGAAAAAAGUAACCGCACUCUGGUUGCCAUCAAAAACAUAUAUAGUUCUUUUAGUAUUUUUUUUUUUAAAAUAAUAUUGUAAUAGGUCAAUCAUAUUACCCUGAGUGUGUGACACAGAGAUAAUCAUCAUAGAAAAUUACUUUUAAUUGCUUGUGUUUUAUCCUGAGAUGACAAACUUACCUUGUCCUACUAAUGCUUUUGCUUUCAUUGUUUCGAAAGUAAAAGAGACUUAAACAUAAUCAUUUCCUUCCUUUUACUUUCCACUUCUUUGUAAUAUUGGAUUGCAAACGGGAUGGUGCUUAGAGGGGCCACUUUUUCUUUUCCUUUCUUUUUAAAAUCUUAUGCCUUUGGGUGAGGAAAUUAGUGGAGCAUUAGACUUUUUAAAAGACAACAAAAAAAAGCGAUGUCUCAUCUUUUGAUAUGGUGGUACAAGAUACACCAUGGUAUGGUGGUCCUGCAAGAAAUGUCUUAGCUUUUGAUAUGGUGGUCUUCCAUGAUCAGUUUUCGAAAGAUUCGAGUCUCCGUUCUAGUUCGGGUUGGAAGCUAGGCCGAAAGCUAAGCUUCUUUUAAUUAUGAAUUGUUUAUGCAAAGGAAACCCAGAAGCUUGAACAAACAGAAAUGCCUUGUUGAUUUCUCUGCUACUACUCAUUAUUUCCAAUAUUAUUCCAUUAUCUUACCCGAAAGCAAUUAUACAAGAAAUUUCAUUAUCCUGCCCCAGAAGGCAAUUUAUUACAAGGACUUCCUUUAACCUCCUUGAAGGCAAUUUAUUUGAUGAAAAUUCCUUUAAUCCACCUCAAAGACAAUUUAUCUUAGGGAAUUCCAACAACCCAGGCAAUUUAUUUCUUAAUUUUAUAUUACUGUUUUCAUUAAUUUUAUUAAAGCUUAAUUUUAUAUUUUUUCUGCCCUUUUCUUUUAAAAAUGUUAUCUCCUUGGUAAGGAAUCCUUGGUUCCCAACAGCAACUGUAGCAUAGUUAAAGGUUGCGUUAAAAAAAUAUCAAAACUCCACCGAAAGUAGUGGAGCCUUAGAAUUUUUAAAAGACAAAACGGGGACAAGUGAGAGACGAAGAAAAAGACAAAAGCAAUUCCAUCUAUUGAUGUGGUGAUCCAAGAUACACCAUAACAUGGUGUUCUUCCAUGAAGUCUAAGAUGCACCGCCGUGUUGUUUCAUAUAUAUUUAUAUAUAUGAAAAUAAUAAAACUACCGUUUAAAACAACUCUGAAAACAAAAGUUUUAAUAAUUCAUAAUUUAUAAGCAAACAUCACUUAUAAGCAAAUAAUUAAUGAUGGUUAAACUAAUUCAUUGUUAGGCGGAUAUAUAUUAAGGUUGAGACCCAUCUAUCUAACACUAAUAACUAAUCACUGAUAAUAUUUAUGCAAAACUUGUAGCUUAGGAUGAACUCUCAGAGAUGUGGGCGAGGCAACUCAAAGUAGAAGGGAAGGGGUAACCUCUGAUAACAGAGAAAAUUGUAGAGUAAAUUGUAGAUGUGGACCGAAUUUUCUUAAAUUAACAACAGAAAUCUACAAUGAACAGUUCUCGAGAAGAAACUCAAGAAACGUAAUAAAGCUACAUGAUGACAUAAUAGGAACCUGCAUUGCCUUCAUUCUAUGAUGAAAGUUCAAGAAAUUUUACAUCGAAUCUCAAGACAAAGUCUCUCAGACUACAUAUUGCAAAGCAACUGAUUCUAUUGCAAAGCAACAUUACGAAAAAUUGAAUAUUUCACACUCAGUCUAAUAAAAGUAGAUUCCAUUGUCAAUUCCUCAACAUUUUCCAAACAAAUCCAUGCUCCUCAUUUUAUACUUUCUCUCUUAUUACCAACUUCAUUGAGUUUCAUAUAAGCAUAGUCAAUCACACAACUAAUAUGUGAAUUCACAAUUUCUUACCGAAAACAUUUUAUCAGUGCAAAUUAAUACAUAAUUUUACCUCUCCUCUUGGUGAAAACACAAAGACACAACCACCGAGCAGAUCUCUGGUAAUGGUCUCUACAAAUUCCCUACAGUUCCUAUUGCCAACAAACUCCUCUUGCCAUUCCCUAACUGCAUUGAGCCAGCUAAUCUGGAUGAAAGAAAAGACUUCAGCCAUUCCCUAACCUUAAAGCAGACCCAACUUUGUAGCUCAUUACCAGUUAAGUAAAAGUUAUCAAUAGCUGUGUAAAUCAUUGAAACUGCCACAAAAGCAACCCAAAUUAGUUAUGAAUUGGAUUCGAUAAGGGAAAGAGGGGAAGAGGGGAAAUGGGUAACGGAAAAUUAAAGAGAGAUGAAGAUCUGCGCAGGGCUACCUGUUUUGAGAAUUAUGGAUUUUUAUCCCUAACUCCAAAUUGCACCAAUUAUAAGUUCAUUAAAACAAAUCUGGAACAGAACAGAUGGAAAAAACUCGAAACAACUUGGCUAGAAUUUGGGCAAGAAAUUCAGAACGGCCAAGAUUUUAAGUGAGAUAAAAGUUAUCCCAUUUUGUUCUGUUUUUUUUUUUAAAUUAAUAUGAGAUAUACUAUCCAUUUCAAGCGGAACAUAAUGGAAUGAACAACCUUGCAUCGAAGACCUAAUUUUAGUGAAACUCAAGUUUAUUGUGUCAAAGAAAAUGUUCUAAAAAAAUGUUUUAAGCAUUAACAAAAUCUAGUUGGCCUAGGCAAUCCACUAUUGUUGCUGUUACCGUUGGUGCAUACUCAAUUACACCAUUGACAUAGUGCAACUGUUUUUCUUUCUUUCUUUCUUUCUUUUAAAAAAUCCAUGUUAUGUUUUUUAUUUGAAGCUUUUUUGUUAACAUCUUUCGCAAUUGGCCUUGGUAUUUUGUUUCCAUUUUCUCUAUGUUUCCUUCUUCUGUAGUUAGAAAACAUCAUGUCUUUGGGUUUGCGCUUGAUACCGCAAAAUUAAGGACACAAUAGUCAAAGAACACAAAAAAAUUUAUAAGUGAAGGGGGUUGCAGUUGUGAACCCUAAAAUUUACAAGUUUAUUUUCUUAAUAAUAAUAAUAAUAAUAAUAAAGAAGUUUGCCUUCUUAGAAAGUUUACAAAGCCUUAAAUUGGUUAGGAACCUUACCUCAACAAGGAAACAAAAAAAAAAUCCAAAAUUAUAAAGGAAAGAAGCAUAAAAUCUAAAAUAAGCAAGAAAUUUGAAAAUAACAAAGAAAAUCACAAAAAACUAACAAAACCCGGGGCAUCAGUGAGAGUUUUGAUAUUUAAAGAUCCGAUGGUCUGUAUAAAAAUUUGAGCACAAUCCAAUAAUCGAAUAAAAAAUUCUGGCUCUUUUGAGCUGUUAUUCUUGUCUAGUACAACCAAACAUUCUCUUGGGCUUAAACCUGUUCUAUUGGUUCAUAAAUGCAUUUACUAGGCCAUCAACAUUAUUUGUCUGAGGCAAAUCCUCAUCUAGUUAUGGGAGACCCACAUCUGACUGCUUAGAAUCACUAGUUAUCGUAGGAUCGACUAUAUCAAAAUUGGUUGGUUUUUUGUUUUCAAAAAGAAUUAAAAUUUGAUGGAGAUGAAAGCUAAAAACACAAUAAUUAAAGAGCACAAAAAAUUUUAUGAGCAAAAGAGGCUGCAGAUGUGAACCUUCAAAUUCACAAGUUUAUUUUCUCUAAAAUAAUAAUAAUGAAGUUUGUUUUCUUAGGAGGUUUCCAAAGCUAUAAAAAUAUCAAGAAUCCUAUCUUAACUUGGAAAUAAAAAUACAAACUCAAAAUUACAAAGGAAAGAAGCAUAAAAUCUAAAAUAAGCAAGAAAUUAAAAAAUAACAAAGAAAAUCACAAAAAACUACCAAAACUAGAGGGCUUAACAAGAUUUUUGUUAUCUAAAGAUUCGAUGGUCCGCGUAAGAAUUUUAGCAUGAUCUAACGGUCGGAUAAGAAAUUAUGACCCUUUUGAGCUAUUAUUUUCGUUUAACGCGACCAAAUCUUUUUUUGGUCCUAUACUUAUCCUAUUAUUCCAUAAAUACAUCUCUAUGACCUAUCUUUUUUUUUCCUACUAUAGAUGGAGUUUGACCAUCAUCAUCAUAUGAUUUGACUUAGUUGUAUCGGUUUUCAAUCAGAUCAACUUUAUAUAUUAUGGGUUUACAUUUACUAUUUUUAAAAAAUGCUCAUUAUCGGUUUUCGAUCACCAUAAGUCCAUUGUUCACACCUCAAGUCCGUACCUGCAGCGGAUCGCAGGCAACGAAACUAUAGACUCGAGAGUAAACAUGCUACUAUAGUUAGCUAGUAAGGGUCCAGGUCAUUUGUUGUCUGGUUUCAAAUAGUGUUUCAACUCAUUUAAUAAAUGUAUACAUGGCUCAUAGUUGGAUUACUUGUGUUUUUGUUAUUUGUUCUUCCCAGUACUUGUACCAGAAGCUGCUCUCAUAUUUGAAGGAAUGCAAACAAUUGUUAAUAUGAAACUUAUGAUGCAUAGGAAAUUGCCAUUUUUCUCAUUUUUAAUUGGAAGAAAAAUCACACGUAUGUUUUUGUUAGAAAUAACUUCUUAUUUCAAUCAGAAGUGUGUCACUAAAUUGAUUUAUAAGUAAGUUUUUAAAUCGUGGAUUAUAUCUUACAUUAUAUUUUUUUAUUUACAAAAGUUUAUUUGAGUUAUUUUUAUUAAAAAUACUUAUAAUUUAAAAUUAUUUUAAUUCUUUUUUAUCAUAAAUUAUUUAUUAAAAACAACUUAGAUUAUCGCUUGAAAUAAAAAAAGAAAAAGAAAAAUUUUUCAGCCUGUUUUCUCUUUACUGAACAACCUCUUUGAUUCUCUAGCAUCUGCUUGGAAAAACCAUUCAACAAGGGAUUCUGCUAGGAAAACAUGCAAUUGUUCUUCUAUCUGAUAUCAGUUUCAAAAUUCUAAACAAAUAAUGCAACAAGUCACAUUUAUUACAAAAAAAGUCACGUUUAUUCCAGACCUCAAGCUGCAUUGCCUAUUUCAAAACCACAAAGAGAACAUCAUACAGAACAACAAAUACCCAAGUCGUAGAGCCAUUAAUUUGAGCAUAAAGGAGAAUGAAAGUCCACGCAUUAAACAGUAGGCACACACAUGAGUAGACAUUAUGCCCUUGUUUUUGAAGAUUCAGACACUUCAAAAGAAAACUCACGCUCUUAUUUUUGGGAAGUUCUUCUAUGGUAAAUAAGACUGUUACAAUGUGAAGCCAAUUUGUAUCCCAUUGCCAGUGAAACAGUAGGAAUUACUUCCACCAAUCUAAAACAUAUUCGCAGCACCACAGCUCAAGGACAUGAAUCUCUGUGAAAUCGCCUAAGGUCGAGUUGCUCAUGUAAUAGGCAACCAACCUGCCUAAUGCAAACAGAAGUACAAAGACCAUUCAUGCAUAUCCAUUACCUGAUUAGGAUGUUUUUCAAAUUCCAAUGCCAAACUAAUCAUCCUACCCAUCAUCAUCAUCACCACCAUCUCCCUUCACCACCUUCCUUCAUCUCCUUCACCACAUACCCACCCAUUAUUUCGGGUCCACGUUCUACAACUGCUGAUUGGCGCAGAGCAACCAGUGCUUGAAUCCUCAGCUACUUCAGAUACCUGUAAUCCAAUCCAAGCAUGGCAUACACAUUUUAACUUCUAAAUCUUAUUAUUGAGCGAAACAAGAAACAAACACACAAAAAGAGAAGCAAGAAAUCAAGACAAUUCAGCAGCACCUCUGAUUGAGCUCUUAUUGAACCAUUUGGGAGCAUGAACGAAAACAGAGAGGGGACCUAAAAAGAGAGAAAUAGGGAGAGAGCAAAAGGACAGCAGGCCUGCUUUGCCUUUGUUCUCAAAACGCAAGUGAAGUGCAGGGAAACUGCAAGCGUUGGUCAGCCUAAUUAUUCGUCUCCAGCUACACACUCCAAACCAUCGAAAGAAAGAACUGAGAAAAACAGGAGAAAAGGAGGAACACGAAAAAAAACCAAGGGAACGGGCAGAUACAGAAAAAAAAAACUGGAGGGAAAAACCCAGGGGAAAGAAAAACAGAGGACUGCAGGUGGAAAAACUGGGGAAGAAAAGGGCAGAACCGCGGGAACAGAGAGAAGAGACUCAGGAAAAAAAGUAGAAGGAAAGGCAGAGGAGAGUCACAGAUCAGCUCUGCCAUUGUCUUCAUCCCUGCAAAAAAAUAAAAGAAUGACACUGAACCAAAGACUAUUGACAACCGGCAUCACCAUUGUUUACUUUCCUUCAUCUCAAAACUAGAGGAGACAGAACGCAAUCAAAGAAAGAAGCAGAGGAAAGUCACCGAGACCGUUGCUACUGCCUUCGGCGUUUCCAGAACUAGGAGAGAAAGCAAAAGAAAGCAGGAGGAAAGGUGUUAAGCAGACAACAGGCACCAUCACACUGCAGCCAUCUUCGCCGUUUCCAGAAGCAGGUACGCCCCUCAUCCCAUUUUGCAUCUUCAUUUCAAAUUGAAUUGUUACAAGAGCUGUGCGAAGGUAAUUUAAUUACCUUCGCACUGCUCAUGCACGCGUGAAGCCACUUCACGCGUGCUUUUCGUUUUGCCCAGCCGGUCACUGGCUUGGGCCAGUGACCGGGCCGGGCUGGCUGGGUCCAGUCCAUGCCAUGUGGGCUGAGCUGGGCCCAGCCCCAAAAAAAUAAAAGAAAAAAACAGAAAAAUAAAAAAAUAGAAAAAAUAGAAAAAAAUAAAAAUAAAAAAUAUGCAUGCAUGAAUAAAAAUAAUGUAAAUUUAUUGGUUUAUUUACUGACGCCAGAGUCAGUAAUAAAAAUAUCGGUUUAAAUUUAUAUUAUUUUUAUUCGUUGUAUUUUAUUUUAUUUAGCUAGAAAAAAAAUAUGUGCAUGCUGAAAAAUAAAUUUAUUUUUUCAUUGGCGCUAGAGUAGGGAAUAAAAAAUAUUGAUAUAAUUUUUUUUAUAGCUACGUAAUAUUUAUCAACACCAGAGUUGGAGAUAUUCAUAGUUGAAUAUUCACUGACGCCAGAGUUAGAAAUAUUAUAAGCAAAUUAUCAUAGUGUAAACUAAUAAAUAUUUAGCAAUUUAAAACAAAACCGGCAAUGCAGUCUGCCUCAGGCAGAACGUUUAAGGGGUGAUAAUAUCUUCCUUUUUACGUAACCAGUCCCAUACUAUAGAAUUUCUGUUGAUCAGUUAGGGUUUCUAGUGACCAUAAUACUAGGUGGCGACUCCAUAAACAAGAUAUUUUUUUCUAAAAGAACAAGAUAUCAGAAAUCUGUUUUUUUUCCACAGUCAAGUUUAUUUUGUGGAUCGUCACGAUAUCGGGUACGAUAAAAGUAGUCAAAUUGUGCAGCACGAGACCCUUCCACAAACAUCUCAUGCUUGUGUCAGGCAGGGACUUCAAUUUUAAUGUUUUCAAACUUGUUAACUCCUACAUCAGAAGACAACAAAGGCACUAAUUUGUUAGAUAUAAUUCCUAGUAUGUUUUGGUAAAUAGAUGAAUCAAUUAUCCCCAAUACUUACUUAUCAACAAAAGGAUAUAUGUAGACAUGGCAAUAGACAACUCAAUAUUAGCAAAUGGAGGUUUAUCGUCCUGUCCAAAUACUUCCAUUAUUUGGGGAAGAGCCUCAUUUUCACUCAAACUGGGAAAGCAUAAAUCUAGGUAUCAUUUCAUUACAAUAAUUAAUUUCUUACUUCUUAAGCCCUGCGUCAAGAGACAGGGAAUGAUACAGUUAGACAACUCCUUUUAAAUUUAGUGGAUGGCUAAAGGAUUUAUCUCCACUUAUCAAUUACUUCAGUUUCAGAAAUUUAAAGGAAGAAAUCAACAUGUAUUGAAGUUGACAAUUUAAAUUAAAAAGGAAAACAAAUAUUGGAGAAAUAUAAAGGACAAAUUAUCAAUUACAUGUACUUGGAGCUGUGCAGACAAAUUACCCAAUCCUUCGUGGCCAUAAAUGGUUAGACUUUUCAAAGAAGGCAAUUGGGCAGCAAAAUUCUUUGGACCAAAAAAGCUGCAAUUUGAAAGAGACAAUUUUCUUAGUCGAGGAAACUUGAUGAUGCCAUCUGUGGUGAGUGCAUCUCCUUCUCCACUGUAAAAUAUUUGCUUUAAAUUAUAAGCUUUAAAAAUCCGCAUCUCUUCCAGGUUUAGAAGGCUUGGAGACACAGAUACAGGGAAGACAUAUUCCAGUUUACCACAGUGAGAUAUGUAGAGAGUUUCCAAUUUUGGGAAGCGAGGAGACUCUAGAAAUAUUUCCCUUUCACCAUCCUCUUCUCUGAUAAUAUGCUUCAACUCACCGCAUGUUCUUAUCUCAAGUGUUUCUAGCUUUGGCAGAUUUUGAGCGAGGGACGGUGUGAAGAUAAAUGUCAGUUUGUCCAGAUACCCCAACUCCAGACGAGCAAGACUUUGGAGGCUGACAUGCCCGGUGGGCCCCUUCCAUAUGCAUUUGAGCUCGGGUAACUCUCGCAGCUCUAACAGUGUUAAAGAUGACAGCAACGGCAGCUCCUUCUCCUCACUGCUUCCUUCAUCAGCCUCACCCAAUUCAAAUACCUCUUCCAAUGAUUUGCAGUCCUCAAUUUCCACACUCCUUAGAUUUUUCAGACCUUGUAGCAAUUUUGCUGGAAACGGAGCGCGAACAUCCCCACAAUCGUACAAAUGUACAGAUUCUAAUCUUUGUAAGAAGCCGUUUUGCUGUCCAUGGGCGGCCAUGUUAUCAGAAAACAAUAUUAUAUUUUUUCACUCUCAUGAAAACAAUUUAUAUGAUGUAUAAAUAGGAGAAAAAAAUAGAAAAAACAGGAUUAUAUACUUUUUAGAGAUUACAUAUUAUUGUUUUAGUUUUUUUCUUAAUCAGAGAAAACUUGAAUAAUAAUUAGAUUUUUGUGAAAAAAAGGUUAAUACAACUACUAAUAAUUAGUUUCAUGUAAAAAAUAAAAAUAAAAAUAAAAAUAAAAAUAGUAACUAAUAUUUUUAUUUUAGUUAUAAAGUUAAUAAAUUUUUAAAGAUAUUUUAAUUGAAUUAAAUAUUUGAACACAAAAUUUAUGUUCUUAUAUAUAUAUUAAAUCAACAUGUAUUGAAAAAUACUUCCAUUAAUUGGGGGAAGAGCCUCAAUUUCACUCAAACUGGAAAGCAUAAAGAUUGAAAAAUCUGGAUAUCAUUUCAUUACAAUAAUUAAUUUCUUACUUCUUAAGCCCUCUAUCAAGAGACAGGGAAUGAUACAGUUAGACAACUCCUUUUAAAUUUAGUGGAUGGCUAAAGGAUUUAUCUCCACUUAUCAAUUACUUCAGUUUCAGAAAUUUAAAGGAAGAAAUCAACAUGUAUUGAAAUUGACAACCAGAAGCCCAAAAGAAAACAAUUUUGACGAAUACCCACCAAACAGUUGAAGUGCUGCUGUAACUGAGAUUUUUUAUUAUAUGUAUUUUUUGUGGUCCAAUGGAUAAAUAAUUUUUUUUUCUUUUAUUUUAUCAGCUUAAUUUUGCAUGUGGAAUAUUGAGUUUUCUGUUAUUUUUUCAGACACAGAAUUGAAUCCUUUAUACAUUCUUAAAACCAAAUUUGAAUUCUAAGUUCCUAAAUGAAGGAAUAAUAAAGAUUGUUGCAUGUACAAAUUCUCCUUAAAAAAAUUAACAAAUAAUAAAGUCCCCUAUGUUAAUAAGAUUUAACUAUAACUUAGCCCUGUAAUUUCUUAAAAUUAAUUAUUUAGCCCUGUAAUAAUAAAGUCCUCCAUUUACUAUAUUUUUCUCUAAAAAAUGCCUUCCUUCCUAAUGAAAUUUCCUCAAAUGCAUACUUUUGUUGUCCUUAUUCUAUUUUUCAAGAAUGAAGAAAAACCUCUAAAUAGCAUUAGGUUCCAUGAAAUUGAAUGUUUACAUUAUAAUUCUUCUAUAGAAGUCUUCAAUAUUCUAUCACUUAAAAUAUAAAGCUUCAAACCUCCAAAUUUUCAAGACCCCAUCUUUCAAUCUCAAAACCAGAAACAACCCCUUCUCCAUUUAACCGAAUCUCAUAACUCUAGGAAAGGAGAGGGAUACGACUUUUGUAAAUUGAUUUAAUAUAUUUUUGACUUUUGAUUUUAAUUUUCUUUUUAAGUAUGUUAGUUAAAAUUGCUUUUGAUUUAAUUUUUUUUUGUUAUAAAUUGGAUUCAAAACUUUGAUUUAAUAAUAAAAAAAUCUUAACUUUAGUUUGUGGAUUGUAUACUAAAUUCCUUAAUAAAAAUAGUAAUUUUGAAUCUUUUUUACAAAUAAUGCUUAUAACUUAUGGUUAUUUUAAUUUAUUUUUUUCAUAAAAAAACUUUUAAAUUAUAGUUCAAAGCUACCAGAUUAGGCAUGUAGCUUAUGAAGGGUUUGUAAGCAGCAAACAAUUAAAAUUAGAAAUCAGAGGAACAUUUAGAAUCUCUAGCAAUAGCCAGCAAUGUAUCUGCUCGAAAAAACCAUUCAACAUGAGAUUGUUCUGCUAGAAAAACAUGAGAUUGCUCUGCUAUUUGAUAUCAGUUUCAAACUUCUGAACAAAUAAUACAGCAUCAAGUCUCAGUCAUCACAUGCCCAUACAAAAACAUUUAUUCCAGAUCUCAAGCUGCAUUGCCAGGCCCGUUUCCAAAACCACAUAAGCAUAUGCAAUAGAAACAGAGCAUCAAACUGACAGAGAAAGCAUGAGAAUGAAAAUCCACACAUUAAACAAGAGUAAACAUUAUGCCUUUAUUUUUGAAAGGUUCACACACUUCAAAACAAACACGAAUGGGCAAGCAACAUUCGCCCUUACUUCUGGAGGCUUGUACGAUAAUGGGCAAGCAACAUUAUUUUUUUGAGGUUCGCACAGUAAUGACUAAACACACAACAUUACAUUACAUGGGUAAACAAGCAGAUAACCUUAUUCACACAUAUAUAGAUAAGUCGAUAUCUUCUUUUGAAAUCACACAUAGCAGAUAACCAAACGAGGGAAUAAGAAAUCACAGCAUCCGAAACUGAAGCAGACAAUACUUGAUAAUUGUUUUAGCGACAGCUUCUUUAGAUUAGGAAGCACCAUCUCCUUCUCAACGUUGACAGGUGAAACAUGAUCAUCCUGCCCAAACACUCCCAAUAAUUGAGACGCUUUUUUUACUCUAAGUAUUUGGAGCUAUGGGAGACCUGAAGCCAUGGUAACUGGGAAGAGGCUCUUCAACAUGUUACAUUCUCUAAUCUCAAUUUCACACAAAUUGGGAAAGCAUAAAGAUUGGAGAUGAUCUCCUAACAAUAUCUGGUCGUUUUCAUCAUCAUCCUUAGCAAUGAUUUGCUUGAAUUCCUCAUAGGACAAUAUCUUUAGAACUUUCAGUUGGACUAGACUGACAAUCAUGCUGCAUGUGAAUACCAGUGUCAGUCUCUUACACUCAACCACCUUCAAAGUAGUCAAUUUGCUCAGCACGAGACCCUUCCAUAUACACCUCAUGUCAGGCAGGGAUUCCAAGCAUAAUUUUUCCAAAUUUGUCAACCCUUGCAUCAAAAGAAAACAAGGAUACCAAAUUUAUAAAACAUUCUUACUUACAAAAACUUGUAGGUCUAGUGUUACCAAUCCUUGUCUUGGGCUUAUACAUGUUCCAUUGGUCCAUAAAUAUAUUUGCUAAGCUAUCAACAUAAUUUGUUUGGGACAAAUCCUCAUCUAGUUAUAAUAGACUCACACCUGACUGCUUAAAAUCACUAGUUAUUGUAGGAUUGACUACAUCAAAAUUGAUUGGUUUUUUGUUUUCAAAGAGAUUUAAACUUUUGAUGCAGACGAAAGCUAAAAACACAAUAAUCAAAGAAAACAAAAAAAAAAUAUAAGCAAAAGGGACUAUAGAUGUAAACCCUCAAAUUCACAAGUUUAUUUUCUCUAAAAUAAUAACAAUGAAGUUUGUUUUCUUAGAAUGUUUACAAAUCCUUAAAUAUGUCAGGAACCUUACCUCCACUAGGAAACAAAAACAAAAAUACAAAAUUACAAAGAAAAGAUGCAUAAAAUCCAAAACAAGCAAGAAAUAAAAAAAAUAACAAGGAAAAUCACAGAAACUAUUAAAACUAUAGGCCUAAACAAAAUUUUUGAUAUCUAAAGAUUUGAUGGUCCACGUAAAAAUUUAAGUAUGAUCCAAUAGUCGAAUAAGAAAUUGUAACUCUUUUGAGUUGUUAUUCUAGUCUGACGUAUUUUUUCUCUUUUUUUCACUAUAAAUGAAGUUUGACCAUCAUUGUCAUAUAGUUUGACUUAGUUGUAUCGGUUUUUAAUCAGAUCAACUUUAUAUAAAUCAGAUCAACUUUAUAUAUUAUGAGUUUACAUUUACUAAUUUUAAAAAAAUGCUCACAAGUCCAUUGUUCACACCUCAAAUUCGUAACUGCAGCGAUUCAUAGGCAACGAAACCAGUUAGAGACUAGAGAGUAAACAUGCUAUUAAAGUUUGCAAGUAAGGGUUUAGAUUAGAUUAUUUGUUGUCUUGUUUCAAAUAUUAGAUCAGUCUCAACUCAUUAAAUAAACUAGUGGUGCAUUGAUCCUUGCAUUAAUUGUUCAUUAACAAACAAUUGUUAAUAUGAAACUUAUGAUGUAUUAAUAACGCAUACAACAAUGAGGCAGUUAAGUUUCUUCGAUAAAAUAAAAUCAUUUAAAAAAUAAAAAUAAGCUAGUAUGUUUGUUACAUAACUAAAAAAAAAAUUGAUUUUUUUAAAUUGAUUUUUUUAAAAAUCAUUUUAAUAGACUAAUAUUAAAAAUAAAUUUUAAAAAAUAAAAAAUAUAUUAUUUUGAUAUAUUUUCAAGGAAAAAACAUUAUGAAAAGAAAUUGUUAAUGUUUGUUAAAACAUUAUUGUUAAUAUUUCUUACUAAAUAUAUAAUGACAUGUGAUUGGAAUAAUGUAUGUGAACUUGUACACAACUUAAUAAAUGAGAAAACUAAGGUAGCCGGUCACAUGUGAUUGGAAUAAUGUAUGUGAACUUGUACACAACAUUAUUGUGGGCUUAAUGGACCACAUACAAGUUUGCCCUGUAUUUUAAGUGAAGUUUUGCAGAUUUUUGAAAGUUUUUUUUUUUCAAAUUGAAUUUUUUUUUUUUUUUUUUUGUGGUUACCAUAUCAGACAAAGUAGAGGUUGAUUUCAACAAGCAUGAAAAACCAAAUUCAUUAUGAGAUAUAUAGCCUCAAGAUUAUCACAUCAUAAAGAAGAGUAGAGGUUCAAAUCCCUAAAUCUAUAAAUAAAUAAAAAAUGAACUAACCAAUUUUAUCUCGAAACAACAUUGAUCGUGGUCAACCGUGUGACUUGUUCCGCCCCCGUCCCGGGUUCGACCCUCUAUGUGCACGCCUGUCACCCCCGCGGUGCCUUACCUGCCCCUGGGCUUGCAGGAUGUCCAGUGGGCCGUGGGGAAUAGUCGUGGUGCGCGCAAGCUGGCCCGGACACCCCACGUGAAUCAAAAAAAAAAAAAAAAAAACAUUGACACUAACUUAAUGCUGAGCCUUGGUACAAAUUAAGUCAGCACUUCCAUGCCUUGUGAUCUUGACAAAAAUAUUUUUGGUCCUUUUAGUUUAGAAAUGAAACUUUUCAGUACAAAGCUUUAUUUUACCUCUAUAUAUAGUUUCUGAGUUUGAGAAAAGAAAGAAAGAUUUGUUGAAAAACUACAAAGGAGAGAUAAAAUUAGUCAAUUUAGAUUUGGGUUGAUUUUCUAAUUUUAAAUCAAUUAAAUGUUUAUUUAAAAUAUUUAUAUAUCUAACUUUUCAAUAAAGGAGCAAUUUUUCAUUACAUUCAGCACAAUAUUUAUUUCACUAACCUGUACGAAGAUGACACGAGUUAAAAUAAUUGUUUAAACACACACUAUAUAUAUUGUGCAUAUAACUGUCUUGUAUUCACAUUAUUAGAUCAGUGUAUGCACACAACAUUUGAUAUUUUUAACUGUUAUGAAUAAUCUGUAUAUUAUGUGUCGCACGUGAGCGACGUCGCGGCGAUCGUCCACCCAAAACAAAUGUAAUAAUAUGGGGGAUAUAUAUCUGGUCAAUGUAGGGAGACAAGGAAUUCGUUGUCUCUUAGCAGUGAAAAAUGGUGUGGGAGUCGCCACCUAGUAUUUUGGUCACUAGGAACCCUAACUGGUCUCAGAGAUCGGGUACGGGGACUGGUUGCGUAAAGGGAAGGUAUUAGCACCCCAAAUACGCCCUACCUAAGGUAAGCUGCAUCGUUUAAUUGUCUGAUAAAAUUUAAGGUGUUUUCAUUGUGUUUCCUAGUUGUUGGUCCGUCUAUGGUUCAAGAAAAGUCCUCCUUAAUAAGGAGGUCCUUAUCUUAUCGGGUAAAACCUAACCGUUCUAGCGUCUAUGUAAAAAAACAUAUUUUUAAUUUCAGGAAUACGUUUUACGUAUAAAUUCGUAAUCCCAUAUACUAACAGAGGACAAAAAGAUUUUUUAGAAUUUUUGGAAUAUUGGCCUAGUUCUCAUGGCUUGAAUAAACUGGUUAUUAAAGCCAAAAUGCAUGCUAAUACAUAUAUUGUUUUGAAAUUUCUUUUGUUGUGUGAAAAUAUGAUGUUAUAAUAUUUAUAUAUAUAUAUUGGAGAGACUAGGCCGUAUUUUAAAACAAAAACAUUUUUUAAAUAUGUAUUUUGUACGUUUUGACGCAAAUCGGGUAUUUUAAUACUGGGUUUGUAUCCUUGCAGUAUAAAAAUACAACCAAAUAUUAAUCUACUUUGAUAAAGCAAAUGCAGAAAAAUCAACAAUAUUUUCAAAGAUAUUUUAGAAAAUUUUUGAAAGCAAAAGACAUUUUUUAUUUUGAAAAUCUUUGAUGUUUUGAUGAAAACCGGGUAUGUUAAUACCGGAUUUGUAUCUUUACAGUAUAAAAUACCAACCAAUAUUAAUCAAAAUACAGUAAUAAAAUUACAGAAAAUCACAUAUUUUUGAAAUAAUUUUUGAAGAAUUUUUGUAAUUUUUUCAUAUAUAUAUAUAUCUAUAUAAAUAAUACAAAAUAUAAUAUAUAUAAUAUAAUAUAUAAUAUUAAAUGGGCUGGGCUGGUCCGGCCCAACCGACUGGGCCGGACUCAGCCCAAAAUUGUUGGGCCGAUCUCGGCCCAAAAUGGGUUGGGCCGAUCUCGGCCCAAAACAAAAAACACAUUAUCUUCUGGGCCAGACCCGGCCUAGAAGACAGGGCUGGGCCAGGAUCCGCCUGGCCCAAGCCAAAACGGGGCGGGGGGGGGAAUUAUUUUCCCCCCACCCCUGCAUGCAGAACGCUACUCGUUCUGCAUGCAGGGAACGAAACGAGAAAAUAAACGCUCUCCUAGAAACCGCAGAAAAGUUACCUGGCGCGGAGGCGAAAGCGGUGGCUGGCUGCGUUUCUGGCGGUUCUGUGGUGGAGGCUGGUAGCGGUGUCGCUGCUCCCUGGCGGCGACUCCAAGCAGCGGCGCUGCUGUCUCAAGCGGCGGAAAGAGGGAUUCUUCCUCUUUCCUUCUCCUCUGUUUCCUUCCCUUUUCUUCUCCUUCUUUGGUUUUCUUUCCCCCUGUUUUCCCUUCUUUCGGUUCUCUUCUCCCUCUCCCCUUUCUCUCUCUUUCGGUUUUUUCCGUUCCUCUCUCUCUCCUCUGUUUUUCGUUUUCUCCUUCUUCCCCCGUCUGUUCUCCUCCCUCUUUUUCUUCUACUGUCGUGUUGGUUGUUAUUUAUAGAGCCAAGUGAGUGGCUUUUCGCUGUGGAGCAUGGGGAGCAGCCGGCCGGUCGGCCAUUGGGCGCGACUGCCAACGCUCGGCCCCCCUCCCCGGCUUUCUGGCAGGUGCGCGGUGGGUGGUCGGCCAUUGUGUUCGGUCGGUGGGCUCCAGGCGAGAGAGAGGGGCCGGCAAAAAUUUCAAAAAAAAGCACCAUUUUUCCCUUCUUCCCCGCUGCAUGUUCGGGGGGGAAGAAGAAAGAUGAACAGUGUCGUUCAAAACGACACCGUUCUGCCCUUUUCCCUUUUUUUUUUUUUUUUGAAUGGAUGAAACGACGUCGUUUUGGAUAAAACGCGCCGUUUCAUUUAAAUCCUACAAGACGCCAAAACGCGUCAAUUUGCAAAGCAGCCCUCAAUUAUCUUUUGUCCCUUCAAUUGCAUCCCUGCCGAAUUUGAACCCCGUCCCUAUAUUUGGCCGCGUUUUUCACUUUGGUCCUUGGCCUUUGAAUUAUGCAAUUGAGCCCUUAAUUGAUCAAUAAACUUCCAAUUUCUUCAAUUAGGCCCCUGAAUCAAUUAAUUCCAGCCCCUAUACUUACGCACCUUCUUCAAUUUGGUCCUUGGUUUCGGAUUCCUUCAAUUAAGUCCCCAAUUGGCCCUUAAACUUCAAUAUUUAUGCAAUUAAGCCCCUGAUUUGACCUAAUAAAUUCCUAAAAAAUAUAUUUUGGCCCCAGAACUUAAAUUUCUUCUAAUUAAAGCCCAAAUUGACUUAAAAAUCAAUUUUUCUUGCAAUCAAAUCCCCUAUAAAUUCAUUUAAAAAUCAAAUUAAGUCCAUAAACAUCUAAAUUUGGGCUUUUCUCCUCAAAUUUGAAAUUUUCCUUGUCAACAGGGCUCUCCUCCUUCAAGAAUAUAUUAUCAAAAAUUCCAUCUUUGUUUUUUUAACCUUAUUGACCAAUUUUCCAACCAUUUUCUGAGCGCUUCUGCCUCCUGUUAUUUUUCUAACCUCCUUUGGCUAUAUAUUUUUAUAUAUAUUUUGUGGGGACCCAAAAAUGGGUUACAACAUUAUGAAUGCUUAGUCUUAACCUAAAUACAAAUAAAGUAUAUAUAGGUCAAACUGAAAGUACUAUUCUACCCUUGAUAAAUAAGACUACAUAAAUAUUAUUUAACAUCUCCCCUCAAACUCACGAUGCGGCAGCUACAAGCAUCGAGAGUUUGCCAGCCAAAAAACGAAAACGAGAGAUGGAAUGCGCCUUGGUAAAGAAAUCUGCAAUCUGCAAGGAAGAAGGAACAAAAGGCAAAGCAAUGGUGCCAUGUUUGAGAUGAUGACGAGUAAGAUGACAAUCGAUCUCAAUGUGCUUAGUGCGUUCAUGAAAAACCGAGUUAUGAGCAAUCUGAAUAGAACUCUGGUUGUCACAAUACAUAGGAGUAGGAUGAGAAAAGGAAAUUCCCAUAUCAGCAAGUAACCAACGUAACCAAACAAUCUCUUUGGUAGUAGAUGCCAUGACACGAUAUUCUGCUUCGGUGGAUGAUUGAGAAACAAUAGAUUGUUUCUUGUUCUGCCAAGAAAUAAGAGAAUCACCUAAAAAGAUAUAGAACCCGGUAACAGACUUGCGAUCUGUGGGAUCACUACCAUGAUCAGCAUUAGAGUAUACACGCAACUCCAAGGAAGAGGUGGAUGAAAGUAAAAGACUCUGAAAAACUGUACCCCGAAGAUAUCGCAAAAUACGAAGAACAGCUGCCCAGUGAACAGUAGUAGGAGAAGCAACAAACUGACUAACAACAUGAACAACAUAUGCAAUAUCUGGACGAGUAAUGGUGAGAUAUACCAAACUCCCAACAAUAGUGCGGUAUAAAGUAGGAUCUAUCAAAGGUAAAUCAUCAGAAGAAGAGUACCUUGUGUUAACCUCAAUAGGAGUAUCUACAGUCUUGUUAUCAGUAAGUCUAACCCGCUCAAGAAUAUCUGCAACAUAUUUCGACUGAGAAAGAAGGUAACCUCUAGGUGAGUAUGCUACCUCAAUACCCAGGAAAUAUUAAAGAUAACCCAAAUCCUUCAUUUCAAAUCGUCUAGCCAACUCUGUCUUCAAAACUGAAAUACCAUCAAUAUCAUCACCAGUAAUAAUCAUGUCAUCAACAUAUAAAGACAGAAUGAUACGACCUGCAUCAGUGCACUUAAUAAAAAUAGCAGAAUCAUGACUACUAGAAACAAAGCCACGAGACGAGAUCACAAUAGAAAAUUUCUCAAACCAAGCACGAGGUGCUUGUUUGAGACCAUAUAAUGCUUUCUUAAGCUUACAAACAUAUCCAGAGUCAUGUGAAAUACCAGGAGGGGGUGCCAUAUAAACUUCUUCUUGAAGAUCUCCAUUCAAGAAUGCAUUUUUAACAUCAAGCUGAGAAAUAUGCCACUGACGAAUCGAAGCUACGACAAUAAGAGUAUGAAUAGUAGUCAUUUUUGCAACCGGGGCAAAUGUCUCCUCAUAGUCCAUACCAUACUGUUGAGAGUAUCCUUUUACAACCAGCCUAGCUUUGUAUCGCUCAAUAGACCCAUCAGAAUUAGUCUUGAUCUUAUACACCCAACGACAACCAACAACACUCUUACCAGGAGGUAGAGGAACCAGAUCCCAAGUAUUUGUCUUAUGCAAAGCAGAAAGUUCCUCAUCCAUAGCUUGCUGCCAAAGCGGAUCAAGAAUUGCCUCUUUAUAGGAAGAGGGCUCAAAGAGACAAUGAAUAGAAGCUAAAAAGGAAGUAAAUGAUGAAGAAUAACAAGAAUAAGCAAAAUCUGGUAGUUUUGUGGACUUACGAAUGCGGAUGGACUGACUUGGAGGUGGAUCCACAAUCUCAGAUGAAGCUUGAGGGGAUGUAGAUGAGAAUGGAGCUUCAGGUGUGCCAGAGAGUAAAGUACCAGUACCUGCAGAGUUAUGAGUACAAAUUGAUCGAACAUAGGGAGAGGUAUCAUUACCAGAAUCCUUAGAAAAAGGAUCUAUAUAAAUAAGAUCAGAUUUUGUCAGGCUAUGAGUAGUGGAUGAAAUAGAAAAGAAAGGUAUAUGCUUAAGGAAGACAACAUGACGAGACACAUAAAGUUUCUGAGUUAUUGGAUCAAAUCAACGAUACCCCUUUUUACCUUCACCAUAACCCAGAAAGACACAAAUAACGGAUUGAGAGGAUAGCUUACUGCGUUCUACAUGAGGAAGAAGAACGAAACAAGUACAACCAAAGACUCUAAAUGAGGAAUAAUCAGGGACAUACCCAUAUAACUUUUCAAAAGGAGAUAGACCCGAACUUGACCUAUAUAUACUUUAUUUGUAUUUAGGUUAAGACUAAACAUUCAUAAUAUACAGAUUAUUCAGAAUUCUAGCCUCCUUUCUCUAUUUGAUCUCAAUUAAUUUAACAUUAACCAUUCACAUACAUUAAAUAAAACCCAUGGAAACAGGACACAAACGUCGACUGCAACUGCAACAUUAUACUAAUGAGUGUAUUUUCUGAAGUCGAAAGAGUGCUACCCAAUCUAGGUUCAAGUGGGAUGAUGAAUUGAAGAGCAGUUGUUAUUUGACACUGCAAUUAGAUGGCUCAUAUUUGAUUUAUGGAGCUAUGAUAAGGGAUUCGUGCUUGUAUCACAUAUAACAAUAUUUACAUAGUAACAAGCACUAUUAAAGAUGCUACACUAGUAAUUGCUUUAUCAAAUAUUUUAUGUUUUUUUUUUUGAAAUAUUGUUAUAGACAUAGAAUCAUCUAGAUUAUGUGACAUUCUAUAUUGAUUUUGUGAUAUUUUAAUCACUAAAAGUAUGGGUUUCAGAGAAAAAAAACCAAACAAAAAAUUGAAAAAAUUAAAAAUUUUCAAACCAACCCAAUCCAACAUAUUGAUCAGUUUUGGUCUGGUCUGGUUCAAAUAUUUUUUAGCUGAAACAAUUAAUAACCAUUUUCAAAAGGUAACUAUUGACAAGCCUUUCACCGAAACCAUGUUCAUUUAUCCUGAAUCAAUCCAAAUCAGGUUCAGGUUUGAAAGGUUCGGAUAAUCACUUAGACGUCUUCGGUUCUAAUUUUAGGCCUUGUCACUUAGUCAUCCCUUAUCCUAACUUUUUAUUUCCUAAUAAAAUCUCACGGUUUUUCAUCUAUGUUCAAAGGAAAAGUUGACCUUGCAAAUGGUGCUCUAAGGAACCAAGUCAUCCUAGAACUAAUCAUCCACCUAAUCUCAUCAACUCCUUGUUGCACAAACAGCUUGUCUCACUUAAAGGGGAUUUUAAUGAUGAACAAACACCAACUCCUUGUUGCUCAAAUACAUAUGCUCAUUUAAACACAAUUUUGCAUUACCUAGAACUGACAAGGCCUAAAAUUCCUGACAUAUAAUUUUGUUUUAAAGGAACUUCAGGAUUUCUAUAUAGGAUGCUUGACCUCAUUAAAGAAAAACUGAGGACAUCCAUAACAUAAAUUAUCUUCCUUGCCCCAAAGUCAGCACAGAAAAACCCUGUUCAAUAUAAAGGUUCUGAAUGUUUUUCCUAAAUUUCAUGAGCUGGCAUUCAACACAUCAAACUCCCAAUUUAGCAUUCUUAUGCAAACUACAACUGCAAAAGGCUUGUACAUGUAGGGGAGGUAGGAAGAGCUGCAAAGAAUUGUGGCAUCUAUUGUUAUGCUGUUCAGAGUUUCUAUCUCAUCAUCCAAUCUGCCAAAAAUAUAAGAGAUCAUGUGCAUCAUCAAAAGCCCCAGCCGCUAUAUGAACAAAGCACCUAAAAAAUUAAUCACCUAGCUAAUCUAAUUCAGGAAAAUUCGGUCAAAAUCUCCUACAAUGAAACGAGUUAUUGGAAUGCAUAGAUAGGAAAUUCAGGUAAACACACACACAUACACACACACACCUGAUCAUAAAUUUCCUAAAGAAAUUCUGAAUCGUAACAUUGGUAAACAAAGAGUGACAAUAUCAUCACAUUAAAAAUGCAUUUCACUCAAAACAAAUAACAGCUCAAGAAAAAAAAUUGCAAGAAGCCAAUAGAGAAUAAAGUAAGCAGUCCAUAAACAAGAGACAGAGAGACAUUGUUCCAAUAGAGAAAAGUAAUUAAAACCCAACAACUAAAACUGAGAAAGAAUCAAACCAGGGAGUAACUAAUCCUUUUAAAGCAUUCCAAGAAUGGCAACCAAAUGUAACAUAAUCAACCUGCAAAAACAAACACAAAAAGAAUUAGAAGAAGAAAUCCCAUUAGUUAAUAAGUUAAAACAGCAGCAGCAGCAAAAAGACUAAAAUUUUAGUUAUUUGGACUUGAGAAAAAGCACUGAACCUGUGUGAAAAUGCCAUGAAAGGGGUGCUAAGAAACCAGGAACAUAAAAACUUGUAAAAGGGUCUUUUUACAAAGCAAGAAAGAAGCUAGGAAGCAAGGAAGCAUGCCAGCCUACCCUCACGAACUCUGUUUGUUAGGCCAUGUUUGUUUCCCGGAAUUCACUUUCCGGGAAACCAUUUUCCAAACUUUCCUGUGUUUGUUUGCCAUUAGAAAAAUUGAUCAACGGAAAACACUUUCCGGUCAACGGAAAACACUUUUCAAUCAACGAAAACACUUUCCCAUCAAAGAAAAAAUUGGUUUGGUUUUUCAGGAAAGUGUUUUCCCUUUUGGCUGUGUUUGUUUUCCGGAAAGUGGUUUCCGGGAAACCACUUUCCAAACUUUCUUGUGUUUGUUUGUCAUUAGAAAAGUUGGUCAACGGAAAACACUUUUCGGAAGUUGUGAAAAAUUUAGAAAUGUCAUUAUUUGUUGAUUAUAUCAAAUUUAAUCCUCAAACUUUUGAUUGCUAUAUAUAAUUUGUUUUGAAUAUUUAUUUUUCAAUUCCAUUUCUUAAAAUUUAAUUUUUAUAUUAAUUUUGCUCCUUAUUUUUAUAAUUGUUAUUUGCUUUUUCCUUAUCAUUUUUUUAUUGAAAUUUUUUAUCUGUCAAAUUUGGUCCUCAUUCUUUUGAUUGUUACUUAGUUUAUUUGAAAUAAUUUAUGAAAUGUUAAUUAUUAUUAUUUUAAUUUCUUCACCUUUCAUUUUUUUAAAAUUUUUAGAUUUGAUUUCUAUUAUUUUGAUUAUUAUUUAUUUUAUUUGAGAUAAUUUAUGAAAUUGUAUUUUUUUUCAAUUUCAUUCUCAUUCAACUUUUUAAUUUGUAAGAUUUGUUCCUCAUUAUUUUAAUAAACUUGAGAAAAUAAAACAUUAAUAAGUUAUUUUCCAGCUCAUUUUCCAUGACAUAACCAAACACUGGAAAAUGUUUUCCAACUUAUUUUUCAUUACACUACCAAACAUCAGAAAAUACUUUCCCGGAAUUCAUUUUCCCGGAAUUCACUUUCCAAAAUGAAACUACUUUCCAGCAAACAAACGGGGCCUUAAUUGUUUUUUCUCCUUUCAAGUAAAAAAAAAAAAAAAAAACAAAGAGCACCAAGAAAAUCUAAUCAGAAAUAUUUUUUUUUUAGUCUGAAAUAUUUUAUGUUGUUGUCUUGGAGAGAUGCAGAUACCGAGGAACAGUUGUGGGGCCACCAUUGGUGAGCAGUGAUACAGUGGCAAGUACGUGAAGUAACGCAUAUUACAGUGCGCAAUGAUAGAGUGAGUCUGGGUGGACAAACUUUUGGUGGUACACGUGGUGCGUAAUGAUUUGACGGCUAUGGAGAGAAGUUACAUGAGGGAAAUAAGAUGAAAAAAGUGGCCUCUCUAGAUUUUGGAAAUGUUCUCUGAAGAAAGAAAGAAAAUAAUCUCAAGGGUGGACAAAAAUGGGGUAAUAUCAGAUUUGGAACAUAAUCUUGGUUGGUGAAGAAUAACAUAAUCUGAAGAGAAAUCUAGGGCAAGCCAGUGAGAUUUGAGCUUAGAUUUUGGACCAAUUUAUAGGUGGAUGAUACCAUCAUGGAUGAUGUCUAGCUGAUAAAUGUUUAGUUACUAGCAAUUCUAUCAUAAGUUAUCAGAUUCUGUGUGUGUGAGGCUGCCAUAAAUUUCUUUCUUCUAUGAUGGAUAAAAAACGCUAAGCAAUGAACCAUUUUGUCAACCUAGUAAAAAAGGUAUUAUGGUAUUAUAGACUUAAAUUCAUAGAUAAUUAAGUAAAUUUCUUGAGGAAAAGCAAAAUUUAACUAUAGAUAAUCAAAGUGAAAAAAAAACACCUCAAAAAAAGAUGGUAGUUUCAAGAUUAAAGCCAAAAAUUCACUUUGAUUCUCAUACUUUUCAGAUAAUGACUUUUUGGUCCCUUAAGUUUUCUCACAUUUUAUUUUUGAUCCACAACUUCAUUUUUCUAUAUUCUCAUUCCCUAAUUUGAUAGAGGAGACAAAAUGUUAUUGGAUUACAAUGUUAGAGAGAGUCUCUGUAACAGCCUCAACAUUUGUAUUCAAAACAAAGAGUAAGGACAUGAUGAUUCAAAUAAGAUUAUGGAAUUUUUUUUUGUAAUCAAUAAAAAAUUCAGCAGAGUUUUUUUUAUAUUUUUAGAUACUAAAUUAUCGACUUUUCAUCUACAAUCCUCAAUUAUCAAAUUUCUUACUCAUCCUAUCAUCCAGAACUUCCUCCUCUCAUUACAUCACAACUUCUCAAUAAUCAAAUGCACAUAUGUCUAAAUAAUUCAAUAUCCCACAUUUACAUGGAUGCAAUCCAAAGAAUUAUUCUACAAAUUAUAAUUGAAGUACAUUACAUAAUUCAAAGAUUUACAAAUAAGGACCAUUAACGAAAUUAUAAUCGAAAUAAGUAUAUAAUUAAAGAAGAAAUUCAUAAUUAAGAUUAUACUACACAAAAGAGCUUUCGAUAAACUGUUGACACAUUAUAUUACAUAACAAAAUGAUAAAUUCAUUCAUUACAAAAAGAUACCCAACAAAAUAUAAGAAAAUUAAUCUAUUGUUCAGCCCGAUAAGGGGAUGUACCUGAAAAUUGAUUUAAUACAAAAAUUUAAUUAGACAGAUGAAAAAAAGAUAUCCUGCUUUCUUUCUUUCUUCCUUUUUUUUUUAAAAAAAAAUUAGUCAAAAGAUCAUUAAAUUAACUUGCUCAUGUAGUAUUAUAUAUAUAUAUAUAUAUAUAUAUAUAUAUAUAUAUAUAUAUAUAUAUAUAUCAAUUAAAUUUCAGAAUAAUCUAUGAGUUUGAGUUUGUUUUCUUUUUCUUUUUUAAUAUCAACCAAAAAUAUAAUUAUUCAUAUCACUCAAUUAACCCGACAUUACUUUCACUAAUAGAUGAUUAAUUUUCCACCAGUCUAUUCAACAAACACUAUUGUCAUCAAUCCAAAAAUUAGUUUAACGUUUCAUCCAUUCAUCAGGUACAAAUCCCAUUAACUAGGAAAAUUAAUUCUUCAUCUUGCCUAUUUGCCAGGGCACUAAUUCCAUUAAAUCAGGAAUUAGUUCAACGAUUUACCCAUUCACUAGGGUACUAAUCCCAUUAACCAAAGACUUAAUUCCUCAUCAUGCCCAUUCACCGGGACAUUAAUCCCAUUAAUUCAGGAAUUAGUUCAACGAUUUGUCUAUUCACCAGGGUUCUAAUCCCAUUAACUAGAGAAUUAAUUCCUUAUCACGCCCAUUCACCAAGGCAUUAAUCCCAUUAGUUCAAGAAUUAAUUCAUCACAUCGCAUAUCUUAUUUUCUAAAGUAAACAAUAUAAUAAUUUCAUAUUUAUCAACCAUAAUUAAUCAAAUAAAAAUACAUAUUGACCAAUAAUAAAUUCAGGUACCGUGUAAUUACCUGAUGACUAAGCUCGAGCUGAAAUUUCCUGCUGUGGUGUCGGCCUGGCAGCCUCUCUUGAAUUGACAAGUAUAUCAUAUCAUUAUUCUACUUUCCAUAUUGAAACACUCAAUAAAUAAAAUCAUUCCAAUUAUCCUUUUAUUUGCCAAAAUAAAAUCAUUUUGUAAAUUUCCUUCCUAUUCUUUCAAUUUCCACAUUGUAACACAAUUCAUUUCAUCAUUCAAAUCAAUAUAUAUAUUCUUUAAAUUUAUUUAUUUAAUUUUUACCGUAAUUUAAAUCAAAGAAAAACAUAAAAAAAUUUCAUGAUCUAUUCACUCUUUAACAUUAAUAUCAUCUCUUUCUUACACAAUCUCAUCAUCUUAUCAAAACUCUUAAAUUUUUAUUUUUCUUAUUAUUAUUUUUCCAAAAAUCCCUUCUUCAAGAACACCUAAAAUUUUGCUUUAAUUACCAUAAUUUCUUACCUUCCCUACUCACUUCAAUAAUCUUAACACAAUUUCACAAUCAAUUGUAAUUUUCUCUAAAAUAUAUCAUGAACCCUAAUUCCUCAUUUCACAAAGUUCAAUCAAUUUAAAGCAUAAAUUCUUCGAGAAUCUUAUUUAAAAGUGUGAGGACAUCUUACCAAGCAAUAACCAAAGCUUUAACACUUUUAAAUUGAGAAAUUUUCCUUGCUUGAAUUUGUUUUUCCUCUCCUGGCCGAAUGCUUAAAAAGCAAGUUUUUUUUUUUGUUUCCUUAUAGCACACUCACUUGCACUCAUAUAUAUAUAUAUAUAACUCUUUUUUUAAAUACCUUCCACAUCCCUCAAUUUUUUCUUUCCCCCUACACAUAUAUAAUUACUUAACUUUUUAAAAAUACCUUUUAUAUUCCUUAAUAGUAAAUUUUAUGAUUUUUGGGUAAAAUUUCUUGAAUCCUAAUGCCUGUUUAUACCAAAUUUUAUCCAGGUUAUUUCAAAUUUCACUCAGUUACUCGUUAGUAUUUUCAGUUUCAUGAAAUUCAUUUCCAUAAAAAUUUUAUUCAUAUUUUCAUGUUUAUUUAUUUAUAUUUAUUUUUUAUAUAUAUUUUAACACCCGAACAAAACAUUUCAAUUCAGAUUCUCGAAUAUAUCAUCAUUCUUAUAAUUUAAUUUAUCACUUUUCCUCAUUUUUCGUAAUCUUGACUUUUAUUAAUAUCAAUAAUAUUACCCGGGGUUUUACAAUCUCAGUUGGCACUGAUUUUUGCCAUAAAAAAUGGUUGAUUUUAAUGAUUUUUUUUAAUAUCUAUAUGUUUUUUUUAUAUUUUAUAUGAAUAAACUUUAUUUUCAUGAUGUGUUUAUAAAAAUAAGAAUUAUUUGUUCUUGGUAAGAAAAAGUGACCUUUAAGAUUAAAAAGAAGGAGAAAAGUGACCUUUAAGAUUAAAAGUAUCUGCUCGAAAAAACCAUUCAACAUAAGAUUGCUCUGCUAGGAAAACAUGAUAUCAGUAUCAAACUUUUGAACAAAGAGUUCAGCAUCAAGUCUCAGUCAUCUUGAGAUUUGAAUGCCCAAACAUAUUCAGAUGCUCAUAAAAUAACAUUUUUAAUAAUGCAUUAUGCAAUAGAAACAGAACAUCAAACAAAGAGUUCAGCAUCUUACGCAUGAAAGUCCACACAUUAAACCAAAAGAAACACAAAUGGCCAAGCAAACAUACGCCCUUACUUCUGGAGGCUUGUACGAUAAUGGGCAAGCAACAUUAUUUUUUUGACUAUUAAGCAUCACCAUCACCAUCACCAUCACCAUCACCAUCUUCCUCUUCCUCUACUUCUUCUUCUGUCCACCCAUUAUCUCGGGUCCACUCUCUAUUAAUGCUUGAAUCUUCAGCUACUUCAGAUACCUGUAAACCAAUCAAGAAAAGAGAAAUUCAUAAAAAAAUUACAAAGAAAAGAGAAAAUUAGCGAAAGCCAUUCAACAUAAGAUUGCUCUGCUAGGGAAACAUGAUAUCAGUAUCAAACUUUUGAACAAAGAGUUCAGCAUCAAGUCUCAGUCAUCUGGAGAUUUGAAUGCCCAAAUAUAUUCACAUGCUCAUACAAUAACAUUUUUAAAAAUGCAUUAUGCAUUAGAAACAGAACAUCAAACUGCAGAGAAAACAUGCUGAUGCAGAAAAUACUCAAGUCGUAGAAAGGAGAAUGCAUGAAAGUCCACACAUUAAACAUUAUGCCUUUCUUUUUGAAGGUUCACACACUUCAAAAGAAACACAAAUGGGCAAGCAAUAUACGCCCUUACUUCUGGAGGCUUGUAAGAUAAUAAUGGGCAAGCAACAUUAUUUUUUUGAGGUUCGCACAGUAAUGACUAAAUACACAACAUUACAUUACUCCUGUGCUGUCAACAAUUCUUCUAACUUCUUCAGCAAACACAUAGAUAGAUAAGUCGAAAUCUUCUAUGGUAAAUAAGACUGUCACAAUGUGAAGCCAAUUUGUAUCCCGUUGCCAAUGGAACAGGAGGAAUUAUUUCCCACCAAUCUAAAACAUAUUCGCAGCACCAACCUUGAAAUCAUGUAAGAGCUAACCACCAUUCAACAUGAGAUUGUUCUGCUAGGAAAACAUGAUAUCAAACUUUUGAACAAAUAGUACACCAUCAAGUCCAAAUAUAUUCACAGCUCAAAGACAUGAGUCUCCAUCUUCUUUCCACCCCAUAUUUCUGGUCCACUCUCUAUUAAUGCUUGAAUCUUCAGCUACUUCAGGUACCUGUAAACCAAUUCAAGCAUGGCAUGCUCAUUUAACUUGUAAAUCUUAUUAUUGAGAGAAACAAGAAACAAACACACUAAAAGAGAGGCAAGAAAUCAAGUCAAAUCAGCAGCACCUCUGAUUGAGCAUUCAUUGAACCAUCUGGUGUAGUAGCAAAUUUUGUGGUCAGCUUUGGACAUUGAUGGACCUUCAACUUCUCCAAACGAGGGAAUAAGAAAUAAUCACACCAUCUGAAACUAAAACAGACAAUACUUGAUAAUUGUUCUAGCGACAACUCCUUUAGAUUAGGAAGCACUAUCUCCUUCUCAACGUUGAUAGGUGAAGCUUGACCAUCCUGCCCAGGAGACUCUGGAAUUAUUUCCCUUUCACCAUCCUCUUCUCUGAUAAUAUGCUUCAAUUGACCGCAUUUACUUAUGUAAAGUCUUUGUAGCUUUGGCAGACUUCGAGCGAGGGACGGUGUGAAGAUAAAUGUCAGUUUGUUGAGAGACUCCAAAUUCAGACGAUUAAGACUUUGGAGGCUGACAUGUCUAGAUGGCCCCUUCCAUAUACANNNNNNNNNNNNNNNNNNNNNNNNNNNNNNNNNNNNNNNNNNNNNNNNNNNNNNNNNNNNNNNNNNNNNNNNNNNNNNNNNNNNNNNNNNNNNNNNNNNNAAUACCUCUUCCAAUGAUUUACAGCUGUCAACAAUCACCUCCUUUAGAUUGUUCAAAGCUCGGAGCAAUUUUGCUGGAAACGGAGUGCGAACAUCCCCACAAUCGUCUACUCGUACAAAUUUUAAUCUUUGUAAGAAGCCGUUUUGCUGCCCAUGGACGGCCAUCUUAUCAGAGAACAAUAUUAUAUUUUUUCACUCUCAUAAAAACAAUUUAUAUGAUGUAUAAAUAGGAGAAAAAAAUAGAAAAAACAGGAUUAAAUACUUUUUUUUUGUCUUAAUUAGAGAUAAGUUGAAUAAUAAUUAGAUUUUUGCGAAAAAAGGUUAAUACAACUCCUAAUAAUUAGUUUCAUGUAAAAAAUAAAAAUAAAAAUAGUAGCUAAAAUUUUUAUUUUAGUUAUAAAGUUAAUAAAUUUUUAAAGAUAUUUUAAUUGAAUUAAAUAUUUGAACACAAAAGUUAUAUAUUAAAUCUAACAGAUAUUAUGAUUUCUAUGAUUAAUUUUUGGUAUUAAUAACGCAAACAACAAUGAGGCAGUUAAUUUUCUUAUAUUUAUAUAUGUUUAGAUAAAAAAACAAAUCAUAAAAAAAAAAAAUAAGCUACUAUGUUUGUUAUAUAAUUAAAAAAAAAAUUCAAACUUGGAUUUCCUAGCAUUUAUCAAUUACUUUACUUUUAGAAAUUGGGAGGAAGAAAGAAUAAAUUAUCGCAAUUGACAAUUUAAAUUAGUGGAGAAAUAUAAAUUACGUACUUGUAGCUGUGCCAACCAAUUACCCACUUCUUCGUGGCCUUCAAUGGUUAAGUCUAUGAUGCCAUCUCUGUUAUGAGACAAAGAGACUGGGAAGACAUAUUCCAGUUUACCACAGUGAGAUAUGCGGAGAGUUUUUAAUUUUGGGAAGCGAGGAGACUCUGGAAUUAUUUCCCUUUCACCAUCCUCUUCUCUGAUAAUAUGCUUCAAUUCACCACAAUCACUUACCUGAAGUCUUUUUAGCUGUGGUAGACUUUGAAGAGUUAGAGACACGGAGACAGGGAAGACAUAUUCCAGUUUACCACAGCCUUCUAUGAUGAUAGUUUUUAAUUUUGGGAAGCAAGGAGACUCUGGAAUUAUUUCCCUUUCACCAUCCUCUUCUCUGAUAAUAUGCUUCAAUUCACCGGAUUCACUUAUGCAAAGGGUUUCUAGCUUUGGCAGACUUUGAGCAAGGGACGGUGUGAAGAUAAAUGUCAUUUUGUCGAGAGAAUCCAAAUGCAGAUGAGCAAGACUGUGGAGGCUGACAUGUCUGGUGGGCCCCUUCCAUAUGCAUUUGAGCUCAGGUAACCGGUACAGCUUUAACUCUGUUAAAGAUGACAGCAACGGCAGCUCCUUCUCCUCACCCAAUUCAAAUACCUCUUCCACUGAUUUGCAGUCCUCAAUUUCCACCCUCCUUAGAUUUUUUAAACCUUGCUGCAAUCUUGCUGGAAACAGAGUGAAAACAUCCCCACAAUCCCUCACUUCUACAAAUUCUAAUUUAUGUAAAAACAAUUGCUCAAAUGUCUUCGCAUUUAAGGAUGUACCACCCAAAAUUAAUCUUGUGGAGGUUGGGUAUCCAUUAGAAUAAUAUUUAGUAGUAUUCCCUAACAUUAAAUCAUAUUUGAGCAAGCUGGGAAAAACAAAAUCUCUGGGAAUGCAUUCAACCUUCGGUAUCCUCAAUGAUAAUACGGCUAACUGAGACAACGAAUUUAGUUCUGUUAGGCUUGCAUUCAUUCCUCCUGUGCUGUCACAUCCAACAUCAUCCCAUCCCUUAAAGCUGUCUUUCCCGAUCAACAAUUCUUCUAACUUCUUCAACCUUCAAAUCAAAUUCACAGGGAUCCUUCUUAGACUUCGACAACCUGUCACAUCCAACAACCUUAACUCCUUGAGCUCUCCUAUUUCAUCAGGUAAUUCUUCAAUGGAUAAGCACAUUAUAAAAACAAGAAUCUUAAGUCUCUGCAGCUUUCUCAACCAAAUGAGGUCCUUGCAUCCACACCUGAUCAACACCAACGAUUGAAGUUUCGUUAAGAGUUCAAGUGAUUGCAAUGACAAACACUCUCCCUCCAGAGACAAAACUUCAAUUUCUUUCAUCCCUUCAAAAAACCUCUGAGGAACAUUCAUACCAUCAUCCAGUUCUAAUAAUAGAACUUUGAGCCGUGGACAUACCAAUCCUUCAGGAAGUUCGGUUAGUUUAUUGCCCAUUAACGAAAUUGUUGUACAAGCUUCAAAGCUUUUGAUACUCAUUGGCCAUUCCUUCAACCCAAUGCCAGCCUUUACCAUGAAUCCAUAUUCUUCUGAUGAUGCUAUCUGAAUAGCAAAGUCACGAACCAAGUCAUGCAUUCUCACAUGUUCUUCAGUUUCAGUGCCCAACAGCAUGCAACAAUCUUUGAGGUUUUCGAUUGCCACGGAAACUCGUUUCCUUGCAUCUUCAAUGGGCUCCGUAUCUUGAUGUAACCCACAGCCAACUGCAUAUCUCGUCAAGUCCUCGAUUGGAAUGUCAUAAUCUUCUGGAAAUAAACAGCAUAGCACGAAACAUGACUUGGUUUCCUCGUACUUCAAAUAAUCAUAGCUCAACUUAAGACAUGUGUAAGCAUUAUUUUGUUCGUCAAUUUGUUCCAUGCGCACAAAUUGAGAUUCUUUGAGCUGUUUAGACGCUACUUCCCACUGAACUCGUGAUUUACCUCUUAGAGCCCUUCCCACUGUCACAAGUGCUAUAGGCAAGCCUUGGCAUUCUCUCGCAACCUCCCUUGCCACUGUGUUCAAGGUAGAGUCCCCAUCACGUAAACCUGCAUUGAUUCUGAAUAAAUCCCAUGCUUCAUCUUCAGGUAAGACUCUUAAAAGCACUUUUUGCUGGCACUCCAUAGAAAAACAUAUGCCUUGAACACGAGUUGUUAGAAGAAUUUUACAACCCCUGUGAUCAUCACCAAAUGGGAUCCCUAUCUCUUUCAAGUCAAUAUGUUUCCAAACAUCAUCUAGGAUUAUAAGCAUCUUCUUUCCCUGCAGUCUCUGCCAUAAUUCACUUGCUCUACCUUCUUUACUCGUUUUUUCAAAUUUCAGAUGUAAACUAUCUGCCAUUCGAUCCUGGAUGCCUAUGACAUUUGGAUUCUGGGACACCGUAGCCAUCAAAACUUCAGGAAAAAGCUGCGACUCUUUGGCUCUCCUGCCUACUUCUUUCACCAGGGUUGUUUUACCCACCCCUCCCAUGCCGUACAGUCCGAUCAUAUUGACGUUGUCAUCUUUGAGAGCUUUCAUGAUCUGUUCCAAAGCUUCUUUUGACGAUUCUGAGGGUGUGAAUUCCUUUGAUGUUAGAAAUUCUAUGGGCUGAGGAGGAGCUUUUUGGGCCACUGUUUUAAACUUUUCGCUACUUUCUCCAAGUUUUCUGAAAGUCUUCGACUUCUUGGCCAGUGCCUUGCUUAACUUGAAUUGUCGCAUNNNNNNNNNNNNNNNNNNNNNNNNNNNNNNNNNNNNNNNNNNNNNNNNNNNNNNNNNNNNNNNNNNNNNNNNNNNNNNNNNNNNNNNNNNNNNNNNNNNNNNNNNNNNNNNNNNNNNNNNNNNNNNNNNNNNNNNNNNNNNNNNNNNNNNNNNNNNNNNNNNNNNNUUUGCCGAAACCAGGUUCUCCUUUCGUUCUUUGAAUUCUUCAACAAAAUUGUAGAAACAGAACAUGCAACGGAACAGCCUUCCUACUGGUUCCACCAUGAGUUCUGCUAGCAUAGCUAUAAUGGAUCCACCAGCACUUUCGAGAGCCAUUUUCCACAGGUCUGAAAAUCAAAGAAAUAAGGAUACAGAACGUGAGAGUGAGUCACUACAAGUAAAAGAGGCUUAAAGAGAAUGGGAAUAGGAAUUUCAUUACCUUAAUUUGGGAAAAUAUGUGCGAAAAGCACUGGUAUUGAGUGUUCAAUGAAAUAGCGGGAGGAAGAAGAGGAGAAGGCCUUUAGCUCUGUAUGGAAUCCAGCUUCAAAAGCAACAAGGCAAGGUACAAGUAUAACAAUAAAAUAGUUUACAUGGAUUCUAACGGACUCUUGUGAGUUAAAGCAUUAGUUCCCUUUAAAAAUGCAUUUUGAUGACAUAAUUAAGAUAAUAUAGAGACAGUGACAAACAAAUAAAAAAAUGUGUAAAAGAACUCACCUAGCAAAGAAAGAAACGAAUGAAAGGUUCAGGAUAAUCACUUAGACGCCUCCAUGGAUGAUACCAGCUCGCUUCCAACAACAAAUAUAAUUAACCUAAGCUAUGAUCGGUCAAAGUUUUUUUUAGUUUUCUUUUUUUUUUUAAAAAAAAAAAGAUCAACAAGAGAAAAUUAAGACUUGCAGGAACGAACUCAACAAAGAAUGAAACUAAAAGAACCAUGUUUUUUAUGAUGAUCAUCUCCGUGUCACCCACUUGGGUAAUAUGAUUGACCCGAGUGUGUGACAUCCAGAGUGCGGUUACUUUUUUCAUCCCUCUUUUUUGGUUUUAUUUUAUUUCAGUUCUUCAAGUCUUUUUCUUUUGCUAUUUCAUCGAGUUGCUUUGCUCUUGAGUUGUUGUGCUUGCCCUCAAGUAUGCAUUAUGCUAGGAAUUAUAAUUACAUAUUAUAAUUACAAAUUUCAGUUUUUUAAAAAACAAAAAAAAUAUGAGAAAGGACCAAUAUUACAAUGUGAGCAAAUGAAAGGAGAAUUUUAAAUUUUCUUGUGACAUGGUGACCAAGUAAUCCAAGGAACCAAUAGAUUAUCGCCACUUGUUCAACCUUAUCUGCACAUUAAGAUAGGGGUAGAAAGUAGGAAAGAAAAAUCAUAAUCCUAGAUUUUAUUGUGACAUGGAGAUAAAGGUAAUCUCAAAAGCUAAUAGAUGGUCCUUUAUCUACCCUUAGGAAAAGAUAGAAAGUAGGAGAGAAAAGUCAUAAUCUUAGAUUUUAUUGUGAUAUGGAGAGUUUCUCUCAACUCAUUUUUAGACCUCAACUGAUGAAGAUGGUGUGUAUUUUUUUUUAAAUCAAGUGCAUGUGUUUGUUGAAAAAUUGAUAAAAAUAAAGGAGAAAGAAAUAUUUUUUUCGAACCCUGUUUGAGGUGUUUUCUACUCUUUAUAUCCUCCUCCUUUGAUGCCAAAAGCAUCAGGUUUCUUAGGCUAAUAAGGAGUCUUCAUAUAAAUCCCUCAUAAUUUGCAUUUGUUUUUUUAAAAAACUGAUUAUGCUGCUGUCGUAAUUUUUUAUUCCAACUUAGGCUCUAAUUCUGACUUGGUUUCGUAUGAUAUUUGACCAUCCUACCUAUUUUUAUCACUCAUGACAUGUUGAAGAAUUGACCUAUACCUUUAUUGGGUCCUAGGGGUCAUUGUUCUUAGGGUAGACUCUCAGUCAGAUUUGGAUGCUUGGCAUUGUCAGAUCAAGAAAACCUUUUUGACCAACCAGAUUCCUGUCAGAUUCUGUUAUCUAAAACGAUUUUAUCUCACUUCAAAUCCUUCAUCAAAGUUGUAGUCUGGGACAAGUAGAUGAAUUUGAGCUUUUGAAUUGCUUGAUUUGAAGAUAUUCCUGUUUGAAAUCUAGCAUGAAAGCAUAAAAUCCUGCCGCGAGAAGGUUUCCAGUCGAGUUUGGUUGCAAUUCUGUUAUUCAAAAGGAAUUUAUCUCAUUUUUAUCUUUCAUGAAAGUUGUAGCUCUACAAGUGUAGAUGAAUUUGGGACUUUUCAAUCGCUUGAUUUUGAUAUCAAAAGCUCAUAAUAUUCUCGUUUGAAUAUCUAACGUGAAAGCAGAGAAUUCUGUCGCGAGAAGGAUCUUGACCCGAGUUUUGCACUAAAGACUCUAUUUCCAUCACAAAAAUUAUUGAUUUGUUCUUAGGUCAUACUCUCAGUCAUAUCGCGAUGCUCGACGUUGUCAGUUUCUGAAUUAGAUCAGGAGACCCUUUUUGACCAACCAGAUUACUGCCAGAUUCUGUUCUCUAAAACAAUUUUAUCUCACUUCGAAUCCUUCAUCAAAGUUGUAGUCCUGGACGUGUAGAUGAAUUUGGGCUUUUGAAUCGCUUCAUUUCAAUAUCAAAAGCUCAAGAUAUUCUCAUUUGAAUAUCUAAUGUGAAAGUAGAGAAUCCUGCCGCGAAAAGGGUUUAUCCCAAGUUCGCAGGUCUUAUUUGAAGGAUUUUUUUGGACCAAGGACUAAAUUGAAAAGUGCUAAAAUGAGGGAUUUAAUUGAAGAAGGAUAUUGGAAGCUGGAGAGGGGGGCUGGAUCAUCAUAAAUGACGGGAUUUCUACCACACCGAAUAAGGAAAAUAAGACUUUGCAGCAUGCACCGUUACCCAUCUGAUUUCUUUUCUUUUUCUUUGCAAAUUUCUUGCUGGUUUCCACGUUUCUCUUGCUGGAUUGGAGAGCUCCAGGCCAUGUUUUUAUUGCCUCAUUUCAAAGGAAACAGCUGGUGUCUCAUGAUCCCAGAUUUGGAAGGAAAGAAAGGAGUCGCACUAUCCUCUAAAAUACUGGAAAGAAAUCAGAUAUGAUCACAGAAUCAGAAUCAAAAUAUUUUGGUUUCCUAUUUCUACUCACCCGAGAUUACACCCUAGAGUUAAUGUAAUAUUUGUUUUCUAAAUAGAGCUGCGUUUUAGGUUAUAAGCCUCCUCUACUGGGAGAAGAAAGGGAUGAAAAAAAAGAAGGGAAGCAGGACAGAAAAGAGGGAGAACAGGAGAGGAGAAAAGGGGCCAAAUCUAAACCCUCUCUAGAGGAGCGCCACCCCCCCCCCCCACUGGCUUCUGUUUUGGCUCCCAGAACAGGCCACAACGCAGAAAAGGGGGGGGGGAGGCCUUUUCUUUCAUCCUUUGGUUACUGUGAAGACUUUACUGAACGGGGAAAGAAAAGAAAAGGAAAGGAGGAGCAGAGGAAAAAACAAGAAAAGAAAGACAAGAAAAAACAUAAGAGAGGCAGGGAGUAGGAGAGAAAAAAACAGAGAACGAGGGAGUUUCUUUCCUUCAUCCUUGCGUUGUUGGGAGAUCAGGAAGGCAAGCAGUAUAAGAGAAGAAGGAGAAGAAAAAGCAAGAAAAACGAGAAAAGAAAGAGAAACCAUAAACAAGCAGAGACUGCCUUUUCGGUCUUGCUUUCAUUUUUCUGCAUAUAACAUCUGCAGAACAGGGAAGGAGAAAGUGCAGGAACCAGGGAGAGAGGGUGACGAAGACGCAGAGAAAAGAAAAAAUCAGAAAACAGACGCAAAUAUAGAACAAGAGGAAAAGGUUUGAAACAGAUGAAACAGACCGAUCAACCAUCACGCUUUCAACGUCAAGGCAGCUUCUUCGCUUCCGUUCCUAGGUCUGUUCUCUUCACCUCUCGCACCAUGCAUUUUUUUGCUUUGUGUUUGCAUUGUUCAAGUGAAUUUUAACUCACUUGAAUAGUAACGUGGUCUCUUUGCAUGCAUUUUACUUUGUUCAUUGAGAGGAUUGCGCCCUUUUUUUUGUGUCCAGCCGGGUCACUUGCAGCCAGACCUACUAUUUUUUUCUUUUAAAAAAAUAAAAGAAAGAGAAAGAGAUUUAUGAUUUUCUGGCAUAUUUAUUUAAGGUCUGAAUUUUUUUUAUGUUGUAAAAAAUAUCAAUCUCGUAUUUAGAAUACCCGGUUUUCGACGCAAUGUGACAAAUAUACAUAUAUAUCAAAAAUGUUUUCUUGUGUGUUGCAUACGGCCAAUACCCUAACAUGUUUUGAACGUUCUUUUUUAUACAAAAAAUAUUGGAAGUUUCAAAAAUGUGUCGCAUGGAUUUCUUAAACACAACAAAAAUUAUUUUCUUGCAUUUCUGGAUUUUACAACAUGUUUGUAAAACUCCAAAGGGUAUUGGCCAAUAUUCCAAAAAAAUAAAAAAUCUUAUUUUGGAGGGAAUUAAUCUAUUGUUCACCAUUAAUGUUUGGAUAAAGAAAUCUCAAAGGGAUGAAUAUCCAAAAUAUUAUUGGAAAUAACUUGUUAUUAUUCACUGUUAAUAUUUGGAUAAAGAAAUCUUAAGUGGAAAAUAUCCAAAAUAAUUUUCUAGAAAGAAUAAGUCAUCACACAUCCUUGAAAAAAGCCUUGAUUAUAAUCGAGGACAUUUUAAUUUUUUACUCCACGGUUUAUGAGCCGUGAGAGUUUAAAACACUAAGGCAAAAAUAAGCUUUUAAAGCGCCCUAAAUUUCUAAAUUUUUGUCCCUCCUCCUUGCGAUUUACGAGUUGCAAACUCUUAAAAUACUAAGGGAAAAUGAGCUUUUAAAGCACAUGGAAUCUCCUUGGAUUUCUAUCUUAAUAAAUUUAGUUGAAUCAAACCUAGAAAAACUGAUGGGAUUAGAAAAACACCAACACCAUAGCAAUUAUAAAGCAAACCAAACACCAAGCAGCUUACCUUAGGUAGGGCGUACUAGGGGUGUUAAUACCUUCCCUUUACGCAACCAGUCUCUUGCCUUAGAAUCUCUAAAAGACCAGUUAGGGUUCCUAGUGACUAAAAUAUUAGGUGGCGACUCUUUUUUCCACACAAAAAAAACCGAAAUCAAUCAAGGGUCGUCGCAAUGGUGUGACAAACAUCAUCAUUACCCAUCAACAUAACUCCUCCAUCGAACUCUUUAAGUCUUGAGAACAAGUGUUUGUUGUGGCACAUGUGAUAGGAAAAUCUAAAAUUAAAAACCCAUUCACUGGAAUGGUUUUAUGGUGAUGAGACCAUGAAUGAAGAGUCUUGUUCAUCUUCAUCUCAUGCAAUAUUCAUAGUUGGUUCAUCCUUUUUUGUUGUCCUUGUUGCUUUUAUUUGGACAAUCUUUCUUCUAGUGUCCUUCUAUCUUAAAUAAAUAGCAGACAUGCUUGGGUCCUCUUUUUUUUCCCUUUGUGAGUGUACAACGCACAGUGGUAGGCAACCUAUAUUUCUUUUAUUAUUAAGCAAACAAUAAUUCACCUAAUGGUUGGAUCAUCUAAAACUUGCUAUUAUAACGAUAGCUGGAAAAAUAUAGGGUUGGUAUAAUAAUUUAAUUUUUAAUUCAUUGACAUCUAAAAAUACUAUAAAUUUUUUUUAUAAACCACUUACCAGCUCCAAAACAUCCUUAAACCAUUCAAAAGACAAAAAAAAAAAAAACUAAAUCAAAAAAAUCUAAAAGAACUUGAAUCUAUUUUUUUCAGGUAAGAUGAAUGACAGAGAACACUUAAAUGUAACUUUUCUCCUCGAAAGAAACCCGUUUAUACAAAGAAUGAUUUUUUCAUGGUCAUAAUCUUGGCAAUCAAAAACUUUUUUAUUUUAUCAUCAUUUUUCAAUGUUUCUCUUUCUCUCAUCUCUCAAACCAGAGAUCAAGAUUAACAUCCAAUCCCCAAAUUAGAAGGGAUCAAAAUGUAACUUUGACAAAACCAAAACAUAAAAUUUAACAAAAAAACCUAGACUCUUUUAUUCUUCUUCCAUUUGGUUUCUUAACUUUUAAUUUUGUAAAAAUAAUAAAAUCACAUAAAUUUCAAUAAAAUUAAAAAUCAAUUUAAUGACAAGAAGUUUUGUCAAGAAUAUAAUAGUCUCGUGAAAAAGCAAGAAAGAACAAAUUAUAAAGAUUGAUUCCAAUGAACACAAUGUGAAACAAUUAAAUAAAACAUUGAAGAGCAUUCAAAAAGAAAACAUUGUUUAGCCCAAUUCACAAAUUCCACUAAAGAUUCCACCUUUCUCACCUUUGAUUUCUGUGUCGCCGGUCUCCGUCUUAUUUGGUUUUGGUAUCUGUCAUUGUUUUUUUUUUUUUUUUUUUUUUGGGGGGGGGGGGGGGGGGGGGGGGGAAAAAAAUUUUUAGCGGGGGAAAAAGAAAAAUAUUUGCCGCCUAUUACUUUGUAAUAAAUAAAUUAAUUCUCAAAAAAUAGUAAAUUAAACUUGCCUUCAAUUAGGAUUUGUGUUCUUCAAUUUUGAACCUUUUCUUUUAAUCCCACAAGUAGUAUUUUGCUAUUUAGUUUACUACUACAUUAUAUUUAUAUUUAGUUUCAAGUUUUUCUUAAAAAAAUCUUAAUAUAUUUUUGUGUUCUUUUCUAUAUUCUACUUUUUACAACUUUUUCUUUAAAAAAACAUUAUUUUCUACUUUUUUAAGUUUUUCUUUAAAAAAUAAUAUUUUUUUAUCAAAUCUUAAACAAUUCAUUCAUAUUUGAAUUCAUAUAUUUAUAAGAAUUUAAUUUUUGUAAUUGAUUUUUAAAUCUCAUUCCAAAUUUAUAGUGUAAAGAUUAAACUGAAUUGGUUAGGUUGAUAAACUAGCACGAAAUCCAGAAAUGGAUAAUGCUCGUAAGCCCAACACAAAGCAAUACCCAAUGGAGUCCAGCUAAAGAAGUAGAAAGGGCCGAAGGGAAUCUUUUUAUUAGGAAGCUGCUACAUUUUCAAACAAGAAGUAGAACCCUUCGGUUAUAGUCGUCAAGAAACAGAAUAACAACAAUGGACGAAGUUCAAGAAAGAGAGAAAAAAGACGAAUUCGAUGCAUCAGAGAUUGAAUACGUUAGCUAUGGUGGUGAGCAUCACCUACCAUUAAUCAUGAAUCUUGUCGAUCAAGAACUUAGUGAGCCUUACUCCAUCUUCACCUACCGUUACUUUGUUUAUCUUUGGCCACAACUUUCUUUCUUGGUAAGUGUGAUUCUUUUCUUCUUUUAUGUUGUUGGGAUUUUUUUUUUGGUGUUGUAACUGUGUUUUUGUUGGUGGGUUUUCAAUUUCAGGCCUUUCACAAAGGCAAAUGUGUAGGGACUGUUGUAUGUAAGAUGGGGGAUCAUCGGAAUUCAACUUUUAGAGGUUACAUUGCUAUGUUAGUUGUCAUCAAACCUUAUCGAGGAAGAGGCAUUGGUAAUGGCUUCUUCUUUUUUUCAUAUUGGGAUUUUGUGCACAGUUUUAGGUUGUGUUGGAUUAUAUAUGUGAAUCCUGGAUUGGUUUUUAAUGUACUAUAGAUCUAUUGGAAACAAGAAAGGAAAGGGGGUGAGGGUUUUCAAGAAAUUGGACGUGCAUUGAUAACAUUAAUGGUAGAAAUAUGGAUGUUUGGAAUGAUUAUGUGUAUAAUAAACUGGCUGCAUUUGAUUUGAACUCAAGGUCCAUUCUUUGUUUUCCUACACUUGGGAUGGCAUUUACAAAGGAUUGGAUGUGGGCUUUGAUAGUUUUUAGGCUUUGUGUUGAUAUAUCAUGUUUUUCUUGUUAAUUGUGUUGUGUAUGGGUACGUUGUAAUUUCCAGUGAAAUUCUCUCCAGACUGCAGCUACUGAACUUGUUACCAGAUCUAUUCAAGUGAUGAUGGAAUCGGGAUGUGAAGAGGUUUGUCGAGUUUUAGUUGUUGUACCUUUUGGUUUGUACUCAUCUAAAUGGAGCAUUAUUCAUACAACUAUAUCACAAAGGAAGUACGGAUUUUUUAUCCUCAAGCUUUAGUUGUACUUUCCAUGGUACCAAAUGAGCAUAUAGGAGAGUAGAAAUAACUACAUUUCCUAAGCAUUACCACCAAACGUUGGAGCUCUGUUUGGGGCUUGAAACAGCAUGGGAAACAAAGGAGAAUUAUGAAACUGCUUAAGUGGUUACCUUCACUGCCAAUUAUAGGAGAGUUGAAAUAGUUUUCCUUUCUACUCCAUUGUGCUCUUUGAUCUCAAACCAAAGAGAAAAAUAAGCUUUCCUCUCGAGUUUGACUGGCACCUUGGCAUGUGUGUAAAUGGUGAUGCCGUAUCUUUUAUUCACACCUCCAAAAACCUUUUCUUCUGAAAUUUCUUGGUGUUUGUGCAUUACUCUGUAGUAACACCAUGUCUCUUAGACACUUCAUGCUUCAUGUGUUAUUUCAAUUCUAUCUCUCCUCUUAGUUACCUCAUGCUGCAUGUGUUAUUUCAAUUCCAUCUCUCCUCUUGCUUUAAUCUUUAUUAGGGUUAAGUGAGCCAGUCCUUGGAGGUAUCCCUGCACAUGGAUAGUAGUCCAUGCAAACAAUGAAUUAUGUUGUUAAUGUGCUGCCAGUUUAUGCUCCCUGCUAGAAGUCCAAAAUAUUACAUGUCAUGUGUGAUGAUUUUGACUUGCAUUGACUGAUUGCACCUACGUGACCAAUUUAGGACUUGCAGCUGAUAUAUUGAUAUGGUUAAAUUGAACUGUCCCAGAAAUUUUCAUUUCAUUAUCUCGAGGUUGAAAUUGUGAGAAAAAAAAAUUAAAAGAAUGAUUCCAUGGAAAAAAAAAAAAAAAAAAACGAGAUCAAUGGAAAUUUACUGCUGAGAAAGGAAUAUGGUUUCAUUCAAUGUAAACGCAACUCCAUGCUUUGCUGCAGUAUCAUAGUUCUGAACGAACUUAAAUAUUGUCCCAAGAAGCCAAUAAUUUGUGAGGCCUUGGCUUUGCUGAUAUUCCUUGUGUUUUUGAAUGAUGCGUUAAUUCUAUUUCUAGUUAUUUCACCUUGAUGCAUGAAUUUGCUCUCAUUUCUCAUAUCAGGCAAAGAACAUAGAAUGAAAAGGUGGGAGAGAAUAUAGAAUCCGAAUAAACUGCUAUGACUUUAAUGUAGGAUAUCAGAACAGCUCAAAUGAACUGCAUGAUUAUUUGACUGUUUUUCCACCUUAACUGGUGAUAAGUGGUCCACUCUGGAACACAAGCAUGCCACAUUAAAGAAUAUGGUCCAUUAAAUAACUAACUACAUUCCCCCCUAUUUGCUUAUGAUUUAGCAUAUCCCAACUUUAUAUUUAUGUAUUCAAGCAUAUCACUUUCUUAACUACAUUGUUGUUGAUCUUUUAUUGUGUUGUGUUUUUCUCUUUCCUCUUCGAAGGUAACAUUGGAAGCAGAAGUUACAAAUAAAGGAGCACUUGCACUAUAUGGCCGUCUUGGUUUUAUUAGAGCAAAACGACUCUUUCACUAUUACUUGAAUGGAGUUGAUGCCUUUCGUCUGAAGCUGCUAUUCCCCCAACCAGAGUUAUACCCCUCUUUGCCUAUGAUGGCUGAUAGAGACGAUACACACGAGCAUGAUGAUUGCUAGCCAAUGGAUGAGCUUUCUGAGCUCCGAGCUCCACAGAGGCUUGGAACUAGUGGGCUUUCUACCAUUCAUUACACAGUCUCUGCGAGCUACAAGGAUGGUUUGAUAUUUGAUCUUUAGAGAGGCAGCACAGCCUCGUAACCUACACAGGGAUUCGCACAAAUGUGGGUUCUUGGUCAUGUCAUCUUUGUUCACUGAAGUCGAUGUACAUGUUUUAUUGGCCUUGUCUAAUAGAAAUGUAUCAACAUACGAGGCCGAAGCUCACAUACUGUAAUACUUGCACAUUAUAGAUGUGGCAGCUAUGACGAAAACAGCCAAUCUCUCUCUGUUCACUCUCAAAAUAUUUGAUUGAGGCGAAGAUCAAGUCUAAAAGACCAAAAAUGCUUCAGCAAUGGUUUGGUACAAAGGGUAUGAUGGUGACUUGAGACAAUAGUGGGUUACUUACCAUAACAGCCAAUGAAACACAGUCAAACCAAGAAAAUCCCAAAUGUUAAAAUAAUAUCCAUGCGUCUCUCUCUAAUGGCUGCAGGAUAUAUAACAUUUGAUUUGCGUUGUAUGGUAGGUGGGUUGCUCAAUUGAGUCAGCUGCAUGCCUAUUCUAGUCAAAAGGCUUAAGAAAGUAGCAAUACUAUUUUAAAAGUGUUUUGUUGCUACGACUUCUUGGAGGUUGCAGCACCAAUCAAAAUGUUUUUAAAAACCAUAUUCUAAUGUGUAGUUGUGUUAAUUUACAAGCACCCGCAUUGUUAAUUUGUUUGAAUUUGGUGUGUUGAAGAAAUGUCUUCAAUUUGUUAAUAUUCUCCCAAGUUUAUAUGCUCUCUAUCAUUUUAAUAACCAGAAUUAUUUUGAUAAUUAAGCAACCAAGCAUUUACGAUAUGAUGAUAUGAGUCAAUGAACACUGCACCUCUUCAGUUAAGUUGAUCUAAUUGGCAUUGUCUAAUAGAAAUGCGUCAACAUAUUAGACCUAAUACAUGUAACAUAUUAUGAAAAGUUAAAAUUAAAAUUACAUUACUGUUUUUACUGUAGCCAAUUUAAUGUUCACCCUCUCAUUUCAUUGUGGAUUUCAGUAGUAAUAUAUUUGAAAAGUUUCAAUUUAAUCUUUAAAUUUUUAUUUUGCAUAAUUGAGCUCUUUUCAGCUCAAAUUGAAUGCCAAUUUAUAUUUUUUUGGGGUGAGGGUUGAAUUAAAAGAAAGAGGGCUUAAGUGAAAAAUAAAAGUAACAUAGGUGACGGCUGUGCAAUUAUUNNNNNNNNNNNNNNNNNNNNNNNNNNNNNNNNNNNNNNNNNNNNNNNNNNNNNNNNNNNNNNNNNNNNNNNNNNNNNNNNNNNNNNNNNNNNNNNNNNNNGUUCAUUAUAGUCCCUUAUUUUUUAGCUUUGAAAGAUUUUUUUGUUUCGGAUUGAUUAUGAGUUUUAAGGUGUUUUCUUUUUUUUGUGUUUUUUAAGGCUAUAAAUUGGUUAAACAAGAAUCCAGAGUGUUUCCUAAAUAUUUUAGGUUAAAAAUAAGUUGAAAUAGGUUUUUUGGUUGAAAAAAUAAGAACCCUAUUCAAAAAAUAUUUUUUGCAUUUAUGUUUUGAUUAAUACUUAUUCUUUGCGAUUUUUUUAUUUAUUUAGUUUUUUUAAAUAACAAUUAUUUUUAAAUUAUAUUAAAUAUUAAAAAUAAAUUAAAUUUUUAUUAAUAAUAAAUAUAAAUAUUUAUGUGAAUAUAAUAAAAUCAAGUAUAAAAACAGACGAUAGAUGAUGUGAGAACUCAAUCCCAUUCCAUUUCAGAAUCAAAAUGGGGAAUAUUUCCCGGCUCAAAGGUGCAAGAAAGUUGUUCGCUGAGGCUGUGGCAUGUGUAUAUUGAAUUCUUUGUUUCGAACAGAUCCAUUAUCCCGCUUGACCAACUGAGAGAUGAUUAAUAAACAAGAGAAAAGGACUAAUCAAUGGUUUAAUUUUCAAUUUCGAACAACAUAGUACAUGCAUUGCAAAAGUCAUGAUUUUUACCAAGAGAAUUUUGAUCUUUCUUGUUGUAGAGAAAUAUUUCCCAUUUAACUUCGUAAACACAUAUCUAUAUGAUAUUAAUUAUAUAAAAAAAAAUUAUAAGAUUUGAACUUAUAAUUAUUUUGUCAAUAAAAAUACUGUUAAGUUUGCACAAGCCCCAUUAUAUUAUGCUAUUAAUUAUAUAAAAAAAUAAAGAUUUGAACUCGUAAUUUAUGUGAAUUCAUUAAAAUAUAAAAAUAUCUUAAUUUAAAAACUUAAUCUAUCGUAUAAGAUUUUAAAAUAUUAUUUAUAUUAUUUUUUAAUACUAAUAAAUAUAAAUAAUCAUGUUCUUUGCCACACUCUUGAAACUAGUGAAAACUAUUUUUCUGGGCCAUCAAACGUGGGAGAUUUUUUCCAAGAAAAACAAGAUAGGUUAUUGUCAAUCAAAAGAUUAGCGUGACUUUACACAGCUAGAGCGCAUUCUUGUUGACUAAUUAAUAUUGAAUUCAAGGCUUUGAUUUAGCAAAAAUCAAGUUGGUGAGGCAUGUGAUUCAAAUCUUUCCAAUCUCGACCAAGCCUAAUAAACCAAAAACUAUAAUAUAUAUAAAAAAUAAACCUAACCAUCUAUACUUUUCCUUCUAAAUAUUCAUACCUCUUCAACUUUAUUAUACAUUUCAUGAUAAUCACUUGAAACUACAAGAGAGGAUUACCAUACGAGCUGCCAAUGAAACACAGUCAAACCAAGAAAAAUCCCAAAUGGCAUACAAUGUCCAUGCAUUUCUCCAUAGACUACGCAGGAUAUAUAACAUAUGAUUUCCAUGGCAUGGUAGGUUAAGGUUUGCUCAAUUGAGUCAAAUUCCCAUGCAAGUCAAAAGGCAAGGAAGUAAGUAGUGAUACUUGAAUUAUUUACUAGUACAAUCUUGGAGGCUGCAACACGAUUUUAACUAAGAAAAUUGAUCCGAGUAAUUAAUUGUCUAGGUAGUCUUAAAACCUUAUAUUAUAUUGGGUCAUUUUCGUAUUAUACAAGCACACGUACGUCUAGUUAACUUGUUUGAAUUUCAUGUGGUCUCCGAUAUUAUUCUCCCAAAGUUUGUAAGCUUAUCAUUUUAAUAAUCAAAAUUACUUAAUUUGAUAAUUAGUCAACCACACAUUUUGAAUAUGGUUAAUUAAAUGAUGAUGUGAGCUCCAAUUGCAUUGAUUUAUACAAUCUUCAUGUGAACGGUGUGGUCGAGACUCUUUAAUAUACUCAUACGUGAGAUUCUUUAUAUAUAAUAUACUUAGACAUGAGAUUCUUUAUAUAUAUAUAUAGUAAUGGAUUUCUUUGAGUAGUCUACAUAUUAAUUGAGAUUAGAUUUUUUUUCUCCAGUGAUCUUAAUUGUGUAUCUACUACAUUUGCUUGAUGUGUCUCGAUGAAUUUCAUAAAUUUUCUUGAAUACUAACUCUAAAUUUUGAAUAUAAAAAGUCAAAAAAUAAAACAAAUCCCUUUUAAAUUGGCGAAGAGAGCUAGAUAUGUGGAAUGUGCAUCUUUAGAAUUCAACUUAUCAUGUUGUUGAACGGGAACAAUCUAACGUUUUGGAACCACCUAUGUGAACUUGGCAUAACAUGCAGGAGAAUUUAUUAAAUUCUUUUGAAAAUAUUAGGCUAAUAUAGGAAGUAUGUCUUUAAAAAUCACUAAAAAAAUAAUUUUAGUUUACAUGCAAGUUAUCCAUCGGAAAAGAUAUAAGUUAUUUGUGCAAGUUAGGGAAACUUUUCAUAUAUUAUAACUAGAUUAUUUCUCAUAGCUAUGCUGUGAAUUGAAUUAAAUUUUUUUAAAUGUAAAAAAAAAAAUAUCUAAGCCAUGAAGAACUAUUUAAGAUUAUUAUUAAAUCUGGUUUAGUGUGUCAAACUUGAAAACUCCUGACUGAACUCCUUAUCUAAUCAUAUUUCAAAUUAAAUCUUGUAAAAUUAUUCUAACGUGACCUAGUCGACUUAGUGGAUAUAAAAGCUAAAAAAUAAAAGAAAAAAUAAUGACCAAAAUAAAAGUAAAGAGAGAGAGAUCAGGCGCACGAGUCUAAGGACAAUAUGGAUAAUUAGUAAAAACAUAGUUUGACUUUUUUAAAAAAAUUUAAAAUAACUUUUUUUUAAAAAAAACAAUCAAACAGUGAUAUAUUGAAUCGAUCUGAGUUAACUUGUCAAACUUGUGACCAGGAUCAUGAAUUCCACUAGAUCUAAUAACAAUUAAUUAUAUGAUAAAAAAUAUGAAGACUAGUUCAAAACCAACUAAAUAUUGAAUGAAAAAAAUGAAUUUUUUUUUUAAAAUACAGCAAAAACUCAAUGUUAAAUGAUAAAACUUGAGAGAAAAAAAAUACAAGUCAUGUGCGUGAACUUGGAUUAUAACAACGAAAAAAAAAUCUUAGCUUUGUAAAGAUAUCUUAAGCCUUUAACUCAGGAAAACAAAAUGAAUUUUUUUUCUACAUUUAGUAUCAGUAAUCCAUAUUGUCAUUUUAAUCUCAUGGUUUAAUUCAAUUCGAUAUAACACAUUCAUAUACAUUACAAAUAUCAUACAAUUAUGAUUGAUGUUUCUAAUUUUUAUCAAAAUUUCAGCAGAGUCUUCUUUGUCUAGGUAACCAAACAGUUCUUCUCUUCUUCUAAAAACCUACAUAACGAUCAAGGAGAGUUUCAAAUCCCACACAUAAACAAUUUAUAUCCAGGUAUUGGGCCUCAGGCCAUUCAAUCAAUCAAUCAAUUCAUAAUAGUUCACACCUAUUAAAGUUUAUUGGGUACAUUUAAAUAAUUUAAACUUAGCUUUUCAUCAAGAUAGCAUUUCAUUACAAGAACAACAUUAUAAAUACUUAUUCAUAUUACAAUCCCCGUUCAUUUGAAUUACAAUAUACUACUAAGAACUCAUCUAACAUUGUAACUAAGAAAAUUAGAAUCUUGUCUUAGCAUGUGAUAUUCCAGAUCAUAAACAUGAAAAUUAUAGAAAUUUAAAUAAGAUAUUUAUUACAACACAAUUAAAAUAUGUCAGAUACAAUAUAUAUAUAUGAUUUUUCAUGGAGCAAACAUAAUUUCUUUGGAUAAUAAUAGAAUCGACUCAUUUGUCAUAAUCUCUACUAAUUUUAAGUAUUGUAUAGUCACCUCGUCAAGGUAAUUCCAAGCUUUAUCUUCUCAUCUAAAAGUUAUAUCUUGUUCAUAAAUCCAUCUUGGAAACUUUAUCUAUCGAAGCUCACCAUAAAGUUUUAUUAAUGGUAAUUAAAGGCCUAUUCCACGUAUCCUACCCUAUGCUAUUAAUUUAUCAAAGGUAAAUUAUCAUUUGUACUCUUUGCUCUAUAUGUUUCUUAAGGAAUUAAAUCCUUUACUAGUAUCGCCCUACAAUUUUAAAUAAAUAUAAUUAAUGAUUUAUUGAUUUCUAUUUUCCAUAAUGAAUCUUUAACAUUGAUUUAACUUAAUUUGGUUUUAGCAACAUAUCAUUCAUCUUACAACAAACUUUUAUGUACACAUGUCUUAACAUGCAUCAAUACACUUAUUUGUCCAUUGGAUUGACCAUCAUAUAGCUUGAAAUAUACAAUCAUAGAUGUCCAUGUUCUUGUCCUAUUAGGCCACCAAGAUGAUUUUCAAAUCUCUUAUCAUGUUGUACUGGAAUCAGUAUAUACUUAUGCCCUUUUACAUUAUCAAACAAUCACCAUUUUCUUCAUGAAUACACCAUCAAAACCGCAUACAUUCAACUACACCACAUUAUACAAACCAAUUCUUUAUUAUAACCCGUUUCACUAUCAUUACAAUCCUUAGAGUUCUCAUGCAUAUGUUGUCCACAACAAUAUUUGAAAUCUAUUUUCAAGUCAUUUUCACCUAGAAAACAUUGUUGUUCCCCUAAUAACUCUUUGCUCAUAUAAUAGAUUGUCAAAACAACCUACAAAUUACGCUUCGAUGCAGCCCAAAACAUAAACAUGUAGUAAUAUUAGUCAUCACACCGUGAUUGACUACCCAAUAGAUUCUAAUAUCGUUAUUGUCUAAUACUACUAGUCUUUUAACUCUAAAACACCCUAAAAUAACACAAACAAAGGGGUUUUUAUUUGUUUAGAAAUCUAUUUUCAAGUCAUUUUCACCUAGAAAACACCAUAAAAACAUUCCUAAACCAACCAUUAACUCUAAAACACCCCAAAAUAACACAAAAAAUAAAAAUCAAACUAAUCAAGAAAAUCUUAAUUGAAUCCAAUCUACUUUUCAAGCAUUGUUAGAGAAAAAGUCAUCGCUAUUUGAAAACUCAUCAUUAAAUGAAACUCGUUGAGACCAAGAACAACUACUUUUAUCGCUGAAAAGUGGUCAAACCGAUAACUUUCUCUUUUCUUAUCGUUUUUCAAUGAGUCUCUCUCAUCUAUGUAACUUGGGGUUGAGAAUGACCAAAAUAAACUUUUAGACUAAAAUAUUAAAAAUUCNNNNNNNNNNNNNNNNNNNNNNNNNNNNNNNNNNNNNNNNNNNNNNNNNNNNNNNNNNNNNNNNNNNNNNNNNNNNNNNNNNNNNNNNNNNNNNNNNNNNCUCCUCUCUCUCCUUAAAUUGGUUUAUAUCCAAAUUUCAACCAUCAUCAGCUAUAAAAGAAUCAUUGAAAAACAAAUUUGAAGACAGAAUUAAAAAAAAAGGGGACGGAAAAAAGAAAGAAAAAGGAGGGUAGUUUUUUUAGUUAAAGCUGAUGGUUUCUAGCCAAAAAAAAAGCAAUGAGUGUUGGGGUGCCACGUGUAAGGAGCCCAUUAAGUAUGUGGUGGGUGAAGUCAGCUAGAGCUAAGCAUCCAUUUUUGGUGGGGUUUUUCUGGUUAGAUUUGCCUGUUGGAGGAUCGUAGCAUGGGAUUAUAUUUGGUUGUAAAGGAAAGUGUCAAUUUAGGAGCCACCAACCAUCGACAAGUUAGUGAAAAUGGUGUCGAGUGCCGCACCCACCACCUCCUUCGAUCAAUCACCUCAUCAUCCAUGUAAUUAACCCUUUUUUGAUCUAUCACUUUUACGUUACUAAACACUUCCACUUCUAUAUUAGACGUGUGGAAUGAUUCGAUUUCUAGUUUUUUUAUUUGUGAAUCAAAUUAAUACUUGAAGCUAGUAGAUGGAUGUGUCUAAUCAACUUCCUUUGAUUCAAUUUCAUGAAAUUUUUUAUCAUAAAACAUCAAUAAAAAUGUGUUGUAUAUCUUGAACCGAUAUCUAAUAAAAUCUUAAAAGUUGGGAGUGAAAGAUAUAAUUUAUUUUAUUUUUUUAAUAUGUUUUUUAAUUAAAAAUUAUUUCAGUUUAAAACUUAAAGGAUUAUACUAUUUUAUACAUUAAAAAAUAAUUCAUAACUAUUUGGUUAUCAUGUAAAAAAAAUAUUUUAAAUUAAAAAAUUUAAAUUUUUAAAAUUAUAUAAAUUGCUCUCUUUUGAAUAACCUUUCGUAUUGUGAUGUUUCAUGGGUAAAUAAAACAUGAUAAAAUAUAAUAAGAAAGAAUUUUGCUAGGAAAAAUACAAAAAUGAGAUACCAAAUCUAUUUAUUUAAUUGAACAAAACUAUUUUUCUAUCAAUCUCACAUGUAUAUCAAACAAUAAAGGAUAAAUUAGAAAGUGGACUUGUCACUAAUUAAAUGUAUAUAUUAUGAUUUUUAUUUUCUAAGAUGAUAUAUUAGGAUUUUUUAUUAUUAUUAAUGUAGGUGUUCGGACUAACUUGCGUGUACCUCAACUAAUCUCACGAGUUUUGAAGUUAACGAUCAUGUAAAUCUUCAAUGAUCCUGAGAUUUGUAAGACUCGAACUGGUAAUAUCUAGAGAAUAAAUUUAGAAUAUGAUGAAUUAAGUUUCACUUCUCAUGAUUAAUAUAUUUAGAGUUUUGAAUACUUAAAAGGAGGUGUUGUUUUUAUUUUUAUUUUCAAAUCUAAGAACCUCAAAAACUUUUAGGAAUCUAAAAAAAAACUCAUUUUUUUAACCCCAAAACAUUUUCUAAUUAGCCUAAAUAAUGAAAAUCAAUCUGAAUAAAAAAAAUAUUGGUCUAAUAUAUUUUUUCUAGCAUGGUUAAAAGGCAAAAUCAUUUUUAUUGAACUCUUUUUUUCAAAACAAAUCCAUUGAUGUUAAAAUUAGUUUUUUUAUGACCGGAAUAUGAUUAGCUUCACCACAUUCUCCCCCUCUCAACAUACAAUAACUAAAAAUAUGAUAAAAAUGAAGUUUUAAGAUGGAGUCGUAAAAAUUUUAAACAAUAUGAUUAAAUAAAUCUGAAAAACAAAAACUUCAAGGACCAUAUUAAACUUUUCUACAACUUUGGAAAAAGAUUGCAUUAUAGGAGAAUAGUUUAAUGCACAAUAACUUGAGUCUUGCUGCACAAUAAAAUUUAUUAUGGUAAGAAUAACAAAUGUUUUAAUUUAGAUUAUAACACGAAGCAUACACAAUUAAGAUUACAACAAGGAGAUUUCAAGUAGUUAAACUUAGGUUAUAUUAGAUAUGACUUUUGUAAAUUGAUUUAAUAUAUUUUUCACUUUUGAUUUUAAUUUUAAUUUUUUUUAAGUAAGUUAAAAUAGCUUUUGAUUUAAAUUUUUUUUGUUAUAAAUUGGAUUCAAACCUUUGAUUUAAUAAAAAACAAGAAAAUUUUACUUUAGUUUGUGGAUUUUAUACUGAAUUCCUUAUUAAAAAGUUAUUUUGAAUCAUUUUUACAAAUAAUGCUUAUAACUUACGGUUAUUUUAAUUUAUUUUUUUCAUAAAUUGUUUAUAAAAAACAACUUUUAAAUUACAAUUCAAAGUAAAAUAUCAUAAUUAGUUAUGAAUUGGAUUCGAUGAAAGGAAGAUGGGAAGAGGGGAAAUGGGUAACGGGAAAUUAAAGAGAGAUGAUGAUCUGCGCAUGGCUACCUGUACCAGAACAGAUGGAAAAAACUCGAAACAACUCGGCUAGAAUUUAGGCAAGAAAUUCAGAAUGAGUCAACAUUUUAAGUGAGAUGAAAUUUGUCUCACUUUGUUCUAUUAAACAGAGGAGCAUUUAGAGGAUAGAAUAUUAGAGUCUCUAGCAAAAGCCAGCAAGGUAUAUUUAGAGCCAAAUUCGGGUAACAAAUUAUCAUAACCAACUGAUCCAUUUCGGCUCGGAGGCUUCAGAUUUGUACCAGUCAUCAACUGGUGCUCUUUGCUUUGCAGCCUUUGAGGAAGAAGUAAAAGCCUCCAAAAAUAUCAUCAUUAUUAUUAACAGAUGAACUAGACCCGUUUAACCCACCAAAAUAUAUCAUCAUUAAAAGAUGAUUUCGCACUCGUAUUUUUAGUACUGGAAAACACAAAAUCAUAACCGAAAUCAAACCCAGUGCUAUUUUGUUUUUAAUUCUUUUGAAAAACAUCAAAAAUGUCAAAAUCAUCAUCAAAAUUCUAUAAUUUUGAAUUGCUAAAGAGAGUUUCGUGAUAAUCCAUGAAAGACCUAUCAAAAGAAUUGGAAAUGAAGGUUAAUUUAGAAGAAUAUGAGGAGGGUUUCUGGUUUGAUGGAGGGAAAUUCAAAUAACAAAACUGGCUAUAUGUUUCUUUGAGGAUGAAACAUGCAAGAGAUUCCACCACCAGGACAGACAACAACACNNNNNNNNNNNNNNNNNNNNNNNNNNNNNNNNNNNNNNNNNNNNNNNNNNNNNNNNNNNNNNNNNNNNNNNNNNNNNNNNNNNNNNNNNNNNNNNNNNNNUAUUCAACUUUUACCUACUUUUCUUCGCUUAGAAUUAGAAAAUCCAUACUUGCAUUUAAGAGAAUUUGAAGAAGUUUGUAACACCUAUAAUGACUUAAAUUGUAGCAUAAACACCAUCAGAUUAAAGUUUUUUCCUUUUUCAUUAAAAGAUAAAGCUAAAACAUGGCUACAAAAUCUUAGGUCAGGAUCCAUUCGUGCUUGGAAUAAAAUGCAACAACAAUUUUUAAAGAAGUUUUUCCCUUCUCAUAGAACAAACUCUUUCAAAAGAUAAAUCACCAUUUUCAAUCAAAAACCAGGAGAAAUAUUUUACAAGUGUUGGGAUAGAUAUAAAGACUUGCUUAAUACCUGUCCUCAUCAUGGUUUUGAAACAUGGAGAUUGGUUUCACAAUUUUAUGAAGGGUUAACACCUAAAGAUAGACAAAUGAUGGAAUUGAUGUGCAAUGGAACUUUUGAAAACAAAGACCCUGAUAAAGCAAUGGAGUACCUAGACUUGAUAGCUGAAAAUGCUCAAAAUUAGGACACUACAUGCACUUGUGAGGCACCAGGUAAAACUUAACCUCAUACAUUUAGUGGAGGCAUGUAUAACCUUAGGAAAGAUCAUGACCUCCAAGCCAAAUUUGCAUCUUUAGCUAGAAAAGUUGAGGCACUAGAAUUAAAAAAGAGUGGUCAAUUAAAAUCUGUUCAAGAAAUUGUGUGUCAAACUUGUGAAACUAAUGAACACUCAACCAAUGAUUGUCCAACUUUGCCUUCUUUUAAUCACCAAAAUUUCAGUUGGAAGAGUAGUAACAAUAAUGCGCAAACUUCACAACCACCAUUUCAAACACAUCAUAAUUUUCAAAAUUCUCAUGGAUAUGCACCUCCUUAUGUUCCCCAUCCUAGAAGAAAUCUUGAGGAAAUAUUGGAUGCAUUCAUUGAAAAGCAAGAGACAAUCAACACUCAACUUGCUUAAAACAUGACAGAUUUUAAAGAUACUCUUGCAAAAUUCACAUCUGCUCUAAGUUUUCAGGAGAAAGGUAAGUUCUCAUCUCAACCACAGCAAAAUCCCAAUGGGAAAUACAAUGCAAAUGCAAGUAGUUCUAGAAGCCAACACAUAGAUCAAGUCAAAUCAGUCAUUAUUAUCCACGGUGGUAAGGUUAUUGAAAAACCAAUUUUUGAACCUUGUGAGAAAGAUGAUGAGUCAAUCUCUAAGGGUAAUUAAGGAAAGGGUUAAACCUGAACAUUGCAAAGAAAAGACUAAUUCCCCACUAAUACUUCCAUUUCCUCAUGCUAUGACCAAACAAAGGGAAGUCAAUCACGAUUCUGAAAUUUUUAAAACUUUCAAAUAGGAAGAAAUCGAGGAUGAAAAAGGCACCGAAAAUAUUGUCGUGGAUCAUUUGUAAAAAUUGACAAUAGAUUCGAUAUCUGACAUCACACUAAUUGAUGAUUACUUUCCAGAUGAAUCUUCACUUUCUAUUGCUUCAAUACCUUGGUCUGCUAAUAUUGAUAAUUUUCUUGCUUCAAGAUUUUUGCCAGCUCAUUUGGAUACCCAAGAUAAAAGAAAGUUCUUGAGCGACAUGCAGAACUUUUAUUGGGAUGACCCUUACUUAUUCAAAUAUUGUCCUAAUCAAAUAUAUCAAAGAUGCAUUUCUGACAAUGAGGUAAGUGGUGUCAUAAAAUUUUGUCACUCUGAAGCAUGUGGGGGUCAUUUCUCAUCAAGAAAGACGACUGCAAAAAUCUUACAAUGUGGAUUCUACUGGUCCAUCAUGUUCAAAUACAAAUAUGCAUUCUGCAAAACCUGUGAAAAUUGUCAAAAGGUGGGAUUUAUUUCAAAACAUAGAGAGUCUUUAGAUAAUCUUCUAUUGACUCUUAAGUCUCAUCGUAAUGGAGAUGUGCAUCGUGCAAUUCAUGAUUUAUAGCCCUAUUUUCAUAAAGAACAUGAUCGACUUAGUCUUGAGAAUCUAACUAAAAAAGACCCUGUUUGUCAGUUUUUAAGAAAACUGGAUGGGAAGCGUAUCCCUGACCCAUAGAGAGUGUUUAAGCCAUUCUUGGACGUAAAAUCAAGGGAAGAUGUGAGCCACGAUCACAACUACGAUUUAAGCCUUAGGUUGCAAAAAUUUAUGUAUUUUGGUUUUAUUAAUAGCAUAAUAUUUGUGUUCUGUUGUUUCUUAUAUUUGUUUAAGUGUGUUUUAGGUUUGUUUGUAGUCGCUAUUUUAGGUGAUGUCUUCUAUAUUCUAUCUUUCUGCCUUAAAACAUUGAGGACAAUGUCUCCUUUUGUUUGGGGGGAGAGGGUAGUAGUUGACAAAAAAAAUAUUACUAAUUGUGUUUUCUAUUAUUAAAAUCAUUUGCAAAACUGUUGUUACUAGGAUGGCAGAGUAAAUGAGGAACUUUAAUAACUCUUGAGACGCAUCUUAGUAAAUAUUUUUAACAAAGUCUAUCAGAAUACUUCUUGAAAUAUUCAGGUUUACAAACUCUUGUAUUGUUAUCACUUGAUUCUGCUCAUAUACUCAUUUAAUAAAUAUUCCUAAACCUUUAUUUUCACACACACACUUUAACAUAUGAUUGUGGGUUGCACAUUGGAUUAUUACAUUAUUUAUGUUCUUUUGUUAAAGGUAACAACUAAGGGAAAGGGAAUAUAUAAUAUUCAAAAAAAUAAACAAAACAAAAACAAAAGCAAAUUGAUAAUAAAAUGAAUAAAUAAUGAAAAAGUAGAUAAGUUUGGAUUCGUAGCUCUUACUUAAGCAAUUAAGCCCGAAGGGGUGUUUUAACACCUAGUNNNNNNNNNNNNNNNNNNNNNNNNNNNNNNNNNNNNNNNNNNNNNNNNNNNNNNNNNNNNNNNNNNNNNNNNNNNNNNNNNNNNNNNNNNNNNNNNNNNNGCUUGUUACAUGGGUUGAGGAGAAAGCUUAAGAGAAUCAAACAUUGCACUAUCUACGUAUCAGUAUCUGCAACCCGAGUUACUAAGCUCGUAGGGGUGUCUCAACACCUGAUGCCCUUAGACCAACUAGUUUGGUAGUCAUUAGCCGAAAGCUCGUUACAUGGGUUAAAGAUGCAUUGUGUUUUAAGUUAUAUGUAUAUAUACCAAAAUAAUAAUAAUAAUAAUAAUAAUAAUAAUAAUAAUAAUAAUAAUAAUAAUAAUAAUCCCAACUCAAUGAAGUUAACCUUAGAAAAAUAUUAGAACAGAACAUUGUUUUCUUCCAAUAAAAGCCCCAUCAUCCAUGUUUUCAUAUAUUAAGCACAUAAAAAGAAGGUUUAUUAAUAUCUUGUUUAAGAAGUAUAAAGCAGAUAUAUAAAUGAGAGUUUGUUUAUUUGGAUAGAUUAAUGGAAGUUAAAUGAUAAAUGUCUUACUUUGUGGAACUUUCAAAUUGUUUUUCUAUUUUAACACUUUGAUUACUAGGGACUAGUAAUAAGCUGAUUGAGGGGUGUAAUUAGUACUUAAAAGUGCAUUUUCAUUAAGGUUUUAUAUUAUCAUAUUGCACUAAAGUAUCAUUAAAUUCCCUAACUAAAACAUGUUUUACAAUAACAAGAGUCAUAAAUUGAUUAAACAAGAGUCCAAGGGUGUUUCUUAGAUAUUUUGGGUUAAAAAUAGGUUGAAAUAGGUUUUUUGGUUGAAAAAAUAAGAAUCCUAUUCAAAAAAUAAUUUUUGCAUUUAUGUUUUGAUUAAUUCCUCUUCUUGGUGAUCGAUUUUUUUACUUAUUUAGUUUUUUUAAAUAACAAUUAUUUUUAUAUUAUAUAAAUAUUAAAGAUAAAUUAAAUUUUUAUUAAUAAUAAAUAUAUAUUUAUGUGAAUAUAAUAAAAUCAAGUAUAAAAACAGACGAUAGAUGAUGUGAGAACUCAAUCCCAUUCCAUUUCAGAAUCAAAAUGGGGAAUAUUUCCCGGCUCAAAGGUGCAAGAAAGUUGUUCGCUUAGGCUGUGGCAUGUGUAUAUUGAAUUCUUUGUUUCGAACAGAUCCAUUAUCCCGCUUGACAAACUGAGAGAUGAAAAAGGAAAAAAAAACCAUGAUUAAUAAACAAGAGAAAAGGACUAAUCAAUGGUUUAAUUUUCAAUUUCGAACAACAUAGUACAUACAUUGCAAAAGUCAAUAUUUUUAUUUAUAGAAUUUUGAUCUUUCUUGUUGUGGAGAAUUUCCCAUUUAACUUCAUCAACAUAUAUUAUGCUAUUAAUUAUAUAUAUAAAAAAUUUAAACUCAUAAUUAUUGUGAAUUCGUUAAAAUAUAAAAAUAUCUCAAUUUAAAAACUUAAUUUAUUCGAAUAAAAUUUUAAAAUAUUAUUUAUAUUAUUUUUUAAUACUAAUAAAUAAAUAAUCAUGUUCUUUGCCACACUCUUGAAACUAGUGAAAACUAUUUUUAUGGACCAUCAAACGUGGGAGAUUUUUUCCUAGAAAAACAAGAUAGGUUAUUGUCAAUCAAAAGAUUAGCGUGACUUUACACAGCUAGAGCGCAUUCUUGUUGACUAAUUAAUAUUGAAUUCAAGGCUUUGAUGUAGCAAAAAUCAAGUUGGUGAGGCAUGUGAUGCAAAUCUUUCCAAUCUCGACCAAGCCUAAUAAACCAAAAACUAUAAUAUAUAUAAAAAAUAAACCUAACCAUCUAUACUUUUCCUUCUAAAUAUUCAUACCUCUUCAACUUUAUUAUACAUUUCAUGAUAAUCACUUGAAACUACAAGAGAGGAUUACCAUACGAGCUGCCAAUGAAACACAGUCAAACCAAGAAAAAUCCCAAAUGGCUUACAAUGUCCAUGCAUUUCUCCAUAGACUGCGCAGGAUAAAUAACAUAUGAUUUCCAUGCAUGGUAGGUUAAGGUUUGCUCAAUUGAGUCAAAUUCCCAUGCAAGUCAAAAAGGCAAGGAAGUAAGUAGUGAUACUUGAAUUAUUUACUAGUACAAUCUUGGAGGCUGCAACACCGAUCAACACGAUUUUAACUAAGAAAAUUGAUUGAGUAAUUAAUUGUCUAGCUAGUCUUAAAACCUUAUAUUAUAUUGGGUCAUUUUCGUAUUAUACAAGCACACGUUCGUCUAGUUAACUUGUUUGAAUUUCAUUUGGUCUCCGAUAUUAUUCUCCCAAAGUUUGUAAGCUUAUCAUUUUAAUAAUCAAAAUUACUUAAUUUGAUAAUUAGUCAACCACACAUUUUGAAUAUCGUUAAUUAAAUGAUGAUGUGAGCUCCAAUUGCAUUGAUUUAUACAAUCUUCAUGUGAACGGUGUGGUCGAGAUUCUUUAAUAUACUCAUACGUGAGAUUCUUUAUAUAUAAUAUACUUAGACAUGAGAUUCUUUAUAUAUAUAUAUAGUAAUGGAUUUCUUUGAGUAGUCUACAUAUUAAUUGAGAUUAGAUUUUUUUUCUCCAGUGAUCUUAAUUGUGUAUCUACUACAUUUGCUUGAUGUGUCUCGAUGAAUUUCAUAAAUUUUCUUGAAUACUAACUCUAAAUUUUGAAUACAAAAAGUCAAAAAAUAAAACAAAUCCCUUUUAAAAUGGCGAAGAGAGCUAGAUAUGUGGAAUGUGCAUCUUUAGAAUUCAACUUAUCAUGUUGUUGAACGGGAACAAUCUAACGUUUUGGAACCACCUAUGUGAACUUGGCAUAACAUGCAGGAGAAUUUAUUAAAUUCUUUUGAAAAUAUUAGGCUAAUAUAGGAAGUAUGUCUUUAAAAAUCACUGAAAAAAUAAUUUUAGUUUACAUGCAAGUUAUCCAUCGGAAAAGAUAUAAGUUAUUUGUGUAAGUUAGGGAAAUUUUUCAUAUAUUAUAACUAGAUUAUUUCUCAUAGCUAUGCUGUGAAUUGAAUUAAAUUUUUUUAAAUGUAAAAAAAAAAAUAUCUAAGCCAUGAAGAACUAUUUAAGAUUAUUAUUAAAUCUAGUUUAGUGUGUCAAACUUGAAAACUCCUGACCGAACUCCUUAUCUAAUCAUAUUUCAAAUUAAAUCUUGUAUAAUUAUUCUAACGUGACCUAGUCGACUUAGUGGAUAUAAAAGCUAAAAAAUAAAAGAAAAAAUAAUGACCAAAAUAAAAGUAAAGAGAGAGAGAUCAGGCGCACGAGUCUAAAGACAAUAUGGAUAAUUAGUAAAAACAUAGUUUGACUUUUAAAAAAAAUUCAAGAUAACUUUUUUUAAAAAAAAACAAUCAAACAGUGAUAUAUUGAAUCGAUCUGAGUUAACUCGUCAAACUUGUGAUCAGGAUCAUGAAUUCCACUAGAUCUAAUAACAAUUAAUUAUAUGAUAAAAAAUAUGAAGACUAGUUCAAAACCAACUAAAUAUUGAAUGAAAAAAAUGAAUUUUUUUUUAAAAUACAGCAAAAACUCAAUGUUGAAGGAUAAAACUUGAGAGAAAAAAAAUACAAGGCAUGUGCGUGAACUUGGAUUAUAACAACGAAAAAAAAAUCUUAGCUUUGUAAAGAUAUCUUAAGCCUUUAACUCAGGAAAACAAAAUGAUUUUUUUUUCUACAUUUAGUAUCAGUAAUCCAUAUUGUCAUUUUAAUCUCAUGGUUUAAUUCAAUUCGAUAUAACACAUUCAUGUACAUUACAAAUAUCAUACAAUUAUGAUUGAUGUUUCUAAUUUUUAUCAAAAUUUCAGCAGAGUCUUCUUUGUCCAGGUAACCAAACAGUUCUUCUCUUCUUCUAAAAACCUACAUAACGAUCAAGGAAAGUUUCAAAUCCCACACAUAACAAUUUAUAUCCAGGUAUUGGGCCUCAGGCCAUUCAAUCAAUCAAUCAAUUCAUAAUAGUUCACACCUAUUAAAGUUUAUUGCGUACAUUUAAAUAAUUUAAACUUAACUUUUCAUCAAGAUAGCAUUUCAUUACAAGAACAACGUUGUAAACAUUAUAAAUACUUAUUCAUAUUACAAUCCCCGUUCAUUUGAAUUACAAUAUACUACUAAGAACUCAUCUAACAUUGUAACUAAGAAAAUUAGAAUCUUGUCUUAGCAUGUGAUAUUCCAGAUCAUAAACAUGAAAAAUAUAGAAAUUUAAAUAAGAUAUUUAUUGCAACACAAUUAAAAUAUGUCAGAUACAAUAUGUAUAUGAUUUUUCAUGGAGCAAACCUCCAUAAUUUCUUUUGAUAAUAAUAGAAUCGACUCAUUUGUCAUAAUCUCUACUAAUUUUAAGUAUUGUAUAGUCACCUCGUCAAGGUAAUUCCAAGCUUUAUCUUCUCAUCUAAAAGUUAUAUCUUGUUCAUAAAUCCAUCUUGGAAACUUUAUCUAUCGAAGCUCACCAUAAAGUUUUAUUAAUGGUAAUUAAAGGCCUAUUCCACGUAUCCUACCCUAUGCUAUUAAUUUAUCAAAGGUAAAUUAUCAUUUGUACUCUUUGCUCUAUAUGUUUCUUAAGGAAUUAAAUCCUUUACUAGUAUCGCCCUACAAUUUUAAAUAAAUAUAAUUAAUGAUUUAUUGAUUUCUAUUUUCCAUAAUGAAUCUUUAACAUUGAUUUAACUUAAUUUGGUUUUAGCAACAUAUCAUUCAUCUUACAACAAACUUUUAUGUACACAUGUCUUAACAUGCAUCAAUACACUUAUUUGUCCAUUGGAUUGACCAUCAUAUAGCUUGAAAUAUACAAUCAUAGAUGUCCAUGUUCUUGUCCUAUUAGGCCACCAAGACGAUUUUCAAAUCUCUUAUCAUGUUGUACUGGAAUCAGUAUAUAUUUAUGCCCUUUUACAUUAUCAAACAAUCACCAUUUUCUUCAUGAAUACACCAUCAAAACCGCAUACAUUCAACUACACCACAUUAUACAAACCAAUUCUUUAUUAUAACCUGUUUCACUAUCAUUACAAUCCUUAGAGUUCUCAUGCAUAUGUUGUCCACAACAAUAUUUAAAAUCUAUUUUCAAGUCAUUUUCACCUAGAAAACAUUGUUGUUCCCCUAAUAACUCUUUGCUCAUAUAAUAGAUUGUCAAAACAACCUAAAAAUUACGCUUCGAUGCAGCCCAAAACAUAACACAUGUAGUAAUAUUAGUCAUCACACCGUGAUUGACUACCCAAUAGAUUCUAAUAUUGUUAUUGUCGCGGGUGCGUGACGUCGCGGCGAAUAUUCCACUUUUAAAAUCUAGGAAGUGUGUAUGGUAUCUAUCUGGCAAAUGUGGGGAGACAAGAAAAUAUUGUCUUUUGUUGGUAGAAAAUGGAAUGGGAGUCGCCACCUAGUAUUUUGGUCACUAGGAACCCUAACUGGUCUCAGAGAUUGGGUACGGGGACUGGUUGCGUAAAGGGAAGGUAUUAGCACCCCAAAUACGCCCUACCUAAGGUAAGCUGCAUUGUUUAUUUGUCUGAUAAAAUUCAAGGUCUCGUUGUGUUUCCUAGUUGUUGGUCCGUCUAUGGUUCAAGAAAAGUCCUCCUCAAUAAGGAGGUCCUUAUCUUAUCGGGUAAAAACCUAAUCCUUCUAACGUCUAUGUAUGUUGGUCCGUCUAUGGUUCAAGAAAAGUCCUCCUCAAUAAGGAGGUCCUUAUCUUAUCGGUUAAAACCUAACCGUUCUAACGUCUAUGAAAAACCAUAUUUUUAAUAUCAGGAAUACGUCUUACGUAUAAAUUCGUAAUCCCAUGUACUAAAAGAAGACAAAAAGAUUUUUUAGAAUUUUUGAAAUAUUGGCCUAGUUCUCAUGGCUUGAAUAAACUGGUUAUUAAAGCCAAAAUGCAUGCUAAUACAUAUAUUGUUUUGAAAUUUUCUUUGUUGUGUGAAAAAUAUGAUGUUAUAAUAUUUAUAUAUAUAUAUUGGAGAGACUAGGCCGUAUGCAUGAAAACAAAACAUUUUUUAAAAUAUUUUAUUUAUUUUUUUAUGUCUUGACGAAAACCGGGUAUUUGAAUACCGGAUUUGUAUCUUUACAGUAUAAAAAUACAAAUCGAUAUUGAUCAAAAUACAGUAAUAAACUUGCAGAAAAUCACAUAUUUUUUUGGAAUAAUUUUCGAAGAAAUUAAUUAAUUUUUCUAUAUAUAUAUCUAGAUAUAAAUAAUACAAAAUACAAUACAAUAUACAUCGUAUAUAAUAUAUAAUUGGGCUGGGCUGGGCCGGCCCAACGAACUAGGCCGGACUCAGCCCCAAAAUGUGUUGGGCCGAUCUCGGGCCAAGAGGUAUUGGGUCGAUCUCGGCCCAAACAAAAUCUAUUUUAUCAUGGGCCGGAUCCAGCCCUGCCAGCAGGGCUGGGCUAGGAUCAGUCCGGCCCACAGAAGGAAACCCAUAUUGCUGGGCCAGAACCAAUCUGGCCCAGCCUAAUUAAAAACCAACGGGGGGAAUUAUUUCCCCCCCAUCCUGCAUGCAGAACGCUGUUCGUUCUGCAUGCAGGAGAAGAACCAAACCGAUGCACAAAGAGGGGGGAGAAGAGCACCUGGCGUGGAAGAGGCGGUGCGUUGCUGGUAUGUCCGCGGUGCUGCGGUGGAGGCUGGUGGCUUCACUGGCGUGCACUGGUCCCGGUUGGAAGAAGAAGGAGCAGAUUCCUACAGAGGAGAAGGAAAGCUCUCGGCUGGAGCUAUUGGUGUGACUGAGGAAGGAGCUACUACUCCGGUUGCUGCUGGGCGUCGCUGGAGGAAGGAGGACUGCUGUUGGCCGGUGAAGAAGCUGGAAGGCGGAGGCUUGCUCCUGUGGAGGUUGUCACUGCUGAGGAGGCCGCGGGAGGCGUUGCUGGGGCUGUUGAAGCUGCGAUGAAGGAGAAGCUGAGGUGAAGAUCUGUUGCUGGCGUUGUGUUGAUGGGAGGGAGAGGGGACAAUGUUUCUUUGGGACUGCUGGAAGAGAAUGAGAGGAAAGGGAGGGGGCUGCCCCGGUUUGGCUUUGCAAGAGAGGGGGUUGUCCCUUGUUGCUGGCUGCUGAGGGGAAGAAGAAAAUCAAGGGGAGGGGAGAGGUGUGUGAGGGCUGUUCGGGUGUGUGGGUCUGUGGGGGGCUGGACUACGGCCGGCUGUCACUGGUUGAGGGAGAAGAAGCUGGAAAAAGAAAACUGGUUGCAGGAAAACCGGGCUGGAAAAGCUUAUUUUGUGCCAAUUUUGAGCUCCAUCCCACCAACCCUUUGAGCAUGAAAAUUGCUCCUAUUUAUAGGGCUGGAAAGAGGGUAAUCUUGUCUUCAACGGGGAAAAAGUCUCAGCCCUUGAUUCGACUCGAGUAAUCCAAACCAUUAGUUCAAAGUGUGCACCUCGAACUGCCAAAUUUGCAGACUACCCGAGGUGCACGAUUUGGGCCAAAAAACGGAGCCGUUCCAAACCUUUUUGACCCGACCGGACCACUCCCCAUGAUAAAUGGGUUCCAGGUGGAUAUGUUGGUGCAUGCUUUGUCGGAUUUGGGGGCCAAACGAGGCAGAAAACACGCCUGGAAGUCGGCCACUCGGGCAACUCGGUGGGGAAGAAAAUGAACAGUACCGGGCGACGCGUCGCCUGGUUCCUGCCCCUUCUUCUUCUUUUUUUUUUUAAAAUGCAAAAACGGUGCCGUUUUGAUAAAAAUAGGGAUUUCUUUGCCAAUUUUCAAUUUAGUCCUCCGACUUUCAAUUUCGUUCAAGAUUAUUCCCUAAUUGACCCUAAAACUUCUGAUUUGAUGCAAUUUAGUCCCGGCAUAACUUCAUCUUCGGCCCCAGAGUUACGCGCCUUUUGCAAUAUGGUCCUUGGUCUCGGAUUUAUGCAAUUUCAUCCCUAAUUGACCAUUAAACUUUCAAUUUCUUCAAUUAGGCCCCUGAACCGAAUAAUCGCAGCCCCUCCAUUUACGCGCCUCUUCCAAUUUGGUCCCUGGUUUCGGAUUUUCUCAAUUAAGUCCCCAAUUGGCCCUUAAACUUCAAUAUUUAUGCAAUUAGACCCCUGAUUUGACCUAAUAAAUUCCUAAAAAAUAUAUUUUGGCCCCAGAACUUAAAUUUCUUCUAAUUAAAGCCCAAAUUGACUUAAAAAUCAAUUUUUCUUACAAUCAAAUCUCCUAUAAAUUCAUUUAAAAAUCCAAUUAAGUCCAUAAACAUCCAAAUUUGGGCUUUUCUCCUCAAAUUUCAAAUUUUCCUUCUCAACAGGGCUAUCCUCCUUCAAGAAUAUACUGUCAAAAAAUCCAAUCUUUGUAUUUUUAACCUCAUUGACCAAUUUUCCAACCAUUUUCUGAGCGCUUCUGCCUUCUGUUUUUUCUAACCUCCUUUGGCUAUAUAUUUUUAUAUAUAUUUUGUGGGGACCCAAAAAUGGGUUACAACAGUUAUUGUCUAAUACUACUAGUCUUUUAACUCUAAAACACCCUAAAAUAACACAAACAAAGGGGUUUUUAUUUGUUUAGAAAUCUAUUUUCAAGUCAUUUUCACCUAGAAAACACCAUAAAAACAUUCCUAAACCAUCCAUUAACUCUAAAACACCCCAAAAUAACAGAAAAAAUAAAAAUCAAACUAAUCAAGAAAAUCUUAAUUGAAUCCAAUCUACUUUUCAAGUAUUGUUAGAGAAAAAGUCAUCGCUAUUUGAAAACUCAUCAUUAAAUGAAACUCAUUGAGACCAAGAACAACAACUUUUAUCGCUGAAAAGUGUUAAACCGAUAAUUUUCUCUUUUCUUAUUAUUUUUUAAUGAGUCUCUCUCAUCUGUGUAACUCGGGGUUGAGAAUAAGAAAAAUAAAUUUUUAGACUAAAAUAUUAAAAAUUCUAAAACUUUGAAAUUAACAAUGUAUUUUCUUCAUGUUUUACAUUUCACUCCUCUCACUUUUAAUUUGGUUUUUAUUAUCAAAAUUGUCGCACGUGAGCGACGUCGCGGCGAUCGUCCACCCACAAAUGUAAUGGGGGGAUAUAUAUCUGGUCAAUGUAGGGAGAUAAGGAAUUCGUUGUCUCUUAGCAGUGAAAAAUGGUGUGGGAGUCGCCACCUAGUAUUUUGGUCACUAGGAACCCUAACUGGUCUCAGAGAUCGGGUACGGGGACUGGUUGCGUAAAGGGAAGGUAUUAGCACCCCAAAUACGCUCUACCUAAGAUAAGCUGCAUCGUUUUAUUGUCUGAUAAAAUUUAAGGUGUUUUCGUUGUGUUUCCUAGUUGUUGGUCCGUCCAUGGUUCAAGAAAAGUCCUCCUCAAUAAGGAGGUCCUUAUCUUAUCGAGUAAAACCUAACCGUUCUAAUGUCUAUGUAUGUUGGUCUGUCUAUGGUUCAAGAAAAGUCCUCCUCAAUAAGGAGGUCCUUAUCUUAUCGGGUAAAAACCUAACCAUUCUAAUGUCUAUGUAUGUUGGUCCGUCUAUGGUUCAAGAAAAGUCCUCCUCAAUAAGGAGGUCCUUAUCUUAUCGGGUAAAACCUAACCGUUCUAAUGUCUAUGUAAAAAAGCUAUAUUUUUAAUAUCAGGAAUACAUUUUACGUAUAAAUUCUUAAUCCCAAAUACUAAAAGAAGACAAAAAGAUUUUUUUAGAAUUUUUGAAAUAUUGGCCUAGUUCUCAUGGCUUGAAUAAACUGGUUAUUAAAGCCAAAAUGCAUGCUAAUACAUAUAUUGAUUUUUGAAAUUUCAUUUGUUGUGUGAAAAUAUGCUGUUAUAAUAUUUAUAUAUAUAUAUUGGAGAGACUAGGCCGUAUGCAUGAAAACAAAACAUUUUUUUUUUGUAAUUAUGUAUUUUUUGAUGUUUUGACGCAAAUCGGGUAUUUUAAUACUGGGUUUGUAUUCUUACAGUAUAAAAAUAUAACCAAAUAUUAAUCCACUUUGAUAAAACAAAUGCAGAAAAAUUAACAAUAUUUUUAAAGAUAUUUUUAGAAAUAUAUAUAUAUAUAUUUUUAAUUAUCAUAUUUUAUAUAUAUAUACAUAUAUACACACAUAUAUUAUAACAUAUUAUAAUAUAUAAUAUAUAAUAUAAAAACAAAUCGGGCUGGGCCGGCCCAAGUAAAUGGGCCGGACUCAGCCCAACAAAGAAAGGUUGGGCCGAUCUCGGCCCAGACUGGGUUGGGCCGAUCUCGGCCCAACAGGCCAUCAUGCUUCUUCUGUGACGGGAUACUGUACACAACAGUGACUGAGAUACUGUACACAAAUAGUGACGGGGUACUGUGCACAAAUAGUAACCGGGUUACUGUACAUAAGCACAGUAACCCGUUAAUUAAUUAGGUGGCUACUGUGCACCUGCACAGUAACAUGUUAAUUAAUUAGACCUGCAUAGUAACCGGGGGAAUUAAUUAGCCGGUUACUGUGCCCCUGCACAGUAACCAGCUAAUUAAUUUCUUGCUUGCAGAACGUGCACAGUGCACGUUCUGCAUGCAAGAAGAUGAACAGGGGAAGAGUUACCUGCGACGAUGAGCUUGGGUAGAGGAGCUGACAGUGGUGCUGGUGGUGGUUUUGCUGGUGGUUGCUGACCGAAGGUUGGCUCUUCCUCUUCUCUACUGCUUUCUAUGUUAUUUCUCCUCUCCUCUCUCUCUUCUGUUUUUUUUCUUCCUCCUUCCUGUGUCUGUUCUCUUCUCUAUUUAUAGGAAAAAAUGGAGCAGGUGCGCCUUCAAUCACGCAACGGCUGGUCGGCCAGUGACCCGUUCGGUGGUCUAAAGGUGUGGGGACGAGGAGAGAGAGGCGGGACUUUUUUUGAAAAUGGUUUUUGUCUUCUGUUGUUGUUCAACGGGGGAAGGAGGAAGAUGAACAGUGUCGUUCAAAACGACACCGUUCUGGCCUUCCUCUUUUUUUUUUUUUUUAUAUGAAACGACGUCGUUUUGGAUAAAACGCGUCGUUUCAUUUAAAUGAGCCAAACUUCAAAUCAGUCCUCUAUCAUUUCUUGUUCAUUUCAAUUGUAUCCCUGCCAAAUUCGAUCUCCGCCCCCAUAGUUGGCCGCGUUGUUCACUUUAGUCCUUGGCCUCUGAUUUAUGCAAUUAAGCCCUCAAUUGAUCAAUAAACUUCCAAUUUCUUCAAUUAGGCCCCUGAACCAAAGUAAAACAGCCCCCCUCUAUUUACCCGGUUUUUCCAAAUUGGUCCCUGGUUUCGGUUUUUUUAAUUAAACCCCUAAUUGGUCAUUAAACUUCAAUAUUUAUUCAAUUAAACCCCUGAUUUGACCCAAUAAAUUCCUAAAAAAUAUAUUUUGGCCCCAGAACUUAAAUUUCUUUCAAUUAAAGCCUAAAUUGACUUAAAAAUCAAUUUUCUUGCAAUCAAAUCCCCUAUAAAAUCAAUUAAAAAACCAAUUAAGUCUAUAAACAUCCAAACUUGGGCUUUUCUCCUCAAAAUUCAAAUUUUCUUCUCAACAUGGCUCUCAUUCUUCAAGAAUAUACUGUCAAAAAUCCAAUCUUUGUAUUUUUAACCUCCUUGACCGAUUUUUCUGACCAUUUGCUGAGCGCUUCUGCCUCCUGUUAUUUUUCUAACCUCCUUUGGCUAUUUAUUUUAUUUCAUUUAUUUGGGGACCCAAAAAUGGGUUACAACAAAAAUUUCAAACCAUCAUCAGGCUAUAAAAAGAAUCAAUUGAAAAACAAAUUUUGAAGACAAAAAUUAAAAAAAAAGGGACGGAAAAAAAAAGGAGGGUAGUUUUUUUAGUUAAAGCUGAUGGUUUCUAGCCAAAAAAAAAAAGAAGCAAUGGGGGUUGGGGUGCCACGUGUAAGGAGCCCAUUAUGUAGGUGGUGGGUGAAGUCAGCUAGAGCUAAGCAUCCAUUUUUUGUGGGGUUUUUCUGGUUAGAUUUGCCUGUUGGAGGAUCGUAGCAUGGGAUUAUAUUUGGUUGUAAAGGAAAGUGUCAAUUUAGGAGCCACCAACCAUCGACAAGUUAGUGAAAAUGGUGUCAAGUGCCGCACCCACCACCUCCUUCGAUCAAUCACCUCAUCAUCCAUGUAAUUAACCCUUUUUUGUUCUAUCACUUUUACGUUACUAAACACUUCCACUUCUAUUAGACGUGUGGAAUGAUUCGAUUUCUAGUUUUUUUAUUUGUGAAUCAAAUUAAGACUUGAAGCUAGUAGAUGGAUGUGUCUAAUCAACUUUUUUGGAUCCAAUUUCAUGAAAACUUUUAUCUCAAAACAUCAUAGAAAUAAGUUGUAUGUCUUAAAGGAUAUCUAAUAAAAUCUUAAAAGUUGGGAGUUAAAGAUAUAAUUUAUAUUAUAUUUUAAUAUAUUUUUUAAUUAAAAAUUAUUUCAGUUUAAAUUAAAUUUACAAAAGAUUAUACUAUUUUAUACAUAAAAAAUUAUCAAUCACCUCAUCAUCCAUUUUUUUGAUCUAUCACUUUUACGUUACUAAACACUUCCACUUCUAUUAGACGUGUGGAAUGAUUCGAUUUCUAGUUUUUUUAUUUGAGAAUCAAAUUAAUACUUGAAGCUAGUAGAUGGAUGUGUCUAAUCAACUUCCUUUGAUUCAAUUUCAUGAAAUGUUUUAUCAUAAAACAUCAAUAAAAAUGUGUUGUAUAUCUUGAACCGAUAUCUAAUAAAAUCUUAAAAGUUGGGAGUGAAAGAUAUAAUUUAUUUUAUUUUUUUAAUUAAAAAUUAUUUCAGUUUAAAACUUAAAGGAUUAUACUAUCUUAUACAUAAAAAAGUAAUUCAUAACUAUUUGGUUAUCAUGUAAAAAAAAUAUUUUAAAUUAAAAAAUUUAAACUUUUAAAAUUAUAUAAAUUCUUGCUCUCUUUUGAAUAACCUUUCGUACUGUGGUGUUUCAUGGGUAAAUAAAACAUGAUAAAAUAUAAUAAGAAAGAAUUUUGCUAGGAAAAAUACAAAAAUGAGAUACCAAAUCUAUUUAUUUAAUUGAACAAAACUAUUUUUCUAUCAAUCUCACAUGUAUAUCAAACAAUGAAGGAUAAAUUAGAAAGUGGACUUGUCACUAAUUAAAUGUAUAUAUUAUGAUUUUUAUUUUCUAAGAUGAUAUAUUAUGAUUUUUUUUAUUAUUAAUGUAAGUGUUCGGACUAGUUUGUGUGUACCUCAACUAAUCUCACGGGUUUUGAAGUUAAUGAUCAUGUAAAUCUUCAAUGAUCCUGAGAUUUGUAAGACUCGAACUGGUGAUAUCUAGAGAACAAAUUUAAAAUAUGAUGAAUUAAGUUUCACUUCUCAUGAUUAAUAUAUUUAGAGUUUUGAAUACUUAAAAGGAGGUGUUGUUUUUAUUUUUAUUUUCAAAUCUAAGAACCUCAAAAACUUUUAGGAAUCUCAAAAAAACUCAUUUUUUUAACCCCAAAACAUUUAAUUAGCCUAAAUAAUGAAAAUCAAUCUGAAUAAAAAAAAUAUUGGUCUAAUAUAUUUUUUCUAGCAUGGUUAAAAGGCAAAAUCAUUUUUAUUGAACUUCUUUUUUCAAAACAAAUCCAUUGAUGUUAAAAUUAGGUUUUUUAUGAUCGGAAUAUGAUUAGCUUUACCACAUUCUCCCCCUCUCAACAUUCAAUAACUAAAAAUAUGAUAAAAAUGAAGUUUUAAGAUGGAGUCGUAAAAAUUUUAAACAACAUGAUUAAAUAAAUCUGAAAAACAAAAAAUUCAAGGACCAUAUUAAACUUUUCUACAACUUUGGAAAAAGAUUGCAUUAUAGGAGAAUAGUUUAAUGCACAAUAACUUGAGUCUUGCUGCACAAUAAAAUUUAUUAUGGUAAGAAUAACAAAUGUUUUAAUUUAGAUUAUAACACGAAGCAUACACAAUUAAGAUUACAACAAGGAGAUUUCAAGAAGUAGUUAAACUUAGGUUAUAACCUAAGUUUUAAUAUAUUUUUUACAUUUGAUUUUAAUUUUAAUUUUUUUUAAGUAAGUUAAAAUAGCUUUUGAUUUAAAUUUUUUUUUUGUUAUAAAUUGGAUUCAAACCUUUGAUUUAAUAAAAAACAAGAAAAUUUUACUUUAGUUUGUGGAUUUUAUACUGAAUUCCUUAUUAAAAAGUUAUUUUGAAUCAUUUUUACAAAUAAUGCUUAUAACUUACGGUUAUUUUAAUUUAUUUUUUUCAUAAAUUAUUUAUAAAAAACAACUUUUAAAUUACAAUUCAAAGUAAAAUAUCAUAAUUAGUUAUGAAUUGGAUUCGAUGAAAGGAAGAUGGGAAGAGGGGAAAUGGGUAACGGGAAAUUAAAGAGAGAUGAUGAUCUGCGCAUGGCUACCUGUACCAGAACAGAUGGAAAAAACUCGAAACAACUCGGCUAGAAUUUAGGCAAGAAAUUCAGAAUGAGUCAACAUUUUAAGUGAGAUGAAAUUUGUCUCACUUUCUUCUAUUAAACCGAGGAGCAUUUAGAGGAUAGAAUAUUAGAGUCUCUAGCAAAAGUCAGCAAGGUAUAUUUAGAGCCAAAUUCGGGUAACAAAUUAUCAUAACCAACUGAUCCAUUUCGGCUCGGAGGCUUCAGUUUUGUACCGGUCAUCAACUGGUGCUCUUUGCUUUGCAGCCUUCGAGGAAGAAGUAAAAGCCUCCAAAAAUAUCAUCAUCAUUAUUAACAGAUGAACUAGACCCGUUUAACCCACCAAAAUAUAUCAUCAUUAAAAGAUGAUUUCGCACUCGUAUUUUUAGUACUGGAAAACACAAAAUCAUAACCGAAAUCAAACCCAGUGCUAUUUUGUUUUUAAUUCUUUUGAAAAACAUCAAAAAUGUCAAAAUCAUCAUCAAAAUUCUAUAAUUUCAUCAUUAAAAGAUGAUUUCGCACUCGUAUUUUUAGUACUGGAAAACACAAAAUCAUAACCGAAAUCAAACCCAGUGCUAUUUUGUUUUUAAUUCUUUUGAAAAACAUCAAAAAUGUCAAAAUCAUCAUCAAAAUUCUAUAAUUUUGAAUUGCUAAAGAGAGUUUCGUGAUAAUCCAUGAAUGACCUAUCAAAAGAAUUGGAAUUGUAGGUUAAUUUAGAAGAAUAUGAGGAGGGUUUCCGGUUUGAUGAAGGGAAAUUCAAAUAACUAAACUGGCUAUAUGUUGAUGAAACAUGCAACAGAUUCCACCACCCAGCGGACAACAACAUUGAGAACAAAUCCGUGUGAGAAAUCAAUUUUAAUAGUCAUUUUAUUUUUUAAUUUGAGAGAAAUCACAAAUUCUUCACUGUUUAUUACUGAAAAAGAAGAGAGGGGGGAAGAAAUGAUGUCUUCAGAUGUUUCUGAAUUAUAGGAUGCUAGGGUAAUUUUUUUAUAUAUAAAUAUAUAAAUAGAAGAUUGUGUUAAAAAAUCAAAGGGAGCUUUUACAAGAAUACUAUUAUCUUUUUUCUUUUCUCAAAAUCAAUAAAAAGAAUUUCACUGAGAGAAAAAUAGUAUAUCAUCAAUCUAAUGACUGCAUUUAUCUUUACAAUCUUCCAAAGGAACAACUUUAUGUUAAGAAGAGGAGAAAUAUUAUAACAAAAUAAUUUUUAUGGAUUCAAACUAGUGUUAUAGACUCUUGUGAGUAAAAGUGUCAAUUCUCAUAAAAAAAAUUGCAAUUUGAUGACAUAAUGACUAAUACAGAGACACUAACAAACAAAUAAAAAUAAUAAUUUGUACAAAUACUCACCUAGCAAAGAGAGGAACGGAUAAAAGGUUCACCACGGUCAAUUUUUUUUCUUUUUCUUGGUUAAUUUUUUUUUUUGAAAAUGAUGAAUAAUGGGAAAAAAAGAAGAAGAAAAACUUGCAAAGAAGCACUUAUAAUGGAACAAGGUUAUGAUGACAAUCCCUGUAUCACACUCUCAAAUAAUAUAAUAUAUCCAUUAUAUUUUGCAUUAUAUAUAUAAACUAAAAGAGUUAGGCUUUUUGAUGGCAUCCAAGUGUAGUUGCUUUUUUCAUCCCGCUUUUUUUGUUUUAUUUUAUUUCAAUCAUUCAAUUUUGUUUCUGUUAUUUUAUCAUGCUUCGAGUUGUCUUUUUCAAUUUGAUUUGGUGCCAGCUUGGGAAUCACCAUUUUAAUUGUGGUUGUGAUUUCUAAUUGUUUGAUAGUAUUUCAAAAGCUGAUAUUAUAGCCUCUUCUAUAUGUUAUUUUCAGAAGUUACAAUUUAUAGCUUUUCAAAAGCCAUAAUUGCCUGUUUGUUUCUGCGUUUAAAAAACGUUUUUUAAAAAAAAAUUAAAUUUUUUUAAUUUUUUAUUAACUUUAAAUUAAUAUAUUUUUACUAUUUUUAAAUCAUUUUGAUGUGCUGAUGUCAAAAAUAAUUUUAAAAAAAUAAAAAAACAUCAUUGGCAUACAUUUUAGCACGAAAAGUUAUUUGAAAAACAACCGCAACCACAUUGUCAAAUUUCCAAAUAGAUUCUUGAUAGAGGGUUGUUUUGAUCUUGAGUGUUGUGCUUGCAAAGGAAUUACAAUUACUUUACACAUUAUAAUUAUAAAUUACUGUUUAAAACAAUUAAGAGAAAGGACCAAUAAUAUAGAGUGAGCAAAUGAAAGCAUAAAUUUAGAUUUUAUUGUGACAUAGAGAUUAGGUAAUCAUGAAAGUUGGUAAUAAUAUACUGUGAGCAAAGGAACCUGCUCGAAAAAACCAUUCAACAUGAGAUUGCUCUGCUAGGAAAACAUGAUAUCAGCAUCAAACUUUUGAACAAAUAGUGGAGCAUCAAGUCUCAGUCAUCUUGAAGUAUGUCGACAACAAGUCACAUAAGCAUAUGCAAUAGAAACAGAGCAUCAAACUGACAGAGAAAACAUACUGAUACCCUUAUUCACACAGAAAACAUACUGAUAGAUAAGUCGAAAUCUUCUAUGGUAAAUAAGACUGUUACAAUGUGAAGCCAAUUUGUAUCCCAUUGCCAAUGGAACAGUAGGAAUUACUUCCCACCAAUCAAAAACAUAUCUGCAGCACCACAGCUCAAAGACAUGAAUCUCCGUGAAAUCGCCUAUUGAGGAGUUGAUCGUGUAACAACCAACCAACCUUGCCUCAAGCAAACACGAAGAACAAAGACCAUCCAUGCAUAUUUAAUUCACCCAUUAAAAGUUGAAGGAUAAGGAGAGAAGAUAAAUAAUCAUAGCCAUGUUACCUAGUCAGGGCAAGGAUGAAUUAUUAGCAUGUUUCUCAAAUCCCAAUCCCAAACUAAUCAUUUCUCUUCAUUUUGUUGUGCUCAGCGAAGGAACUACCAAAUCUUACUGAAAGUAUUUAAGUGAAGACAACAAAUAGAUGUGUACUGUUUUAUUUGAACUGAAAAGAAUUGAUUGCUUACAGAUCAUUGCAAUCCUUACAAAUAUAUAGUAAACCAAACAAACUGAAUUGCUAACUUAAAGCACCAAAUCAUGCAAAAUGCUACCAUCAUUACCUUCAAAUCUAUAGUUAAUUCCAUUUUUCUAUAAAAGACAAAACCAUCAGUAUCCAAUAGUUGCCGACUUCACCACGGGUUCAACAUUUUUUUGACAAGUUGGGAUUCGAUACUAAUGAGCAUAUUUUCUUAAGUUGAAAUAGUGCUACCCAAUCUAGGUUACAGUGGGUUGAUGAAUUAAAGAGCAGUUGUUAUUUGACACUGCAAUUAGAUGGCUCAUAUUUGAUUUACGGAGCUAUGAUAUGGGAAUCGUGCUUGUAUCACAUAUAAAAAUAUUUACAUAGUAACAAGCAUUAUUAAAGAUGGUACACUAGUAAGUUUCCAAAUGCUAUCAACAAAUAUUAUAACCUCUUAAUUUAUACAAGGAUUGAGCUAAAUUGCAUACAAGCAAUCCCUAACUUUGGUAGUUUCUUUGUGUUAAAAAUGGAGACUUCUUGGUGUUUGCCGGAACUCCAACUUGGGUAUACCUUUUGUGAACAAGAAACAAGGUAAAAACAUCUUUCAACGAUAUCAAAUCAUUUAUUCAUAUAAAGUAUUAGUGUUGUCAUUUAAUUUCACUACAUUGAAGAAAAUUCUGAUUUGAUACCAAUUCAUGCUUGGCACGACUGUUACAUGACACCUGGGAUGCUCAGCAACACUACAUCCACAAUCAUGACAACGAACACUGAUGCAGCCUCGAAAACAUCAAAACACUAUUUGCUUUGGUAGUAGUAUUGACUGCAAACUUGGUUGACCAACAGAAUCCCUGCCUUCAGCCAACCCCAAAUUUGACUAUCAUCGUAUAAUAUUGAUCGUCACAUUAUAUUUUCCAACUUUUAAUAGGAUUUUAAGGACAAGUUACAGUUGAAAGCUAAUAUAACAACCUUCUUAAAUUCACAUCCUACCGACCAUUAUGGCUAUUAGCUUCCAACCAUUCUCCAUGUUUCACUUUUCUUCAAGUAUUUUCACCAAAAUAAAGCUUCAACCUUUAAAGUUUUGCUUAUAAAGUCAAGAUCCAUGGGGAUUAUUUAAGAUUUUAUGGGAAGCAUUUCAAAUAUUUUAUGUUUUUUUUUUUUUUAAAUAUUGUUAUAGACAUAGAAUCAACAAGAUUGUGUGACAUUCUAUAUUGAUUUUGUGAUAUUUUAAUCACUAAAAGUAUGGUUUCAGAAAGAUAAAAACCAAACAAAAAAUUGAAAAAAUUAAAAAUUUUCAAACCAACAGAAUCCAACAUAUUGAUCAGUUUUGGUCUGAUUUGAUUCGGAUAUUUUUUAGCUGAAACAAUUAAUAACCAUUUUCAAAAGGUAAGUAUUGACAAGCCUUUCACGAAACCAUGUUCAUUUAUGCUGAAUCAAUCCAAAUCAGGUUCAGGUUGCUAACUCAAACUAACAUAAUCCAAAAUUGAAUGCACACAGACUCUGGGUUGUUUCAGUUUAAUGAUUUUUAGAAAUGUCAAACUGAAACCGAACCGAAAUAUAUGAAUAUUUCUAACUGAGACGCCCCCAAAUACUAAAAAAAUGAUUGGUUUUGUUUUGUUUAGUUUGGUUAUAGCAGAUACCCCUAACAAUCUGCUUUUUCACUCGACAUCAAACAACAAGCACUAAUAUUAUGUCUGUAAGUAAAUUACUAUAAAGUAUAAAAAUAUAUGUGGAUAAUUGAAAAUUUGCUUAGAGUUGCUAAUAAUUCACAACUGCAACAACCAACACGACCAGGUAAUGCUUGGGAAUGGGAUCAUGUAAUGCCCGGGAAUGGGCCUUGGUGCACAAUCAUGAUUGUAACCAUGAUUUAAAAUCAUUUCCACACUAGACUAUCCAAGACAAUUGGUAUUGGAUUGUUAGCAACAAUUCAGUUUAUAAUAAUAAUAAUAAUGUUGAUUCUUUUAUCUCCUACUUAAUGCAAGUGUCCAUCGUGUGCUGAAAUUGAUUGUUUACCUCAUAUUUCUUUUAAAGGUAGAGAUUUCUUGGUUGACAAUGGGAAAAAGUAAUCGCAUGGUUAUUUUCCAUAAGAUUCAUUUGAGUAAAUAUUCUCUAUUGGAGGUCAAUUUCAUCGAAGCAAUUACUUCAAGGAACACAUCCUAACUAUCAACCUCUAAGUAGUCAUCUCCCUUAUCCUAAUUUUUUAUUUCCUAAUAAAAUCUCACGGUUUUUCAUCAUGUUCAAAGGAAAAGUUGACGUUGCAAAUGGUGCUCUAAGGAACCAAGUCAUCCUAGAACUAAUCAUCCACCUAAUCUCAUCAACUCCUUGUUGCACAAACAGCUUGUCUCACUUAAAGGGGAUUUUAAUGAUGAACAAACACCAACUCCUUGUUGCUCAAAUACAUAUGCUCAUUUAAACACAAUUUUGCAUUACCUAGAACUGACAAGGCCUAAAAUCCCGGAAAUAGAAUUUUGUUUUAAAGGAACUUCAGGAUUUCUAUAUAGGAUGCUUGACCUCAUUAAAGACAAACUGACGACAUCCGUCCGUAACAUAAAUUAUCUUCCUUGCCCCAAAGUCAGCACAUAAAAACCUUGUUCACUAUAAAGGCUCUGAAUGUUUUUCCUAAAUUUCAUGAUAUGGCAUUCAGCAUUCUUAAGCAAACUACAACUGCAUAAGGCUUGUACAUGUAGGGGAGACGUAGGAAGAACUGCAUGAAUUUGAUCUCAAAGGGGUACCACCUCAUAUGCCUACAGGAGAUACAUGACCAGUGAUGGUUGUUCUAUCCACAAAAUUAGCUAACAUACGACUAUUUUAUUCAACUACCAUUUCAGGAUAUGAGUUCUCCUAGCCACACUCAAAAGCCCUAGCCGCUAUAUGAACAAAGCACCUAAAAAAUUAAUCACCUACCUAAUCUAAUUCAGGAAAUUUUGGUCAAAAUCUCCUACAAUGAAACGAGUUAUUUGAAUGCAUAGACAGGAAAUUCAGGUAAACACACACACACCCCCCUGAUCAUAAAUUUCCUAAAGAAAUUCUGAAUUGUAACAUUGGUAAACAAAGUGUGACAAUAUCAUCACAUUAAAAAUGCAUUUCACUCAAAACAAAUACUAGCUCAAGAAAAAAAAUUGCAAGAAGCCAAUAGAGAAUAAAGUAAGCAGUCCAUAAACAAGAGACAGAGAGACAUUGUUCCAAUACAGAAAAGUAAUUAAAACCCAACAACUAAAACUGAGAAAGAAUCAAACCAGUGAGUAACUAAUCCUUUUAAAGCAUUCCAAGAAUGGCAACCAAAUGUAACAUAAUCAACCUGCAAAAACAAACACAAAAAGAAUUAGAAGAAGAAACCCCAUUAGUUAAUAAGUUAAAACAGCAGCAGCAGCAAAAAGACUCAAAUUUUAGUUAUUUGGACUUGAGAAAAAGCACUGAACCCUCUGUGAAAAUGCCAUGAAAGGGGUGCUAAGAAACCAGGAAAAUAAAAACUUUUAAAAGGGUGUUUUUACAAAGCAAGAAAGAAGCUAGGAAGCAAGCCAGCCUACCCUCACGAACUCUGUUUGUUAAUUGUUUUUUCUCCUUUGAAGUGAAAACAAAAAAAGAAAAAAAAAACGAAGAGCACCCGGAAAAUCUAGUCAGAAAUAUUUUAUGUUGUUGUCUUGGAGUGACGCAGAUACCGAGGAACAGUUGUGGGGCCACCAUUGGUGAGCAGUGAUACAGUGGCAAGUAUGUGAAAUAACGCAUAUUACAGUGCGCAAUGAUAGAGUGAGUCUGGGUGGACAAACUUUUGGUGGUACACGUGGUGCUUAAUGAUUUGACGGCUAUGGAGAGAAGUUACAUGAGGGAAAUAAGAUGGAAAAAGUGGCCUCUCUAGAUUUUGGAAAUGUUCUCUGAAGAAAGAAAGAAAAUAAUUUCAAAGGUGGACAAAAAUAGGGUAAUAUCAGAUUUGGAACAUAAUCUUGGUUGGUGAAGAAUAACAUAAUCUAAGGAGAAAUCUAGGGAAAGCCAGUGAGAUUUGAGCUUCGAUUUGGGACCAAUUUAUAGCUGGAUAAUACCAUCAUGGGUUAUCAGAUUCUGUGUGUGUGAGGCUGCCAUAUGUUUCUUUCUUCUAUGAUGGAUAAAAAACGCUAAGCAAUUAACCCACCUAGUAAAAAAGGUAUUAUGGUUAUGAUAAAAACUCUACAGCCUGUGAUUCUAUUUUUGAAGAUAUUCUUAUUAUAUUUAUAAUUAUAAGAAUCUUUAAAAAAGACACGGGUAAAAUAUUAUUCUCACAUCACUAUUCACUGGUGUUAUCGGCUUAAAUUGAUAGAUAAUUAAGUAAAUUUAUUGAGGAAAAGCAAAAUUUAAAUAUAGAUAAUCAAAGUGAAAACAAAAGCGCAAAAAAAGAUGGUAGUUUCAUGAUUGAAGUUAAAAAUUCACUUUGAUUCUUAUUUUUUUUUAAUCAAUAAAAAAUUCGGCAGAGUUUUCUCUAUAUUUUUAGGUAUCAAGUUAUCGACUUUUCAUCUACAAUCCCUAAUUAUCAAAUUUCUUACUCAUCCUAUCAUCCAGGACUUCCUCCUCUCAUUACAUCACAACUUCUAAAUAAUCAAAUUCACACAUGUCUAAACAAUUCAAUAUCCCACAUUUACAUGGAUACAAUCCAAAGAAUUGUUCUACAAAUUAUAACUGAAGUACAUUACACAAUUCAAAAAUUUACAAAUAAGGACCAUUAACGAAAUUAUAAUCGAAAUAAGUACGUAAUUAAAGAAGAAAUUCAUAAUUAAGAUUAUACUACACAAAAGAGCUUUCGAUAAACUGUUGACGCAUUAUAUUACAUAACAAAAUGAUAAAUUCAUUCAUUACAAAAAAAAAAAUACCAAACAAAAUAUAAGAAAACUAAUCUACUGUUCAAUCCGAUAGGGGGAUGUACCUGAAAAUUAAUUUAAUACAAUAAUUCGAUUAGACAGAUGAAGAAAAGAUAUCCAUAAAAUUCUUUUUACUUUCUUUCUUUCUUCCUUUUUUUUUUUUUUGAAAAUUUAGUCAAAAGAUCAUUAAAUUAACUUGCUCAUAUAGUAUUAUAUAUAUCAAUUAAAUUUCAGAAUAAUCUAUUAGUUUGUUUUCUUUUUCUUUUUUAACAUCAACCAAAAAAAUAAUUAUUCUCAUCGCCCAAUUAACCCGGCAUUACUUUCACUAAUAGAUGAUUAAUUUUCCACCAGUCCAUUCAACAAGCACUAUUGUCAUCAAUCCAAAAAUUAGUUUAACGUUUAAUCCAUUCAUCAGGGUACAAAUCCCAUUAACCAGGAAAAUUAAUUCUUCAUCUCGCCUAUUAAUUUGUCAGGGCACUAAUUCUAUUAAAUCAGGAAUUAGUUCAACAAUUUACCCAUUAACCAAGGACUUAAUUCCUCAUCACGCCCAUUCACUAGGACAUUAAUCCCAUUAGUUCAAGAAUUAAUUCAUCACAUCGCAUAUCUUAUUUUUUAAAAUAAACAAUAAAAUAAUUACUAAUUUAUCAACCAUAAUUAAUCAAAUAAAAAUACAUAUUAACCAAUAAUAAAUUCGGGCACCGUGUAAUUACCUAACGACUAAGCUCGAGCUGAAAUUCCCUGCUGUGGUGUCAGCCUGACAGCUUCUCUUGAAUUGACAAAUAUAUCACAUCAUUAUUCUACUUUCCAUAUUGAAACACUCAAUAAAUAAAAUCAUUCCAAUUAUCCUUUUAUUUAUCAAAAUAAAAUCAUUUUGUAAAUUUCCUUCCUAUUCUUCCAAUUUCCACAUUGUAACACAAUUCAUUUCAUCAUUCAAAUCAAUAUAUAUAUAUAUUCUUUAAAUUUAUUUAUUUAUUUUUUACCGUAAUUUAAAUCAAAGAAAAACAUAAAAACAUUUCAUGAUCUAUUCACUCUUUAACAUUAAUAUCAUCUCUUUCUUACACAAUCUCAUCAUCUUAUCAAAAUUCUUAAAUUUUUAUUUUUCUUAUUAUUAUUUUUCCAAAAAUCCCUUCUUCAAGAACACCUAAAAUUUUGCUUUAAUUACCAUAAUUUCUUACUUUCUCUACUCACUUCAAUAAUCUUAACACAAUUUCACAAUCAAUUGUAAUUUUUCAUAAAAUUUAUCAUGAACCCUAAUUCUUCAAUUCACAAAGUUCAAUCAAUUUAAAACAUAAAUUCUUCAAGAAUCUUAUUUAAAAGUGUAAGGGCACCUUACCAAGCAAUAACCAAAGCCUUAACACUUUUAAAUUAAGAAAUUUUCCUUGCUUGAAUUUGUUUUUCCUCUCCUAGCCGAAUGCUUCCUUCUCUUUGAAAAAGCAAGUUUGUUCUUUUUUUUUUUGGCUUCCUUACAACACACACUCACUUGCACUCAUAUAUAUCAAUUUUUUCUCCCCCCCCCCUCCCCUUCCCCCCCACACUUACACACAUAUAAUUACUUAACUUUUAAAAAAUGCCUUUUAUAUCCCUCAAUACUAAAUUUUAUGAUUUUUGGGUAAAAUUUCAUGAAUCCUGACUCCUGUUUAUACCAAAUUUUACACGGGUUAUUUCAAAUUUCACUCAAUUACUCGUUAGUACUUUCAGUUUCAUGAAAUUCACUUUCAUAAAAAUUCUAUUCAUAUUUUUGUGUUUUUUUAUUUAUUUUUAUAUAUAUAUUACUAUUUAUCUGGUAUCAGAGCCUAUUGGGAUCUGGGUGGGAAUAGUAACAUAAAAGCCAGUAUUCUUAGAAAGAACAAGAGACCAUUAGACUAUAGGUAUGCAACUGAAUGGUGUAAGUCCCGUUUGAGUUUUAGGGCAAUAAAUCCAUAUAACUUGCAGCGUGUUCCCUAGUUUAUCUUUCCUUUCUAUGGAUUCCGUCUUUCACAGGACUACUUCUCUUUCAGCUUCCUCUACCUCUGAAUCUUCUGAAAGCAGAAGAAUAGUACAAAGUGAAGAGAUAACUAUUGAAGACUUUACAAAAAACAUUGAUGACUGGAAAAUUCCAAAAAUUUCUCAAACUCAGAUUUAUCAAAAAUCUAAAUAUGAUAUUUUCAAAACAGAUUUUACUAUCAAAACUGAAGAGCGAGAUAUUCAGCUUACCAAACCUUUUGAAACCAUUCAACUCCUCUCUCAAAAAUCCUUACAAAAACAUCUAGCCCGAAACUAUAAAUAUAUUCAUGUUGGCCUUGUCCAGAUUGGAAUAAAACCCCUUACAAAAGAAGGCUUAAACACCUCUAUUCUAGCUGUCCUCCGUAAUGCUAGAUUUCAAAACUUCCAAGACUCCCUCCUCAGUUCUAUUGAGUCUAGUCUUUGCAGUGGGCCGAUAUCAUUUGACUGUUAUCCAAACAUAACCAUACCCCUCAAAGACAAAAAUAUCUUGCAGAGUAUGCUACUACAAAUAAAGACCCACAACUAUGACAUGCUAAAAGGAUCUAUCCCUGUUGCUCUCAUAUUCAAAAUCCAUUACAAAGCCAUGUUCUCAGCCUUUGCCAGCAAAGACAAAUUCCAAUCUCAAAAAGGUGAAACACUCCUACUACAAACAGAUUUAUCCCGCUCAAACACUGUUGUCCCAAAAGCAAUCCAAUGGAAAGACAUAUCCCUACCAGAAGAUUGGAUCCUUGAAGGUGCAGCACCACCAGAACUACCACCACCACCUCAACCCAAUGUCCAAAUUAAAAAUAUUACCCAAUAUACAGAUGGAAAAGUGAAACUGUCUUUCCACCGACACUCUACAAGUUCCAGAUUCUCAGAAGCCUCUUCCUCUUCCAGUACAAUAGAUUUGGGAAGAAUUUCCAAAAUCCCUUCUGUUAUCAAUAUCCCUUAUCACGAAAACCUUCCAAGAAAAUCUACAUCCGAUAUCCCUUCUCCUAGUUUCCAAAAUGCAGACUAUACUACAAAUAUACCAAAACCUGUCUAUACAAACCUUGAGCAACCAUCUCCUCCAACUUCACCGACCUUUUCAGCUAUUACUGAAAAUAUCCAAAACGAGCUGAAUGUUUUGACUUCAGAGAAACAUUUCGUUCUUGACAAAACACUUUUCAAAAAGGAUUUCUAUUCGGCCUGUAACUCUACAAAACGAAUUUGGUUUUUUCAAAACUUUCUCGAGCAAAGAAGUGAAAUACAAAAACAAUUUUAUAAUUUCAUUGAGCUACAUAAAAUACAAAUUCUAUUCUUUGAUUGAUUCGAAUUAUAUUAUGCAUCUGAACAUCACAUUUCAUAUCCUUUUGCAUCAAUUAAGCAUGCAUGCCCGGUCACAUCCAGGUCAAAAACCCAUGUAUGGAACCUCACCAGUGGACCUACAGUUGAGUCUGAACAUCCACAUUUGAGAAAUAUCCAAAUAACCCAUAAUAACCAGACUGUCGAGGCAGCCCCUUACAAAAUAUCCACUGAUGACACCCUUUCCAAUACAAAACACAUCAUUAACCAAAACAACUUUACAAACACCAACCUUAAUACCUUGGGAAAACAGCUUACACGGCUUGAGAAACAAAUACAAAGAACUGCUACAAGUUCAGCUGGCAUUAAAACCUCAACCGACUUAAAGCUAAAAAACCCAGUCUUCAAACCCUACCAAAUUACAAAAACCAGCCAAACACAGAUCCAAGAAAACCAAACAGAUUUUCUUAAAGCUAUUAAAACGCAUCUACAACACCUUGACAGUUCAUCUUUAACUGUCCCUGACACACCACAAAUAACCAACCCUUCUACCUCUACAAAUCAAGUCAACACUUUACAGAAUAGUCCUCAGGAAUCUUCUGAUGAAGGUACUUCUCCACGAAAACCUCUUACCCUAAACAGACUUACCUGGCAAACUCCCAAAACAACCAUUGCCCCAGACAUUUCCAUAACUACUGAACCAACUAUUCUUACUCAACACAAGUAUAAUGCCUCUUCCCUCUAUGAAUGGAAUAUAGAUGGAAUGUCCGAAUAUAAUAUCCUAAACACUCUCCAACAAAUGACCAUGGCAGCGAAUGCUUACAAAACCCAGACAGGAACCCCAGAUAAAGCUAUUGCUGAGCUCCUUAUUAAUGGUUUCUCCGGCCAAUUAAAAGGAUGGUGGGAUUACCAUCUCACUGACACUGAUCACCUGCAUAUCCUAAACUCCUUCCAAACAUAUGAGGACCAAACACCCAUCCUUGACCCAUUCGGAAACACCAUCCAAGACGUUGUGUCAACCCUUAUUCUUACAAUUUCCCUACAUUUUGUUGGAGAUCCUUCACAUUUGAAAGACAAAAAUGUUGAACUCCUUUCCAACCUUAGAUGCAAGAAACUAAGUGACUUUCAAUGGUACAAAAACACCUUCCUUACCCGUGUCAUGCUUAGGGAAGAUUCAAACCAACCCUUUUGGAAAGAAAAAUUCCUUGCAGGACUACCUAUUCUCUUAGGAGAAAAGGUUAGAAACAAAAUCAAAGAUACCUUCACAACAAAAACCAUCCCAUAUGACCAGCUCACAUACGGUGAACUUGUAAGCAUUACUCAAAAGGAAGGUCUGAAGAUCUGUCAAGAUCUUAAACUCCAGAAGCACCUAAAGUGGGAAAUGAAACGUACCAGGCAAGAACUUGGUAGUUUCUGUCACCAGUUCGACCUUUCCACCAAAAAACCCUCCUGUAACGGAAACUGUUCACAUCCCAAAAAAUAUUCAAGCCAGAGACCUCCUUAUAAACGAUCACUACAUAAAAACCGACAACAAUUCUAUUCUAAACCAGAUCAACCUUACUACAAAAAGCCCUAUAAAUUUACCAAGCCCCACAAACCUUUCCAGUCGAAACCUAAAACAAAAUUUGAUCCCAAAAACAUUACCUGUUAUAAAUGCAACCAGAAAGGACAUACAUCCCGUUUCUGCAAGGUCAAUACUAAACUUCAUGAACUCCAAAUAGAUGAAGACACCAUCAACCAAAUACAAAAUCUCUACAUUGAGGCUACAGACACUGACCACUCUCCUUCAGACACUUCUGAAGAAGAAUUCCAAAUCGAUGAAAUAGCAACCACCAGUGCUACUUCAGAUGCCUCUACAAAUUCCAAACAAUUCAACGUCUUGACCCAAGAUCAAGAGUUCAUUCUUGAGGCUAUCAAACGACUUGAUGAUCCUCAACUUCAAAAAACCUAUUUGGAUAAAUUAUUGAAAGACUUCAGCCAACCGGAGCACCCCCAGUCUAACCGCUCUAUAUUAACUUCUGCCAGCACCAAUACCUAUGAUCUUACAAAAAUUCUUGGCAGAAAGAAAUCCAAAACCACAGUCACCAUUCCAGAACUACAGUCUGAGAUAAAAACCCUCAAAUCAGAAUUGCAAAUCCUCAAACAAGCCCAACAGAAAGACUCUGCCAUACUACAACAUCUUCUGUCCAAAAUUGAAAGCCCGUCUGAUACUGAGUCUGAUACAGAGGAUCAAACCAUUGAAUCUCAUGCAUUACCACAUACACUUACAAAUAUUGAGCAUAUUCCAGAUGAUUUCUUAAACGUUCUAACCCAAAUAUCUUCCAAGAAAUAUUUAAUUCGAAUUACUCUUGUUUUCUCAGAAGAUUUCAAGCUUGAUACUAUUGCCUUAUUUGACACAGGUGCAGAUUUGAACUGUAUCAAAGAAGGCGUGGUUCCAAAAAGAUUUUUACAAAAUACCUAUGAAAAACUCUCUGCUGCUAACAAUUCCAAAUUACACAUUGCAGGCAAAACCCAAGCCUCUGUUUUCAAUAACGACAUUUCUCUUAAAACAUUUUUUGUUGUUACAAAAGACAUCAAUCAUACCAUCAUUCUUGGCACUCCAUUUAUUGACAUGAUCACUCCAUAUCAAGCACGUCAUAACUGUAUUACUUCCAAAAUUAAUAACACCAAACUUGUUUUUUCAUUCUUAGAAAAAUCUAAGACUAGGAAUUUAAAUUUAAUUAAAGCAUGUUCCAUACAUACCUGUCAUAUCAAUGCACUAAUUCAUGGGAAACAAUUCCAUCUACAUGAUUUACAAAACCAUGUUUCUUUUUGUCGUAUCAACAAACAAUUACAAAGUUCUGAUUUACAAAAGAAAAUCAUUGAUUUCCAAAAUAAGAUUGAACAACAGAUAUGUUCAGACUUACCCAAUGCUUUUUGGAAGCGAAAACAACACAUCGUUGAUCUUCCUUAUGAAGAUACAUUUUCAGAAAAACUAAUCCCUACAAAAGCAAGACCUAUACAAAUGAAUGCUGACUUAGAACAGCAUUGCAGACUUGAAAUCCACGAUCUCGAGUCUAAAGGUCUUAUCCAAAAGUCUAGAUCACCCUGGUCGUGUGCGGCCUUUUAUGUCAAUACAAAUUCUGAAAUUGAAAGGGGCACACCAAGACUUGUGAUCAAUUACAAACCUCUCAAUUCUGCUUUAAAAUGGAUCAGGUAUCCAAUCCCAAACAAAAAAGAUUUAUUACAAAAAUUGCACUCCGCAUUCAUAUUUUCUAAGUUUGAUAUGAAAUCUGGAUUUUGGCAAAUCCAAAUUGAUCCCAAAGAUAGGUACAAAACUGCUUUUACAGUUCCUUUUGGCCAAUAUGAAUGGAAUGUCACUCAAAAAUACACCAUCCGAAUUUCAACGCAUCAUGAAUGACAUAUUCAAUGCACAUUCAAAAUUCUGCAUUGUUUACAUUGAUGACGUGCUCAUUUUUUCACAUUCCAUAGAACAACAUUUCAAGCAUCUACAUAUAUUUUUUCAUACUGCCAAACAAAAUGGUUUAGUUGUUUCUAAAACAAAAAUUUCUCUUUUUCAAACCCGUGUCCGUUUCCUCGGUCAUUACAUCUGCCAAGGUACCGUAAUACCAAUAGAGAGAUCUUUAAACUUUACAAAUAAAUUUCCUGACAAAAUCACUGAUAAAACCCAAUUGCAAAGAUUCUUAGGAAGUCUUAAUUAUGUCUUGGACUACUAUCCCAAUAUUAGUCGUCUAUCCAAACCCUUACAUGACAGGUUAAAAACCAACCCCAUUCCUUGGUCUGACCUCCAUACCAAUCUAGUCAAACAGAUUAAGAAACAGGUCCAAACUAUUCCUCUCCUCCAUUUAGCUAACCCUUUAGCCCCUAAGAUUGUUGAGACUAACGCCUCUGACCUAGGGUAUGGUGGAAUUCUUAAACAGUUACAAGAUAACAAAGAACAAAUAAUCCAGUACACAUCUGCCCACUGGAAUGACUGCCAGAAAAAUUACUCUACUAUUAAAAAGGAAAUCCUUUCAAUUGUUCUUUGUAUUACAAAAUUUCAAAGUGAUUUAUUAAACCAAAAAUUUCUCUUACAUGUUGACUGCAAAUCUGCAAAAGAAGUUCUCUAAAAAGAUGUCCAAAAUCUUGCUUCCAAACAAAUCUUUGCCAGAUGGCAAGCCAUUUUAAGUAUCUUUGAUUUUGAUAUUGUUUACAUUAAAGGAGAAUCAAAUUCCAUCCCUGAUUUCCUAACCCGAGAAUUCCUUCAAAACAGGUCUUGAUGCCUCCUAAAGCAAAAGCCAAGGACAAGGGAAAAGCCCCUCAAACACAGCCUACAAAACCAGAGAGCCCCAAGCCUUCUACAAAACUCAUGUCUUCCGCCAUCCUCGCUGCCAAGCCUAUCAAAUCUUGGUAUGAGGCAGUUAUUGAAGAUGAAGAAACUACAAAACCACCACAAGUACAAACAGACGCAGUUCAACAUUGGGUUGACACUAUAUCCAAAUCGCCAGAAUUACUCCUGGCAUUGCAAAAAGUAUCCCAACAAGCCUCCAGUGACUCCGUGUCUCAAACAGGUAGUAUUUCCAAAUCACUUUCAAAACCCCAAGGAGGCAUUUUAUCUUCAAAACCCCUCCUUUCCUUACAACAAACAAGUUUUCCAAAAACCAAAUCCAAAUAUAUUUUCAAAAAUGCUUUCCAAAACAUUUUAACUAUGGAAGAAGGAUUUUACCAUGAAAACCCUUCCAUUGCUGCUUCAAAAAUAUUCCCUCCAAAAUGGCACUAUAAACCUUGAAAUCUAGCUCAACCACAAUCCUAUUAUGCAACUAUCCUUGAAAUUACCGAUUCUAUCGAAUUCAAACACUUCAAAUUACAUUCUGAUCACACUGAACCAGCUUACUCUACAUGCAUUAUUCACAAAGUCAUCCACCCUAAAGAUUGGGGACAACCCCUGCAUCAACCUCUCUCCUUCCCAAUACAAUACCGCACAAGCCCCCAAGACUUCAAUACCUCCUACACAUAUUGGGAUUACCAACAGGCAUGGUUUAAUGCCUUCCUCAUACAAAAUCAAAAUCAUAGCCAUUCUUGGCUCUUCUACUUCCACAAUACCAUGAAUACUACAAAUCUCUCCCUCUGGUUCCUUCAAUGGUGGGACUUUUAUGGUUGUCAUGUUGAUUACCUUAAAGAACAUCCUUUAGUUGAAAAUGGUUAUCUACAUUUCAAAAACAAUUUCCAACCAGCUCCCUCUGAAAGAAAGUUUUCUUCCCUCCUUAUCUUCUAUACAAAAUUUUUUGUUCCGUGGGUAUGUUCAUGGUUCUUUGAUUAUAAUUUACAAAACGGACAUCCAGUACUUAUUCGCAAAUUCAAAAUCAAGUGGUGGGAUUCCUUUGCAGCUGAGUCCAAAAGUUCAAAAUUAGCUGUUACGGAAUGGUUACAAAAACAUCAAACAACUCCCAUCAUCGAUCCUCAUCCUCAAUCAAAGUUCUUAGCCAGAAAGGCCCAAACGGCAGCUCUCCUUGCCUCUGCUAGAACUGAGGAAGAAUACCUACAAAUAGUACAAGGAAUUAUGCAAAGCCAAGACCCAGAAACAGUCUUGUCCCAAUCCAGCUCAUCUGGCUCAACAUCUCCUGCCAUUUCCCUCGACAAUGAUAAUGAAGAUGACUGUUUUGGUAUCCUGCCAUCUAUCACGUGACGUUAAAAAAAAAUAAAAAAAAAAAGAGUAUUUCAGGUCUUUUUAAGGCUCAUCUGUUUAGAGCCCAUUUUGGUCUUUUUUAAUGCUCAUCUGUUUAGAGCCCAUUUUGGUCUUUUUUAAGGCUCAUCUGUUUAGAGCCCAUUUUGGUCUUUUUAAGGCUCAUCUGUUUAAGAGCCCAUUUCUUUUAGACUCAGAUGUUUUGAGUCGUUUUUCGGCCUAUCUGUUUUAAGGCCUUUUUCUACAAAAGUUACUAGUUACUACAAACCCACCAAUCAAGUGUCGGUGGCAAGACGACAACAAACGAAGCUCAACCAAAAACGUGGACAAUUUCCAUUUUGUCGCCAUCCAAUCAAGGCAGACAGCACCACAUGGGCUUCUAUAGGUUCUGCCAAAUGCCACAUAGGUUCACAUGGGUCCUGAAGAGCUUCUCCAACAGGACAAUUUGGCCUCUUCCAUGCCAACUCGCCUAUAAAAGGCCACUUCAAAACCCUUAGAGGGCGGACUAAUCUUUCCCCUAGAAAAAAUUUACUCUCCCCUAAAAAUUUGUAACCCAUUCUCCUCUGUAACCAAUAUCUCCUGUCUUAAUUUUGUUACAAAUUUAAGUAAGAUAAUCUUAUUUUUAUCUACGUUUUUGUUAUAUCUGUUGUUGUUCUUUUUGUUACUUUUAAGUAUGCUCUGUGUUUGAUCAAGGAUCCUGACAUUGUUGGUCUUGCCUUGAUCAUUCGCAUCAGAAAUCUGUUUAUAUUGUUCUUUUCUUUGUUCUUUUAUACAAUCAGUAUAUAGGCUGGAAACCUAUGACCCGAUCUUUUAAAGAUCAUUCUCAGGUAUAACAACGCCACGUACUGUUUACUAUUUAUCUGUUUACUAUUUAUCUGUUCCUGUUUACUAUUAUAUAUAUAUAUAUUAACACCCGAACAAAACACUUCAAUUCAGAUUCUCGAAUAUAUCAUCAUUCUUAUAAUUUAAUUUAUCACUUUCCCUCAUUUUUCGUAAUCUUAACUUUUAUUAAUAUCAAUAAUAUUACCCGAGGUUUUAUAGUCUCAGUUGACACUGAUUUUCACCAUAAAAAAUGGUCGAUUUUUGUUUUAAUGAGUUUCAUUUGAUGAAGAGAGUUUCAUUGAAUUUUUUUUUUCCCUUGAAAUUGCCAAAAAAUUUAUGGUUUUUGGGCUAUUUUAUUAGUUUAUUACAUCAUAAAGACCAUUUUUAGGUGUUUUGGUGUGAACUUUGCUUAAAUUUGCAUUUUCGGGUCAAAAACACCCUGCUUAAUUUUCUAGUCACCUCUCCAAUGGUCAAGAACAGGAAAGUCUCGGUAGGUGACAUGUCGCUUUUUUUUUCAAAAUUAUUUGGAGCAUUUUCAAAUAAAAAAAGGCCCAUAUGUACCAACCCUUUUUAAAAUGGGCUUGAUGUGUAGGCCUGACUUACUAGGCCCAAAAGCACUUGAUCUAUUUCUAUUUUUUAAAAAAUUUUGUUUUCUUAAUUGAUAUUUUUUUUUAUGUAUUUUUAAUGAAUUUUUGAAUUUAUAUUUAAAUUAAUACUUUUCUCUCUAAAUAUUUAGAUUGUUUAUUUAGUUUUUUUUUUAAAUAUAGGUUAUCUUUUACUUAUCUUUUAUGUAUUUAAUAUCUAGAAAAAAUUAUUUCAAUUCAUCUAUAUGGUUUUUUUAUAUUUUAUAUGAAUAAACUUUAUUUUCAUGGCGUGUUUAUAAAAAUAAGAAUUAUUUGUUCUUGGUAAGAAAAAGUGACCUUUAAGAUAAAAAAAAAAAAAGAAGAAGAAAAGGAGAAAAGUGUGUAUGAAGAGGAAAGUUAAGGUUAAGUAUCAUAUUUAUGUAUCUUUUACUUUUAUGAAAAUGAUUAUCAUUUUAUUUUAUAAUUUGAUUGGCAUUAAGAACUCUUUAUUAGUUUAUUAGUUCAUAUUUUUGUAAGAUUUGUUUUUUACAUUUCUCAAUUAAGAGAAUCGUAAUACAAUGAAAUGCACUUGAAACAUUGUCCUAUUUUUCUACUACAUUAAAAAUUAACUUAAGAUCCUAUAUGUGGCACGAUGCGUUAACAACUAUUUUUUGUAUUUAUAAACACUUAUGGUCCUUACUUUAUUUUUAUUAUAUGUAAACAUCAACUUUUUUAUUCACAAUUAUAAUUUUCUCUUGAUUUUUAAAAAUACAUUAACAACAUUUAUACAUUUUUCUUUUGCGUUCAAAACAUUAUCUGACUCGUAGCAAAAUGAAUUAAAUAAACAUGUCAACACUUUUUUUUUGUAUUUAUGAUUAGGAUUUGUUUUUGUUAAAAAUGCAAUUGAAAAGCAUACAAAUUUAUUUUUUUGCUAAAAACAAUUUUGUGAUCCAUAACAAAGUACGAGUUAAAUAACUACUAAUAUGGCUAUAGUAAGUCUUUUAGUAUAUAUGGAUGUAGGAAGCAAUGUGUUAUAUUAUUAGUUAGAUAUAACUUACCUAUUCAUUAUUAAAAAAACAUAAAAUAAAUAAAUAUAUUAAUAGAAACCUAAAAGAGAUCGGCUGAAAUAUAAUAUUUUUGUCCUUUUUUUAUUUUGUUUCACAUUUCUCAAUUAAGAGAAUCAUGAUAUAAUGAAAUGUAUUUGAAACACCGUCCCAUUUUUCUACUACAUUAAAAAUUAACUUCCUACAUGUGGCGCGUUGCGUUAACAAUUGUUUUUGUAUUUAUUAACAUAUAUGAUCUCAAGUUUAUUUUAUUAUAUGUAAAUAUUAACUUUUUUUAUUCACAAUUAUAUUUUUUCCUCUCGAUAUAAAAAAAAUACAUUAACAACACUUAUACAUCCAUUCUUUUGUGUUGGAAAAUAUUAUUUGACCCAUAGCGAAGCGAGUUAAAUAAACACGUCAAUAUCUUUUUUUGUAUUUGUGAUUAGGGUUUAUUUUUUUUUUGUUAAAAAAAUACAUUUGAAAAGCAUUUAUAUUUAUUUAUUUUGCUAAAAAACAUUUCUUACCUUUAGUAAAGUGUGAGUCAAAUAACUACUAAUAUGGCUAUAGUGAGUGUCUUUUUAUACAGUAUACUUGGAUGUAGGUAGCAAUGUAUUAUAUUAUUAGUUAGAUAUAACUUACCUAUUCAUUAUUAAAAAAAACAUAAAAUAAAUAAAUAUAUUAAUAGAAACCUAAAAGAGAUCGGCUGAAACAACAUAGUCUCCAAGAGGAAAUAUUGUGAAUUCACACAAUGUUUACUUUCUUUUUUUUUUGUCCUUUUUUUUAUUCAGUUAUCUUUGAUGAUGAAUUAAUAAAGAUUUGAGAUGGUUUAAUUUCACAAAAUUUUCUUUUAUUGUUUGUAAGAAAUUGAAAAUGAGAAGAUCAAAAUUAAAAUAAAUAAAAAACCAAAUUUUUUUUUAAAAAAAAUAUGGUGUCAACUUUGCUUUUUAUUUUUUGCUUUUAAUCAUCUAUUUUUUUUAUAUAAAAAAAUAAUCUUUCAAUAUUGUGUUAAUUAUUUAUUUAUAAAAAAUUAAUCUUUCAAUAUUGUGUUAAUUAGAAUUUGAAAUUGGUAAUUUUAUAUGAGCAUCUAGAACUAAAUAAAAAGCCGCACCAUUGGUUUGGUGCUCAACUUUACAAAUAAAAAAAAAAAUCGAUUGUAUUGUUUUAGAAAAAAUAAAAAGAUCAAAACUAAAACACGAAAAAAGAAAAGAAAAAAAGGAGGCCUUAAAAAAACAAAUUGUGUCAGCACCUCCAUGCAUUGUAAUUUUGAUAAAUCUUCUUUUUGGUAAUGAAACUUUUUUAUUCAAAACUUUUUGAUUCAAAACUUUAUUUUACUUGUAUUUUAAUUCUUGAGGAUGAGAAAGAAAAGAGAAAUUCAUCAAAAAAUUACUAAGAAAAGAGAAAAUUAGCGAAAGCCAGCAAGGUAUCUGCUCGAAAAAACAAAUGGGCAAGCAAACAUACGCCCUUACUUCUGGAGGCUUGUGCGAUAAUGGGCAAGCAUCAUUGUUUUUUUGGGGGCUUGUACGAUAAUGACUAAACACACAACAUUACAUUACUUCUAGCUUCUUCAGCAAACACAGAUAGAUAAGUCGAAAUCUUCUGUAUUCCCAUUGCCAAUGAAACAGUUGGAAUUACUUCCCACCAAUCUAAAACAUAUUCGCAGCACCAACCUUGAAAUCAUGUAACAGCUAACCAACCUUGCCUGAUGCAAACAUGAAGAACAAAGACAAUCCAUGAUUUAAUUCAACCAUUAAAAUUUGAAGGUAAAGGAGAGGAUAAAUAAUCUUCAGCUAUAUCACCUGGUUUGGGCAAGAAAGAAUUAUUAGACUACCAAUCAUCACCAUUCUUUCCACCCCUUAUCUCGGGUCCACUCUCUAUAAAUGCUUGAAUCUUCAGCUACUUCAGAUACCUGUAAACCAAUUCAAGCAUGGCAUGCUCAUUUUUACUUGUAAAUCUUAUUAUUGAGCCAAACAAGAAACAAACACACUAAAAGAGAGGCAAGAAAUCAAGUCAAAUCAGCAGCACCUCUGAUUGAGCACUCAUUGAACCAUCUGGUGUACUAGCAAAUUUUGUGGUCAGCUUUGGACAUAGAUGGACCUUCAACUUCUCCAAACGAGGGAAUAAGAAAUAAUCACACCAUCCGAAACUAAAACAGACAAUACUUGAUAAUUGAUGUAUCGACAACUCCUUUAGAUUAGGAAGCACUAUCUCCUUCUCAACGUUGAUAGGUGAAGCUUGACCAUCCUGCCCAGGAGGCUCUGGAAUUAUUUCCUUUUCACCAUCCUCUUCUCUGAUAAUAUGCUUCAAUUGACCGCAUUUACCUAUGUAAAGUCUUUCUAGCUUUGGCAGACUUCGAGCGAGGGACGGUGUGAAUAUAAAUGUCAGUUUGUCCAGAGACCACAAAUCCAGAUAAGCAAGACUUUGGAGGCUGACAUGUCUGGUGGGCCCCUUCCACAUGCAUUUGAGCUCAGGUAAACCUGACAGCCGUAACCCUGUUAAAGAUGACAGAAGCGGCAGCUCCUUCUCCUCCCUACUUCCUUCAUCAGGCUCACCUAAUUCAAAUACCUCUUCCAAUGAUUUGCAGCCGUUAAUGUUCACACUGCUUAGAUUUUUCAAAGCUCGCAGCAAUUUUGCUGGAAACGGAGCGCGAACAUCCCCACAAUCGUCCACUCGUACACGUUCUAAUCUAUGUAAGGAGCCGUUUUGCUCCCCAUGGGCGGCCAUCUGAUCAGAGAACAAUAUUAUAUUUUCUCACUCUCAUAAAAACAAUUUAUAUGAUGUAUAAAUAGGAGAAAAAAACAGGAUUAAAUACUUUUUAGAGAUUACAUAUUAUUGUUUUAGUUUUGUUCUUAAUUAGAGAUAAGUUGAAUAAUAAUUAGAUUUUUGUGAAAAAAAGGUUAAUACAACUCCUAAUAAUUAGUUUCAUGUAAAAACAAAAACAAAAAUAAAAAUAGUAACUAAUAUUUUUAUUUUAGUUAUAAAGUUAAUAAAUUUUAAAAGAUAUUUUAAUUGACUUCAAAAUUUUCAACACAAAAUUUAUGCUCUUAUAUAUUAAUAAUUUAUUUGUGAAGUUAUUUGAUGUACUUUUGUAUAAAAAACAUUUUUUAUUACGUGCAAAGUUGUUUAAGUGGACAAACUUGUCUAAUUUUUAUCCAGAUAGAUUACCUCCAAAGUAGUCAAUUUGCUCAGCAGAAGACCCCUCAAGUCAGGCACGGAUUCCAAGCGUAAUUCUUUCAAAUUUGUGAACCCCUGCAUCAAAAGAAAUUUUGUGCACUUUUGAACUAUAUAAUUUUGGUAAAUAGAUGAACGAAUUGUCCAUAUAAAACUUCAGCAAAAAAACUUAUCAACAAAAGGAUAGAAGUAGACAUGGCAACAAGGCAUGGGAAUAUGAAAUCAGAAGUUGCAGAUGGAGGUUUAUCUUCCUCUUCAAAUACUUCUAUUAAUUGGGGGAAGAGCCUCAAUAUCACUUAAACUGGGAAAGCAUAAAGAUUGAAAAAUCAAGGUAGGAUUUCAUUACAAUAAUUAAUUUCUUACUUCUUAAGCCCUGCAUCAAGAGACAAGGAAUGAUAAAGUUAGACAACUCCUUUUAAAUUUAGUGAAUGGCUAAAGGAUUUAUCUCCACUUAUCAAUUACUUCAGUUUCAGAAAUUUGGAGGAGAAAUCAACCUGUAUUGAAGUUGACAAUUUAAAUUAAGAAGAAAAAAAAAUUAUAGGAGAAAUAUAAAGGACGUACUUGGAGCUGUGCAAACAAAUUUCCCAAUUCUUUGUGGCCAUUGAUUUUUAGAAAUCGCAAAGAAGGCAAUUGGGCAGCAAGAUUCGUUGGACCAAAAAAGCUGUAAUUUGAUAUGGAAGAAAGAACCAAGUCACUUAAUCGAGGGAACUUGAUGAUGCCAUCUGUGGUGAGUGCGUCUCCUUCUCCACUGUAAAAUAUUUGCUUUAAAUUGUCAGUACGAUCAAUCGUCAUCAAUUCCAGGUUCGGAAGGCUCGGAGACACAGAGACAGGGAAGACAUAUUCCAGUUUACCACAGUCUUUUAUGAAGAUAGUUUUUAAUCUUGGGAAGCAAGGAGACUCUGGAAUUAUUUCCCUUUCACCAUCCUCUUCUCUGAUAAUAUACUUCAAUUCACCGCAUUCACUUAUCUCAAGUGUUUCUAGCUUUGGCAGACUUCGAGCGAGAGACGGUGUGAGGAUAAAUGUCAGUUUGUCGAGAGAAUUCAAAUACAGAUAAGCAAGACUUUGGAGGCUGACAUGUCUGGUGGGCCCCUUCCAAAUGCAUUUGAGCUCAGGUAACCCUGACAGCAGUAACUCUGUUAAAGAUGACAGCAGCUCCUUCUCCUCACUGCUUCCUUCAUCAGACUCACCUAAUUCAAAUACCUCUUCCAAUGAUUUGCAGCCGUUAAUGUUCACACUGCUUAGAUUUUUCACAGCUCGCAGCAAUUUUGCUGGAAACGGAGUGCGAACAUCCCCACAAUCGUCCACUGCUACAGAUUUUAAUCUUUGUAAGAAGCCGUUUUGCUGCACAUGGACGGCCAUCUUAUCAGAGAACAAUAUUAUAUUUUUUCACUCUCAUGAAAACAAUUUAUAUGAUGUAUAAAUAGGAGAAAAAAAAAAGAAAAAACAGGAUUAAAUACUUCUUAGAGAUUACAUAUUAUUGUUUCAGUUUUUUUUUUCUUAAUUGGAGAUAAGUUGAAUAAUAAUUAGAUUUUUGCGAAAAAAGGGUUAAUACAACUCCUAAUAUAAUAUAAAUUACGUAAACCAUGAGGCAGUUAAAUCUAACAGAAAAUAUAUUUCAAAUGAGGCAGUUAAAUCUAACAGAUAAUAUGUUCUUCCAUAUGAUUAAUUUUUAAUAACGUAGACAACAAUGAGGCAGUUAAGUUUCUUAUAUUUAUAUAUGUUUAGAUAAAAAUAAAAAUAAAAAUGAGCAUUUAUCAAUUACUUUACUUUUAGAAAUUGGGAGGAAGAAAGAAUAAAUUAUCGCAAUUGACAAUUUAAAUUAAGUGGAGAAAUAUAAAUUACGUACUUGUAGCUGUGCCAACCAAUUACCCACUUCUUCGUGGCCUUCAAUGUUUAGUUUCUGCAAAGAAGGCAAUUGAAAAUCAAAAUUCCUUGGACCUAUAAAGCCGUAAUUUGAUCGGAGCCCAAGAGACAAUUGUCUUAGUUGAGGGAACUUGAUGAUGCCAUCUGUGGUGAGUGCAUCUCCUUCUCCACUGUAAAAUAUUUGCUUUAAAUUGUCAGCAUAAUAAAUCGACAUCUGUUCCAGGUUCGGAAGGCUUGGAGACAUGGAGACAUGGAGACAGGGAAGACAUAUUCCAGUUUACCACACCGUUGUAUGAAGAUAUUUUUUAAUUGUGGGAAGCAAGGAGACUCUGGAAUUAUUUCCCUUUCACCAUCCUCUUCUCUGAUAAUAUGCUUCAAUUCACCGCAUGCUGUUAUGUUAAGUGUUUGCAGUUGUGGUAGACUUUGAGCGAGGGACGGUGUGAAGAUAAAUGCCAGUUUGUCCAGAUACCCCAACUCCAGAAAAUUAAGACUUUGGAGGCUGACAUGUCUGGUGGGCCCCUUCCAUAUGCAUUUGAGCUCAGGUAACACUAACAGCCGUAACUUGGUUAAAGGUGACAGUAGCGGCAGCUCCUUCUCCUUACUGCUUCCUUCAUCAGCCUCACCCAAUUCAAAUACCUCUUCCAAUGAUUCACAGUUGUCAAUAAACACCUCCUUCAGAUUUUUUAAACCUUGCCGCAAUCUUGCUGGAAACAGAGUGAAAACAUCCCCACAAUCCCUCACUACUACAGAUUCUAAUUUAUGUAAAAACAAUUGCUCAAAUGUCUUCGCAUUUAAGGAUGUACCAGCCCAAUAAAAUCUUGUCGAGGUUGAUGAAUAAUACUCAUAGCCUAAAGCAUUCCCUAAUGUUAUAUCAUAUUUGCGCAAGCUAACUGGAAAAACAAAAUCUCUGGGAAUGCGUUCAACCUUCGGUAUCCUCAAUGAUAAUACGGCUAACUGAGACAACGAAUUUAGUUCUGUUAGGUUUGCAUUCAUUCCACCUGUGCUGUCACAUCCAACGACAUCCCAUCCCUGAAAGCUGUAUUGCCCAAUCAACAGCUCUUCUAAUUUCUUCAACCUUCCAAUCAAAUUCACAGGGAUCCUUCUUAGCCUUUGACAACCUGUCACAUCCAACAACCUUAACUCCUUGAGCUCUCCUAUUUCAUCAGGUAAUUCUUCAAUGGAUAAGCACGACAUAAGACCAAGAAUCUUAAGUCUCUGCAGCUUUCUCAACCAAAUGAGGUCCUUGCAUCCACACCUAAUCAACACCAACGAUUGAAGUUUCGUUGAGAGUUCAAGUGAUUGCAGCGACAAACGCCCUCCCUCCAGAGACAAAACUUCAAUUUCUUUCAUCCCUUCAAAAAACCUCUCUGGAACAUUCAUACCAUCUUCCAGUUCUAAUAAUAGAACUUUGAGCUGUGGACAUACCAAUCCUUCAGGAAGUUCUGCUAGUUUAUUGCCCAUUAACGAAAUUGUUGUACAACCUUCAAAGCUUUUGUUUCUCAUUGGCCACUUCUCCAACCCAAUGCCAGCCUUUACGAUGAAUCCAUAUUCUUCUGAUGAUGCUAUCUGAAUAGCAAAGUCACGAACCAAGUCAUGCAUUCUCACAUGUUCUUCAGUUUCAGUGCCCAACAGCAUGCAACAAUCUUUGAGGUUUUCGAUGGCCACAGAAACUCGUUUCCUUGCAUCUUCAAUGGGCUCCGCAUCUUGAUGUAACCCAUAGCCAACUGCAUAUCUCGUCAAGUCCUCGAUUGGAAUGUCAUAAUCUUCUGGAAAUAAACAGCAUAGCACGAAACAUGACUUGGUUUCCUCGUACUUCAAAUAAUCAUAGCUCAACUUAAGACAUGUGUAAGCAUUAUUUUGUUCAUCAAUUUGUUCCAUGCGCACAAAGUGAGAUUCUUUGAGCUGUUUAGACGCUACUUCCCACUGAACUCGUGAUUUACCUCUUAGAGCCCUUCCCACUGUCACAAGUGCUAUAGGCAAGCCUUGGCAUUCUCUCGCAACCUCCCUUGCCACUGUGUUCAAGGUAGAGUCCCCAUCACGUAAACCUGCAUUGAUUCUGAAUAAAUCCGAUGCUUCAUCUUCAGGUAAGACUCUUAAAAGCACUUUUUGCUGGCACUCCAUAGAAAAACAUAUGCCUUGAACACGUGUUGUUAGAAGAAUUUUACAACCCCUGUGAUCAUCACCAAAUGGGAUCCCUAUCUCUUCCAAGUCAAUAUGUUUCCAAACAUCAUCUAGGAUUAUAAGCAUCUUCUUUCCCUGCAGUCUCUGCCAUAAUUCACUUGCUCUACCUUCUUUACUCGUUUUUUCAAAUUUCAGAUGUAAACUAUCUGCCAUUCGAUCCUGGAUGCCUAUGAAAUUUGGAUUCUGGGACACCGUAGCCAUCAAAACGUCAGGAAAAAGCUGCGACUCUUUGGCUCUCCUGCCUACUUCUUUCACCAGGGUUGUUUUACCCACCCCUCCCAUGCCGUACAGUCCGAUCAUAUUGACGGUGUCAUCUUUGAGAGCUUUCAUGAUCUGUUCCAAAGCUUCUUUUGACGAUUCUGAGGGCGUGAAUUCCUUUGAUGUUAGAAAUUCUAUGGGCUGAGGAGGAGCUUUUUGGGCCACUAUUUUAAACUUUGUGCUAUUUUCUAGAAUUUUUCUGAAAGUCUCCGACUUCUUGGCCAGUGCCUUGCUUAACUUGAAUUGUCGCAUGCAGUUUGGGCACCAAGUAAAGCAUUUGCCGUUUUUUCCUAUUUCAUUUUCCAAGGGCUUCGCACCUUCAAUUUGGUUGUUUGCAUCUUCCAGCCACUUUUUGACAUCUUUGUAAGUUUUUUCAGCAUUCCUUUCAGCAGCUUCGACAUCGUCUUGCAGACGUUCUUUUGCCGAAACCAGGUUCUCCUUUUGUUCUUUGAAUUCUUGAGCAAAAUUGUUGAAACAGAACAUGUAACGGAACUGCCUUCCUACUGGUUCCACCAUGAGUUCUGCUAGCAUAGCUAUAAUGGAUCCACCAGCACUUUCGAGAGCCAUUUUCCACAGGUCUGAAAAUCAAAGAAAUAAGGAUACAGAACGUGAGAGUGAUCACUACAAGUAAAACAGUCGCAGAGAGAAUGGGAAUAGGAAUUUCAUUACCUUAAUUUGGGAAAAUAUGUGCGAAAAGCACUGGUACUGAGUGCUCAAUGAAAUAGCGGGAGGAAGAAAAGGAGAAGUCCUUUAGCUCUGUAUGGAAUCCAGCUUCAAAAGCAACAAUAAAAUAGUUUAGAUGGAUUCUAACUGACUCUUGUGAGUUAAAGCAGUAGUUCCCAUUAAAAAUGCAUUUUGAUGACAUAAUUAAGAUCAUAUAGAGACAGUGACAAACCAAAAAGAAAGAAACGAGUGAAAGGUCCAGGAUAAUCUAAGCUAUGAUCGGUCAAGGUUUUUUUUUGUUUUAUUCUUUUUUAAAAUAAAAAAAAAAAAACAGGAAAAGACUUGCAAAGAAAUAGAAUUACUGGAAUGAACACAAUAAAGGAUGAAACUCAAGCAAUUAAAAAUAAAUUAUCUAUGAUGAUCAUCUCUGUGUCACACUCAAUGAGGUAAUAUGAUUGGCCUAUUACAAUAUUAAAUAAAUAAAUAAAAAAGCUAAAAGAACUAGGUUUUUGGUGGCAUCUAGAUUGCGGUUACUUUCUUCAUCCUUCUUUUGUGGUUUUAUUUUAUUUCAGUCCUUCAAAUCUUUUUCUUUUUCUAUUUCAUCGAGUUGCUUUUGAGUUGAUGUGCUUGCCCUAGAAUAUGCAUUAUGCUAGGGAUUACAGUUACAUUACAUAAGAAAUUAUAAUUACAGAUUAUAAUUAACAAUUUCAGUUUUUUUUUAAAAAUAAAUUUAUGAGAAAGGACCCAACGUGAGUAAAUUAAAGGAGAAUUUUAAAUCUCAAGGAUUUACAUGAAAGUGUUUUUUUAGAUGUAAAACAUUUUCCAGAAAUUAUGAAAAAUUUAGAAAUAUGAUAUUAUUUAUUGAUUAUAACAAAUUUAGUCCUAAAAAAUUUAAUUGCUAUAUAUUUUGUUUAGAAUAUUUUUUUUUCAAUUUCACCCCUUAGAAUUUGAUUUUUAUACUAAAUUUGGUUCUCAUUUUAUGAUUGUUAUUUGCUUUUUUCUUUUUAUUUUUUUAAUUGAAAUUUUUUAUUUAUCAAAUUUGAUCCUCAUUAUUUUGAUUGUUACUUAUUCUAUUUGAAAUAAUUUAUGAAAUUAUAAUUAUUUUAAUUUCAUCAUCUUUUAAUUUUUUUUAUCUUUAGAUUUGAUUUUUAAAAGGCUUUUCAAAAAAAAAAAAACAGAGAGGAAAGGUACGGUUGAAAUAAGAUAGGGACGUGGAAAUAGAGGGAGAGGUUGUUGGAGGCAGAAAAGGAAAGACUACGAUAGUAUUUUUCUCUAUAUUUUGAGUUUUAGUUGUUAACAGCCAUGCUCGUUUGAUUUUAUUUUAUUUUAUUUUUAUUUAUUUUCUACAUGCUCUUGCAAAUAAGGCAGGAAAGGAGGACCUGAAAUCACGGCAGCAAAUAAGGAGGGUAAUAGCGUGUUUGUUUUUUAUUUUUUAAAUUAUUUUUUUAUAAAAUAAUGUUUUGUAUUCUAAAUUAAUUUUUUUUUAUUUUUAUAUUGAUAUUAAAAAUAAUUUUUUAAAAAUAAACAAAUAUUAUUUUAAUAUAUUUUUAAAAUAAAAAAAUAUUUUAAAAAACAACUAGUUAUUCAAACACUUAAAAUGAAAAUCUUAAAAUCACAGCAUGAUAAAAGGGGAAAGAAAGGAAUGGGAUAAAGAAGGAAGAAAGCCAGUCUUGUAGAAAAUAGAAGAUGAAAAUUAGUAUGAAAAGGAGGCUAUUUGUUUUUGUAGUGUUAGAGUGGUUUUUAUAAUUAUAUUUAAUUUAUAAAAAUAUUUAAUUAAUAUAUUUUUUAAUAUUUCUUGUUAUUUUAUAUAUAUAUAUAUAUAAUAUUUUAAUAUGUUUUUAAAUAAAAAAUUAUUCAAAAAAAUAUGUGUCACAAUACUAAAUUAUAGUAUAUAUUAAAAGAUAAAAGAGUUUUCUGUUCAUUAUUAUUUACCGAGACUUAUUUUAUUGUGGAUGUGGAUGUUAAUAGUGAAUUUUUUUAAAAAAAUUUCAAUUUUGUAUUUGGAUUUUUUUUUUUUUUUACAUAAUUGAAUCUCUUUAUGCCAAAAUUAAAACUCAAUUGUAUUUUUUUUUAAGGAUAAGAGUUGAAUUGAAAGAUAGAUAACUGAAAUGAAAAACUCGAUAAAAAUAUAUAGUGACACUGUAAUUGUUUGCAAAGUUCAUUUUAGUUCCUUAUCUUUUUGAGCUACUAAGUAACAUGUCCCUAUAAUUUCUCAACAUUACAUUUUAUACAGAAUCUCGGAUUAUGCUCUUGGAACUAAACUGAAAUUUUCACAAAUUGAAGGACCAAACUGAAAUUUUAUGAUCUUCAACCUCAAACCCAGAAUUUUCAAAGAUCACCUAUUGAUAUCAAGAUUUCUAACUCAAAUUCAUUAUUAAAACAAACCAUAACUCAAAAUCAUUAUUUUUACUUAAAAUCUUUCAAAAUCAACUAUAUAACUCAUUAUCAAUAACAAUCAACACAUAAUAUUCAAAUUAAUUCAUCAAUCAAACCCAAAACACAAUCUUCAAAACUCUAAUAUUCAACAAAAUAGAAAAUUAAAGCUAAGGAAAACACAUUUAUACACUUCAAAGCGUAACUCUUACAUUUUAACUUAUUUUCUCCAACUCUCUUCUCCUUUCUUUAUCUUUUCCUCUUUUUCUCUUUUUCUUUUUUCACUCUCACGGUUUUCUCUCUAAGAAUUGAGAGCUUUUUAUUUUUUUUUAUUUAUAUUUAUCAAUUAUUUGUUCAAUUACUACCGUUCAUUUAUUUAUACCUCCUUGCCUCCAAGAAUUUUGUAGCCUUUUUCUAUUCUCUUUUAUUUUCAAAAGAUCACAAUAAAAUUGUAUUCUUUUUAUUAAGCUGUUAAUUUAUGCAGCUUUAGCUCUUGUUCUCUUUUCAUGUUUGGCAACUCUGAUCUGAUCCAUUUCUUUGCAUGAUAUAUAAGAGCAGGUUCUUACCUCUUGAAGUCUGCUGGAUAAACCUAUCAGCAGAAGAUCAUGAACCGAUCCCAAAUCACAGCUUCAAUCCCCACCACAACCAAUCUCCUCUUUCCCGUAGUCUUCCGUCCUCAAUUGGGAAAUGAUCCAAAAUCAACAACCGGUGCGGAGAUAGUUUGAGUGAAAAGAAACGGCUGAAAGAUGAAAUGUGAAGGUUAUGGUGAGAAAUUGGAUGACAAACUUACUUUGUCCUACUAAUGCUUUUGCUUUCAUUGUUUCAAAAAGUAAAAGAGACAUAAGCAUAAUCAUAAGAAUCCUGUUUUUUCUAUUUUUUUCUCCUAUUUAUACAUCAAAAAAUGGCAGUUUUUCUUUUCCUUUCUUUUUAAAAUCUUAUGCCUUUGGGUGAGGAAAGUAGUGGAGCAUUAGACUUUUUAAAAGACAACAAAAAGAAGCAAUGUCUCAUCUUUUGAUAUGGUGGUACAAGAUACACCAUGGUAUGGUGGUCCUGCAAUAUUAGUUUGUUGAUGAAGAUAUCGAAAGAUUCCAGUCUCCGUUCUAGCUAAUGUUGGAUGCAAGGCUGAAGUUAAGAUUAUUUUAGAAUAUUUUUUUAAUCGGUGGUUUGUGUGGAGUAAUUUACGAUAAUUUAAUCUUUAAAAAAAAUUAGAUUUUUAAUUAAUAAAUUUUUAAGUAACUAUAAAUUUAUUUAAUGAGAUCUUCAGUAAUAAUUCUAGUUGGUUAGGCAAUAUAAACAGUUUUCACAAAGAUUCUACUACUGAUGUGUCCAUAUUACACAGGAACAGAAUGCUAGAGAAUAACUUUCUUUUUACAAAAAAAAAAAAAAAAGGUCGAGAAUUUUCCUUAAAGCAGACACCCAUGAAGAAGAGAUAGUUGCCUUAGCCAAGCUUCUCACUUUACAAAAUUGUAUCGUAGUAGUUUGCACCCACUAGGAAGUCCAGAAUAGGAAAAGAAAAACGGACGCUUAGCGGACCCACAAAAGUUUAAAACACUUGCAUUUCUUUUUUAUUUUCAAAUUAACAUGGUAAAUUUUGUAUGUUUAAAAAUAUCGUAAUGAAAAACACAGCAUUCGAAAAAAAACACAAUUGAAAUAAAUCUAGAUUAUCCUUCUAUUGUGUAUCAAAUUUAUGAUUUUUAAUGGUCAGGGAUUUUAAAUCCAGUUUGGUGUACGACCCGAUCCAAUAAAUUCGAGUCACGAGUUUUGAUCGGGUCACCCGAGUCAACUUUUUUUUUUAUAUAUAUAAAUCAAAAUAAUAUCGUUUUUUAUUAAAAAAAAUAGUCAACAUGUUACAAUUAGAUUUUUUACCGAUUCUUUCCAGGUCAACCGGAUUACCAAGUCACUUGACUUUUUAUUUUUUUUUAUUUUUUUUAAACCCGACUUGAUUCCAAUCCUGAAUCUAACCUGUAAGGUCAGACCAGGUUUUAAAAAUAUGCUAUUUGACUGAAAAGGAUGUUACACCCCCAUGUUUUUUUGGUGAAGAAUUGCAUGACGUAGUGUCAGAGUAUUGUGAUAUUGUGUUAUAAACAGAAGUUUUCUGGUUUUGGUUUAACCCACAAUUAGAUAAAACAAAGUAUUUUCUGGGAGCUUCCUUAUUGGAAGAUCAAUCUGCUCCACCAUAACCUUGAUGUCAUGCACAUAGAAAAAAAAAACAUGUUUGAAAACAUUUUUAACGGUCAUGAACGUGAAGGGAAAGACAAAGAACAAUAUCAUGGCUAGAAUGGAUAUAAUAUUUUUUUGUAACCGUAAAAAUAUGGAGUUGGUUUUUGAUGGGUCACGGGUCACAAAGUCCAGAGCAAGCUUCGUCUUAGAGAAGAAUACACAACUACUAGUCUACCUAUAGCUUAAAAGCCUGUGUUUUCCCGAUGGACAUGCCUCGAACAUAUUAAGGUUGGUUAAUCUAGAGAAAUUCAGAUUGUAUGGAAUGAAGAGCCAUGAUUGCCACGUGUUUUUGCAAACACUCAUUCCAUUAGCUUAUCUUGAUUUAUUGCCAAAGGACAUAUGUGAUACACUCAUGGAGAUCAGUCAUUUCUUUAGAGAUAUGUGCUCCAGCAAGUUGUAGACACAUCACAUUGAGAAGCUUGAAACAAAUAUCAUUGAGACAAUAUGCAAACUUGAGAUAAUAUUUCCUCUAUUGUUUUUUUGACUUGAUUGAGCAUCUACCAAUACAUUUACCGUAUAAGGCAAAAGUUGGAGGCCCAGUCCAAAAUAGAUGGAUGUAUCCAUUCGAGAGGUUAGAUAUUAGAGAUGCAAUGCAAGUAUUAAUGUAUUUUCAUUGUUUUUCUUAAUUGAAAAUGUUUGUUUAAUUUGAUGUAGGUACUUGUUCAAUUAAAAAAAAAAAGAAGUUAAGAAUAAGGUGCAUGUUGAGGCUUCGAUAUGUGUGGCCUAUAUUGUUGAGGAGAUCUCAACAUUUAUAUUAUACUAUUUCGAGCCUCAUCCGGGAACGAAAAUCAACCGCGUUCCACAGCAUGAUGAUGGUGGUCAAGUGCCUUCAAGUUCGAACUUGUCAAUAUUCUCCAAUCCUGGAUGACCCACAUCUAAAAAUGUUGUAAGGGGAACAUAUUUGUCUAAAAUAGAAUUCAAACAAGCACAUAAUUAUGUGUUAUUUAACUGCAAUGAACUGAGACUUUUUAUUUAUUUAGUAUAUAUACUACUUAAACUUUGUUGUAAAUGGACUAUUUAUCUAUUGUAAUAUCACAAAUUUGUACAUUUUUGAAAACCUCGUAGGCAAUGUUGACAAUAUUUACUAACUCACAACUGACGGAAUCCCUUCAAUUACAAGAUGAACAAUUUUCCAGGUGGUUCAGAACAUAUGUAAGUACUAUGACAAACUCAUCAUGUAUCAUUGUACUUAAUUUCAUUACAGAAUUCUCAUUUACUGUUCAUUGUUGUAGUUUGUUGCUACCCAAUUUUGACCCAUGUUUUUGAUAAAUUUUCAAAAAAAAGCAAAAAAACAAUGAAAACCCCAAAAAAUGCAUUUUUGAUAUGUUUGCAUCGUUUUUAGCAUUUUCAAUGUCAUCUCAGAAGAAUUUAAAUUUUCAAAGGUAUUUUGAACACGUUCAACUUUUAAUGUGUUAAUUUUACAAUCACUGAUUUUUCUUGUUGGGUCAACAUUGAUAUUGCUUGCUUUCAAAAAUACAAAAAAAAAUAAUUCAAAAUUGACAAAAAAUAAAGAAGUUGAGGGACCAAUGUGUUUUGGGGACCAAGCCACUUUGCCUAUAAAUAGAGGUCACAACACACGCAAAAGGAGGAGAAAAAUUUUACAGGGGAACAAUUUUAAGACAGAGAAAUUUAGGGCAACAAAAAAUAAACCUAAACCUAAAUUAUUUCUCCCAAGCCAGCCGACUGCCUCCCUCCCUUUGCAAAAAAGGUCGGCCGCCGCUUCCCCCAGUUUUGGUUCCCUUUGGCUCCUUCUUAAACCUUCAGCCCCUCCAUCACUAGGGUUCCCAUUUCCACGAUCUCCCCUAAGCUGGCCCCUGACCCAUUUCCGGGCAUUGCCAGCAGUGGCGCUGCAUGGAGCAAAUGCGCCGUCAUUAUUCUGGCAGAUUCCAGAAGGCUUUCCACUGAUCUUGUAGUUUCUGGGGGCUUAUUUUGUAAUUUUUGAAUUGUAUUUGAUACAUUUAAAAUUUUUGUUAUUUUGAAACAUGUCAAAAUGAUGUGUGAGUUGAGCAUAAUAAAAAAAAGUGAUGUUAGUGUGUGUGUUUGUGUUUUUUUUAUGUAUGUUUUCUUUUAAUGUUAAAAUUAAAAAAAAAGGUGAAAAUGUGAUGUUAGUGUGUGUGUGUGUGUUUGUAUUUUCUUUUAUGUAUGUUUUCUUUUAAUGUUAAAAUAAAAAAGACAAAAAUAUUAAAAAGAAGAAAAAAGAAUUAAGUGUUUAAUUUGUAUAUGGUCAAGUAUUUUAAGGACAAAUAAAAUCAUGUUGUACUUAUUUUGAUUAUUUUAAGGACAAGUAUUUUUUAAUUUUUUUAUAUGCUAGAUUUGAUUUUUAUUAUUUUUAUUUUUAUUUAUUUUAUUUAAAAUAAUUUAUAAAAUUAAAUUUCUUUUUUAAUUUCAUUAUCUUUAUUUUUUAUUUUUAUAAUAAACUUGAACAGAAAAACUCAAAUAUUAAUAAGUUAUUUUUCAAUUUAUUUUUUAUGACAUGAACAAACAUUUGAAAUUAUUUUUUAACAUAUUUUUUAAUUUAUUUUUCUUAACACUAUUAAAUAUAAAUAAAUAACUUACUUUGUAAGAAUUUAUUUUCUAUAAAAACUACCUUUUAAAAGAAACUACUUUAAAUAAACGGGGCUCAAAUCUCACUCUCAUGGCUUUAUUUUUCAAGUUUUAAGAGAUAGAUAGACCUUCAUAACCGCAUGUGGUUAUUUAUCAUGAUAUUACCUUCUUCUGGAGUUAGGACAUGAUGAAAAUAGGCAAACAGAACCUAAUAAUUUAGUCAUUCUCAAUGUUUUGGAAGAUUUUUGCGAAAGAAAAAUUAUUACAAAUUUCCCUAGUCAUGAUCAUAUCCAUGACAUCUGACAAAAUUAUUAUAAACAGAAUUUUUUUUUGCAAACAUUUAGAAAAAAGAGUUUAUUAUUUGGUGAAAAACAACUAGUCAUCACCCAAAGAAACCGAGUGAAUGAGAAAAAAAGACAAAUAGCUAGAAAACAAUCAACAGAUCCAAGAACUUUCUGUAUGGUUUCCAAGAAAAUAAAAAGAAACGAGCAGCACAUGUUUUGAGUCUAGUGUAUUAACCUAGAAGGAUUAAAAUCAAUAAUUUCUUCUAAAUGAUCAAAACAUGUUGUUUUGAAAAGACCAAAAAUAUCAAUUAGAAAUCUUAUCAAGUUUUGACUAGAUUACAAAUCAAUUCAUCAUCAAAUCAAUCGGGUCAACCUAUAUUAAUGUUGGGUUAACUUUUUUUUUAUACCCAACCCGAGCAAGCUGACGGAUUGUUCAAGUCAAGUUUAAUAACAAUGUUUUCAUCUAUUUAACUAACCCUUUUAAUCUAUAUAUUUGCGUUGAUGUAUUUUUUUUCAUUCCACAGUAAAAGAAAAUCUCUUGAUUUCUCAUGAACAAUCUUAAAACUGUUCUUCAAGAUUCUGAAGGAAAAGACAUUAAAGAAGCUUCUUAUGACAUGCAGUUUCAACGAAAACUCCUUCACGCUAUUUUCCAAGAUACUUCUACCCACUAGAAACCUGGAAAAACUUAAAUAAUAUCAGCAAAAGUUUUGUUGUCAAUGAACAUGGCAGUAACAGGUUGGGAAUGUGUCAGCAUGCGAAGUGCCAAAGGGUAAAAGUAUUAUUAAAGAGGCGUGACACAAACGAAGCUACCCCUUACCUACUCCUGGGAAGGAAUAUAUGUCAGACUAUACAGCUUUUUCAAUUCAUUAAUGUCGUUCUCUGUUUGUCUUCUAAAACCUACUCCCAUCAUAUACAUGUAUUAUAUUCUUAAAAUUGCUCUAUGGGAUUGCAGGUCAUGCUCGUUUGAUUGCUUUUUUUUAUAUUCUUUUCAUGCCUUGCAAAUAAGGCAGGGAAGGAGGACCUGAAAUCACGGCAGCGAAUAAGGAGAGAAAUAGCCCGUUUGUCUUUGCUUCUUUCUUUUAGUAUUUUUGAAAAAUAUUAAUUUUUUUACUUUAAAUUAUUUUUUUAUAUUUUCAUAUUAUAUUGAUAUAUUUCUAAAUAAAAAAAUAUUUUAAAAAACAACCGCUAACACACUCUUUUUAAAGCUAUUAAGUAACCAGUCCCUAUAAUUUUUCAACAUUGCAUUUUGGUACCAUCCAUUUUUUUCUUGUGUUCAUACUUAAAACCUUCUUAAAGGAUUCUUAUUAAUAGCUUUAAAACCUCUCUCUCAAGAUUAAAAGGUUAGAAAUAACUUUAUGCUCUCUAAAUCUAACAAAACCACCAAGUACCCUUAAAAUCAAAACCAUCAGUUUAGUACAAGAACUUUUAGCUGUUAGCUUUUAUCCAGAACCUUUUACUUUGAUCAAAUGGUUAAACUUUCAUUAAUUUUUGAGGGAAUCCACAAAAAAACCUAGAAAAACCUAUAAAUACUCUUGAAAAUUAGAGCUGGAGAGGAGGAGAAAAUGAGAGAAAAAGAGAGGAAAAACGUGAGUAAAUAAUUUGUUAAUAGACUCUAUUACGAAGAUUCAAGAGCCUAAUAUAAAAGGUCUAACCAGCUUAAAAAAAAAAAAAAAAAAAGGAAAAGAAGGAAGGAAAAGAGAAGAAGAAAAUAACAACGUAAUUUUGAACUAAAAAGGCCUAAUUUCAGUGAAAGUUAAGAGCAUUAGAGACUAGACCGUGCUUAUACCGAAAGCGACUCUCAUCGUUGAAGGAAUGCAAACGGUUGUUAACGAGACACUUAUGUCGUUCCAACAUUCAAAGGUUGUUGAAUCUAGUACUGGUGCUCAUUCUGGAUCUAGUACCAAAAGGAGAAUAUAGAAAGAGAUAGUAGUGAAUUAAUUAUCUUUCAUUCAGUAGUAGGAUAAAAUUUAAUUAUCCUAAUACAAGACUUAAUACAAUUUCAUAGUUGUGGAACACUAACUAGAUAUAAAGAAAAAGUACAAAUUACAACAAAAAAUACAGGUUUUGAAGGUUGAUGACUCUCUCGACCAACUACGGUUUCAAAUACGAUGUGCACUAAGACUAACACUACUCUGUUAGCAUGAGCAUUCUAGCUGGCAUACCAUAAGUUCAUAUCAUAAUCAAACAAACAAAUUCAUAUCUCAAGGCCCAACUCAUGACAUUAAUAAAAUAAGAAGCUAUCAAUUCAGAAGUCAAUUUAGAAGUAUAUAUUGGCUUAUAUCAAUAAUUCAGAUUCAAUAAUUGAUUAUGUUUUAUCAUAACAAAGAUAAUAAUCAACAUAUAUAUUAUCAAGAAGCACAAUCCAAUUCAUAUUAACAACUCAAAUAUUUAUAUUAUUUCUCAUGCAUAUGAAAUUGACUUAAAAGUGAACAGAACUCAAAAGCAAAUACCGAAGAAAAUCUUACUGAUAUUCCGCAUGUAGAAUAUCAAGAUUAUCUAAAUACAAAGGAGACAUAUUAUAAAAUGACUCGAAAAGAACAUACAACCUAUUUAAUACACUUAAUUAAGGGUCUAUUUCAUAACCCUAUAUAUUUUUUUUUAACUAAACUAGUUAUUUUUCCCAAAAACCAAAAAAGUAAACGGUUUUCCGGAAAUCUAAUUCAUAAUAAAAAAAAUAAUGAGACUUGAUAAUAAUUCACUAAAUAACCAUCAAUUAUUUAUCAAAACAAUAUGAAAAAGCUAAUAUUAAAGCUAAGGACCAAUCUGGAAUUUUAUCAUAUUUUUAGGGGUCAAAUUAUAAUUUUAUCAAAUUGGAAGACCAAACUAAAAAUAUCAUAAAUUCAUGACUAUACUGGAAUUCUGCCCAUAAUUCAUCCUCAAUUCUGCCCAGAAUCUCAAAUUAUGCUCCAGGGACCACUAUAGAAUUUUAUCAAAUUUUUAGGGUCAAGUUGUAAUUUCAUCAAAUUGGAGGACCAAAGUGAAAAUGUCAUAAAUUCAUAACUAUACUGGAAUUCUACCCAUAAUUUAUCUUUGAUUCUGUCCAGAAUCUCGGAUUAUACUCCAGGGACCAAUCUCUAUUUUUUCCAAAGUUCAGAGACUAAAUUGUAAUUUUCACAAAUUGAGGGACCAAGCUGAAAUUUCAUAAUCUUCAACCUCAAACCAGAAUUUACAUAGAUAACCUACUGAUAUAUCAAGAUUUCUAACUCAAAUUCACCAUUUAAAUAAACCAUAACUCAAAAUCAUCAUUUUUACCUAAAAUCUUUCAAAAUCAACUAAAUAACUCAUUACCCAUAACACUCAACCCAUAAUUUUUUUGUAAUGUAAUUGUAAUUCCUAGCAUAAUGCAUAUUCGAGGGCAAGCACAACUACUCAAGAGCAAAGAAACUUGAUGAAAUAGCAAAAGAAAAAGACUUGAAGGACUGAAAUAAAAUAAAACCAAAAAAGAGGGAUGAAAAAAGUAACCGCAUUCUGGUUGCCAUAAAAAACAUAGUUCUUUUAGUAUUUUUUUUUAAAAUAUUGUAAUAGGUCAAUCAUAUUACCCGAGUGUGUGACACAGAGAUGAUCAACAUAGAAAAUUACUUUUAAUUGCUUCAACUUUCCUCGUCUAAAUAAAAGAUUAAGAGUUUUCAUGAUUGGGAGGAUGUUAUAUAUUUUGGGUUUUGAUGGUGAUUGUGAAGGAUUUGUGAGAUGAAUUAUAGUUUGGAAGUAAAAAUUAGUGACUUAUGAAGCAUAUAGAGAAGAUGAGAAGUAUUAGGGUUUUUUUGAGUGAGAUCGAGAUGUUAUUUGAAUCGGGAUGAAGAAAGAUAUUUGAGAGGAAAUGUGAUUUUAAGAAGUAUAAUUACAAGAAUUGUAAUUUAAUGUAUUCAAUUGUAGUUUUCAACACACCUCUACUAAUCUUUGCCAUUUGUAUGAAGAUAUCGAAAGAUUCGAGUCUCCGUUCUAGCUCAGGUUGGAAGCUAGGCCGAAGGCUAAGCUUCUUUUAAUUAUGAAUUGUUUAUGCAAAGGAAACCCAGAAGCUUGAACAAACAGAAAUGCCUUGUUGAUUUCUCUGCUACUACUCAUUAUUUCCAAUAUUAUUCCAUUAUCUUACCCGAAAGCAAUUAUACAAGAAAUUUCAUUAUCCCGCCCCAAAAGGCAAUUUAUUACAAGGACUUCCUUUAACCUCCUUUAAGGCAAUUUAUUUGAUGAAAAUAACCUCCUUUAAGGCAAUUUAUUUGAUGAAAAUUCCUUUAAUCCACCUCAAAGACAAUUUAUCUUAGGGAAUUCCAACGACCCAGGCAAUUUAUUUCUUGGAAAUUCCUUUAACCCGCCCUAAUUAAGGCAUUUUAUCUAAGGGAAUUCCAAAAUCAAUUUAUUUAUUGGACUCAGGAUUCUUUGAUACUAUUUAUUUAUAUAUAAUUUAACAACACUUUUAUCUUACAUUUAAAAAGAAAUUCAAAAGUAAGGAUAACCCUUACCUAGAGCUCCUGUGGUUCUUGCUCCCGAGAGAAUUGGCUCCAUUCCUGACAAAUCUAUUACCAAAAACCCAAGUUUCAACCAAUCAAUAACAUCAACACCCAUUUUAAUUCAAUGCAAUAAGUUUUUCUUAACCAAUUUACUUGAUGCAAGUUCUUAUAAUCAAAGUGACAGUAUUCAGGGUGAAGACAAGCAGAAGGGCGUGUAUUAAUUUUAUUUUUUAAUGUUGAGUUUUUUUAUUGAAUUUUAUUUGUCAAUAUUAAAUUAAUUAUAAAUUAAAUUUUAUAUAUUUUUUUAUCAUAUAUAAAAAAACAAAGUAAUCUCAUCUUUUGAUACGAGUGGUCCAAGAUUCACCAUGACAUGGUUGUAGUUUUUUUUUUUGCCUUUUUCUUUUAAAAAUGUUAUGUCAUUUAAUUUAUAAUUAUAAAUUAAAUUCUUUUUAUUGGUCAUUUUAAAUUUUUUUACUUUUUUUAUAUAUAAUUUUUUAAUUUUAUAUUUUAUUAAUGUUGAGUUUUUUUAUUAAAUUUUAUUUGGCUAUAAACCAGAACUUUUUAUUUUUUAUUUUUUGGACAAGCAGAGACAAAUUAAAUAAACAAAGUAAUCUCAUCUUUUGAUAUAGUUGUAGUUUUUUAUUAUUUGUUUUUUGCCUUUUUCUUUUAAAAAUGUUAUCUUUGGUAAGGAAUCCUUGGUUCCCAACGGCAACUGUAGCAGAGUUGACGGUUGCGUAAAAACAAAUCUCUAAACUCCACCGAAAGUAGUGGAGCAUUAGAGUUUUAAAAGACAAAACGGGAACAAGUGGGAGACGGAGAAAAAGACAAUAGUAGGUGGUCUAAGAUACACCGUAUAUAUGAUAAUAAUAAAACAAGUGUUUAGUUCCCGUUUGUUUGCUGGAAAAUAGUUUUUUUUUAAAAGUAAAUUCCGGGGAAAGUGAAUUCCGGGAAAGUAUUUUCCGAUGUUUGGUAGUGUAAUGGAAAAUAAGUUGGAAAACAUUUUCCAGUGUUUGGUUAUGUCAUGGAAAAUGAGCUGGAAAAUAACUUAUUAAUGUUUUAUUUUUCUCAAGUUUAUUAAAAUAAUGAGGAACAAAUUUUACAAAUUAAAAAGGUGAAUGAGAAUGAAAUUGAAAAAAAAAAAAUUUCAUAAAUUAUCUCAAAUAAAAUAAAUAAUAAUCAAAAUAAUAGAGAUCAAAUCUAAAACAUUAAAAAAAAUAAAGGUGAAGAAAUUAAAAUAAUAAUAAUUAACAUUUCAUAAAUUAUUUCAAAUAAAAUAAGUAACAAUUAAAAGAACGAGGACCAAAUUUGAUAGAUAAAAAAUUUCAAUAAAAAAAUGAUAAGGAAAAAACAAAUAUCAAUUAUAAAAAUAAGGACCAAAAUUAAUAUAAAAAUUAAAUUUUAAGAGAUGGAAUUGAAAAAUAAAUAUUCAAAACAAAUUAUAUAUAACAAUCAAAAGUUUGAGGAUCAAAUUUGAUAUAAUCAGCAAAUAAUGACAUUUCUAAUUUUUUCAUAACUUCCGGAAAGUGUUUUCCGCCCAAAUUUUCCAGGAAAACACUUUCCUGAAAACCAAGCUAAAUUUUCCUUUGACUGGAAAGUGUUUUCCGUUGACCAAUUUUCCUAAUGGCAAACAAACACAUGAAAGUUUGGAAAGUGGUUUCCCGGAAACCACUUUCCGGAAAACAAACACAGCUAAAAGGGAAAACACUUUCCUGGAAACCAAACCAAAUUUUUCUUUGACUGGAAAGUGUUUUCCGUUGACUGGAAAGUGUUUUUCGUUGACCGGAAAGUGUUUUCCUUUGACCAACUUUUCUAAUGGCAAACAAACACAGGAAAGUUUGGAAAGUGGUUUUCCGGAAAGUGAAUUUCGGGAAACAAAUAUGGCCUAAAACAACUCUGAAAACAAAAUUUUUUAUAAUUCAUAAUUUAUAAACACAUGCGAUAAAAUAAAUCAUACUGCAUGUUUUCAUUUGGCAUUUAAUUCCAUGAACAUGAUUUUUUUAGAUUAAUAUGGAUAUCCGGGUCAGCUUGUGUAUCUCGACUAAUCUCAUGAAUCCUAAAAUUAACGAUUAUAUGAGCAUUUAGCGGGCCUGGAGUUUGUGAGAUUCAAACUAAUAAUUUUUAGAGAACAAAUUCAGAAUCUGACCAGUUGAGCUACACUUAUCGGAAUUUCAUUAACAUGAUCUUACUUUUCAAUCAAAUUGCUGCGACCAUAUUAGACUUGUAAUCAGACCAUUAAUUGACUGUUCUUGACUAGCUAUUGUUUCUCAUUGGCAAGAGUCAUUGCCAAUUAUCAUAACAUGUUAGUGAUCUAUUACAACUAGUCUAGCAUCGACAGAGUUGUUAUUUAACCAUUAAAUCAAUUUAUAAAACAUUAUUGACUAGCUAUCUAACACUAGCAACUAAUCACUGAUAAUAUUUAUGCAAAACUUGUAGCUUAAUACGAACUCUCAGAAAUGUGGGUGGGGCAACUCAAAGUACAGGGAGAGUGGUAACCUCUGAUAUAUAACAGAGAAAAUUAACAACAGAAAUCUAGAUACUUCAAUAAAUUAACACACUGACUAAUAAAUCCCCCCCACCAUCAUCCAGUUAUCACAGGUGCAUCUACAAUGAACAGUUCUCGAGAAGAAACUCAAGAAACGCAUAUAAAGCUACAUGAUGACAUAAUAGGAACCUGCAUUGCCUCCAUUCCAUGAUGAAAGUUCAAGAAAUUCUACUUCGAAACUCAAGACAAAGUCUCUCAGACUACAUAUUAGUGGGAUUUCUAUAAACAACUGAUUCUAUUGCAAAGCAACAUUAUGAAAAACUGAAUAUUUCACACAUAGUCUAAUAAAAGUAGGUUCCAUUGUCAAUUCCUUAACAUUUUCCGAACAAAUCACAGUUGCUCCUCGUUUGAUACUUUCUUGAAGGUUUCUUUUCUCUUAUUACCAAUUUCUGUGAGUUUGUGAUUUUUUAUCUGUACCGUAUCAUCCGAUCAAUUACUAGCUAGAACCACACAACUAAUAUGUAAAUUCACAAAUUCCCUACAGUUCAUAUUGCCAACAAACUCCUCUUGCCAUUCCCUAAUUGCACUGAGCCAGCUAAUCUGGAUGAAAGUUAUCGAAGAGGGGAAAAGACAGAUGAAGAUCUGCGCAGGGCUACCUGUUUUGAGAAUUAUGGAUUUUUAUCACUAAAUCAGAACGGCGCCAAUUAUAAGUUCAAUAAGAAAAAAUCUGUAACAGAACAGAUGGAAAAAACUCGAAACAACUUGGCUAGAAUUUAGAAAAGAAAUUCAGAAUGAGCCAAGAUUUUAAGUGAGAUGAAACUUUGUUCUUUGAAAAAAAUAAUUAAUAUGAGAUAUACUUUUCAUUUUAGUGAACCUUAAAGCAGAGCCAACAGUUAAGUAAAAGUUAUCAAUAGCUGUGUAAACCAUUGAAACUGUUACCGUUGGUGCACCCUCGAUUACACCAUGGAUUCACAUAGUGCAAUUGUUAUUUUUUAAAAAAAUUCAAUGUUAUUUUUUUAUUAAUUUGAACCUUUUUUUGUCAACAUGUUUCGCAAUUGGCCUUGGUAUUUUGUUUUCAUUUUCUCUAUGUUGCCUUCUUCUGUAGAUAAAAAACAUCAUGUCUUGGGGCUCGUGCUUGAUAGUGCAAAAUUAAUGACACAAUAAUCAAAGAACACAAAAAUUUUUAUAGGCAAAAGGAAUUGAAGAUGUAAACCCUAGAAUUCGUAAGUUUAUUUUCUCUAAAAUAAUAAUAAUAAAAAUAAUAAUAAAGUCUAUCUUUUUAGGAGGUUUACAAAGCCUUAAUUAAAUAGGUUAAGAACCUUACCCCAACUAGGAAGCAAAAAUAAAAAUCCAAAAUUAUAAAGGAAAGAAGCAUAAAAUCCGAAAUAAAUAAGAAAUCUAAAAAUAAUAAGGAAAAUCACAAAAAUUACCAAAACUAGAGGCCUCAAUGAGAUUUUUGAUAUCUAAAGAUCCGAUGGUCUGCAUAAAAAUUUGAGCACAAUCCAACAAUUAAAUAAAAAAUUAUGACUCUUUUGAGUUGUUAUUCUAGUCUAGCGUGACCAAACCUUCUCUUAGGCUUAAACAUGUUUCAUUGGUCCAUAAAUACAUUUGCUAGGCUAUCAACAUAAUUUAUCUAGGACAAAUCUUAAUCUAGUUAUGACAAACUCACACCUAACUGCUUAGAAUCACUAAUUAUUAUAGGAUUGACUACAUCAAAAUUGGUCGGUUUUUUUGUUUUCAAAGAGAUUUAAACUUGAUGUAGAUGAAAGUUAUAAACACAAUAAUCAAAGAACACCAAAAAAUGUAUGAGCGAAAGAGACUGUAGAUGUGAACCCUCAAAUUCCCAAGUUUAUUUUCUCUAAAAUAAUAAUAAUAAAGUUUGUCUUCUUAGGAGGUUUACAAAACCUUAAAUAUGUUAGGAACCUUACCUCAACUAGGAAACAAAAACAGAAACCCAAAAUUACAAAGGAAAGAAACAUAAAAUCAAAAACAAGCAAGAAAUUAAAAAAAUAACAAGGAAAAUCACAAAAACUACCAAAACUAGAGGCCUAAACAAGAUUUUUUAUAUCUAAAGAUUCGAUGGUUCACGUGAAAAUUUGAGCAUGAUCAAAUAAUCGGAUAAAAAAUUAUAAUUUUUUUAGCUUUUAUUCUAGUUUGACGCGACCAAACUUCUUCUUGAUCCUAAACUUGUUUCAUUGGUCCAUAAAUACAUCUCCAUGACUUUUUUUUUUUGUUUCACUAUAAAUGAAGUUUGACCAUCAUCAUAUAUGGUUUGACUUAGCCGUAUUGGUUUUCAAUUAUAUCAACUUUAUAUAUUAUGGGUUUACAUUUACUAUUUUUUUUAAAAUGCUCACAAGUCCAUUUUUCACACCUCAAACUCAUAACUGCAGCGAUUCGUAGGCAACGAAACUAAUUAGAGACUAGAGAGUAAACAUGCUACUAAAGUUUGCAGGUGAGGGUAUAGAUUAGAUUAUUUGUUGUGUUGUUUCAAAUAUUAGAGCAGUCUCAACUCAUUAAAUAAACAAGUGGUGCAUUGAUCCUUGGACUCAAAUCAUAUAUACACGGUGAGCUCAUUUGUGUUUUUAUUAUUUGUUCCUCCCUGUACUUGUAGCAGGAGAGAAGCUGCUCUCAACUUUGAAGGAAUGCAAACAAUUGUUAAUAUGAAACAUAUUAUGUACAAAUUAUAAUAUUUGUAAGAAGCCGUUUUGCUGCCCACCGGCGGCCAUCUGAUCAGAGAACAAUAUUAUAUUUUUUAAACCCCUUCACUCUCGUAAAAACAAUUUAUAUGAUUAUAAAUAGGAAAGCAUAGAAAAAAAUAGGAUUAAAUAUUUUUAGAGAUUACAUAUUAUUGUUUUAGUUUUUUUUCUUGAUUAGAGAUAAGUUGAAUAAAAGUAGUAAUAAUUUAUUUUUGUGAAAAAAGGUUACUACAACUCCUGAUAAUUAGUUUCAUGUAAAAAAUAAAAAUAAAAAUAGUAACUAAAAUUUAUUUUAGUUAUGUUAAUAAAAUUUUAAAGAUAUUUUAAUUGAAUUAAGUAUUCCAACACAAAAUUUAUGUUCUUAUACAGUUAUAUAUUAAUUCUAACAAAAAAUAUGGUUUCUAUGUUUAGAUUUUGGUAUUAAUAACGCAUACAACAAUGAGGCAGUUAAGUUUCUUCGAUAAAAUAAAAUCAUUUAAAAAAUAAAAAUAAGCUAGUAUGUUUGUUACAUAACAAAAAAAAAUGAUUUUUUCUAAAAAUGAUUUUUUAAAAAAUAAUUUUAAUAGACUGAUAUUAAAAAUAAAUUUUAAAAAAUAAAAAUAUAUAUUAUUUUGAUAUAUUUUCAAGAGAAAAAAAUUAUGAAAAGAAAUUGUUAAUAUUUGAUAUAUUUGAUUUAUGGAGCUAUGAUAAGGGAAUCGUGCUUGUAACACAUAUAACAAUAUUUACAUAGUAACAAGCAUUAUUAAAGAUGCUACACUAGUUGAUUUACAUAUAACAAUAUUUACAUAUAACAAUAUUUACAUAGUAACAAGCAUUAUGUUUCCAAGUGCUAUCAACAAAUAUUAUAACCUCUUAAUUUAUACAAGGAUUGAGCUAAAUUGAUUUAUCAAAUAUUUUAUGUUUUUUUUUUGAAAUAUUGUUAUAGACAUAGAAUCAACAAGUUUAUGUGACAUUCUAUAUUGAUUUUGUGAUAUUUUAAUCACUAAAAGUAUGGGUUUCAGAAAAAUAAAAACCAAACUAAAAAUUGAAAAAAUUAAAAAAUUUCAAACCAACCCAAUCCAAUUUUGUGUUUUUAAAAAUAUCGUAAUGAAAAACACAGCAUUCGAAAAAAAAUACAAUUAAAAAAAAAAUCGUUAGUUUAAGAAAACACCCCCUUCUUUGCAAUUAUUGUCAAUCCCCCACGUGGCUACCCAUAAUUGGACUGUCAAACUGGCAAGCUACAUCCCCAUCUCAAUCAUCACAGCUGUAUAAAUUUCUCGCUCAAGCCAAAAACAGAAACGCACAAAACCCCUCCCCCAACGGAGAAUCAAAUGAUAGCUAGAUGUCUGUGUAACCGACCAAUCGCGUUACCAAAGGAGCCUGCCUAGUACUGACGUGUCACUCUAACAUUUCCAUGACCAUAACAAUAAUAAUCAUAAUCCAACCAUGCCUUACUUUUUUAUUUUGUACCUUAAUAAUCUACAAUUACACUCUUGAAUUAUCCCUCAUUUUUUCAAUGGUAAAGAUAUCCUCGUGUCUGUCACCUUCUACAUUAAGUUUUAUAAAAUUCUUGAUUUUUUUUAAAUUAAUUUUUCAAGUUUUAAUUAUGAAUUGUUUAUGCAAAGAACCAAAAGAAAAAGAAAAAAUUUCUCAAUGUUUUCUGUUACUUGUUUAGCAGGAAAACAUGAAAAAUUAAAUAGAAACAGAACAUCAAAACGAUAGAGAAAACAUGCUGACGAGGAGCAUGAAACUCCACACAUUAAACUAUAAGCACCCACAUGAGUAACCAUUAUGCCCUUGUUUUUGAAGGUUCAGACACUUGAAAGAAACACAAAUGGGCAAACAAACACACGCCCUUAUUUUUCUGGUGCUUCACACAGCAAACACUUAGAUAGAUAAGUCGAUAUCUUCUUUUGGGGGUUCUAUGGUAAAUAAGACUGUUACAAUGUGAAGCCAAUGAAACAGUAGGAAUUACUUCCACCAAUCAAAUUCUUCUUCUUCUCCUCAUUCUUCCCAUCCAUCAUCUCUGGUCCACAUUAUGUAAGUGUUGGUUGGCACCGAGCAAUCAUCGCUUGAAUCCUCAGCUACUUGAGAUAUCUGUAAACCAAUUCAAGCAUGACGUACAUAUUUUAACUUGUAAAUCUUUUUUAUUGAGUGAAACUAGAAAGAAAUCAAAGUCAGAUCAGCAGCACCUUAUAUCGAGCACUCAUUGAACCAUUUGGUGUAGUGUCAAAAUUUGUAGUCAGCUUUGGGCAUUCAGACACCUUCAACUUCUUCAAACGAGGGAACAAGAAAUCAUAAUAUCCGAGAAUGAAGGAGAUAAUGCUUGGUAAUUGUUCUAGCGACAGCUCCCGCAGAUUAGGGAGCACCAUCUCCUCAACAUCGACAGGUAAAGCAUUAAUAUCAUCUUGCCCAAAGACUCCCAAUAAUCUAGAAGCUUUUGUUACUCUAAGUAUUUUGAGCUUCGGGAGACCUGAAGCCAUGGCUAUUGGGAAGAGAUUCUUCAACUUUCUGCAUUCUCUGACCUCAAUUUUACACAAACUAGGAAAGCAUAAAGAUUGAAGAUGACUUACUGACAAUAUCUGAUCCCUUUCAUCAUCAUCUUUAGCAAUGAUUUGCUCAAGUUUCUCGCAUAACCAUAUCUUUAGAACUUUUAGGUGAACUAGACCGGCAAUCAUGCUGUAAGUGAACACAUGUGUGAUUCUCUUACACUCAUUCACCUCUAAAGUAGUCAAAUUACUCAGCACGAGACUCUUCCAUGUACUGCUCAUGCUUGUGUCAGGCAGGGACUUCAAUUUUAAUGUUUCCAGACUUGUUAACCCCUGCAUCAAAAGAAAACAAGGGCACCAAUUUGUUAGAUAUAAUUCAAAGUAAUUUCUGUGCACAUUCAAACUAUAUUUAUCCCAAUACUUCAACCAAAUUCUUAUCACAGAAGGAUACAAACAGACAGGGCAAUAAGGCAUGGGACUGUGAAAUCAUAAGUCGCAGGAGUGAAACAAACAGCUCAUUAUUAACAGACGGAGCUUUAUCGUCCCGUCCACAUACUUUCAUUAUUUGGGGGAAGAACCUCAAUUUCACUGUGAUUGGGAAUGCAUAAAGAUUGAAAAUAUAGGACUCAUUUCAUUACAAUAAGUAAUUUCUAACUUCUUAAGCUCUGCAUCAAGAGACAGGGAAUGAGAUUGUUAGAAAUUUAUCUAAACUGAGUGGAUGGCUAAAGCAUUUAUCUUCACCUAUCAACUACUUCAGUUUUAGAAAUUUGGAGGAAGAAAGAAGAAAUUACCACAAUGUAUCGAAGUUGAGAAUUUAACUUGAAAAGGAAAAAACAUUAGCGGAGAAAUAUAAAGGACGUACUUGAAGCUGUGCCAACAAAUUACCCAAUUCUUCGUGGCCAAGGAUGCUUAGAUUUUGCAGAAAAGGUAAUUGGGCAGCACGAUUCUUUGGACCAAAAAAGCUGGAAUUUGAUUUAGACGAAAGAUCCAUUUCUCUUAGUCGAGGCAACUUGAAGAUGCCAUCUCUGGGGAGUGCAUCUUCUUCCUCGCUAUAAAAUAUUUGCUUUAAAUUGUCAGCAAAUAUAGUCAUCUGUUCCAGGUUCAGAAGACUUGGAGCCACGGAGACAGGGAAGACAUAUUCCAGUUUACCACAGUGUCUAAUUGUCAUCUGUUUCAGGUUCACAAGACUUGGAGACAGAGAGCUAGGGACGACAUAUUCCAGGUUAUCACAGUCAGAUAUAAGUAGAGUUUUUAAUUUUUGGAAGCUUAGAAACUCUGGAAUUAUUGCCCUUUCAUCAUCCUGUUUUCUGACAAUAUACUUCAAUUCAUCGCAACAGCUUACCUCAAGUGUUUCUAGCUGUAGUAGACUUUGAGCGAGGGACGGUGUGAAGAUAAAGGUCAGUUUUGCAAGAAGAAACAACUUCAGAUGAACAAGAUUUUGCGAAAAAGGUAAUGGGGCAGCAACAUUCUUUGGACCAAAAAAGCUGUAAUUUGAUUUAGACGAAAGAUCCAUUUCUCUUAGUUGAGGCAACUUGACAAUGCCAUCGCUGGGGAGUGCAUCUUCUUCCCCGCUAUAAAAUAUUUGCUGUAAAUUGUCAGCAAAUAUAGUCAUCUGUUCCAGGUUCAGAAGACUUGGAGCCACGGAGACAGGGAAGACAUAUUCCAGUUUACCACAGUAUCUAAUUGUCAUCUGUUUCAGGUUCACAAGACUUGGAGACAGAGAGCCAGGGAAGACAUAUUCCAGUUUAUCACAGUCAGAUAUAAAUAGGGUUUUUAAUUUUUGGAAGCUUAGAAACUCUGGAAUUAUUGCCCUUUCAUCAUCCUGUUCUGUGAUGAUAUACUUCAAUUCAGCGCAGCGGCUUACCUCAAGUGUUUCUAGCUGUGGUAGACUUUGAGCGAGGGACGGUGUGAAGAUAAAGGUCAGUUCUGCAAGAAGAAACAACUUCAGAUGAACAAGACUUUGGAGGCUGACAUGUCUGGUGGGCCCCUUCCAUAUACAUUUGAGCUGAAGUAAACGUGACAGCUUUAACGUUAUUAAAGAUGACAGCAGCGGCAGCUCCUUCUCCUCCUUGCUUCCUUCACCCAAUUCAAAUACCUCUUCCAAUGAUUCGCAGCUCUCAAUAUUCACACUCCUUAGAUUUUUCAAAGCUUGCAGCAAUUUUGCUGGAAACAGAGUGCAGAUAUCCUCACACCCAUCCACGUCUACAAAUUCUAAUCUUUGUAAGAAGCCCUUUCGCUGCCCAGAGAACUGAGACAAUGAAUUUAUUAUAUUUUCUAAACCCGCCACCCUUUUAAAAACAAUUUGAGACACAGUAGGAAACAACUGCUCAAAUGUCUUUGCAUUUAAGGAUGUGGCGCUUAUACCACCCAAAAAUAAUCUUGUCGAGGUUGGGUAUCCUACUGGAUCCCCUGUUGAUGAAUAAUAAUUCCCUAAUAUUAUAUCAUAUUUGUACAACCUGGGAAAAACAAAAUCGCUUGGCAUGGAUUUAACCUCCGGUAUCCUCAAUGAUAAUACAGCUAACUGAGACAAUGAAUUUACUUCUUUUAGGCUUGCAUUCAUUAUUCCAGUGCUUGUCCAAACAUCCCAUUCCUUAAAGCUGUCUUUCCCGAUCAGCAGUUCUUCUAAUUUCUUCAACCUUCCAAUCAAAUUCAUAGGAAUUUCUCUUAGACUCUUACAACCUGUCACAUCCAACAACCUUAACUCCUUGAGCUCUCCUACUCCUUCAGGUAAUGUUUCAAUGUAGUAGCACCUCAUAAAACAAAGAAUCCUAAGUCUUUGCAGCUUUCUCAACAAAUUUAGGCCAUUACAUUUACACUCGAUCAAAAGCAAAGAUAGAAGGUUAGAGAAAACUUCAAUUGCUGUCAUCUCUUUAAAAAAACUUCCUGGAACAUUCAAAUCAUCACCCAGUUCUAACAACAGAACUUUGAGCCGUGGACAUGCCAAUGCUUCAGGAAGUUUUGUUAGUUUAUUGCCCAAUAACGAAAUUGUUGUACAGCCUUCAACGCUUUCAAUACUCCUUGGCCACUUCUUCAAUACCAUGAAUCCAUAUUCUUCUGAUGAUGCUAUCUGAAUAGCAACAUCACGAACCAAGUCAUGCAUUUUCACAUGUUCUCCAGUUUCAGUGCCCAACAGCAUGCAAGAAUCUUUGAGGUCUUUGAUAGCUGCAUAAACUUGUUCCCUUGCAUCUUCAAUGGAUUUCACAUCUUGAUGUAACCCAUAGCCGACUGCAUAUCUCGUCAAGUCCUCAAUUGGAAUGUUGUAAUCUUCUGGAAAUAAACAGCAUAGCAAGAAACAUAACUUGGUUUCCUUGGGCUUCAAAUAAUCAUAGCUCAACUUAAGACAUGCAUAUGUUCGUCCAUCAAUUUCUCCCAGGUCUGGAAAUUGAGAGUUUUUGAGCAGUUUAGAUGCUGCUUCCCACUCAUAUGCAUCUUUACCUCUUAGAGCCCUUCCCACUGCUACAAGUGCUGUAGGCAAUCCUUGGCAUUGUCUCACAACCUGCUUUGCCACUAUGUUUAAGGUAGAUUCCCCAUCACUUAAACCUGCAAUGAUUUUGAAUAAAGCCCAUGCUUCAUUUUCAGACAAGAGACUUAAAAAAACUUUUUUCUGGCACCCCAUAUCAGAAGAUAUGUUUUCAAGACGUGUUGUUAAGAGAAUUUUACAACCCCUGUGAUCAUCACCAAAUGGGAUCCCUAUCUCUUUCAAGUUAUUAACUUUCCAAACAUCAUCCAGGAUUAUAAGCAUCUUCUUCUCUCUCAGCAGUCUCUUCCAUAAUCGUUCUGCUCUCCCUUCUUUACUCUUUUCAUCAAAAUGCCGAACUAAACUAUCUGCCAUUCUAUUCUGAAUGUCCAUGACAUCUGGAUUCUGCGACACCGUAACCAUCAAAACUUUAUCAAAAAGCUGCGACUCUGUGGCUAUCCUGCCUACUUCUUUCACCAGGGUGGUUUUACCCACCCCUUCCAUGCCGCACAGUCCGAUCACAUUGACAUUGUCAUCUUUGAGAGCUUUCAUAAUCUGUUUGAAAGCUUCUUUUGAUGAUUCUGCUAUGUUUGCUUUGUGGGACACUGUUUUAAACUUUUUGCUAUUGUCUUCAAGAUUUCUAAAAGUCUCCGUCUUCUUUGCCAAUUCCUUGCUUAACUUGAAUUGUCGUAUCCAAUUUGGACACCAAGUAAAGCAUUUGCCAUUUUUUCCUAUUUCAUUUUCCAAAGGAUUCACACCAUUAAUUUCGUUAUUAGCAUCUUCCAGCCAUUUGGUGACGUCUUUCUCAAUUUCUUCAGCAUUCCUUUCAGCAACGUCGACAGCAUUUUGCAGACGAUCUAGUGCUAAAGCAAGGUUCUGCUUUCGUUCAUUGAAUUCUUUAACACAAUUGUUGAAACCGAACAUGUAGCGGAACUGCCUUAUUGCUGGUUCCACCAAGAGUCCUGCUUUCUUAGAUAUAAUGGAUUCAUCAACACUUUCGAUAGCCAUUUUCCUCCCGUCUGAAUAUCAGAGAAAUAAGGAUGUCGACUGUGAGAGUGAGUAAUUACAAAUAAAACAGGCAUUGAGAGAAUGAGAAUAGGAAUUUUAUUACCUUAAUUUGUGAAAAUAUGUGCGAAAAUCACAGGUACUGUUUGCUCAAUAAAAUAUAGCGAGAAACAGAACAAGAAGGACUUCAGCUCUGUAUGGAAUCCAGCUUAAAAAACAAGUAGUCAAGGUAUAAGUAUACCAAUAAUCAAUUAAUCUCAUCGAUUUCCAUCUAUGUCAUGUAUAAAAGCCAUUUAUUGAUAGCAGUAGAUUUUUUCUUUCUUUCUAAUAUGCAAGUUUACGUUAAUAGGUAUAAUUUUCCGGAUUGAAAUUUGAUAAAAGAUUUCAUAAGCCUUGUUUUUUUUAUGGUGAAAAUGUUAAAUCCAUUGGAGUUUGAAAAAGCCUUCAAAUAAGGCCUAGAAGUAAGUAUUCGGGAUUUGUAACAUUUUUCUAGUAUGACACAUCAACUUCACUUGAUGCAACAAGUAGGACAGAGAAAUAUAAGACUUCAAGAGAAUUGUUUCACUAUAAAAUAGUUGAAAGUUCUUCUAUGAAUACUCAUGUUCUGAAGAUAAUCGGUAAUCGUUAUUUUAUAAAGUGUUGAUUUAGUAUUGUAAUCUUAUUUCAUAGGUAAGAAAUUGAGCCAAUUAACUUUGUCAUUUUAUAAAGGGUUGAUUUGGUAUUGUGAUCGUUAUUUCAAAGCUUUUCUUAGUCCAUUAUCAACUAUCACACUUGCAAACAUUUAUCAUGAAACAUAUAAUGUAUGCAAAAUAUAAAGACAACAACAAAUAACACAAAAACUAGUAGGAACACACUCACCUUAUAGUAGAGACAAACGAAUGAUUAUGAAUGGAAGGUUCACGAUCACUUGCACACUCACACACAUGAUAACUUCUAUCGAUCGAUUCCAACCACAAAUAUAAUUUAUCUAAGGAGUUAUGUAUGUGAUGUUACUAUAGUUAUGGUCUCUCAAGGCCUUUUUCAAAAAAGAAAAAGAAAAGGAUGAACAAGGGGACAUUAACGAAAAGAAUUGAAAAGGAGAAAAGAAUUAGUUGAAUGAAGGAAGCUCUCUGCCACUUCCCUAUAUCACACUCAAUGAACAUGAUUUACCCAUAAAGGAAAAAGAGACAUUCCUUACUUCAAAUUUGCUUUGCUUAUGAAGUAGGCUAAGGACAACAACAUCUGCAAGCUAAAGAGGGAUAAUCAUAAGAUUGUGGUUUGGGACAAAAGAAAGAAUUUUUCCAACAUCCGUCAUCAGUACCGGUGAAUAGGAUAGAAUGAAAGACUUCGGCCCCUUCUAUAUCAGUAUUUUUUAGAAGUUAUUUAAAUUAAAAAGCCAAAAAUAAAUGCAUCUACUGUUGCAGGAAUGGACUAAAAAGUCAGUUAAUCUGCAUAAUUAAAUACUGUUACUGUAAACUACUAGGAAAUUCAUGGGUAAAGCCACAAAAAAAAUGUAAAUUAUACAAGUUAACAAUAGCAUUGAGCAUUAAUUCGAUUAAGUUAAAGCCCUGGUGUGAAUAGAGAGGAUCUUGCCGUUUAAAAAAUAACCAUAGAAACUAUGGAACCCACUAUUUAUUAAUCCAUUUCUAUUUACUAUUUAUUUUUAUUUACUGUAUUUUUAUUUUGAUACCCAGUACCAAUAAAAUUUGAGAUUUCUUCAAUUUUUCAGGUGCAUGCACUAGUCUAAUGGCUUCAUGGUAUUUAUCCUUAACUAUCAGGCUAACCUUUACAGGCUUAGCUAGCAAUCAAUAAUUAAUAUUUUAAUGAAUUCAGUUUUUAUUUAAAAUAAGGAAAAGGACAUUGGUGAAUAAAUAGUUUCCUUAGAGGGCUAAUUUAGAAAAAGAUUUGGAUCACUAGAUCAACUUAUGGGAUACCUGGCCAAGGUCAACCUAUGAGUCAUAAAUCAAUCCAUAUCAAUUAUUUUUAUUAAAAUGAUAAUGUUUUGUUUUUUUUUCUUGAUAUUAAUUUGGCUAAUUUUGAUCAAAUCUUACCAAAUCAGCUGAAUCAGUAAGAACUUAACCAAGUCUGAUUUUAUAGAUCAAUAUUUUAUGUAGUUGAAUUAAAAAUUCAAUUCAAUUCUAGCUCCGAACCCUGAGUUUUGUUUGUUCAAUCUAGCAUACAGGUUUAACAAAUAUGCUUCUCACUUGCAGCUGUGGUUUGCUGCGGGCAUUUGGUAAUUGGGAGAGGCUUUAGUUUCGUACCUGUUGAUCGGGAUUCAUAUACACUUGGACCUCUUAUUUUAUUUUAUACUGGUUGGAUCCAAACUUAAUCCAAUACAAAAUUAACAUAUUUAUUAUUUAUUUAAGAUAAAUGAUAUCGCUUUAACAUAUUAGUGUACACUUAAUAUGAUUAAAUUUAAUUUAAUUAAUUAAAAUCUCACCGUAAAUUUUUUUACCAUUUGCAGCAAAAAAACAGUUGACACCUUAUUAAUAUAAUCAAUAUAGUACAAAAAUUAUAGUGAUUUAAAACAAUUCAUUAAAAUGUUCCUAAAUGUUUUUAUUUUGUGACAAGGGUUUUCGUGUUAUUUGUUAUGUAUUGUCACUGUCAUAAUCUAUUUCUAGAUUAUUUCUUAAAUUCCAUAAUUAGAUUUUUUAUAAGCCAAUUUGAUUUAAUCAUUGGUCAAAUUAAAUUUUAAUUAUGUUUAAAAAUUUAUUUGGAUCUAAUUGAAGGAUUUAAUUAGAUGCAAUGACUUAAUUUUACUUUAAAUAGAUCAAAUUAAUUUUAUUAGGUGGCUUAAUUGGUGAAAAAUUAAGUUUGGAAGCCCAAUUUGGGCUUAAUUGAGAAUAUUGGGAUUUUAGGAGACCAAAUUUAAUUUUUACCAAGUCAAUUGAUUCAAAUCAAGGGUAAAAUUGCAAGAAAAUCAAAGUUUUGGGGUCAAUUAAGGGCUAAAUUAAAGAAAUUCACAGCCAAGAACUAUUUUGCAAAAGACGUCAAACUAUAGGAACUCAAUUGAUUGAAAUCAACGGUGGAAUUGAAGAGAAUUGAAAGUUUAAGAAUCAAUUGAGGGUUAAAUUGAAUAAAUCCAAGACCAAUGACCAAAAUGAAAUAGGUGAUGAAAUUCGAGGCUGAUAUUGAAGUUCGGCAAGGGCAAAACUACUUAAAAUUAGAAGUUUAGGGUCAAUUAGGGGUGCAAUUCAAAGAAAUUAAAAGCUGGAGGACUAAACUGAACUUUGACCAAACCCCUAAAAUCAAACCUUAAGAGCCAAAACGAUGAUGUUUCAUUUAAAUGGAACAACACAAUUUGACCAAAACAACGCCAUUUUGACAAAACAGAAUCAAAACAAAAGGGGUAGACCAGAAGACGCAUUAUCUAGAUUGUUCAUCUUCUUCAUCAUUAGCCUCCCAGAAAGCUUCUCAAAUGGCUAAUUUCUCAAAGCAUUUAAUGUCUUGUCUCUCCACCAAAUUUGAAAACAUUUGCACGCAAUUAGUGGCCUAACGUCUGGUGUGGUCCUUUAUGGCCGAUUGAUGCCAUAGUGGUUGUGGCAUCGCCCUAAAGUGGCCAACCCGACCAGCCCUUCUGUAGUAACUUGUCAGGCCAUGAUUGCAACUUUAAAUCAAUUGUUGGGAUCCUACAAAGUUGAAUUAGAGGCCAAGAUUUGAAACCAUUAAAGACAAAAUGCCCCUCUUCCACACCCUAUAAAUAGAGGUGGAUUUCAUGACCUAAGGGAGGAAACAAUCGGGUCCAAAGUUGAUAAACAAUCAGCCUUCCCCCUAGUAUUUUAUAUGCCAUCAUAAUUUUUUUCUUCUUCUUCGCUGUCGUGAACUCGGCUUCUUUAGCCACCACAACCUCACCAACAACGUGACCUUUGGUGGCCCAGCACCCUUGCCACUCCAUCCCCUUGCCACUCCAUCACCUUGCCACUCCUCCCUUCUCCCUUAGACAAUAACCUCCGCAAGCUUCUUCUUUUUCAUCCCAAACCAAUAAUGACCCCUGCACCUUCAACCUCCACUCACUAGUAACAACACCAGCAACUCUAGCAAACCAAUAAUUGCCACCAUUUCAGUUUUGUUCUUCUCCAACACCGGCAGCAGUAGCAGCAGCAGCAGCUCCAACCACGCCAAUGUUUUCUCCUUUUUCUCUCUUCAACAGCCAACACCGCCCACCACCGUCUCCACCAACGGCUCCGACAGUAGUCGACAAAAAGACCAAUCAGCCACUCCUUCUGUAAUAUCCCAAUUUUGGAUUCUCCAAAAUUUUCUUGAAUGUUAUUUUUAUUUCUAUUUUCAUUCAUAAAAAUCCAAAAAAAGUUAAGAAAAAAAGUUUAAAAUUCAAAAAUAUAUUUUUCUCAGGUCAACCACCUUUUCCAUGAAAAUGAGCUUAUUGGGUUAAUACGAGUCAAGCCAUGUUGACCAAGGUAAAAAAUAAGUUUUAGGCCAUUUGGGGUCAAAACAAUCAUUUUCGGUCAAAACUGAGUCAAUCAGGUCAAUAUGAGUCAAACCAUGUCAACCAGGGUAAAAAAUGAGUUUCAGGCUGUUUUGGGUCAAAAGCCAUCAUUUUUGGUCAAAACCGAGUCCAUCAGGUCAAUAAGAGUCAAUCCAUGUCGGUCGAGGUAAAAAAAAGAGUUUCAGACCAUUACGGGUCAAAACCAAGUCCAUCGGGUCAAUACAGGUCAAACCAUGUUGACUGGGAUAAAAAUUGAGUUCCAAGCUAUUUUGGGUCAAAACUGUUAUUUUCGGUCAAAACCCGAUCAAUCGGGUUGAUCCUAGUUGAAAAAUAUUUUUUAAUGUUUGAAAUUAUUUUUCCAGUAAUCAAAAUUGAAUUUUAGCGGUGGAAACGAGUUUUUUCUAAUACUAAUUCGAGUUUUUAGUUUUAUCCAUUUAUAUAUAUAAAAUAAAACAAAUCAAUAAUGCAAAAGUUUUAUUAUAGUAGCUGGGACAGGUCAAAACAUUUCUUCAGGACAGCGCCGUGCCCUCUGGUUAUAAACAUUCGUGUCCCCUCAGCAUCAACAUUGGCUAUAAAAGGCAGUGAAAUUUUACUAAAAAAAGAGAAAAAAGGAGAAGAAAAAAAGAAGACGUGAAUCCGAAUGAUAAUACUAUUCAUGUUUUUUUAGUUUUUUCUUCACACGAGUAAGUUAUUGAUUUUUUUUAAAACAAUUCAAAAAAUACCAAAACUAUCAUGACCUUUAGAUCUAAUAAUAUCUUAUCUAAUACAUCUUAACACACUCGAUGAAAACCCAAAACCAUCUCAGCCCUUAACCAAAUCUGCCCUUGGAUCUAAUUUUUCCACGUCACUAGGUGUACCAACAAUCCUGUGCAGCUAUCACACCGAAGCCAAUAUCUGUCCAUCAGGACCGACUGAUCAAAUUUUGAUCGAGCCAACCAUAGCCGAAGGAUCAAUUUAGAAGUAAUCCAGCGGUCCAAAAGCUUUAGGUGCACCAGAUUACCACUCUCCCCUCUCGCCGACGAUUCUCUCUCUCUCAUCAGAUCUCCCAACUUCGGCCACAUAAAGACUCCGGACCACCACAAAAAGGUUCCUCACCUCUACGCAAGCAAACCCAUGCAUUUUGCAUCGCCUUCGACAUCACAUCUUGCCAGUAAAAGGCUGCGACGUCUUCGGCCACCCGAAGAUUCAAGCUGUCGAUUCUCUCUCAUCAACCAUCAACGGCCAACGAAAAAACCAUCAUCAUAAUCCUCUCUUCUAGAUAUACCAGAAGCUACCCUUUUUGGCUCAGAAUCCCGCCGAAGAAUUUCACUCCUCCAACAGUGGUCGCGCAUAAGCUACACGCGCCACCAGGGUUGUUUUCAUAAUUUCCUGAGAAUUUCAGGGAUAUUUCAGUCUUUUCCCCUACAGUGUAACUCAGGUAAUUUUGGGGUUCCUAGGGAUAUUUUAUUUGUUUUUCACAAGUAUUUAUAAACUUUUCUUUGUAUGUAAAAUACCCAAAAUAAAUAUAAAGAAGAAUGACAAGGCAGGUCCGAGACUUAUUUUAUCCCGUCAUCAUGCGCGGGUCCAAAGACUAAUUCUUAAAUAUGGGUUAUGCCAAUUUUUUUUAGCAAUUAUAACAUAAUCUUCUUUUUCAUGAAUGAAUGUUAUUCGUCAACAUGUCUCCUUUUACAAAUAAAUACCAAUGUUAAAAGUUUAAAAACAAAUAUGAAUUAUGUUCAUUAUGUUUUUUUACAACUUGAACGCAAUUCUUCUUUUUAGGAUUAAACGUCAACAUUUCAACAAGUCUCCUAAUUUUAGGGACUGAUGUCAACCCUCUAAAAAAAUAAAUUACAAAUAAGCUCAAAAGAUCAUAGCAUUUGAAUAAAAUAAAAAACACAAGUAAGGGUAACCUUUCUCUUGAAAAGAUGUUUUGAGGGUGGUGUUUAUCUUCCCUUAAUCAUAAGUAACUCAGUAUCUGAAUUUCUUGGACCAAUGUCUAAUUUGAAAUUUCUAGUUUCCCUCAAAUUAUUAGAAGGUGACUCCAAUAAAAUCUUCAUUUCCUCAAUUAAUCUUUUUAUUAAUAAAAAAAAUGGAGCCACUGUUUUCACGUCAUGUAUCGAUAGAAUACCCAUUGAUCUAUAUAAAACUAAAGAAAAACUUAUUCAAGAUCAUGUUAUAUUGACUAUGAAAAGUUGACAUGGGCCAAUUAUUAUGGGAUUGAGGGAGAAAUAAAUACUAAAUUCUGGGAAUUAGGGUGCUUAAGUAAAAAAAAAUGAGCAAAAACUUUCAUAGAUAGGUAAGAAUGAAAUUGCCUAACUUGUCCAAAACUAUUUAUGACAAGCUUGAAUACCAAGAUACUCUAAAGCAAUACAACAAAACCAUACACAUUUCUAUUUUCUUAAUUUGUAAUUUAGCAAUUAGUGGUAUCCUUGGCCAAGCUUGUGCAAAUCAAGACAACGUCCACCUCCCUAGUUUGGUCUAAAGCAUACAAUCUAUGCUAGGACUAGAGGUAUCAAGGGGAAAUAAAUCAUCAUAGCUACUAGUUUGGUCAAAAACAUACAAUCUAUGCUAGGACUAGAGUUAUUUGACUGCAAUUGGAACGCUGAUUAGUACUUAAAACUGUAUUUUUAUCAAGGUUUUAUAUCAUCUUUUUGCACUUGAAGUAUCAAUAACUCCUUAACUAAAGCAUGUUUUAUAAUAACAUAUCUAAUAAUAUAAGAUAGCUUUAAUUUAUGGUAAAUGUUCAUCCUAAAUUCAGGCCUAUCACAUAAAUAAAAGGAUUGAUUGAUGAGUUUAAGUAUUGAAAUUGAAAGGACAAAGAGAGGGUCAAACUUAGAAAAGAGAUGCUGGUGCAAUCCAAACUGGAACACUAUUUGGAAAUUAGGUCAUAUCUGGAGCUGUAGAUCUCGGAUUUAGGUCCACUUUAUAUGGAUGGAAAGGUAAGAAAUGGGCCUACAACUUUCAUGUGGAGCCCAAGAUUUAAAAAAGCCGUUUUCAAGUGCAAAUUAUAUCAACAACGAAGAAGUUUGAAUCUGUCUUGCAGCCUAAACACUGUUCAGUGUUCAGCCCAUAUCUUGAGUUCUAGAAGUCUACAUGACCUUAAUUUUUUUUCCUGGAAAGCUGAGACAAUUUCCUAGAACUUUCAUGAGUAAAGUUGGUUCAAAUUCUGACAUUAUCAAUGAUGUUCUAUUCAGACAAGAAGAUAAGGAUUGUCACCAAGUCAAGAUGUGGCCACCCACUCAUCAAUUAUUCAUCAAAUCAAUAGUUCCAAAUUUUGACCUAUAAAAGAAGGCAUUUACCAUGUAUUUAGGCAUCUUGGUUUUCAGAUCAAGAUCAUGCUCUUGCUUUCUCUCUUUGUAUUUUCGCAAUACUUAAGUUUUGCUUUCAUUAAUAUCUAGUUUAUGCUUUUCAUUUCCUUUCCUUUACUUAGUUAACUUUAUCUUGUUUAUGCUUUUAUCUUGUUCAUUUAUGUUUCUUUCUUUUAUUAUGUUUAGCUAAGUUUAUUAUGUCAAGGUUAAAAGGUUACACUAAUGGUGUAAGAAUAAGUAUAGUGUAAACUCAUCAUGGACUUUAAUGUUUGAUACUAACAUGUUUUAUAUUUGUUAUCUUGUUCACUUUUAAUACUUUGCUUGUUAAAUGGUCAAUCUAGAUUUAUGUUAUAUAACCCUUGGUACAACAAAUACUUGGCACUUUCAUUGCCCAAACCGUAUGGUAUAAUCAACACCUGAGCUAUGAAAGGAACUUGAUUUGUUGUUAACAUAAGUUAUAAUCAUGAAUGCCUAACAACAUUUACAAAUAUUAGCAUUAUUCAAAAAAGAUAACUAAUGUAAUCAUGUUAACAAUUUAUAAUCCGAUUGGAACCUCCUUUGUGUGUGGUUUCCAGUUGAAUAAUAAGAGUUUAUACUAUACUUGUUUGAAAUACCAUUAGUGGAUCCUCUAACCUUGACAAUUAUUUUUAUCAUUAUUUAGUCCUCACAUUAAUCUUACAUCUCAAAGUUCUCAUCAACUUCUUCUUAUUCUUCUUCUUUAUUAUUAGUAUUAUUAUUAUUAUUAUUAUUAUUAACAUUAAUAUUAGUAUUAUUGUUGUUGUUGUUGCUACUACUGUUGUUGUUGUCGUCGUCGUCUAUAAUUUAUACAAUUAACCUCCCUGUGGUUCGACCCCGGUCUUGCCGGAUUAUUUAUUACUUCGACACUCCUGCACUUGGGAGAAGAUAUCAAUCUUUUGAUCAUGUCAAAAGCUCAUAUUAAUUGAUUUAUGGUGCUAAGAUACAUAAAUUAUAGUCACUAUCACCAUCAUUAUUAUCAUCAAAUUUAUAAUUAAUUUCAUUUUUCAGUAAAAGAUAAUAUCAUCUGUAUCCAAUGAUUGCCAACUUCACCACAGAUUUAACAUUUCUAUAGUUAACAUUUCUUUUGCAUGUUAGGAUUUCAAUACUAAUGAGUGUAUUUUCUAAAGUUGAAAUAGUGCUACCCAAUCUAGGUUCAAGUGGGAUGAUGAAUUAAAGAGCAGUUGUUAUUUCAAUACUAAUGGCUCAUAUUUGAUUUAUGGAGCUAUGAUUAGGGAAUCGUGCUUGUAUCACAUAUAACAAUAUUUACAUAGCAACAAGCAUUAUUAAAGAUGAUACACUAGUAAGUUUCCAAAUGCUAUCAACAAAUAUUAUAACCUCUUAAUUUAUAUAAGGAUUGAGCUAAAUUGCUUUAUCAAAUAUUUUUUUUUUUUGAAAUAUUAUAUAGACAUAGAAUCAACAAGAUUAUGUGACAUUCUAUAUUGAUUUUGUGAUAUAACGCAUAUUACAGUGCACAUUGAUAGAGUGAGUCUGGGUGGACAAACUUUUGGUGGUACACGUGGUGCUUAAUGAUUUGACGGCUAUGGAGAGAAGUUACAUGAGGGAAAUAAGGUGGAAAAAGUGGCCUCUCUAGAUUUUGGAAAUGUUCUCCGAAGAAAGAAGGAAAAUAAUUUCAAAGGUGGAUAAAAAUGGGGUAAUAUCAGAUUUGGAACAUAAUCUUGGUUGGUGAAGAAUAACAUAAUCUAAGGAGAAAUCUAGGGCAAGUCUGGUGAGAUUUGAGCUUAGAUUUUGGACCAAUUUAUAGGUGGAUGAUACCAUCAUGGAUGAUGUCCAGCUGAUAAAUGUUUAGUUACUUGCAAUUCUAUCAUAAAGUUAUCAGAUUCUGUGUGUGUGAGGGUGCCAUAUGUUUCUUUCUUCUAUGAUGGAUAAAAAACGCUAAGCAAUGAACCAUUUUGUCCAUCUGAGUAAAAAAGGUAUUAUGGUUAUGAUGAGAACUCUACAGCUGUGAUUCUAUUUUUGAAGGUAAUAUUUAUUAUAUUUAUAAUUAUAAGAAUCUUUAAAAAAGACACGGGUAAAAUAUUAUUCUCACAUCACUCACUAUUCACUGGUGUUAUAGGCUUAAAUUGAUAGAUAAUUAAGUAAAUUUGUUGAGGAAAAGAAAAAUUUAAAUAUAGAUAACCAAAGUGAAAAAAAAAAGCAAAAAAAGAUGGUAGUUUCAAGAUCCAAAAAUUCACUUUGAUUCUCAUAAUUUUCAAAUAAUGACUUUUUGGUCCCUUAAGUUUUCCUACAUUUUAUUUUUUAUCCACAACUUCAUUUUUCUAUUUUCUCAUUCCCUAAUUUGAUAGAGGAGACAUAGUUUUGAAACCGGCCCGGCCUGGUGAGUCGACCCGGGAACCGGCUAACCCGGGGCUGGAACUGGGCCGGGUUGAAGAAAAAACGGGGGAAGAAAAAACCCGAUGUGACCCGGCAAGACCUAAUUGCAAACCCGUUGAUUUUUUUUUUUUGCUAAAACGAUAUCAUUUUGAUUUUUUUUUAAAAAAAUAAUUGACCCGGUCGACCCGGUAACCCGGUCAAAACUCGGAACUCGAGCCAUGGACCGGGCCGGGUCUUAAAACUAUGGAGGAGACAAAAAGUCAUUGGAUUACAAUGCUAGAGAGAGUCUCUAUAACAACCUUAACAUUUGUAUUCAAAACAAAAUGUAAGGACAUGAUGAUUCAAAUAAGAUUAGGGAUUUUUUUUAAUCAAUAAAAAAUUCGGCAGAGUUUCUUCUAUAUUUUUAGGUAUCAAGUUAUCAACUUUCAUCCACAAUCCCCAAUUAUCAAAUUUCUUAUCCUAUCAUCCAGGACUUCCUCCUCUUAUUAUAUCACAACUUCUCAAUAAUCAAAUUUACACAUGUCUAAACAAUUCAAUAUCAAACAUUAACAUGAAUGCAAUCCAAGGAAUUAUUCUACAAAUUAUAACUGAAGUACAUUACACAAUUCAAAGAUUUACAAAAAAAGACCAUUAACAAAAUUAUAAUCGAAAUAAGUACAUAAUUAAAGAAGAAAUUCAUAAUUAAUAUUAUACUACACAAAAGGGUUUUCGAUAAACUGUUGACGCAUUAUAUUACAUAACAAAAUGAUAAAUUCAUUCAUUACAAAAAAAUAUCAAACAAAAUAUAAGAAAACUAAUCUAUUGUUCAGUUCGAUAGGGAGAUGUACCUAAAAAUUGAUUUAAUACAAUAAUUCGAUUAGAUAGAUGAAGAAAAGAUAUCCAUAAAAUUCUUUCUACUUUCUUUUUUUCUUCCUUUUUUUUUUUUUGAAAAUUUAGUCAAAAGAUCAUUAAAUUAACUUGCACAUCUAGUAUUAUAUAUAUUAAUUAAAUUUAAGAAUAAUCUAUGAGUUUGUUUUCUUUUUCUUUUUCUUUUUUAACAUCAACCAAAAAUAUAAUUAUUCCUAUCGCCCAAUUAACCUAGCAUUACUUUCACUAAUAGAUGAUUAAUUUUCCACCAGUCCAUUCAACAAGCACUAUUGUCAUCAAUCCAAAAAUUAGUUUAACGUUUCUUCCAUUCAUCAGGGUAUAAAUCCCAUUAACCAGGGAAAUUAAUUCUUCAUCUCGCCCAUUUAUCAGGGCACUAAUUCUAUUAAAUCAGGAAUUAGUUCAACUAUUUACCCAUUCAAUAGGGUAUUAAUCCCAUUAACCAGGGACUUAAUUCCUCAUCACGCCCAUUCACCAGGAUAUUAAUCCCAUUAAUUCAGGAAUUAGAUCAACAAUUUGCCCAUUCAUCAGGGUUCUUGUAACAGUCCGCCUAUACGACUUGCUCAAUGUUAAAAGAUCCCAACAUAUCAUCUUUAUUUGAGAGUAAAUUAUAUAUAUAUAUAUAUAUAUAUAUAUAUAUAUAUAUAUAUAUAUCCUACGAGUAAGUUCAAUAUGAACAUAGUCUACAUAACAUAUCAUAAAAUUUUAAAGAAAAGGAAUACUAACAUGUAAAGAAAGCAUUUACAACAUAAUAAGUGUUCUUAAACAUUUCAAAAGGGUUAAUUACAAGAUAACUAAAAUACUACAUUCUAAGCUGAACUUUUAUAAAAAUACAUCAAGGUUUAUGCAAAAAUAUACUACAAAACCGCGUUAAUUCCCUUUAGUUUAAGUUAAAUAUUUACAUAAGCUUGACAAAGUAGAGUUUUAAACUAAUGAUCUCCCUGGAUAUUUGAUGGACCUGAUACAUAAAUGACAUACCAUUAUGUUGAUAAAGAAUAUAUAUAUGCUCAUGUAAUGUAUAUGAAUGAAGUAUUAAUUUUCUAUCGGGUCCAUAAGAAUUCUAAUAGAGAACUUAUAUAUAUUGCUUGUAAAUCUUUUAAACCUAAUUAACACUCAUUUGCAUACUCUUAAUUUGGAUACUCUUGUUUACUUGCGUGAACUGGGUGACCUUGCAAGUCUAAUCUUGAAAUUCAUUUCCCAGCAAUCCUAUCACGGAUGUCAUUAGCCGAAGCUAAUAUUGUAAAUCAUCUCCAGACAUUCCUAUCACGGAUGCCAUUAGCCGAAGCUAAUCUUGUAAUUCAACUCCCGGUAAUCCUAUCACGCAUGCCAUUAGCCGAAGCUAAUCUUGUAAAUCAUCUCCCAGCAUUCCUAUCACGGAUGCCAUUAGCCGAAGCUAAUCUUGUAAAUACACUAGGCUUUAUUUACAUUGAACACGAUAUUUAUUAUAAUUACAUUCACCAAAAGAAUUUUGAAUUGUAUAAGUGCAAAUAGGAGGGAAAGUCACGCACCUGCUUCGCCUGUCUUGCGACUUCCCCUAACAGGAGAUCCAAUCCUGGUUGCUCCCUUUGAAUCACAAGGAAGUUUUUGGUUAUGAUUCCUUCAAGCUGAUAUUAUAGAGAAUUCAUAUUCAUCCAUUACUCAUAUGUUACUUUCUAUGCAUGUUCAUUUCCUCAUAAUAACAUACAUACAUAUAUCAUGUAUAUUUUCAGAAUUAGUAUCUCAAUGUGCAAAUGUUCGUAUGACUCAAUUCUUUUAUAUUCUUAUAUAUGGUAUUCACAUGAAAGUCUAUUGUUACUGUCUAACUUUGAACUGUUACUGUUUAUACAUUUAAACUGUUACUGUCUAACUUUGAACUGUUACUGUUUAUACAUUUAAAUUGUUACUGUCUAACCGUUAUUGUUUAACUUUGAACUGUUACUGUCCAACCGUUACUGUCUAACUUUGAACUGUUACUGUCUAGACAUUUAAAGUGUUACUGUCUACACAUUGAACUGUAUUUGAAGUGUUACUGUCUACACAUUGAACUGUUACUGUCCAACCAUUAUUGUCUAAACAUUUGAACUGUUACUGUCUAAACACUUAUCAGAUUUUUAACUAUAUCUAAAGUUCUAAAACUCCAUUUUAAGUGAGAUUGAUCUCGUUAGAAAGCUAAGACACGAGGCUACCAGUUCUCUAAGGAAAGAGAACCCAGUUUUGCCUCUAAGAUAGUCAAAAUUGCUCAUCAACUAAUCAAUCCUACUGCCCUACAUAAUCAGUCACGACUCAGUCUCGAUUGGUAACCCAUAACUGGAGUUCUACAUCUCCAAAUUGAGUAAGACCAGUUUUCUUGGUUAGUUAACAUUCAAAUUUACAAUUUCUAUGAGGAAUCUGAUCCUAAUUUCCUCAUCCUCCUACCUAAAAUCUCACCGAAAUUCAGGAGACAAGCUGUCCAAAUUCGUCUCCCCCUCCCCUUCACACAAUACUUUCAUAAACUACAUACCACACACAUGAAUUAACUUAAUCUUAACAAUAAGUACUUUUUCCCCAAUUCAUGUUUAAGAACCCUAACAUAUGAUUCAAUAUCAAGGCAUCAAUUCAUUAUCGAAUUUAAAAUGAAUUUUUAAGAUCAUGUUUAGAACACCUUACCCCGUACGAAUUAAGAUUUUGAUCUUCAACCAGUUGAAGAUUUUUAACUCCCUCCUUUCUUUUCUUCUUGUUCAAUUUCUUGAUAAUCCUUUGCUCUCAAGUGUUUAUCCCAUCUAUAAACCCUUAAUCUUGGAUGGGUUCUUGAAAUUUUAGUGUUUCUCUCUUGAUUUCAUAAGAAUAGGUAUAAAACUCUCUAUUUUCUUUCCUUAUGGUUCCUGCAGAUUUUUGGUGAGGAGAGAGUACUUAUACUCUAUAUUUUCUCUUAUUUGCAUUUAGACCCCCUUUUCCUUUAAUUGUAUUAUUCUCUUCAAUUAAAUCUAACCCUCAAUAGUACCGGGUUUAUUAUAAUGUUCGAAUUAUUUCACCCGGAAAUUUAUAUUAAAAACUUUCUGAAUUCCUGUUUUUAUUUAACCAUAUGCAUGAAUUUCUUCACUUUUAUUUAUUUCUUUUUCCGGGGUUUACAGUUCUAAUCCUAUUAACUAGGGAAUUAAUUCCUUAUCACGACCAUUCACCAAGGCAUUAACCCCAUUAGUUCAAGAAUUAAUUCAUCACAUCGCAUUUCUUGUUUUCUAAAGUAAACAAUAUAAUAAUUACUAAUUUAUCAACCAUAAUUAAUCAGAUAAAAAUACAUAUUGACCAAUAAUAAAUUCGGGCAUCGUAUAAUUACCGGACGACUAAGCUCGAGCUGAAAUUCUCUACUGUGGUGUCGGCCUGACAACCUCUUUUGAAUUGACAAGUAUAUCACAUCAUUAUUCUACUUUUCAUAUUGACACACUCAAUAAAUAAAAUCAUUCCAAUUAUCCUUUUAUUUGCCAAAAUAAAAUCAUUUUGUAAAUUUCCUUCCAAUUUCCACAUUAUAACACAAUUCAUUUCAUCAUUCAAAGCAAUAUAUAUAUAUAUAUAUAGUCUUUAAAUUUAUUUAUUUAUUUUUUACCAUAAUUUAAAUCAAAGAAAAACAUAAAAAAAUUUCAUGAUCUAUUCACUCUUUAACAUUAAUAUCAUCUCUUUCUUACACAAUCUCAUCAUCUUAUUAAAAAUCUUAAAUUUUUAUUUUUCUUAUUAUUAUUUUUUCAAAAAUCCCUUCUUCAAGAACACCUAAAAUUUUGCUUUAAUUACCAUAAUUUCUUACUUUCUCUACUCACUUCAAUAAUCUUAACAUAAUUUCACAAACAAUUGUAAUUUUCCCUAAAAUUUAUCAUGAACCUUAAUUCCUCAUUUCACAAAGUUCAAUCAAGUUAAAGCAUAAAUUCUUUAAGAAUCUGAUUUAAAAGUUUGAGGGCUCAUUACCGAGUAAUAACCAAAGCCUUAACACUUUUAAAUUAAGAAAUUUUCCUUGCUUGAAUUUGUUUUUCCUCUCCUGACCGAAUGCUUCCUUCUCUUUGAAAAAGCAAGUUUGUUCUUUUUUAUUUGUUUCCUUACAGCACACACUCACUUGUCACUAUAUAUAUAUAUAUAUAUAUAUAUAUAUAUAUAUAUAUAUAUAUAUAUAUAUAAUAAACUUUUUUUAAAAUAUCUUCCAUGUCCCUCAAUUUUUUCUUCCGCCAUACACACUCACACUUACACACCUAUAAUUACUUAACUUUUUAAAAAUGCCUUCUAUAUCCCUCAAUAGUAAAUUUUAUAAUUUUUGAAUAACAUUUCAUGAAUCCUGACGCUUGUUUAUACCAAAUUUUACCCGGGUUAUUUGAAAUUUCACUCAGUUACUCGUUAGUACUUUCAGUUUCAUGAAAUUCACUUCCAUAAAAAUUUUAUGCACAUUUUUGUGUUUAUUUAUAUUUAUUUUUAAUAUAUAUUUUAACACCUGAAUAAAACAUUUCACUUCAGAUUCUCAAAUAUAUCAUCAUUCUUAUAAUUUAAUUUAUCACUUUCUCUCAUUUUUUGUAAUCUUGACUUUUAUUAAUAUCAAUAAUAUUACCUGGGGUUUUACAAUCUCAGUUGGCACUGUUUUUCACUAUAAAAAAUGGUCGAUUUUGUUUUAAUGAGUUUUAUUUGAUGAAAAGAGUUCCAUUAAAAUGUUUUUUGCCCUUGAAAUUGCCAAAAAGUUUAUGGUUUUUGGGCUUUUUUAUUGGUUUAUUACAUCAUAAAGACCUUUUUUAGGUUUUUUGGUGUGAACAUUGUUUAAAUUUGCAUUUUUGGGUCAAAAAACACCUGCUUAAUUUUCUAGUCACCUCUCCAAUGGUUAAAAAGGGGAAAGUCUCGGUAGGUGACAUGUCGCUUUUCUUUAUUUUUUUUUCUCAAAAACAUUUGGAGCAUUUUCAAAUAAAAAAAGCCCCAUACAUACCAACCUUUUUUAAAAUGGCCUUGAUGUGUAGGCCUGACUUACUAGGCCUAAAAGCACUUGAAAUAUUUCUAUUUUUUUUUCUAAUUUUGUUUUCUUAAUUGAUAUUUUUUAAUGUAUUUUUAAUAAAUUUUUGAAUUUAUAUUUAAAUUAAUACUUUUCUCUCUAAAUAUUUAGAUUGUUUAUUUAGUUUUUUUUAAAUAGUGGUUAUCUUUUACUUAUCUUUUAUGUAUUUAAUAUCUAGAAAACAUUAUUCCAAUUCAUUUAUAUGUUUUUUUUUAUUUUAUAUGAAUAAACUUUAUUUUCAUGACGUGUUUAUAAAAAUAAGAAUUAUUUGUUCUUGGUAAGAAAAAGUGAACUUUAAGAUAUAAAAAAGAAGAAGGAGAAAAGUGUGCAUGAAGAGGAAAGUUAAGGUUAAGUAUCAUAUUUAUGUAUUUUUUACUUUUAUGAAAAUGAUUAUCAUUUUAUUUUAUAAAAUGAUUGGCAUUAACAACUUUUUAUUAGUUUAUUAGUUCAUAUUUUUGUAAGAUUUGUUUUUUACAUUUCUUAAUUAAGAGAAUCGUAAUACAAUGAAAUACAUUUGAAAUAUUGUCCCAUUUUUCUACUACAUUAAAAAUUAACUUAAGAUCCUAUAUGUGGCAGAAUGUGUUAAAAAUUAUUUUUUGUAUUUAUGAACACUUAUGGUCCUUACUUUAUUUUUAUUAUAUGUAAACAUCAACUUUUUUAUUCACAAUUAUAAUUUUCUCUUGAUUUUUAAAAAUACGUUAACGACAUUUAUACAUUUUUUCUUUUGCGUUCAAAAAAUUAUCUAACUCGUAGCAAAGUGAAUUAAAUAAACGCGUCAACACUUUUUUUUUUUGUAUUUAUGAUUAGGAUUUGUUUUUGUUAAAAAUGCAAUUGAUAAGCAUACAAAUUUAUUUUUUUGCUAAAAACAAUUUUAUGAUCCAUAUCGAAGUGCGAGUUAAAUAACUAUUAAUAUGGCUAUAGUAAGUCUUUUAGUAUAUGUGGAUGUAGGAAGCAAUGUGUUAUAUUAUUAGUUAGAUAUAACUUACCUAUUCAUUAUUAAAAAAAACAUAAAAUAAAUUAAUUAAUUAAUAAAAACCUAAAAGAGAUCGACUGAAAUAUAAUAUUUUUGUCUUUUUUUUUUGUUUCACAUUUCUCAAUUAAGAGAAUCAUGAUACAAUAAAAUGCAUUUGAAACACCGUCCCAUUUUUCUACUACAUUAAAAAUUAACUUCCUACAUGUGGCGCGUUGCGUUAACAAUUGUUUUUGUAUUUAUUAACAUUGUUGUUACCCAUUUUUGGGUUCCCACAAAAAUAUAAGAAAAUACAAAAAACAAUAUAUCAAAAAAAUAUUCAGAAGAAAUCCAAAAAAAAUAAUAGGAGCGAGAAAAGAAUGCUGGAAUGUUGAAAAAAUACCAAAAUUGGUUGAGGAGAUUAAAAAAUACAAAAGGUUGAAAUUUAACAGUAUAUUUUUGACUGAUGAGAGCCUUGGGGAUAAGAAAAAUUCAAUUAGAGAAAGAAAAGUUCAAAAUCAGAUGUUUAUGGACUCAAUUAAAUUUUAUCCAAGGUUUAAUUGAAUUUAUGGAGGGUUUGAUUGCAAGAAAAUUUAUUUUUUAAGUCAAUUUAGGUUUUUAUUGGAAAAAAUUAAAGUUUUAGGGUCCAAUUAUAAUUUUAAAGAGUUGAUUUGGUCAAACUAGAGGCUUAAUUGCAUAAUUCUUGAAGUUUGAUGGUCAAUUAGGGACUUGAUUGAAAUAAUUCAAAACCAAGGACUAAACCGAAAACGGCGCUAAAAUCAAGGAAUCCAAUUACAAUUCAUCCGGGGGCUUGAUUACAAAAUUGUCAAAACAACCAGGGACCGAAUCGGAAAUAUUCAUUUGAAUUGUGAAACGGCGCCGUUUCCUUAGACACUAUUCAUCACCAUCUUCAAAGCAGCCGUUUCAGCAUACAGGAACCGUUUUCAGCAACAAAUGCCACAGAUUAUGGGAACGUUUCACAGCUACCAUUUCUCUACCGUUACCACUGCAAUAAUGGUUUUGAACGUUUUCAUUAUAAAAAACGCAUGCAGUUUUGGCUAUAAAAGAGGAGAAAAGAAGGACAAAAAAGGGAGGGGAAAAAAGACAGAGAGAGAGAGGAAUGUAAGGGGGGAAAACAGAGAUGACCUGAGGAGAACAGAAGAGAACUGAAAAAAAAAAAAAGAGGAAACGAGAGGGAAAACCAGAGGGGAACGACAGAGGAGAAAAAAAGGAGGGGAGAGAGCCGCACCAGCAUUGCCAACGCCAUCGUCAGCUCAUCAUCUUCUUCGUCCAGCAGCCACUGCCAUUCUCCAUCACAACCGCACCAGCACGGCACAACGGAAAGGAGGAGAGGAGAGAAAAAACGACAACGAGACAGUGAGGGGAGAGAGGACAGAGGAAAAAGAGAGAGAACAAAAGGAGGAAAAAGACGACACAGAGAGGGAAAGAAAAAAAGAACCGGGGGCAGAAACACAGAAAAAAAACGAGAUAAGGAGGAGAAACAGAAGCACGCAGAAGGCAGGAGGAAUACCACCACCCGUCUUCCUCUUCACAGCAACCAGCAGCACCGCUAGCACCAGCAGCAACUCCACAAAGCCACUGCAGAGAGGCAAGAACACUGUUGAUGGGAGAAACGAAAUACAGAGGAAACAAGCAGCACGGCGAAGCAGAGGUGAGAAGAAAGAGAAGCAACGUCUGCCACCACAGCCGGCUGCCGCGACAACAACGCCACCGUCAGCUUCUCACCAUCUUCCUCCCCCUGCUGCAACACCCGUGAAGAAGAAGAAGAAGCCCGCGCCUCUGCACAGACGGGAAGAACAGCAGCAAACACUGCCCGCCACCGCAGAGAAGAGCCAUCGUCUGCAGCCACCAGUGCCACCUUAAGCCACCAUCAACCACGACAUCUCCACCAUUAGAAGCAGAAGAAGAAAAGGAGAAACAGGAGACAGAAGCGGGGAGAAGAAGGAACACUGUCCUUCUGCACGAGUACCGACGGCAUUUCCGACGGAUUUGCCAACGGCUCGAAAAGUUUGGCGGGAUUUCCGGAUUUUUUUGGUGUGCAUUUCAAUUAAUUUCCGACGGAAUUACCGACGAAAUUUAAUUCCACCGAUAACAAUUAAUUUCCAUCGGUAAUUCCGUCGGAAAUAUUGCUUUAUAUAUCGCCAUCCCCCCCACUUUGUUCAUUUUCUCCUCUUCUCCCUUUCUCUUCUUCUCUUGUUUAUAUUUAGCUUUUAGAAGGAUUUUAUUGUUUUGGUGGUAGUUUUAAAAGGUAUGUAUUUUUUUUUCUUUAUCUUUGUAUUUUUUUUUAAUUAUGAUUAUUUUUUUUGGUGUUCUUUGUUUUGUAUAUUGUUUGUAGAUAAAAUCUUAAAUUCAACACAUUAUUAAGGUAAGCAUUUUUUAUUCCCAAAUUUAUUUUGAAUUGAUAUAAUGUUUUUUAGUUUUGUGUAUUGUUUGUUUUGUGUUUAUGUUGUGUGUUGUGUAGUGUUUUUUAGUUUUUUAAUUUUAUUUAUUAAUUUUAGUUUUUUAGUUUUGAUAUUAUUGUUUGUAUUGCUAUAAUUGUUAUUGUUGAAUUUAUGUUAAAAAUGUUAAUUUAUAUAUAUAAUUGUUAAUGUUGAUUUAUUUUAAAAAUGUUAAUUUAUAUAUAUAUAAUUGCAUUUAAUUAGUUUAUCUUAAUUUAGGAUAUUAUUGUUUGUAUUGCUAUAAUUGUUAUUGUUGAAUUUAUGUUAAAAAUGUUGAUUUAUAUAUAUAAUUGUUAUUGUUGAUUUAUUUUAAAAAUGUUAAUUUAUAUAUAUAGAAUUGCAUUUAAUUAGUUUAUCUUAAUUUAGGAUAUUAUUGUUUGUAUUGCUAUAAUUGUUAUUGUUGAAUUUAUGUUAAAAAUGUUAAUUUAUAUAUAUAAUUGUUAUUGUUGAUUUAUUUUAAAAAUGUUAAUUUAUAUAUAUAUAUAUAUAUAAUUGCAUUUAAUUAGUUUAUCUUAAUAAUAUUAAUCCGUAAAUUAAAAUGUAUGACUUUAAUCUAAUGUUUGUAACUCUAAGUACCAAUUUAACAAUGAAUGUUCAUAGUUGUAAUUCUAUAUGAUGUUAUUGAAUAAAAUGUUGUGUUGAUGAUGAUGAGUUGGGUUGAGAUCCAGGAUGAUUGGAUUGGGAUGUGAAAUAAAAUUGGAAGUGUAAUAUGAUUUUGUCGACAACUUGGGACCCCCCUAGUACAGGGGAGACUCUGUCGAAUUUUUUUUAAAAUAAUCGAAGUUAAUUAUGUAAUUAUUCGUAUACAUUUGUGUAGAUGCGUAGAAUGAAAUCUACAGCACGUCGUCAGAAGACGGUUGCAGCUAGUUCUUCUAGCAGCAAGGAGGACGUAUGCUUAGGUGAUGAUCACGGCAAGGAAUCUACGCCAACUUGUGAUGCUGCCUCUUCUAGCGCGGUUUCACAGCGCAGAAGCGGUGUGCCUUCCCAGCGGGGUCAAUUCACCCGCAAGUACCAGGCACAAUGGAAGGAGACCUCUCAAUGUAAGUUUGUUUAGGUUUUAGUUUUUUUAUAUAUAUACUUAUAAUAUAAUUUAUGAACAACUAAUUAAUAUUAAUUACUACUUUUAUUUAAUUUCAGGUUCACAAACAUUGAGGCUGCAAGGACUAUAACAUUGGCGUUUAAAUCGUCGAUGGAGAUUCCAUUGUUUCAAUGGAGCCAAGUUUCCAAACAUCCUGAGUGGAAACCUAAUAUCGAUGCAUGGUUUAAGCGAUUUCAGGUCGGUGUUAAUUUUUAAUUUCCAGCUUAUUUUUAAUAAAUGAUUUUUAUUAUUUUAUAUCUUGUACUAUUUUUAUUUUAUAUGCAUUAUUUAUAUACACAGAACAAAUUUGAGUGGGAUAGGGCGGACAACAAUGUUGUGAGGAGGGUAUGGGAGAAUCACGCGGCAACUAGGUAACAUCGAAAAUAAUAUUUAUUUUUGUUUUAUAAUUUUAUGUUUUAAAUUCUAAUUUGUUACUAUGGAAGUAGGUUGCGUGAUUUUUGGUAUGACACCCAAAAAAAAUCAAAAAGACAUGCGAGGGAUAACGGUCUUGAAGGAUGGAAUGAGGUGGCGGUUUGGCAGGAAUUCAAACCGCCAUUCAUCUCGGGGGAAAUAUGGACGGCAUAUAUUGAGCACGUGACCUCAGAGCGGUUCUCACGGCGCUCACAGUCCGGCGCCGACAACCGGAACCGGCAAAUUCAUGAUUCGGUGACCACGCACACUGGCGGAUCCGUCCCAUUCAGCACACAUGCAAAGCGGAUGGUAAGAUUAAUUUUAAUGAAAUAUAUCGUUAAUUAAUUUGUCGUUCCUUAUAAUAUAUUUAACUUUCAACCUAUUUUUUCCUUACAGGCUGCGUCUCUUGGAAGUGAACCGAGUCCAAUAGAGCUAUUUCUAGAGACGCAUGUGCGGAGUCAAGACCGCCAAAAAGGGAUGCAGCAGUUCGUGGACAACCGUGCUCAGCAGUUCGUGGUAUGAUUGUUCAUUCAUUUUAUUUUGUAAGUUAUUAUUUUCUUGAAUUGCAUCUUGAAUUGCAUUUGAUGAUUUUUUUACCGAUGGAAUUUUCAGGAGACCUAUAAUAGCCGGUUGAGGGAGAGAUAUGGGGACAAUCCGUCGACCCAUCCAGAUUUCGAUCCAGAUUUGUGGAUGGAGGCGGGAUCGUCUGGUGGACCCGAUAAAAAUAGGGUCUACGGGCUCUCCAACACUACAGCUGACAACUUGCGUUUGACUCGUAGUGUCUCAACUGUUGGAAGCUCUCCAUCAGUAUCGAACACCCAGUCUGAGGAGUUCAUUGCGUUGAAACAACAAUAUCAACAACUCUCGACGAAUUAUGAUGAGCUCCGUCAAAUAGUCAUGGAGAUGAGAUCAAAGAUGGAUGACGAUACUUGUGCAGCUUCUUUUUGGUCGUAUGGUCCCGGGAACAACCAGCCUCCUCCUCCUCCGCCUCCUCCUCCAGCUCCGCCGCUAUUCUAGUUUAAUUUUUUUUAAACACAUUAAAUUUGUAAUGAAUAUUAUUUAACAUUACUUUUUACAUUUUUAAUGUUUAAUGCAUUUUUAUUUGUUUAUUAAGGUUUUUUACAAUUAAUAAAUUAUUUUUUAUAUAUAUUUUAAAUACCAACCGACAGAAUUGCCGACGGAUAUUAUCUGUCGGCGACUAAAUACCGACGGCAUUACCGACGGAUAAUAUCCGUCGGUAUUACACAGAGAGUUGCAACAAAAUUACCAGCCAUGCCAUCAUUACCGACGGAUAAUAUCCGUCGGUAUUACACAGAGAGUUGCAACAAAAUUACCAGCCAUGCCAUAAUUACCGACGGAAUUUCCGUCGGUAAGGACGUCGGUAAUUACCCUUGAAAUUUCAGACGGAUUUAUUCCGUAGGUAAUGUUCCCGCGGGAAACUUUUUUUUGGCGCGCGCGUAUCCGUCUGUAAUACCGUCGAUGUGUCCGUCGGUGGGUGUUUUUUUUUGCGACAGAAUUAGCGACGGAAAUGGGAUUUACCGACGACUGUUAUACCGACGGACGUGUUCUAUCGGUGAGUCCGUCGGUAUGUUUUUCACCGACGGAUUUCAUCUCUGUCACCGACGGAAUGAGUCCGUCGGUAAAACUGGAUAAUGUUGUAGUGAUGCAACAGUUUCAAAUGAGGUAUUGGACCUGAAUAUUCUAUCAUUUGAUUUGAUCAAUCUCAAUUAAGAUUGAUCCAAAAAUUUUCAAUUUUAACUAUCAUAUUUUAUUUUCACAAUAAGAUUUAUCUCCUUGUUGUGAAAAUCUAAUAUGUUCAAAUCAAAUUUUAGUCGAAAAUAUAAAACCCUCUUAGUCAUAUUUUUCGAGACAUGCCCACUUGUUUCAAAAGUAAGUCAACUUGUCUUGAGGGGGCAUUUGUAGAAACACAAAUUUUCUAUCAAUCAAAUUUCACCAUGUGUUAUUUUAUUCUUUAAAAGAAGGGAUAAAUAAAAUUGAAAUAAAUGACAUGAAAAAUAAAUGAGCCUUCAUAUAUUUCUUGGCCAAUGAAAAGUUGACACUUGGGAUGAGAUAUUCAAGAUAUCUUGUCAUAAAUACAAGAUCCCAUCAGAUAUCUCUUCAUAAAUGUAAGAUCCCGUCAAUAAAUAUCAACCAAUAAAAUUAUGUCAUGUGGCAUUGGAAAAGAACCUGAGAGCCCCUACAGAUCUCUAUAAAUAGAGGGCCUCAACCUAAAGGAGGGGGAUCCCGGGAGAUACAAAUUUCCUUCAAGACAAGCUCUGCAAGCAAGGAAGCUCUCGCUCUCUCUCUCUUCAAGCAAGGAAGCUCUCUCAAAGAGUUCUCAAGCCUCCUUCAUCGACGCUUGAAGUCUACAAAGAAUGAAGCUCUGUUGGAUCAAGCCUAAACGCUCCAUUAGAGUUCUUCAACAACACUUUGAAGACAAAUCAAAGGUACUCUUCAAAGCAUCAAAUCACCAGAGGAUUCCGGGAGAUACAAAUUUCCUUCAAGACAAGCUCUGCAAGCAAGGAAGCUCUCGCUCUCUCUCUCUUCAAGCAAGGAAGCUCUCUCAAAGAGUUCUCAAGCCUCCUUCAUCGACGCUUGAAGUCUACAAAGAACGAAGCUUUGUUGGAUCAAGCCUAAACGCUCCAAUAGAGUUCUUCAACAACACUUUGAAGACAAAUCAAAGGUACUCUGCAAAGCAUCAAAUCACCAGAGGAUUCCGGGAGAUACAAAUUUCCUUCAAGACAAGCUCUGCAAGCAAGGAAGCUCUCGCUCUCUCUCUUCAAGCAAGGAAGCUCUCUCAAAGAGUUCUCAAGCCUCCUUCAUCUACGCUUGAAGUCUACAAAGAACGAAGCUCUGUUGGAUCAAGCCUAAACGCCCCAUAAGAGUUCUUCAACAACACUUUGAAGACACAUUAAAGGUACUCUUCAAAGCAUCAAAUCACCAAAUCUCGCUUCGCAAUAUACGCUCAAAUUCGUGUUCUUGCAAAGCACAAAUCUUGGCUUGAUUACUCAAAUAAAUCAAGUCGCCAUACAUCAAAUCCAAGGGAAGAAUCAGAGGAUUGUCAUAUUCUUUUGAAAGAAUAUAUUACAUAGAGAUUGUACCCAUUCAUAUAUUUAAUAAAAUCAUACAUUUGUACACGUGUGCUUGUUUAAUUUCAGGUGCUCAAAAUUGUGUCCACAGUCACUUAGCAAUGAUCUACUGCUUUACUGUCUAUCUGCUAAUGACAGCAGUAUGAGCAUUAUCUAGAUUAGGAUGUUUUUCAAUUUGUUUUAAGUUUAUCUAGGAUUAGACUAGCUUGUUAUAUAACUCCUUAGAUAAAAGAGAUGAUAGCUGGUAUGUCUCUUUAGUUUUUCACAAUUUUGCAAUGGUUGUUUCCUUCUAUAAAUAAACGACUAGGGAUAGCAGUAACCUAUCGAGACAAUUCUACUCUUUGUUCUCUCCACUGCAAAACUCUGUUCUUUGUUCUUUGCUCUUUUUCUUAGUUCAUUAACUAAAGUUUGUUCUUUAUAUCUUAGUUAUUACAACAAUUGGUAUCAGAGCUUCUUUAAUCUUUGAAGGGUUUAUGAGUGAAAACAUGAGAGAAUAGUAAGGUUAAAUCAAAGCUUUAUGCUUUGAAGGGUUUGUGAGUGAAACACGAGAGAUUAAGUGAGUUUUUUUUAAGCAAUGGAUUCUGCAAAUUUUCCAGCAAAAACACCAGUGUUCACAGGGCAGAAUUAUAGUGUGUGGGCUGUAAAAAUGGAAACGUAUCUCAAAGCUUUUGACUUGUGGAAGAUGGUGGAGAGUGAUAGGCAACCAACUCUACUAGGUAACAAUCCUACGAUUGCACAGAUGAAAUUUUUCAAUGAAGAAAAGGCAAAGCGAUUCAUAGCUUUUACCUGUCUUCAUGAUGCUGUGAGUGAAGAAAUCUUCACAAGGAUUAUGGCUUGUAAAUCUGUCAAAGAAACGUGGGAUAAAUUAAAAGCAGAAUUUCAUGGUGAUGAGAAGGCAAGGAAGAUGCAAGUUUUAAAUCUCAGAAGGCAAUUUGAAGGUCUGAAAUGAAAGAAACCGAUACCUUCAAAGACUUCUCUUCUCAAAUUUCAAAACUUGUGAAUCAAGUGAGACUUUUGGGGGAAGACUUUCCAAACUCAAGAGUAGUAGAGAAGGUUCUGGUAAGUCUACCAGAGAAAUUUAAACAUAAAAUUUGCUCUUUAGAAGAUUCUAAAGAUUUCUCAAAAAUGAGUCUGCAAGAACUAGUAAAUGCAUUGCAAGCUAUGGAGCAAAGACAAGCUUAUAGACAAGAAGGAACAAGUGAAGGAUCUCUUGUUGCAGUUUACAAGGAGAAGAGUCGGGCUAAGAAUUUUUACAGAAACAAUCAAGAAGGAAAAAAAAGAGAAAGGGAAAGGCUGGUAAUCCAAUAACUGGCAACAAAACAACAACAACACCAUCACUAGAGGAAAAGAGAAGAGAGAAGAUUUUCCUCCUUGCAAAUUCUGUCAGAAAACAAAUCAUCUUGAAGCCUGGUGUUGGCUCAAUAAUGCACAAUGCCGAAACUGCAAGCAAUUUGGUCAUAUCCAAAGAUUCUGCAAAAACGAAGCAAAAACUGUAAAACAAGCUCAAGUAGCUGAGGGUUCAAAAGUGGAGGAAAAUCUUUUAUUCAUGGCUACAAUACAGGAGAUGUGUAAUACAGCCAAGGCAAACGACUCAUCAUGGCUUAUUGAUAGUGGCUGCACUAAUCACAUGACUGUAGAUCUAGCUUAUUCAAAGAUUUGGAUAAAAACUAUCUAUCUAGAGUCAGAAUUGGGAAUGAAGACUAUGUGAAGGUCGAAGGAAAAGGCGCAAUUGAAGUGGAAACAAUGUUAGGUACAAAAACUCUAAAAAAUGUUCUUUGUGUACCUAAGAUCAAUCAGAAUCUAGUUAGUGUGGAACAAUUAAUUGUUUAAUGAUGGAGUGUGUGACAUUAAAGAUAAAAAGGGAAUGUUACUGCUCUCUGCUAAAAUUAUGAAUAGAAGUUUUAAUGUUGAUUGGAAAGAAGUAUGUUUGAGUGCCAACACUUGUGAAGACAAUAAGUCUAUUCUUUGGCACAAAUAUUUGGGGCACUUCAAUUAUUUAAAGAGAAUGGUUAACCUGCAAAUGAAUAUACAGGAACAAUAGAGUAUUUGUGAAGCCUGUCAGUUAGGAAAACAAACUACAGUUGUUUUUCCUAACAAUGCAUUCAGAGCACUGUCAAAACUCUAGUCGGUACACACAGAUGUGUGUAGGCCGAUGCAUAAUGAAUCAUUGAAUGGUUCAAAGUAUUUUCUUCUAUUUGUUGAUGAUUAUAGUAGGUUCUGCAGGGUUUACUUUCUGAAAUCAAAAUCUGAUGUGUUUGCUAAGUUUGUUAAAUUCAAAGCAACAGUUGAAUUAGAAAAAGGAAACAAGCUAAAGAUAAUGAGGUCUGACAAUGGAGGUGAGUAUACCUCUCGUCAAUUUGAGGCAUACCUGGCAAAAGAGGGGAUCAAACAUCAUCGGACUAUACCCUAUACACCACAGCAGAAUGGUGUCAGUGAGAUGAGAAACUGGACAUUGAUGGAAAUGGCAAGAUGUUUACUAUAUGAGAAGAAAGUGUCAUUGAAAUUCUGGGCAGAGGCAGUGAACACAACAUCAUAUCUUCUAAAUCGAAUGGCCUCAAUAGUUUUGGGAGACAAAACUCCUUGUGAAAUCUAGUAUGGCUUUAAACCCAACAUUGAUCAUUUAAAAGUGUUUGGCAGUCUUUGUUAUGUUAUGAAACCUGAAGUUAAAAGGAGAAAACUUGAUCAAAAGGCCGAUAUAGGAAUUCUUAUAGGCUAUAGCACAACAUCUAAGGCCUAUAAAAUCUAUGAUCUGAAUUUUAACAAAGUUGUGAUUGCUAGAUAUAUAAAAGUUGUAGAGAAUGCUACAUGAAAUUGGGAAAAUACAUCAAUUGAAGGGUCAAAACAGAUGCAACAAACUGAGUUGGAUGCUGCAAAAAAUGUUGAUGACCAACAAGCUAAGUUGGAUGUUGCAGAAAAUGUUGAUGAUCAACCAGUAAGGGGGACAAAGUUCUUAACUGACAUUUAUAGCAGGUGCAAUGUGGCUGAGGCAGAACCAAUAGGUUUUGAAGAGGUCAUGAAUUCUCAAGUUUGGAUAGUAGCAAUGAAGGAGGAGCUUGCGAUAAUAGGAAAAAAAUCAAACAUGGAUACUGGUUGACAGACCAGCUCAUAAGAAGGUAAUUGGAGUGAAAUGGAUUUUCAAAACCAAAUUGAAUGUAGAUGGUAAGAUCAAUAAGCACAAAGCAAGACUUGUAGUGAAAGGAUAUUCAUAAGAGGCAGGCAUCAAUUUCACAGAAACAUUUGCUCCAGUUUCCAGGCAUGAUACAAUGAAGCUCCUGCUUGCUCUAGCAGCACAAAAUGGUUGGUAUAUCUUUCAGUUGAAUGUUAAGUCUGCAUUUUUUAAUGGUGUUCUAAACGAGGAGAUUUAUGCUGAACAACCUGCUAGGUUUGAAAAACAAAAUUCAACAAACAAAGUGUAUUUAUUGAAGAAGGCAUUAUAUGGACUUAAACAGGCUCGUAGAGCCUGGUACACCAGAUUGGAUAAUCAUCUCUUAAGCUUAGGAUUUAAAAGGAGUAUGAAUGAGGUAACUUUUUAUGUAAAGCAUGUUGAUGGGCAUAAACUUAUCGUAUCAGUCUAUGUAGAUGAUUUGCUGAUUACAGGAGACAAGGAGCAGCUUGUAGAGGAGUUUAAAACCAACAUUAAAGAUAAGUUUGAGAUGAAUGAACUUGGUUUGUUGACAUAUUUUUUAGGAAUGGAAGUAACUCAGUCUGAUCAAGGUUACUUUCUCUAUAAAAAAUGUUUUUCCUUGAAAAUACUGAACAAUUUUGCAAUGGCUAAUUGCAAGCCAGUCAGUACACCUAUGAUACAGGGACAAAAGCUAAUAAAGGAGGAUAGAGCACCAAAAACUGAUGGGAAAGCUUACAGGAGUCUAGUUGGGAGUCUACUGUAUUUAACAGCCACACGUCCAGAUAUUCUGUUUGCUGUGAACUAUCUCUCAAGGUUCAUGCAAAAUCCAAGUCAAAUCCACUUUCUGGCAGCCAAGAGAGUUUUGAGAUAUCUGAAAGGGACUGUAGGAUUUGGCAUGCAUUUUGUGAAAUCUAGCUCUGUCAAUCUUGUUGGUUUUUCUGACAGUGACUGGGGUGGAAGUGAUGAAGGAAUGAUGAGCACCUCAGGUUAUUGUUUUGCUAUGGGAAAUAGUGUGUUCUGUUGGAAUUCAAAGAAGCAAUCAGUGGUGGCACACUUCACGGCAGAGGCUGAAAACAUAGCUGCAUAUGUGGCAGCAAAACAAUUGAUUUGGCUAAGAAAGAUGCUAAGUGAUCUAGACUGCAAUCACCAAAAUUCCACAGUACUGUUCUGUGACAAUACAUCAGCUAUAGCCAUCUCAAAAAAUUCUGUCUUUCAUGACAUGACCAAGCAUAUGAAGAUCAAAUUCCAUGCAAUCAGACAAUUUCAGCAAGAAGGAGAACUAGAGCUACGUUACUGCACCUCUGAAGAACAGCUAGCAGACUUGUUUACCAAGCCUUUAGCCAAAAAUAUAUUUGAAGAUCUAAGAGGAAGAAUUUGAAUGUGUAGCUUUGGAACCAAUUGGAAUGUGUAGCUUUGGGACUAAGAAGGAGUGUUGAAGUUAUGGUACCAAAGCUGGAAAAGGUCACUUAGCAAUGAUCUACUGCUUUACUGUCUAUCUGCUAAUGACAGCAGUAUGAGCAUUGUCUAGAUUAGGAUGUUUUUUAAUUUGUUUUACGUUUAUCUAGGAUUAGACUAGCUUGUUAUAUAACUCCUUAGAUAAAGGAGAUGAUAGCUGGUACGUCUCUUUAGUUUUUUACAAUUCUGCAAUGGUUGUUUCCUUUUAUAAAUAAAAGACUAGGGAUGACAGUAACCUAUCGAGACAAUUCUGCUCUUUGUUCUCUCCACUGCAAAACUUUGUUCUUUGUUCUUUGCUCUUUGUUUUUUUUCUUAGUUCAUUAACUAAAGUUUGUUCUUUAUAUCUUAGUUAUUACAACACAGCUACUGGUUCCACCAUGAGUUCUGCUAUCUUAGAUAUAAUGGAUCCACCCACACUUUCGAUAGCCAUUUUCCACCAGUCUGAAAAUCAGAGAAAUAAGGAUACAGAACGUGAGAGUGAGUCACUACAAGUAAAACAGGGGCAGAGAAAAUGUGAAAAAUAUGUGCGAAAAGCACUGGCAAUCAAUGAAAUAGCGGGAGGAAGAAAAGGAGAAGGCCUUUAGCUCUGUAUGGAAUCCAGCUUCAAAAGCAACAAGACAAGGUAGCAGUGAAGAAGGACCUGAAAUCAUGGCAGCAAAUAAGGAGAGAAAAUAAAGAGAAAAAAUAAUUUUAAUAAAGAAAAUUUUAAAUUUUAAAAAACACGGCUUGCACAAUAUUCCAAACGGUGUCAUCACGGCCAGUGUCACGGGGUUAAUUUUUCGCAACUAAACUUAACCCAAUGCGGCAGUCUAGCCCCAACUAGACUCAGCCUUGCCUCACCCUUUCACUCGUGUUUUCCUACGACUAUGUGUUUCGCUCACUCAAGGAGGUUCUCACACUCGCCUCGUCGUAGACAACAAAUAAACACAAGCAACACAAGCACACUAGAGUUUUACAAGAAUCCCUCUCAACCUUUAUUUAUCUCGUCAACAAAGGAAUACACAAAAAUGGUGUGUGCUAUGCACAAAUCGCAUGCUACACAGCAGAGGCUUGGCAGCCUAUUUAUAGCCAAAUGUGAGAUUCCAUCCUCACCUAUAAUCCCCUAAUUUCGGGGCAUAGUGGAGCAUUAUCUCCCCCAUGAUCACCCUUUACAUGGACUAGUGGAGCACUACCUUCCCCAUUAUCCUUAGUGGGUUGGUGAAGCACUUUGUCCUCCAUUAUCUGGCCCCUCCACCCAUGAUUCUGCCUGCCCUCAUGGCAGCCCCAAUUGUCUGCCUUGCUGUGUCAGCUGCUGACUUAGAAAGUCCAUUGCCUAAGCCCCACGUCCAUGCCAAGUCGCCAGCUCAAAGACUUGCACAGACCCUUGCACGCUGCCUGCCGAAUUCGUUUCUGCCGCAGUCCAUCGCUGCCGAAUUCUAGGCAAUGUGCCUUCGUUGGCGCGCCCCGCGCCUAGACCUCUAACAGCCAGUCUUUAGAAAGUUUGAAAAUUAGCAUGAAAAAGAGGAUAAUAGAGUAGUUAAAAUCAAAACACAUAUAAACAGAGGACAAAAACAGGCAGAGAUGCUGUUUGUUUUUUUAACUGUGUCUGUUUUUUUUAACUGUGUUUGAGUGGUUUAUAAAAUUAUAUUUAAUUUAAAAUUAUUAAAUUAAUAUAUUUUUAGUGUUUUUUUUAUUUUAAUAUAUAUAUAUAUAUAUAAUAUUUUAAUAUGUUUUUAAAUAACAUAAAUAUUUUUAAAAAACAUGUAUAUACUAAAAGAGAAAGGAGUUCUUCCAUUUAUUAUUGUUCACUUAAAUUUAUUUUACUUGUAUGACAAUAGUUUAACUUUUCAAUUUAAUACUUUAUUAUUAUUUAUUUAUUGUGUAUAAUUGUGCUUUUUUGAACUCAAAUUAGAGUUUAAUUACGUAUUUUUUAGGGGUGAGAGUUGAAUUAAAACAUAAAUAACUAAAGUGAAAUACUCGGGUAAAAUAGUUAAUAGCUCUGCAAUUUGGUUGCAAAGUUUGUUUUAAUUAAAAAUUAAAAAAUUAUGUAUCAAACAUUAUUAUAAUAAAUAUGAAAAAACCUAAGAACCAUAGAUUUGAGAAAACUAAAUAAAAACUUAACAAUAUAUAAAUUAAAAAAUAUUAGAUAUUUUAUCCUCAUUCAAUAUUAAUAAGCAAAUCAUUUUAGAAAAUUUAUCUAUUAUAAUAAUACAUAAUUAUUCAUAAAAUAAUUAAUAAUAUUACAAUAAAAAGCUUAAUUUUCUUGAAAACAAUAAAAUAAUUAAAUAAUUAUUUAAAUAUAUUUUUUUUAAUUUUAUCCUUCAAUUUAACCACUUGGGAAUGAGACCUCAGCUAUGACUUUAAAGGCUUUAAGUUUUUAUAAUUAACCUAAGCUAUGAUCGGUCAAUGUUUUUUUCAGUUUUCUUUUCUUUUCUUUUCAAAAAAAAAAAAAACAAAUCAUCAAGGGAAAAAAAUAAAAAGACUUGCAAAGGAGUACAAUUAUUGGAUUCGGAAUGAAUCAACGAAAGAUCAAACUCAACCGAUUAUCUAUGAUGAAUAUGGUGAAGUUUCUGUUGUUUCUGUUGGAGUUUUAUAGAGUUUCACAUAUUAUCUCACGAUUUCAUAUUUCAAUAGCUUUCCUAACAACAAGCGAUAGGAAGAGGGCAGCCUUUGUUCUGCUGUUCACACAGACUAAGAACUCCUACCAUUGGAAAAUCAUAUAAUUAAAACACAACAAUAUAUAAAAAUGUAAUAAGCAGCUGAUUAAUGCUGUUGUUCUUUCUUCUUGUUUUGCUAUUUUGAUUUUAUCAUAUUUUCUUAAGAAAUUAUGAUUGUGUUAUUUUUGAAUCGGACUCCCAUAUAUAAUGAAAGUAAGAACGUUCAUUCCUUUAUAAACAUUGACUUUGAUUUUUCCUUUAUAAAACCAUAAACCUGCAAAUCACGAAAAACUAGAUCAACAUGAAGACUUAUCAGAUCCUAAUGAAAAGCUGUCAAAAUCCUAUCAGAAAUUAAGGAAGAUGACGUUAACUUCAAAUCUGAGGAUUAAUUGUAGCAGAUCUUAUAGAGUUCAGCUGAUUGCUUUACUUGUUUAAAUAAUUCUCUUGUAAGCCUAAUGGUUCACGUCUUCCAUCAUUGCAAACUUUUUUUCUGUGAUUGAAAAAUCUAUAAUAGGAACCUGCACUGCAUCCCUUCUAUGCUGUUGUUCUUUCUUCUUGUUUUGCUAUUUUGAUUUUAUCAUAUUUUCUAUGAUGAAAGUUGAAGAAAUUCUACUUCGAAACUCAAGACAAAGUCUCUCGGACUGCAUAUUAGUGGGUUGCUCAUUGGGAUUUCUAUAAACAACUGAUUCUAAUAUUGCAAAGCAACAUUACGAAAAACUGAAUAUUUCACACAUAGUCUAAUAAAAGUAGAUUCCAUUGUCAAUUCCUUAACAUCUUCCAGACAAAUCCAUGCUCCUCUUGCCAUUCCCUAAUUGCGUUGAGCCAGUUAAUCUGGAUGAAAGAAAGGACUUCGACCUUGAAAUUAGCAUCAUAGUCAUGGAACCUUAAAGCAGACCCAACUUUGUAGCUCAUUACCAGUUACGUAAAAGUUAUCAAUAUCUGUGUAAAUCAUUGAAACUGCCACAAAAUUAAGCAACCCAAAUUAGUUUUGAAUUGGAUUUGAUAAAGGAUAGAGGGAAAGAGGGGAAAAGACAGAUGAAGAUCUGCGCAGGGCUACCUGUUUUGAGAAUUAUGGAUUUUUAUCUCUAACUCAGAGCGGCACCAAUUAUAAGUUCAAUAAAAAAAAUUUGUAACACAACAGAUGGAAAAACUCGAAACAACUCGGCUAGAAUUUAGGAAUGAAAUUCAGAAUGAGCCAAGAUUUUAAGUGAGAUGAAACUCUUUGAAAAAAAAAAUUAAUAUGAAAUAUACUUUUCAUUUUAGUGAAACUCGAGUUUAUUGUGUCAAAGAAAAUGUUCUAAAAAAAGGUUUUGAGCAUUAACAAAAUCUAGUUGUCUAGGCAAUCGACUAUUGUUGCUGUUACAGUUGGUGCAUACUCAAUGACACCAUGGAUUCACAUGGUGCAAUUUUAUUUUUAUUUUUAUAAAAUAUUUCACAAACUCUUAAAUAUACGAAAAACUCUACCUCAACUAAAAUAUAAAAAAAAUUGCAAAGGAAAGAUGCAUAACAUCCAAAAUAAGCAAGAAAUCUAAAAAUAAUAUGGAAGAUCACAAAAAACUACAAAAACUAGGGGUCUUAGCAUGAUUUUUUAUAUCUAAAGAUUCGACAGUCGGUGUGAGAAUUUGAACAUGAUCUAAGAAUUAGAUAAAACAUUAUAGUCCUUUUGAGUUAUUAUUUUGGUCUGACGCGAACAAACCUUUUCUAUUGAUCCAUAAAUUUAAUGCCCCUACAUAUAAAAAGAAAUAGAUAGCUGCUUAACUGAGUUAACACGUUUUGGUUCUUUUUUCAUGAUUCAAGUCGUAAAUUUAGUAUUUUUCCUAGGUUGAUUGUGUGUGAUCUUAUAUAUCAACAUCUUAAUAUUAAACAACAAAAAAUUUCAAGAUUGAUUUUUUUAGGCUGAUCUAUAUUUUACUAAUAGUCUGAGUUGUUUUUGGGUUUUUCAAAUAAAAAAGGAGUUAAACUUAAGAAAAACAACUUAAGAUUAACACUUAAAAUUUAAAAAUUUUAAAAAAAUCAUAAUAAUAAAAUUCUUAAUUUCUGACACCACAACAAGAUGCUUAGAAAGAAGCUAUCUAACAGGAGGGUGGGGCUACUCUUAGCCAAUGAAAACAGCUUCACAUGCAACACAACAACGUCAGCCUGUUUUCUCUUUAAUGAACACCCUCUUGGAUUCUCUAGCAUUAGCCAACAAGGUAUCUGCUUGGAAUUACUUCCACCAAUCUAAGACAUAUCCGCAGCUCCACAGCUCAAACAUGAAUCUCCGUGAAAUCACCUAAGGUCGAGUUGAUCAUGUAAUAGGUAACCAACCUUGCCUGAUGCAAACAUGAAGAACAAAGACCAUCCAUGCAUAUCGCAUACGUUGAUUUAAUUGAACCAUUAAAAGAAGAAGGAAAAGGAGAGCAGACAAAUAAUUGCAGCCAUGUCACCUGGUUUGGGCAAGAAAGAAUUAUUAGACUACCAAUAACCAUCAUCAUCAUCAUCAUCAUAUUACUUCAGCUGGUCCACUCUCUAUUAGUGCUUGAAUCUUCAGCUGGUUGAGAUACCUGUAAACCAAUUCAAGCACGGCAUAUACAUUCUAAAUUGUAAAUCUUAUUAUUGAGCGAAACAAGAAACAAACACACUAAAAGAGAGGCAAGAAAUGAAGUCAAAUCAGCAGCACCUCUGAUUGAGCACUCAUUGAACCACCAUUUGGUGUAAUAGCAAAUUUUAUGGUCAACUUUGAGCAUUCAUACACCUUCAACUUCUCCAAACGAGGGAAUAAGAAAUCACAGCAUCCGAAACUGAAGCAGACAAUACUUGAUAAUUGUUCUAGAGACAACUUUUUUAGAUUAGGAAGCACCAUCUCCUUCUCAACGUUGACAGGUGAAGCAUGAUCAUCCUGCCCAAAGACUCCCAAUAAUUGAGAGGCUUUUGUUACCCUCAGUAUUUGGAGAUUUGGGAGACCUGAAGCCAUGGCUAAUGGGAAGAGACUCUUCAACUUGUUGCAUUCUCUAAUCUCAAUUUCACACAAAUUGGGAAAGCAUAAAGAUUGGAGAUGAUCUCCUAACAAUAUCUGGUCGUUUUCAUCAUCAUCCUUAGCAAUGAUUUGCUCCAAUUCCUCACAGGACAAUAUCUUUAGAACUUUCAGUGGAACUAGACUGACAAUCAUACUGCGUGUGAAUACAUGCGUCAGUCUUUUACACUCAACCACAUUCAAAGUAGUCAAUUUGCUCAACACGAGACCCUUCCAUAGACACCUAAUAUCAGGCACCAGCAGGGAGCGCAAGCGUAAUGUUUCCAAAUUUGUCAACCCCUGCAUCGAAAGGAAACAAGGAUACCUAAUAAAUUUUGUGCACUUUGGAACUAUAUAAUUUUGGUAAAUAGAUGAACGAAUUGUCACCAAUACUUCAGCCAAAAACUUAUCAACAAAAGGAUAUAAGUAGACAUGGCAACAGGGCAUGGGAAUAUGAAAUCAUAAGCUGCAGGACUGAAACAAACAACUCAAUAUUAGCAGAAGGACGUUUAUCUUCCUCUUCAAAUACUUCCAUUAAUUGGGGGAAGAGCCUCAAUUUCACUCAAACUAGGAAAGCAUAAAGAUUGAAAAAUCUCGAUAUCAUUUCAUUACAAUAAUUAAUUUCUUACUUCUUAAGCCCUGCAUCAAGAGACAAGGAAUGAUACAGUUAGACAACUCCUUUUAAAUUUAGUGGAUGGCUAAAGGAUUUAUCUCCACUUAUCAAUUGCUUCAGUUUCAGAAAUUUAAAGGAAGAAAUCAAACAUGUAUUGAAGUUGACAAUUUAAAUUAAAAAGGAAAAAGAUUAUUAGAGAAAUAUAAAGGACGUACUUGGAGCUGUGCAAACAAAUUUCCCAAUUCUUUGUGGCCAUCAAUUUCUAGAAUUUGCAAGGAAGGCAAUUGGGCAGUAAAAUUCUUUGGACCAAAGAAGCUGCAAUUUGAAAGAUACAAUUCUCUUAGCUUAGGGAACUUGAUGAUGCCAUCUCUGGUGAGUGCAUCUCCUUCUCCACUGUAAAAUAUUUGCUUUAAAUUAUGAGCUUUAAAAAUCCGCAUCUCGUUCAGGUUCAGAAGGCUUGGAGACACAGAGACAGGGAGGACAUAUUCCAGUUUACCACAG
Molecule: long non-coding RNA, 241684 nt
Filed under: Populus trichocarpa (black cottonwood)
Lineage: Eukaryota; Viridiplantae; Streptophyta; Magnoliopsida; Malpighiales; Salicaceae
Description: long non-coding RNA (PTRI_LNC000460)
Rfam family: MIR2912 microRNA precursor family (bases 29905-30059)
Source: RNAcentral